RNAcentral lists this long non-coding RNA (208406 nucleotides) under Theobroma cacao (cacao). RNAcentral's name for it is "long non-coding RNA (TCAC_LNC001339)". The record is from RNAcentral. Lineage: Eukaryota; Viridiplantae; Streptophyta; Magnoliopsida; Malvales; Malvaceae.
UAAAGCCGAGUAAUAGGAGACAAUUAAAAUAAUUCAUCCCAACCCAUAUAAAUAAUUGGAUUUCAUCCAAUUACUCAACAUGGCUUAUGCAUUUUUCAAAAACUUGGCCCUUGCCAAAAAUUCAUUCUCGGGGAUACCCCACGAAGGCAUCUUAUCGAGACCGCCAAGGCUAUUUAUUGUCACACACACAAACACAUUUCACCUCUGACAACACAGUCGUUCCUCGGCAUUGGCUGAGUCCCAGUUUCACGUGGUGGCCAACGUGAAGUGUACUCAAAUCCUACCUCGGGAGUUAUCCUACGCGCCUCUCCAAUCGAGGUAAGCUCAACAAUUGGGAACCGUGCUCCUUUAAUUAGGCUGGCCCAUGGAGCCCCCCGUCACUACAGUGCCCACUUUAUAAUCCACCAAUCAAUAAAAUCACAAUAGUAUGACAUGACUCACUUAACACAUUCAAGGCAAAUCAAAGCAGUUCACAUAUUCUUGAAAUCAUAAAAAUAACCAGUCAUACCCACAUUUAUCAUAAGUCAUUUAAUGUAAAAUCAUAGAUAAACAAUACAAUCAUAGUAUAGGUCUCCAAUUACUCUAUUUUUGAAAUCAUUAUUAAAUUUGUAAAAAUUUUAUAAAUUUUUUUUAUAAAAUCUCAUUUUCCCAUAAAACACAAUAAUUUUCCAAUUAAACCAUUUUUCCAUAAAAUCACACAAUUAAAUAAAUCUACUCUAGAUAAUUAAGACGAUAGUAAGUUUACUCACUAUUUUAGGAGUCGAUAUACUCCUAUUUUCAAUCCGCGGGUACAGUCCUUUACUCGUAUCUAAUGGCUCACCACCUAGCCAUAAUCCAUGACACAUAUUUCAAUUAAAUUGUGUCUAACAGUCAUAAGCUAUUUCAGGCUCGAUAUAUAUACAUGAUAUGAAAUGAAAAAUGCACAGGUAGCCAUCUAGACCCGAUAUUGACUUAAGUCGAUUUUUCAUCCAAUAAAUUGGCCAAUGCGUCCAAUUUCACUCCAACUUUCUCCAUUUCUUUUCCAAUCCCUCAAUUCACCAAGCACAACUAAUUAACACACAAUUAGGCAAAUUUAUCUUCACUUUUCUUCUUGGAACUUUCGGCCAUUGAAGGUUCAUGGGGAAAAUUUUGUUUCUAAACAUGUUUAACUAACUCUAAACACCAACAUAACUCAAAAUCAAACAAUUCCAACAUCUUUCUCUCUCCAUACCCAUUUUGACCAGCCAUAAUUUCAUCAUGAAAACAUGUAAUUUAACCAUGGAAAUUAAGGAAAAAUGCAUGGGUAAGGUAAAUCACUAGCAAAAUCAAAGAAAUUUUACCUUUGCUUGAUCAAAUCCUUGAAUUCCAACACUUUCUCUUUGAUUUUUCCCACCUAGGGUUUGUUCUUCCUUGGUUUCUCUUCUCUUCUGGUUUGGCUGAUCACUAUGGGAGAAAUGGGCUGAUUUUUUUGGCUUUUUAUAAAGAAAUAAUAAAAUAAUAAAAACAUGACACAUGGCAUUUCUUUAUUGGCUCAAAUUUUAAAUAUUUGACUUUUAAUUCUUUAAUUCUCCACCACACAUUUCUCAUGUUUAUCCAUUUCCAUGAUGAAUAAAAUCCCUUGGUCUUAACAAAUGUUGGGGGUAAAAAUUUACCGAUUUGCCCCCGGGGUGGCAAAAUUACCAUUUCACCCUUAUACUCCAAAUUAUACCGGAAUUAAAAUUUUUCACUUUUAAACUUCAAAUCAUACUCCAAUACUUAAAUCAUACUCCAAUAAGUCAAAUGGAACAAAAAAAAUCUUUUCUAAAAAUUUCCAUUUUGUCUCCAAGUGGCAAAUGACCAUUUUACCCCUAGAUAGUGAAAAUUCUGAUUUGACUCCAAAUUGAUCCUCGAACUCCGAAUUACCAUUUUGAGUCAUCCAUGAAUUGUGAAACUCUUAAUUUCACCUUAAAAUUCCUAUUUGAACUAGUUCGAAACUUAAUCGACUCAAUGGUACCAUUAUGGGUAAUAUCGUCUUUUAACGAUUCCUCGAACUUUCUAAAUUUGCAAACAUUCUAUUGAGCAUGUAAAUGACGUCGUAAUUAUUUUAUAGAAUAGGGUUUGACAAAAUUUCCUCCACCCACCAUUGAAAGGUGACAACAUCGAUGGUAGCUUAAGGCUAGGUCUGGAGCUCUCUAACUUAAUCCGAUCAAGGAAAUGAUGAAAUUGGCAUCCAAGGUGAGAUUUGGUCUCAAGAAGUGCAACAAAGAGGCAUCCACAUCUUUAGUGGCUAGCUAAUGGAGAAGAAAGGAAAAGGAAAAAAAGAAAAAAAAGAAUUUAAAAUAAAAAGUUUAAAAUUUUAAUUAUAUAUUAUAAAAAAUAAUAUUUUAAAUCUUAAAAAAUUAAAUGAAAUUUAUUAAAAUUUUAAUAUUUAAUCAUAAUAAUGUUUAAAUCAUAUAUAAAAUAUAUAAUAUAUUAAAAAUGUUAUUGUUUAAUUAUAAAUAAAAUAUUAAUAUUUAAAAAAAUUGUUAAGAUUUAAAUUAUAAAUAUUCCAAUCAUAAUACUAUUUGAAUUAUAGAUAAAAUAUUAUUUUUAAAAAUAGAUAAAAUAAUCAUAUUAAUGUUAAAAUUAUAAAUUAUUAAUGCUUUUAAAAAUAAAAUAACAUUAAAAUAAAUAAUCAUAUUAAUGUUUUAAAUACAAAGUUGUUAAUAUGUUUUUUAAAUUAUUAGAAGAUAUAUAUUUUAAAUUAAAAAUCAAAUAUUACAAUAAAGGGUAUUUUUAUCUUCUUAUCAACUAUUCCUUUGUUAUUCCAAAACUAUUUUUAUCAACCCAACAUUAUAAUGAGUUAUAAUAGCAAUUCUUAUCACAUUCCAUUUCAUGAAACAAACUAUAUAAUAAUUAUUUCAUUCUCUCUUUAUUCCAUUCCAUGAACCAAACAUGCAAUACUUAGGGACAACCCUUAAUUAAUUGAAAGCACCUCACCAAUUGAGGUGCCAAUUGAUUGCCAUGUGGUUUUUCUUUUCUUUGGAUAGAAAAAUUAAGGAAAGAAAAUGAAAAGAUAAGAAAUAGAGAAUGAAAGGAAAAGAGAAAGGAAAAAGAGAGGAAGAGAGAAAGUUAGAUGGUUUAAUGAACUUAUGGCUCGUUUGAUUCCCGUAAUGGAAUAGAGAGAGAAUGAAAUAGUUAUUAUAUGAGAUUAAGAUAGCUAUUAUGUAAUUUGGGUCAUCAAUGGAACCAUCAUUAUGACAUUAUUUAAUGUUUGGUUGGUAAAAGUGAAUUUGCAAUAAUAAAGGAAUAAUUGAUAAAAUGAUCAUAUAUAUUUAUUAUAAUUUAAUAAAAGUUUUUGAAGUUAUUGAAACACAUUACCUUUUGACAAUAUGUUAUUAUUGAGUAAUAAUUUUAUAAUAAUUUAAUAUGCUAUCAUUAAAACAUUAAUAAUUUUUUAUUAAAAUAAUUAACAUGAUUUUUUAUUUUAAUUUUAUUUUACAUUUUCUCUACUUUCAUUUUUCCUUUUUUUUUCUCUUUUGCUUCAUUUUCUUCAUUUUCUUCUCUAAUUCGUCUUUGGCCAUUGAAAAUGUCAUAAGCUAAAUGGAGCAUCGAUCUAGUGCUUCUCGUGGCCAAAUAUGGUUGUUGGAGAACCGAUCUAGCCACCGGAACACGGAUUUGCCACUUCCUGUGAUGAAGGCAGUGGCAUUGACCAAAGGACGACGACGACAAUAAUUGAGAGGUUUACAAAAAGAAAAAAGUGAGGCUAGUGAGAAAGAACAAGAGAGAAGAAGGGGACAAUAAAAAAGUUUUAUCUGUUAAGGUUAGGUUUUAUUAUAUAUAGGAUAGUAAUUUUUUUUUGACAAGUAUAGGAUAGUAAUUUUACAAAAUGAUUAAGGAUUAUUUUGUCUGUUUCUUUUAAAAGUAUUUCCAUCAAUGUGGAAUAGUUAUUUCUAAGGGGGCUAGUAAUAAUUAUAUCGAGUUUUUCAAGAACAAUGGUCAUUUCACCCUUUAAAAAUAAACCAAACAUAUUAUUAUGUGAAAAAAAAAUGAUUAGGCCUAACCAAACAUGUUACUAGAUGUUAUGGGUUCCAUAUUCGUAAGAAAUGGGAUGGAUCUUGGGUUUAUAAAUAUGAGUCUUUUAUACUUAUUAAGUAUGUUUUUUAGCUUGCAAAUAUGGACUUAUGAUUUAUAAGCUUACUUAAAUUUUAUUUUCAAAAUUUAAAAUCACACGGGAUUGGGCUUAAGUUCCGACCCGUGACACUAGAGUCAAUGACAACGAUGAAAGAACUAAUAGGGGAGUAAAAAGAGAAAAAGUGGUUGAGUUAAAGAAAAUUAUAAGUGACAAGUUUUUGAAAUUUUGUCAAAUAGUAUUGGGAAAAUUUUAAAACUUUUCAAUAUAAAUUUAUUUAUUUAUUAUUUAAUAAAAGUCAAAUUCUUAAGAUAAUAAAAACAAUAAAUAAUAAAUAUAAAAAGAUAUAUAAACCGAAAAAACUAAAAUGGAAAAUCAAAUCAAAACCAUUUCAAACUUUUCAUAUUUUUCUUUCUUUUAUUCUAAACGGUUUUAUAAAAAAUUUAUAAUUUACAAUAAAUUAAAAAUCAUAUAUUUGAUCAAAUAAUUUAUAACUCCUUUUAAAAAAAAUUACACCCUCACAAUGAAGUGUGACAAGUCAACAAAAAAAAUUUAAUCACAAAAUAUUAAAUAUUAAAUCUAAAUUUAAUUUUUUAUUUUCACAAUAUUUUACGUGUGGACUAAAAUUAUUUUUAUUAUGUUUAUGUUUAAAUAAUCAUAAAUAUAUUAAAAAAAUGAAAAACAUUAAUAGAAAACAGCUGGCCAAAUCUUUCAACAUCUUCAUGGAAAAAAUUAUUGCUGAAUUUUGUUUCCGGAAACUUUCCUUUUGUUUUUUAAUUUUUUGGAAAAUAAGAUUACAAUUAUUUAUUUAGAUUUUAAAUUUCUCAAAACUGCAUUAAUAUUAUUAAUGAUUUGUUUAAAAUGUAUAAAUUCCUUUAUUUUGAAUUGAAAAAAAGAAAAAAGGUGUUUAAAUUAUUUUCAGUGCUGCUAUAUAAUUAGUUUAAGAUUUUAUAUUUUCUGACGUUUUAUUUUUUAUUUCAUUGAUGAGAGCAUUUCACAGGAAUUUGUUAUGUUCUAUAUGGAGAACGAAAACCCUUGAAAACAUCAAACCCCUCCUUUCCCCUAUCCAUUGAAACUGAAAAUACGAGACCAAAUUUUGCCUUCGUUUGUUUGUUCCCCCUCAAUUACUACUAAAAUUUAAGGGAAAAAAGUUUGUGGCAGCUGAGAAUUUCGAAUUUACAGGGAAAAGUGUCCCAACUUGGAACGUCAGAGUUGGGCCAAAUCAUUUUCUAGGAACGUCUGCAGGACUUAAUACUACAAACAUGCAACACAUGUUCAUGUUCAAUAUGGUCUAUUGCAAUGCAUUAGGAACAUGAAGAAAAUCAAACUUGGUUGGUAAGGUUCACAUUUCGGUUGAAUUACGAAACUCUUCUUAGUCGUUCAAGAGACAAAUUACGGCUUCCGUUUCAAUCCUCUGUUUCCUACGUAGAGGCUACCGCUGCUCCUCGAUUCUUCCUUUUCCAGGGAGCCCCCCUUGCGAUUCCUGAGCUUUUGCUAUCAUUGUUGAUGUCUAGACCUUGAAAUCAGGUGUAAACGGUGAUUCGCCGUUCCUCUUUGGGGGCAAAUAGUGCCAAAUAUGUGUAUCCAGCUGGCUGGUGACCCUACAUAGAGAAGAGCCGCAAAGUUUUACUGUUGAACAAGCACUGAAUUCUGUCAAUGGUUUUAUUAGUGACCUUUAGUCAAGCCAGGUGCACUCCAAUUUGUAGGGACAGUACAGUCGCCCUCAAGCACGUAACCAGGAUAGUGAUUGUCCAAAUGUUUGGUGUCUGCAUAGAUUAAGAUUAACAUGAUUUUUAAACUAUAAAAUAUCCGGUGUACGCAUAAUUAAAUAUAAGAUUUGAUAUAUAUAUAUAUAUAUGUAUUUCAUUGGGCUAAAUUAUUUUUCUCUAUAUAAUUGUAUACUAAGUAGGAGUAUAAAUUUGUUUAAAGCCAUCAACUCAUUGAACAAUUUCAUUUUUUUGAUAACAAAUGCCUUUUUAAUUGAUAAGUGCCUCCAACGAUUUAUUUUAUUCAUGCACUAUUUAAUCAAAGAUUUGAGGCAACUGAGGUUAUUUUUUUUUUUUAAAAUCCCCAUAUGAACAAAGUAUAUAUAUUAAAUCAAUUAACUAAGUAACCUUAUUUUUGUUAUUCUUCAUGAUUUGACAAAAUUUAUUACGUAAAAGUCUUACAAAUAAGAAAAGAACAGUUUGCCCGCUGCAAGUGUGAGUAUUAUAAUGUUUGGAAACCUAUUAUUGCUUCUAAGGUACUAUUUAAUGAACUGAAAUAAAUAUUCAGCACUGAGAAAUUAAUUACUGAAUUUUAUUAUGAAAAAGUUAUAUAUUGAAUUUUUGCUAUAAAUAUUUUUGGUAUUCUAUUGAACUUUAAAUACUAAAUACAUGUUUUAAGUACUUUAUAUUAGUAAAAGUUAGUAAAAAGGAAAGAAAAAAUGAAGUUAAUACAAAUAAAAUGACAAAAAUUUCCUCAUUCAAUAAAAUAAAUUGAAUACAUUAAAAUAAGUGGCUUUUAAUUACUUAAGAUUUUCAGCAUUUUAAAAAUCUUCCGUUUAAGUGGUUUAUAAAAGAGUUAUCGGACACACUAAAAAAAAUAAAUUAUUGAAAAUUUUAAUUUCAAUCGUUUAUCAAACAUAGCCCAAGUGCGUCAGAAUUCUUCAAGUCAUUUACCUUUUUCUAUUUUUAUAUUUUUGUGUUCUUCUUUUUAGUUUAUUAGUUCUAGUCUAGAGCAAAGGUAUGAAUAGCAAAUAUGCACGAAAACUGUAAAAUUAUUAUUAUUAUUAUUAAAGCUGCGCCUAAAUUUCUAUUAAACAAAGUGCUAAAAUCAUUUUUCCUUGUCUCAAAACCCCUACUUUUCUUUAUCCUUUUCUAUUAAUUUAUUUAUUUUAAUUUUUAUAUAUGAAACAAGAAAAAAAGUAAAAAGCUAGAGAAUAUAUAAUUAAAAGGCAAUAGACCUACUAUAGCAUAUAUUUAUGAAAACCCAAACAAAAAAAUGAAAACCAAAAAAGAAUGAAAUUUGAAUUUUACCUAUAAAGAAAAAAUUAAAAUGAAAAAGAAAAAUUAGAAAAAAAGAAAAUAUUUUGCUAUCAUAUUUUGCUUGUUUCGCUUUGUUUUAAUCAGAACACACAAUUCAUUCACUUUUUCCUUCAAAAUCCUGAAAAUUAUUAAAUGGGUGCAAGUGAUUUACUCAUCUUUUAUGGUGAUGACUUGAUAUUGAUGUAGUCUCAUAAAUAUCUUUCUUAGAAGUCUCAUAAAACUAAUAUUUAGAUUAAAUGUUUCAAAUCUUGUCUUAUGUAUAAUUCAUGGAAAUAAUUAAUAUGAAAAUUAAACAGAAACCGUGUAUAUAUAUAUAUAUAUAUAUAUAUAUAUGUAUUUUUUUUGAAAAGAUAUAUAUAUAUUUGUAUACUUAAACAUACAUUCUUUUGUGUAUAUAUAUAAACACAAAUAAAAUAAUCUCCAAGGUCUGCAAGGAGAUGAUACUCCAACGAUCAAAACUUGAGAUUCCAACUCAAAUUUUUAGUUUGAAUCUUGAAAUAAGAAAGAUAAGAAAAGAUUACCUCUUAUAUAUAUAUAUAUAUUUCUAAAAAUAAUAAUAAAUACCGGUCUAUACUAUUAUUUCAUGAAAAACCCGCAUAUAGGCAAGUGCAGUAUAUAUUAACAACGUUAAGUAUGGAGAGAAAAUAUAAUAGUGUAUUAUUUUUAGUUUGUUUAUUUUUUCCGAUUAAUUAUUAUCUUGAUUAAUUUGAUUAAACCAUGGAACCAGUUCGAUGCAGGAUUUGGACCUUGAAACGCGGAAUAUUGCUAACCCGUUAAGGAUAUUGAAAAAAUAAAAAUGUAAUAAUAUAAUAAAUCCAAUAAAAUUCUUAUUAAUUACAAAAUUACAAUACAACCUCAAAGAUUAGAAAAAGAAAAUUGUAAUAAAAUACAUAAAAACCAAAAUUUACAGAAAAACUCCAAAAAAAAACUCAAGAAAUACAAUAAAAAUUAAAAAAAAUAAGAAAUAAAAAACAAAACAAAAACAAAAGAGGAUAAAAGAUAAAGAAGGAGUCAAGAUCAUAUUCGAUUCUAAAAUAUCUAAAAAAAUAAAUAAAUAAAAAAAGGAAACUAGAAUCCAAUCUGCUAAGAAAAGGCUCGACUUUCUCGUCCCUUGGUUAUCGGACUGAAGGGGAUAAAAUCCCUCUCCCCCAAUAGUCGCAUCACACAACCACACGUAGCAUAUCCUUGACAUAAGACUUUUUUAAAUUACAAAAUUAUGAAAUUUAAUUAAUUUUAAAUCAUCUUUAAUGACUAUUAAAUAAAAUUUUAAUUAUUUUAUACUCUAAUUCAAUUACAUAUUAAAUUUAUUAAACUUAUUUUCAAUUCAAUUGAAUAUUAACUUUGAGAUAAAUUAAUUAAAUUAUCUUUAUUUAAAAUAAAUUAAUUACCAUUAACUUGUGAAAAAGGUUUACUGAUAAGAAAUGGAUAAAAAUAAAAAAAAAGAAACGAAAAAGGAGAGAAAAAUGAAAAAGAAAAUAAGUGAGGAUAUGUUUAGUAUUUAAAGUAACCAUUGAAUAAAAAUUAGUGACAUAAUAUUUAAAAAAGGUUUCUAAACUAUUUAAAUUAAUUAUUUUAUUACAUUCAAUUAAAUUUGUAUAUUUUUAUUUUGAGUCAAAUGAAUACUUAUAUUUUUGUUUUGAGUCAUGUGACAUUUUGACAAGUGACAAGUGAGCUUAUUUUGACUAGUGACAUUUUGACUAGUGACAUUUUGACUAUUAACGAUUAGACAAUCAUUAGUGAUUAGGGCUUAUUCUUAUUUUUGAAAGAAUCAUUAGAGCUUAUUUGAUUAAAAAAAAAAACUUGACUAAAUAGAAUAGAAAAAGGGAAAGCAUUUGAUGGCUUUUAUUUCUUUCAAAAUAAGAAGGCAGUGUGACCUUUUAUCAACUUUUUAUUUCUUUUAAAAUAAUAAGGCAUUGUGACCUAAAAGCCUCCUUAAUGAGGAGUCAUGAUUUGGUGGUCUAAUAAUUACAGUGUCUUAUUAUUUUAAAAGAAAUAAAAGCCUCAUUAAUGAUGUCACGACUUGGUGACUUAAUAGUGUAUAGAAGCUAUAUAUUGUUAGUGCAUCAAAUAAUUAUUUUUUUAAUUGAAUUAUAUAUAGUUUUAAUAUAUUUAAUACCUAAUUGAAUAUAAUAUAAUUUAAUUUAAAUUUAAUUUUUGAUAAUAAUUAAAGAUAAUUGCAAAACUAGUUUAAUAUUUUAAUUAUAUUUGAAACUAAUUAAAUCUCAUAAUUUUGUAAUUAAAAAUUUCACACAAGAAGACUAAGAAUAGUGAUAAAAUGAGAAAGCAAAAACAAUAACAGAAAUAAAGUAUGAAAAUGGAGAAGCAAAUAAUAAAGGAAAGUACUUGUCUUUUAGUUUAAAAUUGACUUAAUAGUUAAGACUAGUACUUUUUCAAGAGAUAAAUGUACUUCCAACCAAAUCUUAGAGAAAUAAGAAGAUAUUUUGCAAAUUAAUAAAGAUAAAUAUAUUUUCAAUUAAAUUUAAAAAAUCUUUAUAUUUAAAGGUUGGGUAUGUAUGCUUUUGCCCUCCUUUAUAUGAUCGACACCUGGGUCGGUGCAAGAAAUAGCAUCAUUGAUGACCUAAAUAGUCCCUCUAACCGGCUUUUGUCAUUUGAAAGGCACUGGUUUAUGUCGGCGCAGCGAUGCAACAAAUUGUAUUACUACUUCCACGAGACUGAUCAUGAUGAUGUAAAUACGCACCACAUAAUCGCAUUACAAUCGUUAAUCAGAUAUAAAUUUAACUAUUAAUUAAUUUAUUCUAGAAAAAACUAUUAAUUGAACAAUUAUGUAAAUAUACAACUAUUAUAUUAUAAAAAAACAAUUAUGUAAUAAAUUUUAUUUAUUACUUAUUUGAAUAAGAGUAUAUUUUGUAUAACGUUUAAUAACAAUCAUGAAAUUUAAUUAAAAAUAACAUAAAAACAAGUAAAAUUCCGCCAACUGGACUAUGUAUAUAUUUUUCUUCAAAACAUCGAUGCCAGCUACUAUUUUUGACUGCUUAAGUUUUGGCUCUAUAUAUAUAAUCCAAUAUCAUUCGGGGUCAAGCCGCACGUCUUCCGUGUUUGGGCAGCUGGAAACAAAAAGACUAAAAAGACAGCAUCAUGCCAAGAGGUCCUGUACCCCAAACAAGAAUCAACCGAAAUUUGAUAGAAAGAGAACGAAGAUCACAAAUGAAAGUUCUCUGUUCGAAUCUCUUCGCUCUCCUUCCUCCUCACCCAACCAAGGUACAAUCAUCUCUCUCUAUUUAUUUCCAUUAUUUUUCCCCUUUUCGCUGUUACUCUUCAAGGUGAAAUAACGCCAUUGAAUAUUCUUGUAGAUGUCGAUUCAUGAGCUCGUGGAGCGUGCCACCAUUUAUGUGAACCAACUGCAACAACGAACGGAGGAACUCAAGCAAAUGAAAGCGCAGCUAGAAGAGGGGCAGUCGACUGCAACAAGAAUAUCCCCAGUUAUAAAUAUAACAGAUCUCGAUUCUACUAUCCAAGUAAAUUUAGUCGCUGGGACGGAUAUGAAUUUCGCGUUAUGUGACAUUAUCAGUAUCCUUGAGGAAGAAGGAGCGCAAGUUCUAAGUGCAACUUAUCAUAAUGUACGGAAUAAGGUCGUCCUUUCACUUCAUUCUCAGGUAUAUCGUUUUUGAGGGAUUUGGAUUCUCAAACCAGAUCAGAGUUUAGUUUACAGUUUCUUUCUUUUUUCUUCAUCUUCCUUUUUCUAUGCCUAACUUAUUCUUUGACAUCAAUCCUCAACUUGCCUGUUUAACCUACGCAAGUGCAGAUUAACUCGAAACGCAGACCAGUAAGAAAAAGCAAGACCUAAUUAAAAACCCCAGAAAUCAAGAAUAAAGAAACUAGAUAAUCAGCGCAAAACCGAUCGAGACACGUUCAGCCCCACCUAGCACGCCUAAACGCAAGAUAAGCAAACCUCACCUUGAAGAGAAGGAUACCAAUAAAAGGGAACAAACCAUUGUAUACAGCAGCCCUGACAGCAACCAAGAGAGCCUAACAAACCAAGUAACACAAACAAUCGGAGGUCAACCAAAAGGAGGAUACUGAACUUACUUAACUGCCAAAGAAUUAAAGCUUUAAUCCAAAUUGGAAAUUUGGAAUUAUUACAUCAAUUUUUGUCUUUUAAGUCAGAUCAUGAAUACUUUAUUUUAUUAUAGUAUUCAUCAAAUGCUUCAUCACAAACUAUAUAGCAUGCAAUAUGCAGGCCUUUGGAGCUGAUAUUUGCGUUGUUGGUGUUUUGCAGGCUGCAUAUUCAAGAAUUGGCAUUCAGAAUUCCAGAGUGCGUGACAGAUUGAAGAGAUUGCAGAUUUCUUGAAAGAGCUUGGACCUUCCUACUGCUUGUUGCUGUUGUACGUGCGUGUUGUUGUUGCAGUAUUUUCUGCCAAUAAUAUUAAACUCUACUGCAAAUUAAAGAUGUAUGUGUAAGCUAGGUGUUGUAGUAUUUUCAGCUACGAAAACAAUUCUCAUUUUCAAUGUGUUGGAAUUUCGAAAGUUCUUUUGGAGUAAUAUGUUACUAAUCAUUUGAUUUUCCUCAUCGUGGUUUGUUAACCUUUUUAUAUUUAUAUACUCGGAGUGAGUUGGUUAACUAGCUAUUUAUUAUGUAUCCGAUAAGAUUAAUUACAAAAUUGAAUAUUAAUUUUCCAAAGGUCUAUCUAUAUACACAAAUAAAUCAUCAACUUUAUUGAGUAUUAUCUUUUUAUGCAUAUUUGAUGAGGUUGUCCAAGAAGGGAAUCUUUUAGUUAACAAUUAUUAGGCCAAUAAUCUAAGUUCAAGUUCAACUAUAUAUUUGACAUUUGUUCUAGGAUUUUUUUCUCAAUAUAUUUGUUUUGUUUUAGGAUUAUUAUCCUAUAUAUUAUUAUCCUAUAUAUAUAUAUAUAUAUAUAAAUGUUGAAUUCUCACCAAAACUUGUUGUUGAAAAUCUCAAGUACUCAUGAUACCAAUUUGAUUGAAAGGAACUUGGAACAAUGUAAAUGUCAAUGAUAAACUUGUUGACUCCAUAUAUUUUUGAUGAUAACAAAGCGUUCCUCUUUCAUUAAUGUAUAAUUAUAUUAUUUAAGUGUAUAGGACAAAGUUUAAUUCCUUUAAUAAAAUUGUUGAUUGAAAGCAAGUCAAAAAGCUUGUUAUGUUACAAAAAUGGUUAAUUAGUUAAAAGAGCAAAGGACAAAAGGUUAAGUGAAAUUAGAAUAAUGUCAUCUGGUUAACAUAGAGCCUUAAUCAGUUAAGGUUAUUCAAGGUGCUACAUCAAAGGAAGGAAGAAAAACCUUAAUCAGUUAGCAUAAGGCAUAAUUGAUUAAGAAUAUACUAGGUGCAAACUAUAAGCUUUUUAAUCAAUUAACCAAAGAAGUUAAUUAGCUAAAGGUCAAGCUUGAAGUAUCAAGAAGCACCAAAUCCAAUUUAAAAUGUAGAUGAUUGUCCAAAGGUGCCAAACUAAGAAAUUCAAAGUUGAAGAAUUCUUAAUUCAUUGGAGCCUAUUUCAAUCAGUUAACGUUGAAGGGAGAUAAGCUUCAAUCAGUUAAAAAGAGCAUUAAUCAGUUCAAAGAAAGUUGGUGAAGAAUGCUGCUUGAAAAUAGAAAGUUUCUAAUAAGCUAAAGCAACCGUUAACGGGGUUAAUACAAAGAAGUGGACUGCAAGACAGAGAAGGCUUAAUCGGUUAAAGCCUAUCUUUGACUGACAAAUGAGCAUUGCUAGUAGAUUUGAAUUUAAAUAUUAAAAGACAAAAUAACAGAUAGUAACAGCUAGAAACUAACAAAAUAACAGAUAGUAACAGCUAGAAACUAUCUCUAAUGGCCAAAAUGUAUCUCUUAAGUAUUUGAAGGCUCUUCAAUGGUCAUAAAUGCAUAAGAGAAGAUACCAAAAGUUUGUGAAAGCUUGAAGAGCAAAAAGCCUUUUCUUCUACACUUGUAUUCCGUUCUUAUCCUUGUAAAAGUGUUUAAGCUUGAAUUUGUACUUCUUAGAUCAGCUAGGUGUUUAUUUGUACAUCAUUUUUCUCUUAUUUUCUUGUUUGAUUAGAGUGUGUGAGGGACUCUAAGGGUUGUUGUAAAGGUUUAAAGCUUGGGUUAUAAGCUCACUUUAAAAAAACUUGGUGGAAGUUGCUGAUUCCAUUAGUUUUAGUAAAGUUGGAUUAAAAAUCUUUGAUUAGGAAGAUCAAAGUAGUGGAUGUAGGUCAAGUGGAUCGAAUCACUAUAAAUAUUAUGUUUUUUCCACUUCUCUUAACCUCUCUGUGCUUAAUGUUCACUAACCUCAACAAGAUCUUAAAUCAUCAAUCUCAAAAUCUUCCAAACGGUUUUAACUUCCAAGAGUUACCUUCAAUAUUUUUAAAAGUGCUAUUCACUCCCCCUUUAACACUCUUUUGGGGACCAACAAAUGGUAUUAGAGCCAAACCCUUGAAUUUAAGGCUUAAUAUCUUUAGGGGAAGAUCCAAUGGCUAAACAAAAUUCUAAUGUGGCAGAAGGGCAAUCCAUAAAUAGGCCUCCUCUAUUUGAUGGAUCAAAUUACCCAUAUUGGAGCACUAAAAUAUCCAUCUUUAUUAAAGCCAUUGACUAUGAAAUGUGGGAUGUAAUCACAAAUGGUCCUUUGAUAUCCCCACCGACACAAACUUGAUCACGAGUGAAAAAAUGCUUAAAUCUAGAAAAGAGUGGACUGAAGCCGAAAUGAGAAAAGUCCAAGUCAACUUCAAAGCUAUCAACAUUCUUCAUUCUGCCUUAACCCCUAUAGAAUUCAAAAAAAUUUCUAAUUGUACCACGACUAAGGAAAUUUGGGAAAAACUUAGUGUUAGCUGUAUUCUUGUUGUGAAAUGACAAAAUUGAUUGACUUAAUGAGUUUUGAAAAUGAAUGAAAAAUAUUUGAAGGUUUUAUUUAAAUCGAUGCACUUUUGUUAGAAACAAUGCAAUUGAUAUAUCAAAAACCAAAUCCAAUGCUAUGUUGUCAUUCAAACUAUUUAAAAAUAUUUGGGAGUUUCCAACUUUCAACAUUCAACCCAAUCACAUUAUAGUUCUUAAACAUCCCUACUCUAUACUAUAUGUACACAUAUGUAUAAGUAUUUAUGUGUGUGUGUGUGUGUAUAUAUAUAUAUAUUCAGACAUGCAUCAAAAACAUUUAGCUCACUUUUAAGAAUAGUCAACAUGGUCCGGUACAUAUAGCCACCGACCUCGAACAAGUCAUGUGCACUCCCACACCACACACCACCAUUAUCGUCAUGUGCACUCCCAUACUGCACACACAAGGUUAUAGAUGUCAUUUGACCAUAUCUCAUAAUCCAUAGCAUACAUAACAAGAUGUACAUAAGAAUAUUUUCAUAUUACUAUGUUCCUCAUAGUUCAUUAUUUUAGGCCAUAUACACCGUUACACAAUCCAAUUUCUAAGGAACAUAAUAUCAACUAUCAUGCCACUAGUUACAACAUCUAAGAUUCUCAACAUAUCAGAUGCCAUAAUUUACAUAGCAAUUCAAUAUAAUAAUUGAUACAAAAUUUUAAUCACAUUACACAUUUUGCAACAUAUGGAUAUCAUUCAUUAAAGGCUUGUUCCCAUGUAUAAUUUUUAAAAUGCUCAAAUAAUUAAUUUCAAGUAUUUCAUUCAAACACAUGCAUUUUCUUUUUUCAAAACAUUUUUAUAUGCAAGUUCACUCACCUUUUUUAUGCCACUUUGCCAAACUAACACCACUAAGACCUAAAUCCAAGUUGAGUCUUGAAGUACCAAUAGAACCUAUAAUUACCAAUAAACAAUAAUAACCUCAAAUAUAUCAUAAAUUUGAACUUAGUAAUUCUAAUAAAUAUACACUAGAUAAACUACAUUUUGACUUAACAUUUAACCUAGAAUUCUAGUCUAAUUCACAAACCCGUUAAACUAACUAUUCAAAUUUAAGGUUUCUUACCUUAGUGAGCUUAGGGGUGUAAAAAUCAACAAAACCUAAUAUUUUCAAGAAAAAGAAAAAUUAAAAAAUAAAUUUUGAAAAUACAAACCCAUAAAUUUUAAAAUUUAAAAGUUGAAAAUUUAUACCUACUAGCUUUAAAAAUGAAGAUUUGAAGCUAAAAGCUUAGUGUUAAUAAGGUGGAGUAUAAAUGGAAAAUGAAGAAAAGAAAGAGAAAUUUCUUUCUCUCUCCUAAGGUUCUGUUGACAAGAACAAUGGGGUUGAGAGCUGCUAGUUUAGCGAACAAGAAAGAAGUAGAAGAAUGAAGAACCAAGAAAAGAAAUGAAAAGAAAAAGAAAAAAAAAUUGAUUUUCUUGUGAAAAGGAAGGUGGUCUUGGGUUAAAGAAGAAAACAAGGAAACCAUGUCUUUUUGGGGGAAUGAUGGUUGGCCACUAAGGAACAAAAGAAAGGAAAAAAAUGGUGAACAUAGUUGUUAUAUCGAGAUACGUAUCAUGUAUCGAAGUCUUAUUUUUUAGUAUCGAGUAUCGUAUCGUAUCGUAAGAAACGGUAAAAAAUUUUAAAAAUUAAUUAUAAAUAAUAUUUAUACAUAUAAAAUAAAAAAAUUAAAAAAAAUUAUAAUUUUUAACAUAAUAGAAGAUUAUAGGAUGCAAAUUGAAAAGAUGAAUUUUUUUUAAUUUAAAGUUUUAACAUAUUCCUUAAUAAUAUACAUUUUUAAAUAAAAUAUAUAUUUUUUUAUAUUAAUUUAUUAAUUAAAAAAUAAAAAACAUUUAUCAUGUUAAAAUUAAAAGGAAAUUCAAAUUUUUAGCAUUUUUAUUUAAAAUCUAAAUAUUGAAACUCAUAAAAUAUAAUUUUUUAUGUUUCAACUCCAACAAAUAAUAAAAAAAUAAAAUUUUUAAUAAUUAAUUAGAAUUAAGUUUAUAAAAAAUUGUAUCAACUGUAUCAUAUGAUACACCUCCAUAUCGUAGGGUACGUAUUGCAAAUCGUAUGAUAUGCUUUCGAUACUUGAUCAAAUGAGAUAUAACUAAGAUAGAUACGUAUCAUUUUUUACUAGUAUCGUGGCAUAUUGUACGAUAUGUAUCACAUAUCGCAUGAUAAUGAUAAUUAUAGUGCUGAAAGCAUUCAAAAGAAGCUUUGAUCAAGUCAACAAAGAAUAAAAGUGAAGGGUCAUAAUAAUCUCGUUUUGCACAUUACUUUAUUCAUUUUGUUUUAUUUUAUAUUUAUAUUUUUUUCUAUUAUGCUUCCUAAUUGAACUUAUUAAAUUUAAAAGGUAGAUUUCAAAGAAAAUAAUUAGAUUUGGUUGGGAAAAUGUUAUGUUAAAACUCAUAAAAGAAAAGGCAAUUUUACUCUUUUUGUCCAAACAACCUUUUUUUUAGUUUUCAAAUAACUUUAAAUAGUAACGGGGUGAAUUUCCAAAAACAUAAACUUUGAAUUUUUUUUUUGGUUUAAAAUGUUUGAUUUAUGCUCACUAAAGGAAAUGACGAAAUUACCCUCAAUCCACAUCAUUGUUCCUGCAUUGAGUUACGCGUCUAUAAAAGUCAGGGUUUCACAUUUGUUAGUUAAUUAAUUUUCUAGUUAAAACUUGCUUUUAGUUCUUAGUCUUGGUUUUGUUAAUUCUUCUAUUAACUAAUCACUUAGUUUCAAUUGUUGAGUAAGAUUGGAUUGUGUUAAUUUUAGUAUUUAGCAAAAAUUAGUAUGAUUCUUUGUGGGAUUCGACACUCUACUUACUGUUAUAUUACUUUUUACGAUACGUGCACUUGUAUGGUAAAAUCGGCAACAACAUCCACCCUAGCAUACAUAUAGUCAUCAUAUCAUCUGGUACAUGGCACUAUUUCAUAUACUAUUUAUGCUUGUACUAUACUUUUCAUGUGUUUACGACAUGCUUAUUUUUAAACACUAAAGUGGGAAAAUCAUAUAUCCACUAUAACAUUCAUUAUUUCAUACAUCAAACUCAUUCACUAGCAUAUCUUGUUGGAUCAUUUUGAAGCAAAAUAUUUGAAAGGGCUUGUCCCUCAUUGAUAAAAGCUACUGCAUAAUAGAGAUAUUUAUAUGAGUAUAUAGAUUCUAAAACUUCUUUGAAAUCUUUUAAACUUAAACAAUUUGAUUUAUUAUUGUAAAUAUAGCAUUCAAAUCAUGCAAGAUAAACAAUUCGAUAAAUCAUGGUUAGCUUUACAUACUAAAAUACUUUAAAAAAGUGUAUCAGCUCAUCUUGACAAGAAACGUAUUGUUCUAAGCCUCGAUUUGCCAAACGUUGCUCGAUCUACAAUCCUCAAGCUCUAAUGAGGCCUAAUAUAAUAAAGUCCAUUGUAAGUUUCCUAGUUUUCUCUUAAACAUAGUUAUUCGAAACAUAUCAAGUAACGAAUAUCCUUUUAUUUAAUUCUAAUAAGCUUAAAACUUCAAACUUAAGGCAUUUAUUGCUCACCUAUGAGAAUCCUUACUGUAGUAACUCCUUUAGAAGGUAAAACCCCUAAAAAUCCAUAGCUCAAAAGAGGGUAUGUUGUUGAAAUUUGAAAGAGAGAAAGUUAGCCUAAACCCAUGGGUUUUAAAGCUUAAAUAAGCGAAAUCUUACCUUAGAUUCACACUUGGAAGCUUAAUCCUAGCCAAAAAUGGAGUGGGGUUAGAGGGGAAGGGUUGGGAGAACGAGAGGAAAUGAAAGAAGGCUAAAAGAGAAUGAUAUGAACAAGUGAGGCUCAAAUCAGGUCUUUUAUUGUUUUCCCUGUUGGGCUUUAGGGAUCAACCUUUUAAUCCCAAGGGUCAACCCCUAGGUUUUAUUUUUUUUCCCUGUGAGGUUGCAGGGAUUGACCUUUUAAACCUUGGGGGUUGAGGCUUAAGUUCCUGAAUGCCUUAGUUCGUGUUUUGUGAUAUAGGGAUCGACCUUUCUUCCUACAAGAGUUGAUCCCCAAGUUCCAAAAGCCAAAAGCAAGCCUUGAACCUCUAGGGAUCAACCGUUCCUACCUUAACUCUCAAAAACAGAUCCUUUUGGUUUCCUUUCUCUUCCACUUUUCCAAUAUUAAUUCCUCAAUAAUCAACACAUUAUAUAAGGAGAAAAUUAAGAGCAUUGGGCUGUGAAAUUCAUCCAACCGCUCAUGUAUAAAAUGGCUCAUCAAAAUUCUUGGAAAACUAUCAAGUUGAGGUUUCACAGUUUAUGCUCCUUAAUUUAUCAUAUCAAAUUAUGGGAUUUAGUACUUCACUUGAUAUAGUACUUUUAAUUUAUAAAUAUAUUGAGCUUUCAAGCAUAUCAAACCAAUUGUAUAACUAGAAUCCUUUCAAAACCUCAAUCCUUUGUUUAUUACUUCUAUAUUGAGCAUAAUAAAGCAAUCACAUUUUUGUCUUUAAAAAAACCCCCAAAAUUUCAUUUUAAUAUUGAUUAACGACAUGUCAGUUUUUAUCAACCCACUUCAGUUUGAGAAUUCCAUAUCAGCCUAGUCAAUGCAAAACGAGCACUAGUUUAUGACAUAUUAACAGGAUCAACUUUACGUUAACCUUAUCAAUGUCACGUGAAUGCCACAUCAACAAUUUUAGGAAAGAAAACUUAACAGUAUUAACGAUUGAAGUGCAUUAAUAAAUUUUAAAAAUAUAAAGUCUCGAUUUAUAUGUAUAUAAUAAAAGAACUAAAUUCAACUUUUUGAUAAGAUACAGAAACUAAAUCCAGAAUUUGACCUUAAACUUUUAAAAACUAAAUGCUCUUCCGCAAGCUACAUACAUGCAAACAUCUUUAAUUUGCAGUACCUUCAAGAAAUCAGAUCCUGCAAUCUCUCCUGCACUCUUGAUGUCGCAAUGCCAAUUCUAGAAUUAAUAGCCUGAGAAAAGAUCGAUAGGCAAGAAGGGAGAAGUUAGAAACAAUAGAACGACUGACUUAAUUAUCUGAAAUAUAAAUCUUGUAUUCAUAGAGUUUAAUUUAUGAUAUGUAUUUCGCAAGUGGUGACCUUUACCCGCUCAAUCAAAUGCUCUGGGCAAAGUUACUCUUGUCAUGAUUAUUUGUUUCGUUUUGUCGUCGAUAUGAAGAUGUAUAAGGGAAGGGGAAAUUUGAACCUUAAACUUUAAUUAUUUUAAAGAAAGUAAUAACAGAUAGAUCAAGCCUAAGUUGUUAUUCAUUAUUUCUUUGGAGCUAGAUAAGUUUCUACUUUGAAGGUAUAGAGUGAAAGGAAAAAGUCGAGUAUGGUUUUAUUCUGACCAACUUGUUCAAAGUUUUGAACAAUCUUAAAAAACACCUGCACUACAAGAAUAAGUUGGUCAAAUUGAGUAGUGUUUUGACAUUAAUCAUUGCUAUGGCGUAUUGAAUCGGAAAAAUAAGAAUGCUUGAAAAAUAUACCCGGCAACAAAUUGAAUAGAUGGUCCUGUCUCCUGCAUUAUGGUUUGCAGCAACCGUUUUAACUUCUGCUCCUUCUUCCAUGAGAACUUUUAUAAUGUCGCUUAAUUUGAACUUCCCAUCCCACCCUGUAAUUAAAUUUACUUCCAGAGUAGAAUCCAAAUCUGAUAUAUUUAUAACUGGGGAUAUAGUUGGUCCGCUUGUCGUUUCAGUUGCUCCUUUGCACUCCUGUAGUUGCAACUUCAUUUGCUUGAGUUCUUCCACUCGUUUCCGCAGCUGGUUUAUGUACAGGGUGGCUUGCUCCAACACAUCGUGAGUCGACAUCUAGAAGAAUAUUAAUCCAAUCAAAUCAAAGUUAAAUCAGAUGUAAUACAAUCAGAGAGAGAUUUGGGAGACAACGGAUGCAGAAGAUGAAAAGCACCUUCCUUGGUUGAGGAGGAAGGAGAGAAGAGAGCUGCGAAUAGAGAUUUCUCAAACGCAUUCUUCGUUCUUUCUCAACUAAAGUUCAAUUGAUUUUUGAUGACGACGACCCACUGGCAGCUCCAGUAUCCAUGGCUUGUUAUUUCCUUCCAAAAUUUUCAAUUAUUAUCGAUGUGCUCAAGGAAAAAAAGGCGCAAGGCUGAAGGGUGAAGCACAUGAUACUGAGGACAUUUAAAUAGGCAAACUCAAACUUUCUCUUGCCAACCUUUAGGGUAACGAAAAGAAAGGACAAAACACUUCUGAUCAAUCAAACGACGAAAAACGUGAAGAGACUGAAAAGGAACAGUGGCUCAACAUCGUACAUCUCACCUUCUCUUUCCAGGUCAGACUCGUCAUUAAUUUCCAAAGUCUCCCCCUAAGCUGAGCCGCACAUUCAACAGCCUUUUUCUUCAAUGCCUACUUAGGAAUUAGGCCUAUUGUUUUGUAGGUUGAAUAUUCCGGAUUCCUUGUUCAGGUUUCCAUAAACAAUAAAAAGGGAAAAACGAAUUCUUCACCUAGAUUAGUUUCUUUUUCGGCCAUGCUUAACCCAGAUUAUAUUUUGCAAAAAAAAAAAAAAAAACCCUAAAUCAGAAAAAAUUAAGGUAAAAUUCAUACUAGAAAUUAAUUUUACAUGAAUUUAUUGCAAUAAAAAGAGCAAGUAGAAAAAUAGAGCAACAGGUGGCAAAGAACAAGAGAACAUCAGUGGAAGAGAAUUAAAUAGGGAGGUUGUUGACUCUCAGCAGCCUUUUUAGUAAGCGAAUUUGCAAGACCCUUAUGAGUUCCCACUCGCAACGUGAGUGAAGGACACAUGCCUCCUGUGCUCGUUCGACUGGAAUGAAAUUCUCUCAACAACUUACUUUAAUACUAGUACUAUCUUAUUAAUCUGUAAUUUCUAAUUUAUAGGCAACUCUCGUUACUAUGAGUAUUUCAAUUUUAAAACAGUUGAUUAAGCAUUAUUCAAAUAUAUAUUAAUAUAUAGGUAUACGAAUAUGAUUUUUUUUUCUCAGUCAAUAUAAUGACUUUUUAUUGAACUUGAAAGCAAGUCAUAUUUGCUGGGCAAGCCAGUACAUAGUCCAAAUGGACUUAUACAGAUCCCACUCCUUAGAAGAUUAAAAAGACUUUCAAUACAAAAUUCCAACAUACCAACAUCAACUGAGCAGUUGACACCUGAUCCAUAACAUAAUAAAUCAUCAGCUCUACCAAUCAAAAGGGCCAAGCUUAACAGAAAUCAGCACUGGCAGUAGCUCCCAUAAGCACACCUUCCAAACCGAAUAGUAAGGGCAAGAUGAAUAUUACAGCUAUAUCAAUACAUUUUCUACUACCAUGCAUGAAACAUAUCGCCACGGUCAACACGAAACCCUGUCAAAGAGUCAGCCAAUGUGUUGGCCUCUCUAAAUAUGUGGUCGAAAGAAAUAUUUCCAACCACCCUACAUAGGCUAUCCAACUCAUUAAAAGUUCAUCAUAGGCUCCAUGGGCGAAGUUUGGUGUCACUCACCCAUAAAAUAUAUAGCUACUUUCGAAUCAGAUUCAACAAUGAGCUUCUCAACUCCCAUCCACGGUGUAGCUGCAAAAAGUUUAACCGCAUAAAAGAUGGCCAUUACCUCAACAGAGUUGGAAUCAUGCACUCUCAAUGGACCAUAAAAAACACCUCUUACAUGAUCAUUAGAAUGUCUAAGCACCCAUGCACAUCCGGCUAGGUCGGGACGGUUUACCAUGAACCUAUCCAUUGACGUUGAAUUUAAACUCUAACGGAUCCAACGGAACCCAAGUGAUACCCAAUCUAGGCUCUCUAUGCACUACCUUCGGGUUAAGCUUCCAUGGCUCAGCCCACCAUCCAACACUCACCGCCCAUCACCCAUUCUCCUCAAUCUCCCUACCACCGUGACUGACCAUAAUCCACAACAUAGAGCUCAUUUUUAUGAGGAAGAUAAGUUCGUCCCCAUCCCAAUUUUUUCCCAUUGAAUAUAGUUUGGUUACAUGCCAACCAUAAUGACCAAAAAGUUGAGCCACACACUGCCAUCCACUGAGAUUUCAUUCCCCCAUCAACUCUAUGGCCAUCCCAAGACCGAAUGAUCCCCUCCACCGUAUGUGGCAUCACCCACACUAAAUCCCACCACCUUAAAACUAAGCACCACACCUGCCAACUAUAGUCACAUUAGCAUAAGAGAUGUCACAAGUUUCUCCCACUAGGCCACACUAACAAAACAUACAAGUAUCAUCUGUAAAGGGCACCCCACACAACCUAAGAAAACUCUUUGUGGAAUAGCUAAGCAUAGAAAACCUUGUACUUUGGGCGGAAUAGAUAACCUCCAAAUGUCUUUAAACCACACUUCUUGUUCACCUUGUGCAUGAAAAUUAUCAAGGGCUUGGGAAAUUGUUUCACUGAGAAAUUCUCUUUAUUGUCAUGUGUCCAUAUCAACCUAUCAUCAACAGCAUUUUGAGGAGCUCUUCAUACAGAGGAGUAUCCUGGUCAUACAGUGUCCUCCGAAGGGUUAAGUGCUAUCUACCGAUUGACCAAUACUCACAAACCCAGCCUUCCUUAUCUGCGGCUAAAGCAUAUAGUCUUGGGAAUGUUACAUUUAAUGGGUCCGCCAAAAGUGAUCUGUUAAGCCAGAAGAAAACCCCUUUACCACAACCAAUCACCAAUCUACAACUCCAAUUAGAUUAUCAAUCCCUUCUUUAUUUACAAGUUUGUCUAUUUGUCUCCACACUGUAGACGUCUUUGCCAUAUUAGCGAAAGGACCGAACUUACUUGACUUUAUCCUCACCAUAUAUAUCCACCAAUAACCGCCUCCACAACGCAUUGCCCUCUACUCCAUAUCUACAACACCAUUUCCCCACGCCAAGUUUGUAUAUGAUAAGUUGGCAAUACCCAACCCACCUUUGGCCUUUGGUUUACACACCACUUGCUAUUUAACUUUGGCCAUUUUUCUCCUUUCUGAGCAACCACCUCAUAAAAAAUUACUUUGUAACUAAUCAAGCUUAGUCAACACACCUUGUGGAGCUUGAAAAAUGAAGAGGUAAUAAACUGGGAAGGAAUUAAGUACUGAGUUGAUGACUGUUAUACGCCCCUUGAAAAAUAGAUACUUUCCUUACCAAAGUGCCAAACAAUUCUGAAAAUUGCCAAUAACUGGUUCCCAUGUACUCUUACUCCUCUAGUUUGCCCUUAGUGGAAUACCAAGAUAAAUAAAAAGGACAGAACCCAUAUUACAAUAUAGUGUAUUAGCCAUUGCUAAACACAAUUGAGACUCUUGUCUCAUCCGGUAAAGAAAUGAUUUCGUGAAAUUAAUGUGUAAUCCCGAGGCUAGUUGUAAGCAACGUAACUCCUCAAAUUCAAUGCUUCUUAUAAACCUUCCUUCACAAACAAAAUCGUAUCAUCAGUAAAUUACAAGUGGGAAAUCCUCAUACCAGAAUCUAUUAUUGGGAUGCCUUUAAACAAAUUAAUAAACUCUGCUUGCACAAUGAGAAGAUAUAUAAUGCCUCAACCACCAUCAAGAAAAGGAAAGGCAAUAUAAUUUCUCCUUGACGAAGUCCUCGCCUCAUAGGAAAUUCCUUUGUUACCGAUCCAUUAACUAGAACUCCCACCCGCACUAUAGAUAAACACUCAAACAUCAAACCCCUCCAUUUCACUCCAAAAUCUAUAUGUUCCAUUAUUCUUAUCAAGAAUCCCCAAUCCAUAGAAUCAUAGGCUUUCCCAAAAUGUAGUUUCAGUACAACUCUCCCAUUGCUACCAAUCCUCUUUCACAUAUUAUGAUAAUCUCAUUUGCUUAGAGGAUUCCAUCCAUUAUCUAGCACCUAUUAAUGAAUGCACAUUGGCUGUAACUAAUCACAUUCCCAAUCAUUUUUUGAUCCUAUUUGCUAGAAUCUUGGCAAUUAUCUUGUACAGUGAGUUCACCAAACUAAUAGGUCUAAAGUCUUUAGGAGAAAUGGGAUUAUCAAUAUGUGGAAUAAUAGCAAUAAACGAUGAGUUAAGACCCUUUUCCAAGCGCCCAUGGUCAUAAAUUCAGAAACAAACUCAAAUACCUCUCCACUUGUGAUAUUCUAGGGCCUCUUAAAGAAAGUGAAGUUAAAACUGUCUGAACUCGGAGCUUUAGACCCAUCACAAUCCCAUACCGUUUUCAACAGCUCAAUCAUAAUUAUCGACCUCUGCAAUUCUAAAACAUCCCUCUUAUCAAGGCAUUUAAAUUGUAGACACUGAAACAUCAGUUGGCUCAUUUGCUCGUUGUAGAACAUAUUUUGAAAACACUCCACCGUAGCCUCUCUAAUUGCCUUAGGCUCUAAUAUCCACCUUUAAUCCAUCAUCAAUCCACCAAAAAAAUUCCUUCUUAAUCUAUCUUUCACCUUAGAUUGGAAGAAUUUGGUAUUUCUAUCACCCUCCUUCAACCAACGCAAGCAAGAUUUUUGUUUCCAUAAUGACUCUCUGCGCCUCACUGCUUGCCAUAAAUUUUACACCACCACUUCCUUUUCAGCAACUUUUUCGUUUAUUAGGUCACGGUUGUCUCCAAUUUUAUCAAAAUAGUCAAGCUUGUCUUGGAAUUAUGCAUAGACAUUUCUGAAAAUGUCCCUAUUCCAUUGUUUUAUGCAGCCUUUAAGUCUAUUAAGUCUCACCUUUAUUCGGAAGCUUGGUCUCCCUUCCACCUUUGUAGAUUGCCAUUUUCUAUCAACAAUUUCCACAAAAUCUUUAGCAACUAGCCAACAAUCUAUAAAUUUAAAUGGUUGUGGUCCCUACUCAAUAUCUUUUGAAGCUAAAGGAAUAGGACAAUGGUUUGAUAAUUUGUAUUUCAAACCUUGUUACGGCAUAUUUUGAAAAAGUAACUGCCAAUCCACAAAUAGAAAGAGUCAAUUAAGCUUGCUUCUAUUUGAAUCUAGCCCAUACCAUGUGAUAACCUACCAUAUAGAGUUAUUUAAAUUUAAUUUUGAUAGUAAUUUAGCUUAGUUCUUAUAGUAAUACAUAUAAAUUAGUAGGUUUUAUCUAAUUAUUUUAAGUUAAUUAUUUAGGUGAGUCAAUCUAAUCUUACUUAAUUUUAGGCUUAAAUUGGUGUUAAUGUGCAUAAGAUACGUUGUUAUUGAUUUAGUGGUGCUUUUGUAGGUGUUUAUUGAAGGAAGACUUUUCAACGAAAGAAGGAAAGCAAUUUUGAGGUGUAGACUUUUCACUGCAUAUGUCUUGGUGUUUUGACCAUGACUUUCUCUAUAGAAAUUCAAAUGAGGUGAUUCUUAAAAUAUUGAAAAGCUAAGAGCUAAAGUUACAACUUUCAUGUUUAUCACUCUACCCCAUUCGACCUGGAAGGUGGUCAAAAAUCUUGUCAAAGGUGAAAUACUGUAGCAGUCCUAGCGUAAUCACGAUUUUUACUAAUUAAAUGGUUGAAGCUAUGGCCUUGGAGGAGGUAGGCCAUGGCUUAUGUAGUCUGAUGAGAAAAUUCUGAUUAAAUUGAUUUCUUUCUUCACCAAACUUGACCCAACUUCAAAGCCUUAUAAAAACAAUAUUUCGGAGAACCUUUAGAGAACGAAACACCAGAUUUAGAGUUGAGAAUUAGCCACAAAAUCAUUGAAAAAAGUAUCAUUGAAGCUGAGGAGAAAUCAAAGAGAUACAAGAAGAUUUGGAGAUAAAGAUUACAUUUAUUUGGUUCUUUUAUCUUUUUAUUGUUCUUUUAUUUUCUUGUUUUUGGUUUUGAUGAUUAAACUUUAUUUGAUAAUGAUGUGUGACUUGAUGGGGAACUAAAUUAUUUAUCUAAAAUUAUGAUUAAACUCAAUACAUAGUCUGAUUUAUUUACCUCUCUUUUACUUAUAUUUGAUGGUUUUAAGUUAUUUAUUUUAUUAUGUUCUUAAUACUUCUAAUUGCUUGAUCACUAAUUAGAUUGAUUUAGAAAUCUAAAUUAAAUCUUGAUAAAGGAGAUUUAGGUAGACCUAGAAUAGAAUAACGUAUGAUCAAAUGCACUUAGUUGAUUAAGUGGUUUAAUUUUCAUAUAGGGUAGACAUACACCUAUAAGUGAUAAUUCUAUUUUAUAGAAUUAUUUUAUUCUAAUUUUGUUAUUAAAUGUUAGCUAAGUCCUCAAUUUUCAAUUAUAAUUUACUUAUUUUUUAUUCUUUUAAUAAUUAGGUUACUUUUAAGUUAGUUAUUUUAAUUUUAUGAUAUUUCUUAUAAUUUGUUUAUUAUUUAUUAGUUUUUAUAUUUUUUGUAGAAUUAAAAGUGAUUGGGCUUAAUUUUGAAAAGUAAAGUGUUGAAAGACCUAGAAUUUACUUGCAUAUGCUUCAGUAUUUUGAUCAUAUCUCGAGCUACAGAAUUCCAAAUGAUGCGAUUCUUAGACCAUUGAAAAGCUAAGAGACAGAGAUACAACUUUCAUAAAGAUUACUUUGCUCAGUUCUGCAUCGAAGAUAGAGAAAAUUGUGUCGGAAAAUAGCUAGAUAUAUUGUGUCGGGAAUGGAAAUUUGUAAAGAUUGAUAAUUGAUUUUUGGGCCUCUCAUUACACUUUUAAGUCCAAUUAAACCCUAGGUCAGUAUAAAGAACUUUGGUUAAGCUUAUUAGUAUAAAUAGGAUAUGUUAACAACAAUAGAAAAAAAAAAAACCUUUGGAGAUUCAAGAAGCUAGAAGUUGAGGUUGAAACUUGGAGAUCAAGGCGGCAAAUAUUGUUUUGUUUUCUUCCUUGGCUUUUACUGUUCUUGUUCCUUUCAAUGGUUGAAUUUAUUAUAAUGUUAUUUGUUUUUGCAAUUAUGAGUAGUUAAUUUAUUUUUUCUAGGAUUGCAAUUGAACUCACAUGUAAUCUAAGUUUUUAAUCUCUUUCUUACUUAUUUUUAAUGGGAUUUGAAUUGUUUAUUCCAAUUUGUUCUUAAUGCUUUUAAUUGCUUGGCCACCAAUUAAAUUGAUCUAGGAACCUAAACAAACUUGGGAAAGGGAGUUUAGAGUAGACUAAAAUUGGGAUAGCAUAUGAUCAUUUGCGUAUACGAUAGGGAUAUACCUAUAGGCCAUAUGUAGCUAGAUUAGAGCCUAAACUUAAUGAAUCUGUUUUAAUUUCAAUUCACAUAGGGAUAUAGUGUUUUUGUUAAAAUAUAUAUGUUUAUAAGAUGAGUCGGGAAAUCCUUAUAAAUAAUUUAGGACUCUAGGUUAACAAUUCAACCCAUUGAAAUAAGUUAAAGAAGAGAGGUAAGAUUUAGAUGAAGUGUGAAGGAUAUUAUAAUCCUAGGCUUGUUUGAUUUGAUAUUUUCUUAAGUUAUUAUUAUUUUGAUUUUCUUGUUGGUUUAAAUUUUAGUUAAUUAGUUUAGUUGAUCAAUUAAUUUUGAGUGUUUGAAUAAGAUUAAAUUGUCCUAAUUUUAGUAUUUAGUAAAAUUUUGGAUCAAUUUCCUAUGAGAUCGAUACUUUGCUUCCUUAUAUACUAUCUAUUCGAUACGUAUACUUGCACAGUAGAAUUUUAACUUACAAGUUUUUAGCAUCGUUGACGGGGAAUUGUUUCUAAAAUUUUUACUAAUACUAAUACCAAGCAAAUUUAGUCUUAAUUCAAUUUUUUUAUUUUAUUUUCAGGUACUUUUGAUUGAGGAGAUGAAUUAUUGUAACAAUCAGUGGACAUCUGAACAAUUUAUGCCUUGGAGGGUUGCUAGUGAUUAUGAAUUGGCUAUUAAUGUUCUGGCAACCGAAGUAGAUGCUUUGUCUCAAAAAAUUGAUGCUUGAGGUGUUAAUGGUGUUCAAAGUCCUUUUGUGGUAUGCGGGCUUUGUGGAGAUAGACAUUCAAGUGAUUGUUGUCCAACCUAUUAUGAAUCAAUGCAAUUUGAUGGAAGCUUCAAUGGGCAAUAAAACUGUUAGCUUUAAAAUUAUUAUAUUUUUUAUUAUGACAAAAUGAUCAAAUUUGCUUGAACAUUAUUUGAGUAAUCUUUGACAAUUUCUUGAAAUGAUUUAAUUCCCAUACAUUUGUUCUUACAUAGACACAAGCUUGACUCUAGAAGUUAUUGAACUAUAACUAUAAGCUUGUAUGACUUAGGUGUAUGAGUGCUUGUGAUUCUCAUUCAUUAAAGUUUGAUUUAAAGAUUAAGGAAAAUCUUGAUGCACUCAUUAAGGGGGAGUUUUGAAUAUCUGGUUUAAUGACAAAAAGAAAGAGAAGGAAAACUAAGUUAAAUAGAUUUUAAUAGGUAUUCAUGUUUAAUUUUUGUGUGUAAUGUUUAGUUUUGGUUUUGUUGAAUAUUAUGUAAAGAAAACUAGAUGUAUUGACUAAGGGGGAAUAACUCAUUAUGCAUAAAGAUUUGAAGCAUUUAUAUUGAACAUAGACAUCGCACUAUUAAUCUAGAAGUGUUUUGUCAUCAUCAAAAAUAAGAGAUAGAGAAUGUUGACUCUAUAUAUUUUUGAUGAUAGCAAAAUAUUCCUAUUCAUUUGUGUCUAAUAUCUUUACUUGAGUGUGCAGGAAAAUUAAUAUAAGAAAUUAAUUAUUUAACUCUUCAAAGAGUAUAUCAAAAGAAAAAGAGGGACAAAAAUAACAAGAUGUAACUGUAUAACAAAGAGGAAGCUUAUUGGUGAAACAAGGAAGAAUGUUGGUUGACCAAGUUUCAAAUUGAAAGAAUGACAGGCUGAAGAGUUUGAGAAACAGAACCAACUUAGUCGACCAAGUCAGUCGACUAAGUGCUCUAUGCCAGAAUCUGCAACCUAAAACAGAACCAACUUAGUCGACCAAGUCAGUCGACUAAGAGCUCUUUGUCUGCAAAUUGAACUAGAGCACUACAAGAUAGAUUAAUGGCUAGAACUCAUCCUCAACUGUUUCCAAUGGAUAUAAAACUGUCAAACUGCCAUCAGAGUUGCAUCUCCAAGUAUAAAAGGGUCUUCCAAUAAUUAGAAACUAGUUUUUAGAAGCCUUGAAUGAGAUUUGAGCUAUAGAGAGUUGAAAAAGCAAAAAAUCUUCACUGCACUUGUCUGCACUUAAACGCCUACUCUUUACAUUUGUAUUUGCACUCAAUCUUGUACCAACAAGAUCAACCAGUGAUCAUAGGUACUUUCUUUUUACUACUCUUAUUGUAUUCUUAGAGUGAGGAAGUCACUUUAAGGGGUUGUUCAAGCUUGGGAUAGCUUGAUUGUUGUAGGUUGUGGUUGAGCCUUGGAAAAACCACUUUGGGUUUUAGUUUAGCCCAUGAAAAACUAGUGUAAAAGGUUUUGACUGAGCCUUGAAAAACCAUUGUAAAGUUUGGCGAAACCUUGUGAAUUUCACUAGUUUUUAGUGAAUUUGUUGGGAAAAUCCUUGGUUGGAUAAUCAAGGUAGUGGAUGUAGGUCUUGGACCGAAUCGCUCUAAAUUGCUGUGUAUCUUGUACUCUAUUUUUAUUUUCUUAAGUUCUGAAAAUUAGUUUCUAAUAUUGUUAAGAGCCAAAUUAUGCUAUUCACCCCCCUCUAGCAUAAAUUAUCGGGACCAACAAAAAUAAUUUGUACUCCAACAGUUACAACUCAUGGUGGAAUCACUCAAAUUUUUCAUGGAGUAAUGAUCAGGGUUCUUCAUAUUCAUCGCAACUUGUUUUUCAGCAUGAUUUCCAGUCACAAGUUAAAGCCCCUAUUCUUGAGAAGAAGCUAACUUUGGAGGAUAUGUUAAUGCAAUUCAUGACUUUGAAUGAUGGCAUCAUUCAAAGUCAAGUAGAAUCAAUCCGAAAUCUUGAGACUCAAGUGAGCCAACUUAUCAAUUAUAUCAACAAUAGGCCUCAAGAAAUUUUACCAAAAGAUAUUGAGCCUAAUCCUAAAAGCAAAGAAUAUGGUAAGCAUCUUAAUGAGGUAAAUGGCAAGACUGUGGUAGAUGAUGGAGAUAAAGUAGAUCAAAGUAAUACUUCCAAUGAUCAAGUUCAAGAUGAAAAAAAUUAAGCAAGAGGAGGAAGUUUCUACACCACCACAAGUCAACCAUAUGUGCCUCUCAGUCUUUUUCUAGAUACAGUUGAUGAGUUACGUAAGGAGGCUGUUGAUAUGGAAAAUCCAAAGCAACUCCUUAAAGCUUGAUUGGUUCAAGAUGCAACAACCAAGGACCAGAAUGAGGAACUCAUAAAUGUUACACAUGUUGUGAAAGCUAUACCAAAAGUGCAUUAUGCAAGAAGAACUCAAUUUGAGAAGUUGGGUAAAAGUCAACUUAUUCCACCAUCUUCAGUUGAGCAAGCACCAAAUCUUAAGUUAAAGCCACUACAACCUCAUCUUAGGAGAAGACUACUUUCACACCUCAAACUUUUUCCAUGCAAACUCAAACCUCCUUAAAGGGUGAAUGAAGACCUCAACCAAAGUCAAGCUAGUGACUAUAAAGAAGCGCUUCUUGGGAGCCAACCCAAGCUAUAUCCUUUUAGAUUUAGUUGUUAUUUUAGUUAUUUUUUGUUUUUCUAUGUAAAUAAGUAGUUACAACCUCUCUCUAGCUUAUUUUGUUGUGUAUGCAGAUUUGGAAAGCAUGAAGAUAAGGAGAAAAAAAAUUAGAGCUUUCAAAGCACUGCCACCAUUGAUAAGGGAGUUUAAUUUCCUUAUAUAUAUUUUUUAGCUUUUCACAUUGAGGACAAUGUGCAAUUUAAGUUUGGGGGAAGGUUUUAUUGUUAUUAGUUUUUGUGAUGUUUUUAGGUUAGUUUAUUUUCAUAAUUUUUUUUUUUGUUUUUAGGAUUUAUUUUAGGAAUGCUUGAAAUGGAAAUUGCCUAUGCGAUGACAUUACCAAUCUUAGGAUGAUAUUUUAAUUAUCUUUUGAUUCUUAGCUUUUGGGAGGCAAAUAGUUAUGAUUUAAUUUUAUGUGAUAUUCUUAUGUUAACUGUAUUUUAGAAUGUGACUUCCAAUAAUUUGAGCACUAUACUCUUUUACUUAGAAUUUUUGUGUGAUUUAGAGAAAUUUUAUGUUAAUGAAAAGGUAUAGUGAAGUCAAGAAUUCUAGAAUUUGUUUGAUUCUCUUUGAAGGCGAAAUCUUAGAUAACACUUAGGAUAGAAAGUGAUCUAGGACAUCUUUGGAUUGUUUGAGCCUUUUUGAGCCUACUUUGUUAUAUUUAUCCUUAAUCACCCUUUUUGAGCCUAAUUUACCUUUUCUUUGUAAUUACACAAUUAUGUUAGCCUUAGCCUUUCUAUUUAAAUCCAGCAAUUUGAACCUUUCACCCUCUAAGUAUUUUAAUCUUUUUAAGGAAUGGUUUGAGCUUAAAGAUAAAUUGAGAGAGAAAAGUGAAAGAAAACAAAACAAGAAAAAAAAAGUGAUGGUUAUUAGCAAAAUUACCCCUUGUUUAUAAUUGUCAAAAAUAAGUUUGGGGGUUGAAAAAAAAAAGAAAAGAAAAGAUAUAAAGUGUGUUGUACAAAGGAAAGUUUACUUCAAGUUUAGGGGUGCUAUAAAAAAAAAUUUUGAGCUCUUUAUAUGAUCUAGAUUGAUUAAGUGCUUAGGGUGAAUUUGAGCCUAAAUAUAUCCUUUAUCAUACCUUGACCCUAGCCUUACAUUAAAAGCUUGAUAAAAACCUAUUGAUCCUUGAAUAAGUGUUAAUCUACAUUAAUGGAGAGAGAGAUGAAAAGCAAACUUAUGGGAUCUUAGUACUAAUCUAUGCUUAGAUUUGGCAUAAAUUAAUCUAAAUUGCAUGAUAUUUUUUGUAAGAGAAUAUUCACACACACACACGGGAAGUCCAUUCGAAAAAUAAGUUUUCACUUAAAUUGAUGCAUGAAUUUAAGGAUUAGCUGUAUAUUACCUUAAGUUGGAAUUGGAGUUAAUUUCUAAGGAAAAAUUGAGAAAUUAUGAUUUGGUAUUUCUAUCUCUCAUUUAAGGAUUUUUUUAGGAUUCAGUUUUCUUUUGGUGAUUUUCUUUUACUCGAGGACUAGCAAAAUCUUAAGUUUGGGGGUGUGAUAAUUCUAUUUUAUAGAAUUAUUUUAUUCUAAUUUUGUUAUUAAAUGUUAGCUAAGUUCUCAAUUUUCAAUUAUAAUUUACUUAUUUUUAGUUAUUUUUAUAAUUAGGUUACUUUUAAGUUAGUUAUUUUAAUUUUAUGUUAUUGCUUUUAAUUUGUUUAUUAUUUAUUAGUUUUUAUAUUUUUUGUAGAAUUAAAAGUAAUUGGGCUUAAUUUUAGAAAGUAAGGUGUUGAAAGACCUAAAAUCUGCUUGUAUAUGCUUCAGUAUUUUGGCCAUAUCUCGACCUACAAAACUCCAAAUGAUGCGAUACUUAGACCAUUGGAAAGCUAAGAGAUAGAGAUAAAACUGUCAUGCAGAUCACUUUGCCCAGUUCUGCUUUGAAGAUAGAGAAAUUAUGUCGGAAAAAAGCUAGAUGUAUUGUGUCUGGAAUGGAAAUUUGUAAAGAUUGAUAAUUGAUUUUUGGGCCUCUCAUUACACUUUUAAGCCCAAUUAAACCCUAGGUCAGCUUAAAGAACUUUAGGUUAAGCUUAUUAGUAUAAAUAGAAUAUGUUAACAAUAUUAGAAAAAAAAAACCUUUGGAGAUUCAAGAAGCUGGAAGUUGAGGUUGAAACUUGGAGAUCAAGGCGGCAAAUAUUGUUUUGUUUUCUUCCUUGACUUUUAUUGUUCUUGUUCCUUUCAAUGGUUGAAUUUAUUAUAAUGUUAUUUGUUUUUGCAAUUAUGAGUAGUUAAUUUUCUUUUUCUAGGAUUGCAAUUGAACUCACAUGUAAUCUAAGUUUUUAAUCUCUUUCUUACUUAUUUUUAAUAGGAUUUGAAUUGUUUAUUCCAAUUUGUUCUUGAUGCUUUUAAUUGCUUGGCCACCAAUUAAAUUGAUCUAGGAACCUAAACAAACUUGGGAAAGGGAGUUUAGAGUAGACUAAAAUUAGGAUAAUAUAUGAUCAUAUUAAUUGAUUUGCAUAUAGGAUAGGGAUAUAUCUAUAGGUCAUAUGUAGCUAGAUUAGAGCCUGAACUUAAUGAGUCUAUUUUAAUUUCAAUUCACACAGGGAUAUAGUGUUUUGGUUAAAAUAUAUAUGUUUAUAAGAUGAGUCGGGAAACCCUUAUAAAUAAUUUAGGACUCUAGGUUAGCAAUUCAACCCGUUGAAAUAAGUUAAGGAAGAGAGGUAAGAUUUAGAUGAAGUGUGAAGGAUAUUGUAAUCCUAGGCUUGUUUGAUUUGAUAUUUUCUUAAGUUAUUAUUAUUUUGAUUUUCUUGUUGGUUUAAAUUUUAGUUAAUUAGUUUAGUUGAUCAAUUAAUUUUGAGUGUUUGGAUAAGAUUAAAUUGUUCUAAUUUUAGUAUUUAGUAAAAUUUUAUAUCAAUUCCCUUUGGGAUCGAUACUCUGCUUGCUUAUAUACUAUCUAUUCGAUACGUAUACUUACGUAGUAGAAUUUUAACUGACAAUAAGCCAUACAUAGCCAAGAUUAGAGCACGAACUUAAUAAAUCUUUCUUCAAUUUAAUUUGCAUAGACAUAUAGUAAAUUAGUUGGGAGAGAUAUUUUCAUAAAAAACUUGACAAAGACUUGUAAAUAAUUUAGAACUCUAGGUUAGCAACUUAAUCCAUUAAACUAAGUUAAGAGAAUGAGAGAAUAUUUAGAUGAAGCAUUUAGGGACAUCAUAAUCUUAGGUCUAAAGUCAAUCAAGUCUAAUAAAAUAACUUUGCUGAGUAAAUUUAGAUUAGUUGUAGUUUUAAGUUUGAUUUAAUUUUACUUUUUUAAUUCAAUUCUUAUUGUUUAGAUAAAAUUAGAGUGUGUAAUUUUAGUAAUUAAUAGUAAAAAUUAAUUCAAUUCCCUAUGGGAUCGACACUCUACUCAUCAUUAUAUUGUUUUUGUGAUACAUAUACUUGUGUGGAUAGAAAAUUGAACAACUAGUUUUUGACGCUGUUGCUAGAGAAUUGAUUUUUGUUCUUUCUUGUUAAUAAUAAUACCAAGUAUUCUUAAUCUUAAUUUAGACCUUUCUUUUCUUUAAUUUUUCAAGUGCGUUAGGUCGUUGUAUGAGAAGAGUCCAAAAUUUGAAAAUUUUUCCUUUUGAUACAAAAAUCGAAAAGACUUUUCAAAGAUUUCAAAGGAAAAAUGAACAAGUUUCUGCUCUGAGUAAAACAAUGGUUGAUCAAUAAAGGGAAAAGACCAAGUCUUUGAGAGAAUAUGCUGUCCCACUAGUACAAGGUCCCUACUCUAGUAUCCAAAGACCUCUUAUUCAAGCCAACAACUUUGAAAUUAAGCCAGCAAUCAUUCAGAUGAUUUAGACUUUUGUUCAUAUUGGGGGUUUGCUGAAUGAUGUUCCUAAUGCUUAUAUUGUGAAUUUCUUGAAAAUUUUUUACACAGUCAAGGCUAAUGGUGUUACUAAUGAUGCCAUAAGAUUGCGUUUUUUUCCCUUUUUCACUGAGAGAUAAAGCAAAGAGUUGGUUAAAUUUGCUUCCUAUUGGUUCUAUUAAUAUUUGGGAUGGUUUGGAUAAAAAAUUUUUAACAAAAUUCUUUCCACCUAUUAAGAUAGCAAAGAUGCAGAAUGACAUCACUUCUUUCAUGCAAUUUGAUUCUGAAUCACUAUAUGAGCUUGGGAGAGGUACAAGGAUUUGUUAAAGUGAUGUCCUCAACAUGGAUUACCUAAGUGGUUGCAAGUUCAUACUUUUUAUAAUGGUUUACUGGGACAUAUUAGAACCAUCAUUGAUGCUAUAGUUGGAGGUGCACUUAUGAGUAAAAUCCAUUGAUGAGGCUAAUAACUCUAUAAUAUAGAGUUAUUUGGGCUUAAUUUUGAUAAUAAUUUAGCAUAGUUCUUGUAGUAAUGCAUAGAAAUUACUAAGUUUUAUUUAAUUAUUUUAAAAUAGUUAUUUUAGGUGAGUCAAUCUAAUCUCAGUUAAUUUUAUACUUAAUUUGGUGUUAAUAUGGUUAAGAUAGGUUGUUUUUGAUUUAUUUGUGCUUUCGUAGGUGUUUGAUGAAAGAAGAAUUUUAAUGGAAAAGGAGAGCAAUUUCAAGAUGUAGACUUCUAAUGCACAUAUUUCGAAAUUUUAGCCAUAACUUUCCCUAAGAGCUCCAAAUGAAGUGAUUCUUGAACUAAUGGAAAGAUAAGAGAAAAAGAUACAACUUUCAUGUUUACUACUUUAUUUAGUUUGGCCUAGAAGGUGGUCAAAAAUCUUGUCGAAGUUGAUGCAUUGCAGCAGUCCUAAAGCAAUUACAAUUUCUAUUAAUUAAUUAGGCAAAGCUACGACUCACAUAGUUUGGUGAGGAAAUUCCAGCUGAAAUUGAUUUCUUUUUCCAUUCAACUUGGCCUAACUUUAAAGCCUAUAAAAACAAACUUUCAGAGAAAAAGAAAAAAGAAUGAAAAAACACCAGAUUAACAGCGGAGAGUCAAGCCGCAAGAGUCAUUGAAGCUAAGAAAAAUUUGAAGGAUUCACGGAGAUUUGGAGAUCAAGAAUACAACUCUUGAGUUUUUCUAUCUUUUCUUUUAUUCUCUUAUUUUCUUGAUUUUGUUCUUAAUGUUUAAACUUUAUUCAAUGAUGAUGUGUGACUUGAUGGGGAACUAAAUUGUUAAUAUAAGAUUAUGAUUGAACUUAAUAUGUAGUCUAAAUUAUUUAUCUCUUUUUCACUUAUGUUUGAUAGAUUUAAGUUGUUUAUUUUAUUCUGUUCUUAAUGCUUCUGGUUGACUAGCCAUCAAUUAGAUUGAAUUGGAAACCUAGGUUAAACCUUGAUGAAGGAGAUUUAGGUAGACUUUAAAUAGAAUAGCGUAUGAUCGAAUACACUUAGUUGACUAGGUGGUUUGAUUUGCAUAUAAUGUAGACAUACACCUAUAAGUCAUACGUAGCCAAGAUUAGAGCACAAACUUAAUGAGUUUUUCUUCAAUUUAAUUUGCAUAGACAUAUAGUAAGGAUUUUAAUCUGAUGCGAAAGACACUAAAAAAGAUGUAGAAAAAGAAAUUAUGGUUGAACAAUCUACUUAAAAUUCAAAAGAAGAAAAAUCAUAAUUAAAAUCUGCUCUUACAGCUCCCCCACCUUUUCCUUGAAGAUUUCAGAAAGAAAAACUUAACAAACAAUUCUAGAGACUUAUUGAUGUGUUUAAGAAGUUACAUAUUAAUAUUCCUUUUGUUGAAGCUCCGAAACAAAUGUCAAGAUAUGUUAAGUUCUUAGAAGACAUCUUGGUUAAAAGAAAUUUGGUGAGUUUGAAAUUGUUGCACUUACUGAAAAGUGCAGUGCUUUUAUUUAGAAUAAACUUCCGCUAGAGCUUAAAGAUCCAAGUAGUUUGACUAUUCCUUGCACUAUUGGUGCUUUUUGUUUUGCUAAAGCUUUAUGUGAUUUUUGUGCAAGUACAAAUUUGAUGCCAUUGUUCAUUUAUAAAAAAUUGGGUUUAUAAGAGAUAAAUCCAUCACUUAUCCUUAUGGUAUUGUGGAAGAUGUUUUGGUAAAAGUUGGAAAGUUUAUUUUUCAGUAGAUUUUAUUAUUCUUGAUAUGGAAAAAGAUCAUGAAAUACUGAUCAUUCUUGGGAGACCAUUCUUGAGAAUUGCUCGAGCUAUAAUUGAUGUGGAAAAAGGUGAGCUUACCUUAAGAAUUGAAGAUCAAAUGGUAACAUUUAACAUUUUUAGAGCUUUAAAAUUUUCUAAUGAACAUGAUGAGUGUUUCUUAGUUAAUGUGGUGUAUAGCAUUACUAAUAAUGUGUUGAUUUAGAAUCAUUAUGAUGGUCCACUGGAAGCAUAUUUUAUUUCUUCAUGUGAUAUUAUUGAUGACAAAAUUCUUGACUAUACUAAUUAUUUGGAUGAUUUUUCUGGUUAUAAUCAAAUUGCCAUUGCUUUUGAAGACUAAAAGAAAACCACCUUUACUUGUCCCUACAAAACUUUUGCUUUUUGUAGGAUGCCUUUUGGACUUUGCAAUGCUGUAACUACUUUUUAGAGAUGUAUGAUGGCAAUUUUUUCUGCUAUGGUUGAAAAGUUUUUGGAAGUAUUUAUGGAUGAUUUAUUAGUUUUUGAGGAUAACUUUGAUGAUUGUCUAUUUAACCUUGCUAGAGUACUAAAGAGAUGUGAAUAAACUAAUUUGGUUUUAAAUUGAGAAAAAUGUCACUUUAUGGUGCAAGAAGGCAUAGUCUUAGGCCAUUAAAUCUCUAGUACAGGUUUAAAAGAAAGCAAUAAUUGAAAUAAUUGAAAAACUGUCACCUCCCGCCUUUGUUAAAGGCAUUCAUAGUUUUUUAGGACAUGUUAAAUUUGAUAGGAGAUUCAUUGGAGAUUUUUUCAAAAUUUAUAAACCACUUUGUAAUUUGUUGGAAAAGGAUACUUAUUUUUAAUUUUGAUAAUGUUUGCAACGAUGCUUUUGUUGAAUUAUAAAAGAAAUUAAUUUUUGCUCCUAUUAUCACUAUUCCAGAUUGGAAUCUUCCUUUUGAACUUAUGUGUGAUGCUAGUGACUAUGUAGUUAGCGCAGUUUUGGGCCAACGAAAAGUAAAGAUUUUGCAUCCUAUUUAUCAUGCCAGUAGAACAUUGAAUGAAGCUCAAGCAAAUUACACCAUAACUAAAAAGGAGUUGCUUGUUAUUGUUUUUUCUUUUGAUAAAUUUCACUUUUACCUUGUUAGUACUAAAGUCAUUAUUUACACCAAACUUAUUCUCUUUGUCAAAAGGGUACUUUACACUUGUUUUGAAACAAAGACUUUGAAUUUUCAAAAGGUUUUAGUCAUAAGUUUGAUUCUCUAGAAGUGAUAUCUACUUGCAUGAGAAUUGAUCUUUAAAGAAACAAAAUGCUUUUCAUUAUUUUUUAAAUACCUAGAAUCGAUCUCUCAUCAUACGAGAAUUGAUGUUUCAAAAAUACAGAAAACCCUUAAAAUUUUUUCAAAGUCUAGGAAUCGAUCUUUUUUCUAUCACAAAUCAAUUCUAAGAAUUCUAGAAUGCCUUUUAGAUUUUUACAAGUCAAAGAAUCGAUGUCUUAUUCUCUAGAAGUUGAUUCUUAAGGAAUCAUUGGAACUUUAAAAAUGGGUUAAGGCAUAGGAAUCGACCUUAGAAACACUAGAGUUGAUUCCAAAUUAUUUUAAAAGCAAAUAUGCUUGAAUUGCAAACUUUGAAACAUGAUUAUUUUUUCCAAAAAUCCUACUUAUUACCUUUAAAAAUCACGAUUCUUCUAAAUCCUUUCUCCAAACACUUUGGUUCUUCAACAAGCAACCUUUGGGCAUAAAAAAGGUUGAAUCUUUUCAAUAAAAUCUUUUAGAUUAUGACAAUAAGUAAGAAUUUUUCACUAUCAUUUUCAAAACCUAAAACCCCAUUUUCUUGAGAACGGAUGAGUCGCUUCAAAGUACAAAGCAUUGAUUCUCAAACCUUAAGCUCUCAAUUCUCAAACUCCAAAUAACCUUUAAAGUUAAUUCUUGAUACACAAACCUUAGUCGAUGGCUCUCAAAAGAUGAAAAAAGGACAAAGGGAAAGCUCUAACAACCUCUUCAAAGGCUCGCAAAACUCAAACCCCUAAUCCAUUCAAAAUCAACUUCUUGACCGAGGCCGAUAAGUAGGUAUAUAAUCAUAUUUAUGCUAACAGAAUAGUAACUCAUGGUAAGGUUAUCGAUUUAGACUAGUUUUGGAAUGAUUUCAAAUACCAAUACAUUGAGAAUUUGAUAAGGUUAAAAUGGUAUGACUAUUUGGAGUAUGAGGAGACCCUUUUAUUAAAAAUUGGUGAAAGUUUUCUACUCAAAUGCAACCACAGUUUUAUGAAGUUGAUGAUGAUGAAGGCAUAGUAUAUCAUAAUGAGUUCUUCCUCACCUCUGUUUCUAUAAAAGAGUUGAUUAUUGCACUUACAUUGCCUAGAAAGAAUUGAAGUUAAAGCCCACUGACCAAAGUGCAAUCACUCACAUGACUAAAGAAAAUGCAAUUUCUGAAGAGGAACUGCAUGCUGAUUCAUGGUUGAUCUUGGUACAACACUUAAAUUCCCAAAUAAUGCUUCUAGGCUCAAUGUGCAUGAUAGAAUCCUGCACUUGAUAGUGACACACACAUAGUCCAUUUGGGUAUAGGCACUUCUUAGUAAUAGUUGAGGAUAUGUGGUUUAUGCACCACAUCAAGAAAGGUACUCUAAUUAAUCUAGCUCAUUUCAUAUACAAAGAUGAAGCAAGAAACAACUUAGUUUAUGGAAUGGUCUUUUUGAGAUGUUAGAAAAACGAAAAAUUGACACAUCAUUAGACAAGGCUGUGAUGUAAAAAAGGUCAAAUAUUUGAACAAAGCAUCAAUUAGCAGAAUGCAAAUUGAAUAUGAUGUUGUUAGUAAUGAAUGGAUAAAGAAGAAUGCCUACCAAAGAGCUCUAGCUUAAGAAGAAGCAACACUAGAGCAAAUGUCUAAUGCUCUAACCUCAUAAGCUACAACUCAACCUCCCUCUACAUCCAAUGUGUCUCCAUCACAUCAGUUGUUUCUUCGGCAACAUAUGCUUCAUGUCCAUUAAUGGCACAAGGACCCUUUGCACUGCCAAGCAUAGUGUAGUAUGAUGGACAAAAUUCAUAUCAAGACUUGUGUGCUCAAAUGGACAAUCAAGAGAGGUUGUCUCUAGAAAAGUUGGCUGCAGUUAACAAAAAGAUUGAGGAAGUGAUAAUUCUAUGAUAUAAAGUUAUUUUAAUACAUUUUGGGGAUUUAAAUACUAUUUUUUCGAGAUUUUAUAUUCAGAUUUUACUAUUUUUGUUAUUUUUCUUAGUUAAAUUUCAUUACAUGUUGAUUAGUUUAAUUUAUGUAUUUUUAGUUAAUUUUAUGUUAUUUGAUUUUAAACUAGUUUAAGUAUAGUUAUUGCUUAUUUCUCUUAUUGUUCUUAAAGGAAAUUCAGUGAGAAAGAUUUAUUUGAUGAAAAUUCAUGCAAUUAUGGUGAAGGCUUCAUUCGUAUAUGUUUCAAUAUUGAUAACACUAUGAUAUAGAGUUAUUUGGGCUUAAUUUUGAUAAUAAAUUGGCUUAGUUCUGGUAGUAAUGCAUAGAAAUUAGUGGAUUUUAUUUAAUUAUUUUAAAUUAGUUAAUUUAGGUGAGUCAAUCUAAUCUUAGUUAAUUUUAUGCUUAAUUUGGUGUUAAUGUGGUUAAGAUAGGUUGUUAUUGAUUUAUUUAUGCUUUUGUAGGUGUUUGAUGAAAGAAGAAUUUUAAUGAAAGAAGGAGAGCAAUUUUGAGGUGCAGACUUUCACUGCAUAUGUUUUGAUAUUUUGGCCAUAACUUUCUCUACAGAGCUCCAAAUAAAGCUAUUCUUAAACUAUUGGAAAGAUGAGAGAAAAAUCUACAACUUUCAUGUUUACUACUUUACCAGUUUAGCCUAGAAAAUGGUCAAAAAUCUUGUCAAAGUUAACGUAUUGUAGUAGUCCUAGAGCAAUUACGAUUUUUAUUAAUUAAUUAGGCAAAGCUGUGACUCAUAUAGUCUGAUGUAAAAAUCCUAGUUCAAAUUGAAUUCUUUCUCUACCCAACUUGGCCUAACUUCAAAGCCUAUAAAAAUAACCUUUUUGAGGACUUAAAAGGGAAAAAAAACACCAGAUUAAAAGCUAAGAGUCAAGCCGUAAAGUCAUUGAAGUUGAGAAGAUUUUAAAGGAUUCAAGAAGCCUUGAAAGAUCAAGAUUAUAAUUCUUGAGUUUUAUCUUUUUUAUUAUUCUUUAAUUUUCUUAGUUUGUUUUUAUUGUUUAAACUUUAUUCAAUGAUGAUGUAAGACUUGAUGGGGAACUAAAUUGUUAAUCUAAGAUUAUGAUUGAACUCUAUAUGUAGUCUAAAUUAUUUAUCUCUCUUUUACUUAUGUUUGAUAGAUUUAGGUUAUUGAUUUUAUUCUGUUCUUAAUGCUUCUAAUUGCUUGAUCACCAAUUAGAUUGAAUUGGAAAUCUAGAUUAAACCUUAACGAAGGAUAUUUAAGUAGACCUUGAAUAAAAUAGUGUAUGAUUGAAUGCACUUAGUUGAUUAGGUGGUUUGAUUUGCAUAUAGGGUAGACAUACACUUAUAAGCCAUACGUAGCCAGGAUUAGAGCACGAACUUAAUGAAUCUGUCUUCAACGUAAUUUACAUAGACAUAUAUAAAUUAAUUGGGAGAGAUAUUUUAUAAAAAACUCAACAGAGACUUGUAAAUAAUUUAGGCCUCUAGGUUAGCAACUUAAUCCAUUAAAUUAAGUUAAGAGAGAGAGACUAUAAUCAGAUCAAGUAUUGAGGGACAUCAUAAUCUUAGGUCUGGUAGUUGAUUGAAAUUUCAAUUUAAUUGUUUUAAUUUUUCUUUUUAAUAAUUUUAAAAUUUAGUUGUUUGAAUAAAAUUAGGGUGUGUUAAUUUUAGUAAUUAACAGUAGGAAUUAAACAAUUCUCCAUGGGAAUGAUACUCUAUUUCAUCAUUAUAUUACUUGUUAACGAUAUAUGCACUUGCGUGAGAAAUGAACAAUAAGUAUUCCAAAGAUAACUUGAGCUACAGAAGUUCAAGUGAAUUGAUUCUUGAGCGAAUGGAAAGCUAAGAGAUAGGGUUACAACUUUCGUGUUUACUAUUUCACCCAGUUCAGAAUAGAUUAGGUAAAUAUUGCAUUGGAAAAGGCUAGAUUGUUGUAAUUCUACAUAAGGCAAUACAAUCGAAUGAGGGUCAGGGCCUUGAGUUGCUUAAGGCUACAGCAUCAUAAUGCACCAGUGCAAUCUAAAUUCAGAAAGCACAUCACUACAGCUUUGAGGAGAGAAAGGUCACAAUGCUGAUGGAAGUAAGGCUCCUAUAGUAGAACUCAAGAGUAGAGCGCCACAAUGCUGGAAGAACGAGGCACACUAUAUAGAGGCUAGGGUGCCAUGAUGCCAAGGAGACCAAGGUCGUAGCACUAGAAAAAUUUUAAAGAGAAAUUGUUGAUGAGAAUUUGGAAAUUAGGGUUUUUGAGCUCGUUUAUAGGACCUUUUUCAAAGGUUUUAGAGAAAGGACAAUAAGCAAUUAUUCUGGAGAAAAAGAGCCAAGAACGAAGCAAGAAGACAAGAAAAAUUAGGAGAGAAUUGAGAUCGAAAAGCAUCAACUAUUAAUUUCUCUUUCUACUUUCGUGUUUCUCUUAAUUUCUUUGACUUGGAUUCAUCUCUAGUUUUCUUUGGAUGAUGUUUUUAUUAGUUGUUAUGAGCUAAACUAUUUUCCUAGGAUUGUGGUGGAUUUGUAAAUAUAAUUUAAAUAUUUGUUUCUCUUUUAUUUACCAUGAAUUGAUAUAGUUUUACUUAUUCAAAUCUAUUCAUAAUGCAUUUAAUUGUCUGGCCAACAAUUGAAUGAUUUGUUAACUUGAUUGAGACUCAACAAAGUGAUUUUAGAUUGGACUAAGGUUUGAAUAGUGUAUGUUCACAUCACUUAAGUGAUUUGAUUCGCAAUUAGGGUAGACAUACACCUAAAUGCCAUACAUAAUCAAAUUUGAACACUGGCUUAAUGAACCUUAUUUAAUUGAUUACUAUAGACAUAGAGUGAUCCAAUUAAGUUAGGUAUUUGUACAAGCAUCUCAAUGGAGACUUGUGCAUAGGUUUGGAUUCUAGGUUAGUAAAACAACCUAGGAAUGUAAAUAUUGAGAGAAACAAAUAUCAUAAGUGUUGAAUGAGCCUAUUAUCUUAAAUUUUAAUCUAUUACGUUUCUCUAGAAAAAUUUUAGUUCUCAUUAAUUAGUUUAGUUGCUGAUUAGAUUUAGUUUUAGUUAAUUAUCUACAAAGGAGAGUUACUUGAAUAAGAUUGCGCUGUCAUAAUUUUAUUACUUUGUAAACAACUAAGAGCAAAUCAUUGUGGGAUAUGAUUUUGGACUUAUUGUCUAUAGUACUUAUUCAAUACGUAUACUUGUGUGUACUAAAUCCAUAACAAGUUUUUGGCACUGUUGUAGGAGAUAUUUUUUUUCUUAUUUAGUUUACUAAUAUUAAAAUUAACAAAUUAGUCUUAAUUUAAAUUUUUCUUUUUUUUAAGGUUUAAUCUAUCAUUGUAUGAGAAAGGUAAAAACCUUGGAGAUUGUAUUUUGUAAUCCAGUGAUCAAGAGAACAUUUAGAAGACUUUGACGAGAAAAUCAACAAGCUUGUGUUCAUACUGAUAUAAUGGCUUAUCAACAGGGUGAACAACAAAUCCAAGAGUGAGUAGUGGAAGAGAAUCAUUGCUUAAGAGAUGAUAUUAUUCCUUUAGUACAAGGGAUUCCUUAAAGCAUUAGAAGGUCGGCUAUUGAAGCCAACAAUUUUGAGAUUAAGCCGACCAUCAUCACCAUGAUCUAAACCUUGGUCCAGUUUAAGGGUCUACCAAAUGAUGAUCCAAAUGCCCACAUUUCAAACUUCUUAGAGAUAUGUGUCACCUUUAAACACAAUGGAGUCAUAGAUGAUGCAAUCCGUUUGAGGCUUUUCCUUUUUUCAUUAAGGGACAAAGCUAAAGUGUGGUUGAAUGUGCUUCAUACUAAAUCCAUCACAACAUGGGAUGACCUUGCGUAGAAAUUUCAUGAUAAGUUCUUUCCUCUAGCUAAGACAACGAAAAUGAGAAAUAAUAUCACAUCAUUCAUGCAACUAGAUUAUGAAUUGUUGUACAAGGCCUAAGAAAGAUACAAGGACCUACAUAGGUGUUGUCCUCAUCAUGGUCUUCCAAAAUGGCUGCAAGUGCAAACGUUCUACAAUGGAUUUAGUGGUCAUGUUUAAACCACCAUUGAUGCUACUGUAAGAGGAGCUCUAAUGGAAAAAUCAAUUGAUAAGGCAUGCUACUUGUUGUAGGAGAUGGCAUUGAACAAUUAUUAGUGGCCAGCAAAGCAAUCAAUGCAAAAAAGAGUAGUUGGAGUUCAUGACGUGGAUGCCAUUACGACAUUAUCAACACAGGUAGUAGUUCUAACUAAGAGACUUGCUUCUUUUGGUGCUUACUCAAGUCAAAGUCUUUUUGUAGUUUGUGAGUAUUGUGGAGAUGGGCAUGCUAGUAAUCAAUGUCUAAAUGAUACAAAGACAGCUCAAUUUAUGGGAAACAGACAACAGAACAACCUUUACUCUAACACCUAUAACCCAAGGUGGAGUAACCAUUCAAACUUCUCUUAGGGGUAAUAAUCAAGGAUCAUCUUCAGCCUCAAGGCCAAACAUGGCUUCCAGAUUCCAACAAUAGUGAAGAGCUCCUAUUCUAGAAAAGAAACCAUAUAUGGAGGAAUUGCUAAUUCAAUACAAGGCUAUGACUGAUUCCCUCAUACAUAGUCAAAUGACUUCGAUAAGGAACCUUGAGACCCAAGUUGGUUAACUAGCUAUGUCAUUAAACAUCAGAGCUUAAGGGGCGCUACCUAGUGUACCGAGGCAAAUCUAAGGAGGAAAGGUAAGGAACAUGUCAAAGCCAUUACCUUGAGCAGUGAUAAGGCCAAAGCAAGCUGAACAGAAAAGCAAGACAAUUGAUAAUGACACACAGAUUACAAGUUUUAGUGAGCAAUGUCAAGAGAAGGAAGUUAAGGCAAUUUUACCUCCAUAACCUUUUCCUCAACAUUUCAAGAAAUAACAAGAAGAGAGCCAAUUUUAAAAAUUUAUGGAAGUGCUUAAAAAGCUUCGCAUCAACAUUCCUUUGUUGAGGCUUUAGAGCAAAUGCUUUCAUAUGUGAAAUUUUUAAAGGAUAUCUUGUUUAAGAAGAGGUAGUUGGGUGAAUUUGAGACAGUGGCACUCAUAAAAGAAUGUAAUGUAAUCAUACAGAACAAGUUUCCUCCAAAGCUUAAGGAUCGUGGCAGCUUUACUAUUCUUUCCAUAAUUGGUGCAUUAUUUUUCGCCUAGGCUUUUAGUGAUUUGGAGGCAAGUAUUAAUUUCAUGCCUUUGUCUAUCUACAACAAGUUGGGUUUGAGGGAGAUUAAACCACUACUAUGACUCUAUAAUUGGUAGAUAGAACCUUCACAUAUUUGAGAAGUAUAGUGAAAUAUAUGCUUGCAAAAGUGGAUAAAUUCAUCUUCCUCGAUAGAUUUCAUAAUACUCGAUAUAGAGCAAAAUAGAAAGGUUUCUAUUAUACUUGGGAGACCUUUCUUACGCACUGCUAGAGCACUCAUCGAUGUGGAGAAAGGAGAGUUGAUAACUCUCUUAUAUAGAGUUAUUUUAACAUAUUUUGAGGACUUAAGUAGCUAACUCUUUGAAAUUUUAGGUUCGAAUUUUAGUAUUUUAGGUGUUUUUCUUAUUUAAGUUUAAUUACAUGUUAAUUAGUUUUAUUUAAGUUAUUUUAGUUUAAUUUUAUAUUAUUUUGCUUUCAAUUUGUUCAAGAAUAGUUAUUGUUGAUUUCUCUUAUUAAUUUUGUAAGAAAUUUGAUGAGAAAGGUUCAUUUGAUAAAAAACUGCACAAGUAUGGUGAUGGCUUUAUUUGUACAUAUUGAAGUAAUUUAAGGAUAACUUCAGCUAAAGAAGUUCAAUUAAUACAAUUUUUAAUCCAUUAGAAAGCUACGAGAUAGGACUACAACUUUCAUGUUUACUAUUUUUUCCAAUUCAAAUCAAAUCAUAGUGAAAAUCACAUUGGAAGAUGCUAAUCUACUACAAUCUUGCACAAGGUAGCGAAUGGAAUGAAAGUCUCAACCUUGAGUUGCUCAAGGCUGUGGUGCCGAAGAGGCCAAGGAUGUGGCAUUGAGGAGAGGGUGGCUAUGGUGUUGGUUGAAUAUGCCUCCCUAUAGUGCAACCUCAUAGCACAAGGCCAUAACAUUUAGGAAGUAGCACCGUGGCAUUACAAGAAAGGCCACGACACCUCGAUGCCAAGGAGGGCAGUGUUGUAGUGUCACACUAUUUUCGAAGAUAAACUGUUUUGUGGGAUUUUGGAAAUUAAGGCUUUUAGAGGCUAUUUAAGGGAUCUUUUUCAAAUGUUUUCAAGAAAGGACGGCAAGGAACUAUUCUAGAGAAAACGAGCCAAAACAAAACAAGAGAAAUUGAGAGAGAAUAAAGAUCAAAAGCUUCACUCAUUAAUUUCUUUCUCUACUUUUGUGUUUCUCUUAUUUUUUUUGACUUGGAUUAAUGGUUAAUUUUCUUUGGAUGAUGUUUUAUUUAGGUGUUACGAACUAAUUUGCUUUUAUAGGAUUCUAGUGAAUUUUAACAUGUAAUAUAAAUAUUAGUAUCUUUUUUAUUUACUAUGAAUGGGUAUAAUUUUCCUUAUUCAAAUUUGCUCUUAAUGAUUUUGAUUGUCUAGCCAACAAUUAACUGAUUUGUGAAUCUAAUUGAGACUCGACAGAGAGAUUUUAGAUUGGAUUAAGGUUUGGAUAGUGUCGGUUCACAUUACUUAGCUGAUCUGAUUUGUGAUUAGGGUUCACAAACGCCAAUUAUCAUACAUAGCCAAAUUAGAACACUAGCUUAAUGAAGGUUAUUUAAUUGAUUACUAUAGGCAUAUAGUGACCCAAUUCAGUUAGGUAAUUAUACAAGCAUCUCCAUGCAGACUUGUACAUAGAUUUGGAUUCUAGGUUAGUAAAAACACCAACGGAUAUAAAUAAUAAAAGAAGCUGGUAUUAGAUGAAGUGUUGAAUGAACCCAUAAUCAUAGGUUUUAAUUUAUUGCUUUUCUCAAGUGCUUUUUUAGUUUUUGUCAAUUAAUUUAGUGUUUGAUUUAAUUUAAUUUUAAUUAAUUUUCUAAAAAAUUGAGUUACCUGAAUAAGAUUAGUUUGUUAUAAUUUUAGUACUUAGAGAAGAUUUAGGAGCAAAUCCUUUUCGGAUAUAAUUCUAAACUUAUUGUAUAUAUUACUUGUUUGAUACGUUUACUUGUGUGCAAAAUCAACAAGAAGAACUUACCUUAGGACCACAAAAUCAAGCGGUAACCUUUAACAUUUUUAUAGCUUUAAAGAUUACUAAUGAUCAUUAUAAGUGUUUUGUAGUUAUUGUGGUGGAUAGGGUCUUAAGUGAAGUUUUCAGGGAAAGUCAUCCUAUUGACCCACUUGAAGCAUCAUUGGUUGCUGAGUUUGAGAAAAGUAAUGAAACUAUCAUAGAAUGUGUUAACAUGUCAAAUGCUCUAUAAUACCUCGUACUUUGAUAUGGUGACUAAUAAAGCUUAUUGGAUGCCAAUUGAGGUUAAUUACUUAGAAAUGAUGAAAGAUGAACGGAAUAGUUUGGGAUAAAAUAUUCCGCACACGAGGAAAUAAUAAUAAAAUAAUAAUAUUUUUUUAUUGGAGAAGAAUUUGCAAGAUAAAAAGUGAUUCAGAAGUCAAUUGAGACAUAAUAAGGUAUUUUGGGUACCAAGGUGAGAAGAGAAAAUUUUUGAAAUAAAAUAAUAUUUUAUUCAGUGUCAAAAUUUUCCAUGAAGAAGGAGUAUAUGGUCAAUCUAAGUGGGGGAGAAGAAGAAUGAGAGGAUUUUUAGAGAAAAAUGACGUUAAUGGGGCCGCGUGUCUUUAUUAAGUAAAGAUAUUGUGAGCAAAUAAAUAUUUUAAAUAUUAUGGGGACACCGCGUUGGAGUACAAACUUCAUACUUUGUUUGUGCAUAUGUAGAAGAAGGUAAUAGAAGGAAAUUGGAGUUAAAUGAGUGUUGGGAGGACUAAAUUAAAAUGGAAGGAAACAAAAAACAGUAAAACAGUAAUUUUAUGUGAAGUUUGGUCAAAGCUUUCAAAUGAAGCUUUGACUCUGAUUUUUUUUAGGCCAAUACCGACCUUAUCCUUUCCCCCAGUAGAUUUUUCUUCUUCUUCAUCCAUGCUCCACACCAUUCUUGAACCUUCCAUGCCAUUUUCUCUUUAUCCACCAGGAAAUCAAGUUUUCUUCACUUUCCUUUCCAUGUUUCCUUUUCCUUUCUUCUCCAAACUUCUUGAGCAUUAAAUUUACAGCCUUUAACCCCAAUUUCCAACACACCAAAAACUUAGGAGGAGAAGAAAGAAAAAGACAGAAAGGAAGAAAAAGCUUGGUUUUGGUGAUUCAAGUAAGGAAAGGUAAGGAUUCUUGUUUUUAGCUUGAGUAGUCUUUGAAAAUAAGUUAGUGACUUAGAGAAAUGUCUUGUGGUGGCAAAGAUUGGCUUGAUUGGAGAAAAAUUGAUAACAUGUAAGCCAAUAAACCCAUGGGUACAUGAAGGACUCAAAGUGGAAAAGGAAAACGGUAAGCUUAACACUAUGUUUUAAGGCUUACGGUUAGUCGAAUAUUGUGAGGAAUUAUGGUUGUUGAAAGGAUUUAUUUGCCUAAGCUAGUUGAAAAUUAUUAAGAUUUUAUGGCAUAUUGUUUAAAAGAAAUGAAAAAGGAAUAUUGUGGAUGGAGGAUUGAGAAACAAAGUAUUGAAAGUUAGAUAGAUAACAAUGCAUGUAAACUAGGAAAUAAUCAAGUGAAAGUGAGAAUGAUUGUUGCUGCCACAUAUGUGGAUUAUGUGUGGAAAUAUAAAAUGAAUUUGGAUAGAAAUUAUUUAUAAAGGUUGAAGUAGGCACGUGGCAUCAUAAAUAAGUUUUCGGUGAUAUAAUCUAAGGAAUUACGUACGCAAUGGAUAUAAGUAAUUUUAGUAAAAAUGUAUUAAGAGGUAAGUUAAUUGAAGAUGGUUUCAUAAUAGGAUGAAAAAUAUAAAUUUAAGUAAGGAUUAAUUAAUUGAAGUGUAUCCCGUAUACGUAUGUAAUUAAAUAUAUUGAGUUCGUAUUAUUGUUAGAAAGUGCAAGGAUAAGGUUAGAGAUGUGGUGGCAUGCUGGAGUAAAUAACGAGCGAUCGACCAGUGAAAAUAGUUAGAGACACCUUUGAACAAAUAGCGACUUAAUAUCUCUUUGUUUUCAGGUGAGUGAACUUGCAUUAAAAUGUUUUGGGAUAUACACAUUUAUGUUUGAUUGAAUCCCUUAAAAUGUUUUAUUGGUUUUUCUUCAAAAACUUGCACGGGAACAAGCCUUUAGUGAAAUGUUUUUGUGAGGUGGAACAUGAUUGUGAUGAAUCUAUGUACUUCUAUAUGAUGCUGAUAUGUAUAUAAGGAUAUAUGAUACAUAUAUAUUGUUAAGUAAUUUUGUAUAAUUGAUGUAACCGUGCAUGUGCAGAGUGGGUAGUGCACAUGCCGGUUGAAUGACAAUGUCAUGAUAAUUACAACCGUGCAUGUGCAAGUGGGCACUGCACAUGCCGGUAAUGAUGCUGUCAUGAUAUUUACAGUCGUGCAUGUGCGGAGUGGGUAGUGCACAUGCCAGUGAUGAUGCACAUGAGCUGGGUGAGAUGGGGUGUCCGGUUAUGUGCACUAUGUGGGGGGAUGCACAUGAGCUUGAUGAAAUAUGGUGGUAUACUAAUUGAUAUAUGCUUAAGUACAUGUAUCUACAAUAGAAAGAUUAUGAUUAUAAUAUGUGAUUAUAUGACAUGAUGAAUCUUGAAAAUUUUCCAUUUUCUUGUGAAUUGAUUUUAUUGUAGCAAGAAACAUUCUGUUUAUACUGCUUUGCUUAGAUGAUUGUUGAAAAUUCUCUCUCUUUCCAAUUUCAUGCUAAAUAUGGUUCCUUCAUUAUGAAAUGAUUUAAUAACCAGAGGUUUGAUGGAGGGAUUUUAAUAAGAACGUGAACUAAGUUGCAUUGUUUUCAAAGAUGGGCAUCAUGAUUUCUAAACCUUCCUUAACGUUGCUUGUUCCCUUCCUAUGUUCACUCACUGAGUUUGUACUCACAUUUUUAAAAAUUCAUGUUUUAGGUUUUCCUGAGUUAAAGGUGAUUGGAUCCUAGGACAAGGUGCUCCUUUCUAUACAUUGCUCGGUAGGUUUAAUGUGACAUUAAGUGUUAUCAAUCGUGCCCAGAGUCACUCCGCUGAAGGUCAAGGUCUAAUUAUGUGUAUCUGAAUAUUUACUGUGAAACAUUAAAAAUCAUUUGUUAAUCUAUUUAUGAAUAUAUUGGUGGAUGAUGCCAUUAUGAAUGUAUUAUUGGAUUUUAUGAAUCGUUUUCAAGGAAACAGUAUUUGAACAUUUUGAGCUUUGGAUUCUAAAGGAAUAAGGAUUAAUGUAUAAGAUCAAUUAAGUAGGCUUGCUUGGGCUUAGUGGGCUGAGCCCAUUAGGUCCUUGUGCCGGUCAUGGCCCCAGAAUUGGGCUAUGACAAACUCCAUCUCGAGUCUUAGGAUACAAUUUGAGACACUAGACCUUUUAUUUGUCAUCCUCAUCAGUAAAGCCUUUUAUUGAAGAACCACCGAAGUUAGAGCUUAAACCAUUGCCAAAUCAUCUAAGGUAUGCAUAUCUUGGUGACUCGUCUAUUCUUCUUGUUAUUAUUUUCCCUGAUCUCACUAACAAGUAAGAAGAUAAGCUAUUGAGAGUUAUGAGAAAGUACAAGAAGACAUUGGGGUAGACAAUAGCAGACAUAAAAGGAAUAAGUCCUUCGAUAUGCAUGCCUAAAAUUUAAAGGAUGUAAUAACUCUAUUAUAUAGAGUUAUUUUAACCCAUUUUGAGACUUAAGUAUCUAGUUCUUUGAGAUUUUAGGUUUGGAUUUUAGUAUUUCAGGUGUUUUUCUUUGUUAAGUUUGGUUACAUGUUGAUUAGUUUAAUUUAAGUAUUUUUAGUUAAUUUUAUGUAAUUUGGUUUUAAACUACUUUAGUAUAGUGAUUGCUGAUAUUACUUAUUGUUCUUAAAGGAAAUUUAAUGAGAAAGGUUUAUUUGAUAAAAAUUCGUGCAAGUAUGGUGAUGGCUUCAUUCAUAUGUAUUGCAAUAUUGUGCAGAUAACUUGAACUACAAAAGUCUAAUUGAUGUGAUUCUUAAUCCAAUGGAAAGCUAAGAGGUAUGGAUGAAACUUUUAUGUUUACCAAUUUGCCCAGUUCGGAAUGGAUAGAGGUGAAAAUUAUGUUGAAAGAGGUUAGACUGCUACAGUUCUACACAAGGUAGUAUAAUGGAAUGAGGGCCGCGAUAUUGAUUUGCUCAAGGUUGUAGUGUCAUGAUGCAUUAGUGCAUGAUACAAAAUCCAAAAAGCAUAGCACCAUGGUGUUGAGGAGAGUAAAGCCAUGGCAUUAGUUGAAGUAAGGCUCCCAUAAUAGAGCUUGAGAGUAGAGCGUCGUGGUGCUAAGUAAGCAAGGCCAUGGGGUUGGAAGAAUAAAGCACAUUAUACAAAGGCUAGGGCGCCACAGUAGACCAAGGCCAUGAUGCUAGACAAAUUUCUAAAAUAAAUUGUUGACUAGAAUUUGGAAAUAAGAGUUUUUGGAGCUUAUUUAAAAGACUUUUUUCAUAGAUUUUAGAGGGUGGACGACAAGUAAUUAUUCUGGAGAAAAAGAGCCAAGAAUGUAGCAAGAAAGAACGAGACUUUAAGAGAGAAUUUAGAUUGAAAAGCAUCAACAAUUAAUUUCUAUUUCUAAUUUUGUGUUUCUUUUAAUUUCUUUGACUUGGAUUCAUGUCUAAUUUUCUUUAGAUGAUAUUUUUAUUUGUUAUUAUGAGCUAAACUAUUUUUCUAGGAUUGUGGUGGAUUUCAACAUGUAAUAUGAAUAUUUGUUUUUCUUUUAUUUAAUAUGAUUGAAUAUAGUUUUGUUUAUUCAAAUCUGUUCAUAAUGCAAUUAAUUGUCUAUCGAACAAUUGAAUGAUUUGUUAAUUUGAUUGAGACUCAACAAAGUGAUUUUAGAUUGGACUAAGGUUUGAAUAGUAUAUGUUUACAUUGCUUAAGUGAUUUGAUUCGCAAUUAGGGUAGUAAUACACCUAAAUACCAUAUGUAUCGAAAUUAGAACUCUACCUUAAUGAAUCUUAUUUAAUUGAUUACUAUUGACAUAUCGUGACCUAAUUAAUCUAGGUAUUUGUACAAGCAUCUCGAUGGAGACUUGUGCAUAAGUUUGGAUUCUAGGCUAGUAAAACGAACCAUGAAUGUAAAUAUUAAGAGAAACAGAUGUUAGAUGAAGUGUUGAAUGAACCCAUAAUCUACUGCCUUUCUCUAGUGAAUUUUUAGUUUUCAUUAAUUAGUUUGGUUAUUGAUUAUAUUUAGUUUUAAUUAAUUUUCUACAGAAGCAAGUUACUUGAAUAAGAUUGAGCUAUCAUAAUUUUAGUACUUAGUAAACAAUUAGGAGUAAAUUCUUAUGGGACACAAUUUUGGACAUACUAUCUAUAUUACUUGUUCAAUACAUAUACUUGCGUGUAUUAAAUCAAUAACAGAAGUAGUAACUGAAUAUGUUCUCAAGUUUCAAAAUCCAUUUGAUCACUAUAGCUACUCUCUAAACAAAAUGUCUGAAGUAAUACAUAAAACGUCAAAGAGUAAUGGUGACUCUUUAAGAAAAUCAACUACAACUCUUUAAAAACCAGAAGAUCUUAAAAGAUAAACUUCGAAGCAAGUCUCUACAGCACCUCUAUUACCAUAAACAUAGCAUUUGCAUUCAUACAUACUCAUCUUUUUUUUAUUUAUGCUUAUGCUGUUAUCAUAUCUUUUGUAGUUAUGCUUAUGAUGUUAUGUUUGAUACUUCUUGUCCAUACUUUAAUGUUUAAUGACAUUUCUCUUAUUUCUUACCACUUGUGCUAAAUCUUAAUUACUAGUGCUACUAAUCUUCUUGUGUUUUUCCUUAAGCUUUAAAAUUGUCUUCAUACUCUGUUUUCCAACUCUUUUUGAUAUAACAAAAAAGGAGAGAAUAUUUUGAGUAAAUUUGCUAGCUUUCUUGACUUCCAUGCCUGGACUUUCUUGAAAAUGUUUUUAAAUUUUUCUCAAAUGCCUUGAAAGGUAAAAUUAAAUUCAGGGGGAGUUCAUCAUGACCAAGUUUAGCUAUUAAUUUUUAUCAUAUAAAAAAAAGGAGAUUGUUAGCUUUAAAAUUGAGCCUAGUUUUGAAAUGACAAAAUUCAAUGAUCUAAAUAUGCUUUGAAACUAAGUGAAAAUGAUUUUGAACAUGAAAAACAAUCCUUAAAGAGUUUUAAAGUUGUUUGUGAAAAGAAAAACCUUUUGAACAAUUUAAAUCUCAAAUUCCAACUAUUAGAAUCAACUUCUGAUAGUGAACUAAUCGAUCUUUGUGAAAUAGAAAGCAAUAUUUCUUUUCUGGAAUAGAAAGAAUAGACUUCUUCGAAAAGGAAACAUCGAUUCGUGAAGCUACAAAAGCUACUGGAAGAAUGAGAAUCAAUAUCUAAAUAAGUAAAGGUCGAUUCCAGAGAAAGUAGAAACAAUGUGGAAAGUCAUUGAAAAGCAAGAACAGACUUCUCAAGCAUCAAGUAAUUGAUUCCUAAAGCUACAAAGAGACAAAUAAAAAAAUAUCAAGAACUUGGAGAAAAAGAAAAGAUGGGACAAAAAGACAAGAUGGAGCAGGAAAAUGCAAAUUUGAACUUUGAUUUUGGUGCCUAAAGUGGAAGAAGAAUUGAUAUCUAGAAAAGAGAAGAUCGAUUCUCAAGAAAUCAUAAAGUUACUAACUUUAAAGUGGGAUGAGAAGAAUCAAUAUCUCAAGAAUGCAAAGAUCGAUUCUUAAAAAAUAGAAAGCUCCAAAUUUGAACUGAAACAAGAAGAAUCGAUAUCUCAAGAAUGGAAUGGUCGAUUCUCAAAAGACAAAAAGCUUCAUACUUCAAGUGAGACAAGAAAAAGUGAUAUCUCAAGAAUGGAAAGGUUGAUUCUAAAAAAACAGAAAAUUUUGGGAUAUAAAAUAAUCGAUAUCUAACAUGUCUAUUGACAAAUUCUUUAAGUUCGAUUAGUGUGAUUCAAAGUGUCCCAACUUUCAGCAAUGAGACAAAAUCUAUUCUAACAAGAAAAAAUCAAAAAGGACUAUAAAUACCUUUGUGAAGAUUGCCAUUUGUAAGGUGACAAACUAGAAAAUGAAGAGAAAAAAAAAAUCAUUUUGAGAGUAGAAAAAAGCUGAGAUUUUUAAAAGAUCAUUCUUUUUCUAUCUCUAUAGUAGAUUCUCCUACAAAAGCCUUCAUAUUUUAGUUCUUACUUUCUGAAAUAUCUUCAUCCUCUUGUACUUAACUUGCUCAUCAGCCUUUUGAGGUCUUAAGUAUGGAAAACUUGUAAGAAUCCAUUAUUGUAAGGUUAUACAUCCAUUGCAAAAGGUAGUGUAAGGUUAUACCUCCACUAUAAAAGAUAAAGAAAGGUUAUACUUCUAGUGUAAAAGGUUGUGUGUGUCUAUACCUCCACUGUAAAAGGUAAUGAACAGUUAUACCUCUAUUACAAAAAGUAGUGUAAGGUUAUACCUCUUCAAGAAAGGGUAGUGUGCUAAAAGUUAUGCUUGAACUUGACUUAAAAGGAAGUGGUUAGUGGAUUCAAACUCCUUGUGCUAUCUAAGGAAAGGAUGUAAGGCUUUAAGGGCCAAAGUUCUAUAAAAUUGUGGCUGAGUACUCUUUCCUUUUUUAUCUUCUUUACUAGCUUCAUUCUUUAUCUUCUUAAGUUUUUCUACUUUGAUAUUUAAGGUCUAUCCUAAAAAGCUCUUAUUUUUAACUCAAUUCUAAAAGAUCCAAUUUUUAUUUAAGUAACCAAUUCACCCCUGUCACGACCCGAAACCUUCAUUGAGUCCGUGACAACUGCCGCGAUGUCCCGAUAGGCACUCAUCCCCCAAAUACCAUAUCGAGACCUCGCAAGGCUUUCGUAUCAGUUUUUUAUCUCUCCUGUGAUUAAUCGUUGCCAAAUGUCGUAUUUUAGAGGCUUUUAAGCCUUUUUUCGAUUUAAAACAGUGAAAAAAUAAAUUUCACUUCACAAGGACAUUUUGGUUAUUUUUCGUUAAAAAUUUCAAAUUCGACCAAAAUGUAAUACUUAAGUGAGAAAUGCAUAUUUCGAAAUUGAAAUUAAAUUUGAAUGUCUAAAACGUGAUUUAAAAUGGAAUUAUUACCAUUUAAAUAAAAUAAAAAUAUUUUACAAAAUAUUCUAUUUUCUUACAAAUUAAUAUUUAUAGAGUAUUCUGAAAAUGAUUUUUAGUAGCGUAAAAGUUUAAUAUAUUUAUACAAACUAUAAUACGGAAAACCAAAGUAUGAAAUUUAAUUUACAGUGCUACAUGAGCCCACAAAUGAACAAAAGUAGUAAAGACAGUAAACCUACAGUUUUUGAAGUAGUAUGGCCAACUAUAGUUCUCGAUCAUGUCUACUAUCUAUAGGCUAACCCGGCCUGAAAUGAUGGGAUAAAAAAAAAGGGUGAGAUUAUAAAAUCUCAGUGAGUAAACAAACACCAUCUAAAUAAUCUAAAGGCGAGUAAAGGGAGACAAUUAAAAAUAAUUCAUUUCAGCAAAUUUUUCACAUCACGAGUAUUCAUUUCAACCAAAUAAUCAAUAUGGCUCGUGAAUUACUCAAAACUUGGCUCAUGCCAAAUCUUGUACUCGGUGACACCUAGACCAAGGGCAUCCAACCGAGUCCGUCAAGGUUGUUAAAAAUUCAUAUUUCGCAUAAAUCAUAUUUUUAUUUUGAAAUAUAGCCGUUCCUUGGCAUUAGCUGAGUCUCACUCUCACGUAGUGGUCCACGUGAAGUGCACUCAAAAAGCCCACCUCAGGAGAUACCCUACGCGCCUCUACGACCGAGGUAAGAAUAUAAAGGAGUUUACCGUGCCCCUCUAAUAGGCUGGCCCACGGAACCCCCCACUACUGCAGUAGCUAAUCUUUUAUCUACCACCUGAUUUAUAAAAUCUUUUUCUGCAUGACAUGGUAAUUUAUCGCAACCUAGCCUCUCAAGGCUAAAUACACAGUAUAAAUAAUUCUAACACCAAAAUCAGUUUAGCCAUUCAUGCUCAUUUAUUGUCAUAAGCCAUUCAAUUUAAAACCAUAAAUUUACAAUACAAGCAGGCAGUCUCUAAUUACUCUAUUUUCAAAACCAGUAUUCGAUUUUCUAGAAAAUUUAUAAAAUCAUUUUANNNNNNNNNNNNNNNNNNNNNNNNNNNNNNNNNNNNNNNNNNNNNNNNNNNNNNNNNNNNNNNNNNNNNNNNNNNNNNNNNNNNNNNNNNNNNNNNNNNNNNNNNNNNNNNNNNNNNNNNNNNNNNNNNNNNNNNNNNNNNNNNNNNNNNNNNNNNNNNNNNNNNNNNNNNNNNNNNNNNNNNNNNNNNNNNNNNNNNNNNNNNNNNNNNNNNNNNNNNNNNNNNNNNNNNNNNNNNNNNNNNNNNNNNNNNNNNNNNNNNNNNNNNNNNNNNNNNNNNNNNNNNNNNNNNNNNNNNNNNNNNNNNNNNNNNNNNNNNNNNNNNNNNNNNNNNNNNNNNNNNNNNNNNNNNNNNNNNNNNNNNNNNNNNNNNNNNNNNNNNNNNNNNNNNNNNNNNNNNNNNNNNNNNNNNNNNNNNNNUUUUCCUACUUGAUUUUCUUUCCAUAAUUCAUUAAUUUCCAUAUCAAAAACCAUGAUUUCAUAAUCAAAUAACCUAAAAUAACAUCACAUUCUUCCUCACCAUUGACUUGAAAAUUCAGCUAAGGCUAGGUAAUGGGAAAAAUGAAUGUUUUUCUACAUAUUUUGUUUACUAACAUGUUAAACUAACACUAAACACUAACAUAUAUCAAAAUCAAAUCAAUCCAACAAUUUUCUCUUUCUAGACCCAUAUGACCAGCCAUGAAAUCACCAUGGAAACAUGCAAAUUAAUCAUGGAAAAUAAGGAAAAAUGCUUGGGAAUAAGAAAACUCAAGCUUAAUAGAAAAAAUCUUACCUUUUUCACUUAAUUUCCUUGAAAAUUCACACUUUUUCUUUGAUUUUCUCUUUCUAGAGUUUGGUUUUUAUUUUCUCUCUCUUCUUGCUGGUUUGGCUGACCAUGGGGUAGAAGAUAGGCUGGUUUUUGUGCCUUUUAAAAAGAAAAAAUAAUAAAUUAAUAAAGGCAUGACACGUGGCAUCAUGUCAUUGGCCUAUUUUUUUAAAAUUUUGACUUUUCAUUUUAAUUUUCCACCACACCUUUAUUCCAUCUUUAUCCAUUUCCACCAUAAUUAAAUUCCACAAAUUUGACAAGUGUUGGGGUUGCAAAAUUACCAUUUUACCCUCGGUAUGGUAAAAUUAUCGUUUUGCCCCUAUACUCCAAAAAUACCAAGAAUUGAAAAUUUCUCACUCCUCAAACUCCAAUUAUGUUCUAAAUAAUCUAAAUAAUUAAUCUUGAUCAAUUGUUACCAAAUUUUUUUUUAAAAUUCCCGUUUUGUCCUUAAAUGACAAAAUGACUGUUUUAUCCCUAAUCGGUCAAUUCUUCUGAUUGACUCCAAAUUGGACCUCGAACUCCGAAUCACUGUUUUGAGAAAUCCUUGGACUGUGAAAUUUGAAAUUUCAUCUUAAAAUUCCUAUUUUAAUUAGUUCGAGGUAUAAAUCAACUUAAUUGUACUUUUAAGUACAAUACCGGCUUUUACCUAUUUUACCGAGAUAUUCUAGUACACAGGCAUGAUGUCAACUAUAUGUAUGACCUAACAGAUAAUUUAGGGCUAGGCUUGACAACCCCUCUCUUGGUGACUUUACUUUAAGCUUCUUUACCUAACACACUUUACCUGUAACAUCUCCCUACUUCACUUCUUGUUCCAUCUUAUCACUGUUUGCCACCGAUUCAACACUUUCUAUGGAAUUAUUCUCCCAUUUGAUAGAAGAAGACAAGGUCGUGGGAAACUCUAAUACCAUCUCAAGAUAGAUUUCUUACACAAAAAUCUAGAAAAGUUGGACCCAACAUGCAAUUCAAUGGUCUCAUCUAUUUUUCUUUGAUCCUUAAUGAGAAUUAACAUAAGCAUACAUUCAAACCUAAUGCAUUUUGAAAACUUUUUACCAAGGCUCAUAAACUCCCUAUAUAGUAUCGUAAUCUCCUGGAUUGUAAGUUCAUUCCAUGCAUGAAUGGGGAUGCUUGAACCUAAAAGCCAAUACCCGCAUUUCUUUAUGGUCAAUUUAGUUGACCAAUCAUUUUCAUAACCUCUUUUUUGGGGUCAUGUGACUUGCGCUAUGACUUACAUGGGUAUGGCCCACUAGUGCUAAGCAAGCCUUGCAAUCAAUACAUGAGUGGGCUAGUCAUCCACAACAUUCAUUACAUGAUCAUUCAAUGAAAAUAAAUUCAUAUAAGCACAGGCUCUAUCACACAAUUAUGGAACUAGUCAACAAAAGGUAUGGAAACUCCAUCGAGAUUUAGAGUUUGAGGUCAGUGAUCAUGUAUUUCUUAAGUCUCACCAACUAAAGGCAUCAAGAGGUUUGGCAAGAAAGGCAAAUUGAGCCCAAGGUAUAUUGGUCCUUCUGAGAUUCUCAAAAAGGUUAACGUAGUAACAUAUUGAGUAGCACUUCCAUUGGAUCUUGCUAGCGUACACCCGAUAUUUCAUGUUUUGGUACUUUGAAAGUACCAUCUAGAUCCAUCUCAUGUGAUUCAACACGAGACCAUUCCCUUGGAAGAGUAAUUAAGUUAUGUAGAGGAGCCUAUAGCCAUAUUAGAUAGGCAAGUGAAGAAACUUUGUUCCAAAUAGGUAACCUUAGUCAAGGUGCAAUGACGUAAUCACUCUAGCGGAAGAAGUGACAUGGGAACUCGAGGACAAGACAAGAGUAAAGUGCCCACACCUUUUUUAGUAGUACGUUAUACACUUGUAUGUAAAUUUGAGGAUAAAUUCUCUUAAAGGGAUGAAUAUGAAACCCUAACCUUACGUUGAGUGACAUUAUUUAAAAUUAAGUGAAUGGAUUACACGUUAAUAUAAUUUAGAAGUUGGAUGAGUUUUCCCAACUAUAUUGUGAUAAAUUUUCUUUACUACUAUGUUGAUUUGAUGUGAACUUGAUGGGUGAAAGAAUGGUACGAAAAGGAAACCAAAGGAAUAAAUUUUUGCAAGGUAAGGCAUGAAGCGUCGACCCUCAUGGAGUACUAGUUGAUCCUUAGAGGAAUUUUGGCUUAAGUUGGCUAUUGAAAUUGCCAAAGAUCAACCCCUGAGGAAGGGAAGGUCGAUCCUAGCAUCACAAAACAUUUGAAUUAGCUUCUAGAUAUGUCUAGGAUCGACCCCUGAAGAAAAGAAGGUCGAUCCUUCCAAAAUGAAACACUUAGAAACUUUUUAAAAACUCAAGGAUCGACCCUCAAUGGCUAAAGGGUUGAUCCCUACAAGUUGGAACUAAGAAAUAGUUACUGGAAAUCAAACGAAUCGACCCCCUAAAGGCAAGGGGUUGAUCCCUACAAGUCUAUGAAGAAAACAUUUAACUUGGGGAUCAACCCCCAAGAUCUAAAAGUUCAAUCCCUAGGCUCCAGAACAGAAAAAAAUGAAAGCCUUAGUCAUAAUUUUUCCCUCAUUUCUCAUUUCUCUCAGCUUCGAAACAAUCUAUCUCAUUCUCCAAACCCUCUCUUAGCCUCUAUUGAUUCCAUAUAGUAAAGACUAAGCUUCCAACUUUUUUUUUAGGUAAGAUUUAACCAUUUUUUAGGUUAACAACCAUGUUCCUCUAUAAAUUUGAAUGUUUUACGAAUUUCAACACAUAACCUUUAUUUUGAGUUGAGGAUUUUUUAGGGUUUUACUCUUCAAGGAAGUAUUUGAGGUAUGGAUGUUUAACGUUUCAUUAUAAAAGCUUUGGAUUUGAAGUUUUAUGGAUUAUUGGUUUAAAAUGAAGAAAUUGGGUUUACUCAACUAGUUUCGAAUACAUAGAUUUAUGGUAAAUUAGGAAACUUAUGUUAGAAAUUGUUGUGAUAGGAUUUGUUAAGCUUGAGUAUUGUAAAACGGGUGAGGUUGAUGAAGUAAGGCUUAGAAGCACGUUUUUGUCAAGGUAAGUGGAUACACCACUUUAAGUAUUUUAUAUGGUAAAGCUAAGCAUGAUUUAUCGACUUGAUUGACUCACAUAAUUAAUGCUAUAUUGAUUUUGAUAAAUCUAAAAUGUUUAAAGGCAAAUCAUUUCAAAUUAGUUUUUCAAAUCUACUAUGUAUGUAAAUAUCUCUACUAUAUAUUAGUUUUCAACAAGAGGAACAAGCCCUUUCAAUGGUUUUCUUCAAAAAGAUCCUAAUGGUACGAUUAGUAUGAAUGGCAUGUAUGUUUGAUGAAUGUAUAGUAGAGGUGAUCACUCCCACCCUUAAGUUAUGAAAUGAUAGUAAAUGUAUGUUUAUGAUGAUGUCAUGCAUAGAUGGAUGUGGACAUUCCUAUUUAUAGCAAUGUUUAUGUAAUAUAUAUCAUGGCAUGAAAUGCAUGAUUAUGAAAUAGUAUGUGAUGUGACCUUCACAUACAUGAUGAAUUAUGCAAGAGAUGAUUUAAUGAGUGUGAAUAUGAGAUCACGAUAUGUAUUAUGGAUGUGACAAAUCCUAAAGUUAAAGGAAUCAUGGAUGAGGCUAAUAUGCCACUCAAGGAAGUUAAGGGAAUCUGAGAUAGUGGAGAUUAUUCUACUAUCUGUCUAGAGAUAGGACGAGGACCAUUCAAGUGUGGCUGAGGCUGAUGUGCCACUCACAUGAGCUUAAAAAGAAUCUAAGGUAGCGGAGAUUAUUCCACUAUUCGUCUUGAGUUGGGGUAGGGACCACUCAAUCGUGGGUGAGGCAGAUGUGCCACUCAUGAAAAGUAAAGGAAUUUAAGGUAGUGGGAAUUAUUCCACUAUCCAUUCUAAGUUGGGACGGAUACUACUCACUAUGGGUAAGAUGAUGUGAAUGAGAUGGAUAUUGUAUUCUUAUUGUGUAAUGUUGUUAUGAUUGAUGUUAAGUUAUGUGGAAUGUGUAAUGAUUAUAUAGAGGUUUAACAAGUACAAAAGUUAGAAUAAGGGUGUAUACUAAAAUGUAAUGAAUGGAACCCACCGUAUAGGGUGUGAAUGCAAGAUUAGUACCAUUACCAAAAGUAAGGUUUCGGUACCUAUGAAAAAGGAAAUCUCUUGUUUUCUCCUCUUAAAUGUUUUGUGUAUGGAACUAUAACCUUGUUUAUCCAAAACUUGGAUUUAACCUACAUUUAUAAGGAAUGAUUUGAAAUGAUAUUUAUUAAGCAUUAAAAGAAGCUAUAUGCAUGUUUAUGAAACUCAUGUUGUUUUUGCAAAGUAUGUUUUAUUGAAAAAACUCUUACCUUUGGCUUGUCCCUUUUUCGUAUUCACUCACGAAGUCUUUAUGACUCACAAAUUAGUUUCGUCUUUUUUUUCUUUUUUUUUUUUUUUUGGUAGAUCAAUGAGUAGAGUUAUAUAGCAAUCCAUGUCACAGAAACAAGAUCCAUCCUUUAUUGGUAGGUGAUCUAGCAGCCAUUUAAAGCCUAGAGAGUUAGGUCAUGUUUCCUUGACAAGUCGGUAUUUAUACUUUUGUUUAUAAAUACUUGACUAUGUUUGACUGUUAAGCCAUUGAAUGGCAUUAUACUUAUAUGAAAUUGUAUAAAUGUGAUAGAUGACAACUUAAGAGCCCAUAUGAGCACCAGGGGUGCGGUUCAAUGUUGAUACGAGAUAUAUGAUUAUAAAUGCUGUUAAUGAAAUGUGUUUACACAUUUUAUAUUGAGAAGUUUCAUAACUGUGUAAUUAUGCCUAUGCAUGGAUGUAUGCACUUAUAGUAUUAAAUGAUUUUAUGGAUGAUGAUGGUGGCUAACAAGCCCACAUAUGAAUGAAUAAUGAAUGAUUGAUUAUUAUCAAGUUUACUAGGGCUUAGAGGGCCAUACACACGUAAGACCUAGUGCCAAUCAUGAUCUUACAGAAAACAAGAUGUAACACUAAGCAAACUAAAGAAAAAAAACAAUAAAUCAAAUAUAUUUGAUUAAAAAAAUUUACUACUUUAACCUAUUAAAUAUAAUCUAGAGGAAAUUGUGAGAAAUAACCUUCCUCAUAAGCCCAAUUCAAAAAUAUCACUUUUUAUAAUUUUAACUAUUUUUAGUCAAUUUUUGACAUGACUUACAAUAAUACCCUUUAAACAAUUUCAGACAAAUUAAAAUGGUUUCAGUUUUCUCUAUCCUGCCAUCUAGAUAAAAAUUUCAAAAUAAAAUGUCGAUUUCUCUCUCUAAUCAAAUACUGUUUAUCUUGCUAUCCAAAGCGUAGAGAUGACAUCAAGCUCUUUCUUAUUUUGUUUUAUUUUUUUGGAUGAUGGAUCUUGGGGUUCUCAAGAGCUAUAAACAGCAAUUUUGCUCUUUGCAGGCAGCGAUUUUGCUCAUGGAAAAGGAACAGCUAAAGCAUGUUUGAUGGGUUUUAUGGUGGUUCACGAUUUUGUUGUGUUUGGGAUUGAGAUGAUUGUUAAGAAUGUUUACUGGGGAUUUUGAUUUUUUUUAUGAGAUUUUGAGUUGAAAUUGUUCAGGGAAUAUUUUGUAAAUGGGGUAUAUUUUAUUUUUGUAUAAGGGGGUGAGCAAGGCCCUCUCGAUAGGAAUAUAUUUUGUCUUGCUUUGGAGGGUUAUGGAGUUUUGUAACCUAUUUUUUAUGAAAUGCACAAUGUCAUGGCUUAGCAAAAAAAAAAAACGUAUGUGUUUUGGUUCUUGAGUUUAUUAGUUUAUUCAUAGAAUCCCAAAGUUGAGGAGUUGAAAUUGAUUAGACUAGUUUUUAAGUAUUGUGAGACUAAUUUUUAGGUAUUGCGUGACUUAAUCACUGUGUGACUAGUUUUUAGGCAUUAUGUGAUUGGUUUUAGGCAUUACGUGACUAGUUUUUAGAUAUUACGUUACUGAUUUUUAAACAAUGCCUUACUAGCAAGUCACGCAAUGUCUUACUAACAAGUCACGUAAUACCUUACUAAUAAGUCACGCAAUGCCUUACUAAUAAGUCACGCAAUGUCUUACUAACAAGUCACGUAAUACCUUACUAAUAAGUCACGCAAUGCCUUACUAAUAAGUCACGCAAUGCCUAUCAACUAGUCACGCAAUGCCAUAUCAACCAGUCACACAAUAUUUAAAAACUAGUCACGCAAUGCCCAAAGUCAGUCACGCAAUGCCUAAAAACUAGUCACGCAAUGCCCAAAAACCACAAAAACUACUGAAUUUCAUUUAACAAAAUCAACAACUUCAGACGAUACACCAUAUUCCAUUUAACAACAUAAUUAACGAAUAUGCCUACUUGACAAAGAAUAUUUAAAAUGUUCAAAAGUUUUUCUUCAUAUAUCAAAAAUCACUCAAAAAUACUUAAAAAUACUCAAAACGCUCAAAGGUUUUCUUCGUGUAUCAAAAACUACUCCAAAAUGCUCAAAAUGCUUAAACGCUUGCUUUCUGAUAAGGAAUACUCCAGAGAUGAAUAGUCAUACGAGGAAAGUUCAAAGAAUAUGAGUUAGUUUGAGGCGCAAACCUAAACAUACUUGACCCGUUAAUAGGUUUCGGGUUGAGACGCGGAGCGAAAUAAAUGGAUCAGUUUCAUUAAGGGCAAUUUUGUCUAAAUUUUAAUUCUCUUGGCUAAAAAUAGUUAGAAUUAUAAAGAGGUCUAUUGUAAAAAUGCCUUAUGCAUGAAGCCUAUUUAAAAAAAGAACUCUAUAAUCUAAACAUGACUUUUGUCCCUGUUCAAACAACGAAAUAAUUGUACUCAAACAUAAUUUAAUUAUUUUUGUUCUUGAUAAAAAGUUUCAAAUUAGUUUAAUACAGCCGUAUGUUCACUUUUCUUUUAGGUGAGAGGAGCAGCAAAAAUAUUUUACCAUGUUACUUUUUUUAUGAGUUUACCAUGCUACCUAAUUACCAGAAAAUUUGUUUUCUUUUUGGUAAAUAUUUACAACAUAAAGUUGUCACAAGCUACAUGGAUAUAAUAAAUAAUUAAAAAUUAAGACUUCAAUUAAACAAAUUAAUGUCAAGGUCCAAUUUUAGUACUAUAGCUUUGUAGCAUUGAAGGCGAUGGCAUUUUUAGGUGGGCAAUCCAGUACAGGAGAGGGUAUAGCUUGGUACUUUUCGAUAUGUCCUAAAGUUUAGUAUUUUCUGUGGUUAAUGGUUCUAGAAAGCAUUCCACUAGAAGCUUUUUAAAAGCUAGAGGCAUAUUCCUUUGAUAAUGAGAGUUUGUUGUGUGCUUGGUAUAGUCUUGUUGAGGAGGAAUGGCUUCACAUGUAUCAGUUUUCAUGGGGAGUAUAGUACUGCAUUUUUUAAUGGUGGGGUUUUAAUUGGGUAAUGUCGUCUUCGUCUUCGAUCUCGACUAAGGUAAAGCUUUGUGAAGAUCUUAUGGUGAACAAUUUACUACAAAGAAGAUGGAUGCCAGUGGUGGGCGCUAUGUUAUGGUCUCUUUGACUAGCUAGAAAUGAUUUGAUCUUCAACUCUAAGAAAUGGGAAAGGGAGGAGGUUGUUUUUAUACUUAAGAUGAGAGUGAAGUUUUGGUUUAACGCAAUUGAGAAGGAAGAGGCUUAGCUGAGAUUGGUUGGCGAAAUAUGCCUUAGUUGUCGAAUAGGGUGCAGUUAAUUGUAGGACCUAGGAGGGGGAUUCCUUGGACUCCCCCAAACGUUGGUUAGUUGAGAUUUAGUGUCAAUGGUUCUGCAAGAGGUAAACAUGACCGGGUAGGUUGUAAAGGUGUCUUUAGAGAUAGCAGUGGUAUUAUUAUUGGUAUUUUCUUUGGCCCCUUAAGUGAACUUGAGUCUAACUGUGCUAAAGUUAAGGCUAUUAAAACUGCUUUACAUUUUAAAAUCUCUGGUAUUAGAAUCAGAUUCUUGUGUUGCUCUAUCAUGGAUAUCAAAACCAGAUGACCAAUCAUGGACUUUAUGAAAUAUUUUUGCUGAAAUUGGCAAGUUGCAAAGGGCGAUUGGAGGGGUCACUUACAAGCAAAUCUGCAGAGAGACUAACUACUUCGCCGAGUCUCUUGCAAAAACGGGGAUUGGCUGAUCCAAUAUGUUCAGUGCCUACGGGUGAUGAGAGCAUGGAAUGUUGCGGUUCCUUUGAGAAUUUUGCUAUUUCCUUAUUUUUCUUUCUGUUUGUAUUGUAACGAGCUUAACUGUUGUCAUCAUUUUUCUGGUCAUUUCGGUGUUUCAUGUUUUUGUUUACUCCCGUUCAACAAUUUGGACUAUGAAAUUCGUAAGCCACUUCUCUAUUAAUAAAAAGGACUUAUUUGAAAAAAAAAAGAAUAGCGUUGGAGCAUUGCCAGACAUGUGGCGAGGUCAGGGUUCCUAGGAUCCCACGGAUCCAACAGUACUUAUCCGCAAAUUGCUUAAGACUUGGUCCAAAGGAAAAUAGUAUUUCAGUGGUGUUUGUGCCAGAAGACAGAGAAAUCGAGAAUGACAAAAGCUGCAUUCUAUGCACAUCUUGAUCAAAAACUCUCAUUGAUAAUUACUGAUGAUUAUCUAAGCCACAAAGAAAGAAUACAAAAGCUAGCAUAUUUUUACGUCAUAAUCCUUUAUAUGGAAUCAACCAAUAUCCGUAUGACAUUAUUAGAAAAAAGAAAGAGUGCUUUUAAUUAAUUAUUCGAUAGGGAAUAUACGUACUUAACAAAUUUAUGGUGCAAAUGCAUCUAUACAUGAUCGCUGGGCUAUUUUAUACUCAAAUUUAUGUCCAUGCGUUACAUCUUUGAGUAGAAGUUUGGAGGUACUGAUUAGCAUAACCAAGAUAAUGUCAAAUGACUGUAUGAGAAAGGGGUAUGGUUAUGUUGUGUAUUUUCAUUUGUUGGAUAAUUUGUAAUAUUUAAAAGUUUCAUAUUAAAAAAUAAUUAUUCAAAACAUAACUUUUUUAAUAAAUAAAAAUAUUUUGAACAAACACAAUUAUUGAAAAUUGUUCACUAAACACGUUUGUUGAAACACAAUACAUAUAUUUGUAAAAAUACUACAGAUACAUCUAUUGAAAUAUAACAAACAUAACUUUUUAGUUUUUAUAAAAAAACUUACUUCUAAGACAGACUUCAUUCUUCAAAAGCGUUCUGUAAUAAGUUUGCUAUAUCUUAUAGAGUCUUUAUCUGCAAAUCCACAUAAUAGAUAAUAACUCUUUAAACAAAGUAUGUUAUAGCACUCCUCAAGCAUUUCUCCUUACUAAUUUUCUAACAAUAGCAAAUCGGUCAAGUUUGAUGAAUUCUUAAUUCAUGAAUUGAAAUCUCGAAUUUGACUUAGGUUUUAUUAAAAACAACUUUUUACAAAAAAAUGUGUUACAACAUGCCUCAUUCCUUUCUAUUUUUUUCUUAUACUAAUUUUCUAACACCAUAGAAAGUUCAUAACCGGGAAAAUAGGAGGCAAUGCAGUAUCCACGAGGAUUACUACAUACACCGCAUGAAAGGAUCUGCCAAUGUCUGUCUGUUUCCUAGAUUCCAACUUCAUUGCUAAAUGAAUGUUCAUUCUAAAAAUUUGGCACCAACACUACUUAUUAAAACCACGUGGAAGGAUCCGCCAAUGUCAAUGCUCGUUUCCAGUUUACACAAGCAAAUUAAUUCACGGCACUAAGCCCGCCGAAGAAUUUGAAUACCUAACGUUCCUUCAGUUUUCAUCGUUUGACAAGUUAAUGAAGAAAAUAAUUUUGUUAAGAAGUGCUACAAGUAAGACCACUACCCUUUUGUCAGAAGGAAUUCAAAUAUGUUUAAGAUCUUAUGAUAAAAUCUAAAUAGUUAUUCAUCUUAAUCAUUCAUUAAUUUUUGUUCUUUUAUAAAAAAAUUGAGAGCACACUAGUUGUUCCAACUUCAUUUUAGGUCGCAAAUGUUGAGAAUUAUCUCUUCUAGUGAAUAACAUUAAAACAAGUUAUUAGUAAGACUCAAAUCCAAAUGAAUUAUGUUGGGGUACAUUACCUUACUGAUUAAACUGAUUUGUCAUUGUUAUUUAUUAAAGUUUGUUUGGUUUAUAUUUUUAGCUUUUAUUAAAUUUUUUCUUUUCCUUUUUCUAUUUAUUUUUUAUAAAAAAUAAAAAAAAAUACAUCGAUAAACAAACUUAAUGAUGCCUUCAGCUAUGGGUGUUGCUGAUUGUUUCAAUUCUUAAUUUUUUGUAUUGUAAGAAAUGGAUAUUUCUACCUUUAGUACCACAAACGAGGAAAUGGAUGCUUCUUUUUUCAUUUUCAACUUAAGAUUGUUUAUUAUUUUUAUUCAAUCUCAAAGUUUUAAUUCAUUUAGAUUGUGUGUUUUGAUAUCAUGCUAUGCUUUAUGGAAUGGUUCAGCUUAUUCUUCAGUGCUUCUGCCAUUUCUUUUCUUACCAUUUUGUUAAAAUUUAUCAUCACAAACUUCUGUUUAUAAUGUUUCUUUUUCUUUAUCAUAUGUUAUGUACUUUUGUUUAGCUUAUUGUUGUGAGGUGCAGUAUUCAUAAUUCCUGACAUGAAUUGCUGAUAAAAUUUUAUAAAAAAGACAUGGUCAAAAACUUAAGAAAAUCAUGACAUUGUCACGACAAAUUAAUUUCUUUGUAAAGAGGAAUAAAUUUUGGUUGACUGCAUGAUAGAGAGAAUUUGGCUUGAAAGUCCUGGAUCAUACCUAUGAUCGAGGAGAGGCUAACUAGAAGUAAGACUUGGAAACGUGUGAGUGAUGGGGAAUUAUUGUAUAGUAUGUAAUGGGAAUGGUAAUAUUUGGACUUGGAUGAAUGUAUAGUGUACUUACUAUUAUGCAGUAAUUCUAUGCCACUUGAAUUUCAUCAUGUUUUUCAUAUCUACAAAAUUUAAAGAAGAAAAAAAAGAGAACAAAUGGCGAAUGGUUAACUAAGAAUUUCAAAGUCAAAGAAAUACAAAUUCCCUAAUUUCAUUUAUAAAAUAAUAAAAACAUUUUGACAAUGAUUAUCUCAUGCAUUAAAGCCUACACUGUUUGUGGCGAAGGGAAUGACUGACUUAAAAAGUUUUGUUGACUUUGCAUGGCCGGCCUCGCAAAUUUCUUUUUUAUUAGUCGAUGUUUUGCACACGUAGGUUUAGGACACUCCGGUUUUUACCUUGACGUAAACAUUCCGGUUCUGUUCAUGGAUCAACUUUGGAUUCUUUUGGCGGCCUAAAUGGAUUGAUUGAUCUGAUGGGACUUUGAGGUCUUGGAGACAAUGAAAAUCUGAAGCACCCAUUGGAACAGAGUGGUCAAUUAAUGGGGGGAAAUGUUGCUGCCCUCCGAAGGCCUUGUAGAGGUAACCAAGGUAUUUAGAAACUGGAGAGGCCAGCGCACAUUCUAUAUUUAGACAUUUGUUGGUGUACAAUAUCGAUAGUCAAUAGUAUCCCAAAUCAGCCGAAAUGAAAUUUUUUAACACGUUGCGUUCGUGAAGUUCUUUUAGAAUUUUCAUUUCAUUCUGCAGGUAUUUUUUUAAUGCCCAUACUCAACCUCACCACAUCACUGAUAGCUGGUUUUGCUAAGGCUGUUUUCUAUGCGUUCUUACGAGGAGCUAAACCCACAAACUACCCAACGAGCAAGGCCAAAACCGAAGCCUGUCUGCCUCAUCUGGAAGCUGUGAAACAUCAACAAUCCAAUUUGAAAAAUGAAAAAAUCCUUGAAACCCACAUUAUCUUGAACUCAUUUGUUACUCAUUUAUCUUUUCUUUCUAAUGUCACGGAUCUCAUAUCAGUAAGAGAUGAAAUAAAUUUGAGUAUAUAAAUAUGGAUCUUCUAUCAUCUAUCAAGUAUAUUUUUUAGAUUAAGAACGUAAACUUAUAAAUUAUAGUACUUUUCAUAAAUUGGCUUGAGGCAUAAGGCGUUUUUAAGAAUGAUCCUCUUUAUAAUUUUUUCUAUUUUUAGCCAAGAGAAAAAAAAUUAGAUAAAAUUAUCCUCCAUGAAACCGACCCAUUCGCUAGGCUCCGUGCCUCAACCCGAAACCUAUUAACGGGUCAAGUAUGUUUUGAUUUGUGCUUCAAACUGACUCAUAUUUUUUGAGUUUUUCUCACCAAACUAUUCAUCUCUAGAGUAUUUCUUCUUAGAAAGAAAAACGUUUAAGCAUUUUGAGUAUUUUAGAGUAGUUUUUGAUACACGAAGAAAAUCUGUGAGCGGUUUGAGCAUUUUUAAACAUUUUAGAGUGAUUUUUGAUAUAUGAAGAAAAACUUUCGAACAUUUUGAGCAUUCAUAUUUGUUAAUUAUGUUGUUAAAUGGAAUAUGGUGUAUCGUUUGAAGUUGUUAAUCUUGUUAAAUGGAAUUCAAUAGUUUUGGUGAUUUUUAAGAAUUAUAUGACUAGUUUUUAGGUAUUGCGUAACUGAAUUUGGGCAUUACGUGACUAGGCAUUACGUAACUAAAUUUGGGCAUUGCGUGACUAAUUUCUGAUAAGGCAUUGCGUGACUAGUUUUUUAUAAGGCAUUGCAUGACUAGUUUUUGAUAAGGCAUUGCAUGACUAGUUGAUAGGCAUGACAUGACUUGUUAGUAAGGUAUUGCAUGACUAGUUAGUAAGGCAUUGUGUGACUUAAGCAUUGCUUAAAAAUCAGUCAGUCAAUGUGUAAAAACUAGUCACGUAAUGCCUAAAACCAAUUACGUAAUGACUAAAAAUUGUCACACGGUGAUUAAGUCACAUAAUACCUAAAAAUCAAUAAACUCAAUUUUGGAGUUCUAUGAAUAAACCAAUAAAUUCAAGAACCUAAAAUACAUUUUUUUUUUUUUGCUAAGCCAUGAAAUUGUGCAUUUCAUAAAAGAUAGGUUACAAAACUCCAUAACCCUCCGAAGCAAGAGAAAAUAUAUCCCUAUCGGGAAGUCUUGCUGACUCCCCUUAUACAAAAACAAAAUAUACCCUUUUUACAAAAUAUUCCCUGAACAAUUUCAACUCAAAAUCCUAUAAAAAAAAUCAAAAUCCCUAGCAAACAUGUUUAACAAUCAUCUCAAUUCCAGACACAAUAAAAUGUGAACCCUCAUAAAACCCAUCAAACAUGUUUUAGCUGUUCUUUCUCCCUGAGCAAAAUCACUGCUUGCAAAGAGCAAAAUUGCUGUUCAUCGCCCUUAAGAACCCUAAGAUCCUGAGCAAAAUCGCUGCCUGCAAAGAGCAAAAUUGUUGUUCAUCUCCCUUAAGAACCCUAAGAUCCACCAUUCAAAAAAAUAAAACAAAAUAUAAAAAAAAGCUUGAUGUCAUAUCUGCGAAUUGGAUGGCGAGAUAAACAUAUUUGAGAAUAGAGAAAUCGAGAUUUAUUUUUGAAAUUUUUAUCUGGAUGGUGGGAGAGAGAAAACUAAAAUCAUUUUAAUUUGUCUGAAAUUGUUUAAAGGGUAUUAUUGUCAAGUCAUACCAAAAUUUGACCAAAAAUAGUUAAAAUUAUAAAAAAUGAUAUUUUUAAAUUGGGUUUAUGAGGAAGGUUAUUUCUCACAAUUUUUUCUAUAAAUUAUAAGUUUACUUAAACUCUUUUUUCAGAGUUUGAGGCUGUACAAAGUUGAGCUUAAGUUUCAGUCCGUGACAUUUGAUUUGGGUAGAACACAAUAUCACAAAUCCUGCAUGAAUAAGAAAUGGGAUGGGUCUAAGGUAUAUAAAUAUGAAUUUUUCACCACUUAUCAGACAUGUUUUAUAAAUUGGGAAUGUAAGCCCAUAAUUUAUUUACUUAAGCUCUAUUUUCAAAAUUUAAAUUCACACAAAAUUAUAUUUAAGUUUCGACCCAUGACACUAACUUCUUUGAUUUUGUCAUUGGGCCUCUCACCCAACUUCUUGUAUUUUUUUAUUUUAAGAAAAUGUUGCAGAAAGUCUAGGAAUAAAAUACGCAUCUUAUUAUGGUUAAGACUUCUAUAUAUUUAAUUAAUGAGUAAAAUUUUGAGAAUAAGAGUUGGAAAAAUGAAAAAGAAAAAAAAAACACGAAACUACCUUUGGGAAAAAGUAGACAGACGGAUUUGAGAAGAAGAGUAAGACUCUGCAAAAAUUGAGAGAAAAUCACUGUGGAAAUUGUGCUGAAUUCAUGCGUUGAUCAAUCGAUUACAAAGGUGUUUAUAUACAAUCUGUUACAAUCUUUGGGAAAAAUAACCAACUACUAGUUAGUUAGAUAAAAAUGUUAGUUCCAUAGUCAGCAUUUCUUAACAAAAAAAAAAAAAAAAACUACGGUUACUUAAAGAUAAAUUUGUACAAUAAAAGUUUGUUUACCUUAAAACUAAAUUGGGAGUCACAUGUGCCAAUCACGUGCUAUCAUUUUAAAUGGACAUGUGCAAGCCACAUGAUUGUCUUCUUUUCAAAAUCAAUUCAGUCUUUAAAUUCUUCAAUUCAAUUACAACUAGGCUUCAAUACUCCACUGAUUAGCUUUUCAUUCUCCGUCAUCUUUGCUGAUACUCCAUCUCAAAACCUUUUCAUAAAUAGAAUGAUAAUCUAUUUCUAUAUGUUUUGUGCACUCAUAAAAAAAGAGACUUGUACCGGUGUAAAUAACAAAUUGAUUAUCACAAUAAAGCUUUACUACGCUGGUAUGAUGAAUCCCAAAAUCUACUAACAAAGAUUUUAACCAUAUAAUUUCAUAACAGAAAAAAGCGAUAAACAAUAUUUUUCCUUAGUUUAACUUUUCUCCACUAUCGGUUAUUUCUUGGACUUCCAACUAACCAAUGAAUUGCCAAUAAACAUGCUGAAACUAGUCACUAAUUAGUGUGAUCUGGGCAUCUUGCCCCGUCUCUAUCAGGGUAUACUCUAAGGCAUAAAUAUGAUUUUGUCUCCCUUUAAAUUCCCUAUGUUGAUCCCAAUGGAGUGUUAAAGGGGAGGUGAAUAAUACUUAAAAAUUUUCUUAAAGGAAACUCUUAAGUUUGAAAACAAUUUGAAUAAAUUUGAAGAGGAAAGUUUAAAGCUUGUUAAGGUUAAAAGGCACUGAGUAAAGAAAAUACAAAUAUUUACAAUGAUUUGCCUUCUUAACCUACAUCCACUAUCUUAAUCUCUCAAUUAAGGAUUUUCAACCCAAUUUCACUAAACUAGUAAAAUUAACAACUUCUACCAAGCUUUUAGAAAGUGAACUCCUCCUAACCAAACUCUAAACCCAAAAAAAAAAAAAAUCAACUAGAAAAAAAAAAAAAAAAAAAACCCAAACUCUAAACCCUUACAAGAACAUCCAAGCUUUCUAAGCUUGGUCUACCUCUUACUACAUGUUUGGUACGGGGAAUAACUAAGCUAUUUCCCCUUUAAUCCCAUCAAUUACUUUCUCCCUUACUUGGUUGCCAAUAAUGUCAAGAAAUAGCUUAUCUUAAAUUUUAGCUAUUCUUCAAAAUCAGUAAUAACUCAUGUUUACCAAAAUAUAAAAUCAUUUUUUCUCGCUCUUCCUCCUCUCCCUCCUCUUCCAACGGCGUUGUUCUCUUCCACCAAUUCCAGCUCAGCUAAUUGCUACCACUUUUCUCUCCUCCACCUUUCCAACUACGUUGCUCUCUUCUCGUCAACUUUUCCAGCUCCACAUAUCACAGUCUACUUUGGAUCAAAUACCUAUUUGAUGUAAAGCAAAAUGGGUUGAACUCCCCGUUUUUCUGUUAUUUUUUGAUGUUCUGGGUUUAAUUUGCUGUUGUCCUAAUUUUUGGUUCUUUGUUUUUGAUGUUUUGGGCUUGCAACUCUGCUCAUAGUCUUUGAGACUAGUGCUUUAUUGUUUUGUUGAAAUGCCUCUUGUCUUAACUGUAUACUCCCGCUUUGAAAAUUGUUCAGUAAACAUACAAUACACACAUUUGUUAAAACACUACAAAUACAUUUGUUGAAAUAUAAUAGAUACAACUUUUUAGUGUUUAUAAAAAAAACAUACUUCUAAUACAGACUUCAUUCUUCAAAAGUAUUUUGUAAUAAGUUUGCUGUAUCCUGUAAAGUCUUUAUCUACAAUUUCCCAUAAUAAAUAAUAACUUUUUAAACAAAGUAUGUUAUAGCAUGCCUCAAGCAUUUUUCCUCUUUUCUUAUACUAAUUUUCUAACAAUAACAAAUUGGUCAAGUUUGAUAAAUUUUUAAUUUAUGAAUUGAAAUUUCGAAUUUGGAUUACAUUUCAUUAAAAACAACUACGUAGAAAAAAUGUGUUACAACACGCCUCAAGCUUCUCUUUUUUUCUUAUACUCAUUUUCUAACACCGUAGAAAGUUCAUAACCAGGAAAAUAGAAGGCGGCAAUGCAGUAUCCACGAGGAUUACUACAUACACCGCAUGAAAGGAUCUGCCAAUGUCUGUCUGUUUCCUAGAUUCCAACUUCAUUGCCAAAUGAAUGUUCUUUCUAAAAAAUUUGGCACCAACACUACUUAUUAAAACCACGUGGAAGGAUCCGCCAAUGUCAAUGCUCUUUUCCAGUGUGCACAAGCAAAUUAAUUCACGGCACUAACCCGCCGAAGAAUUUGAAUGAAUAUCUAACGUUCCUUGAGUUUUCAUCGUUCGACAAGUUCAUAAAGAAAAUAAUUUUGUUAAGAAAUGCUACAAGUAAGACCAGUACCCUUUUGUCAAAAGGAAAUCCAAUAUGUUUAAGAUCUUUAUGAUAAAAUCUAAAUAGUUAUUCAUCUUAAUCAUUCAUUAAUUUUUGUUCUUUUAUAAACGAAUUGAGAGCACACUAGUUGUUCCAACUUCAUUUUAGGUCGCAAAUGUUGAGAAUUUUCUCUUCUACUGAAUAACAUUAAAACAGGUUAUUAGUAAGACUCAAAACCAAAUGAAUUAUGUUGAGGUGCAUUACCUUGCUGAUUAAACUGAUUUAUCAUUGUUAUUUAUUAAAGUUUGUUUGGUUUAUAUUUUUAGCUUUUAUUAAAUUUUUUCUUUGCCUUUUUCUAUUUAUUUUUUAUAAAAAAUAAAAAUAAAAGAUAAAUACAUCGAUAAACGAACUUAAUGAUGCCUUCAGCUAUGGGUGUUGCUGAUUGUUUCAAUUCUUAAAUUUUUGUAUUGUAAGAAAUGGAUAUUUCUACCUUUAGUACCACAAACGAGGAAAUUGGAUGCUUCUUUUUUCAUUUUCAACUUAAGACUGUUUAUUAUUUUAUUCAAUCUUAAAGUUUUAAUUCGUUUGGAUUGUAUGUUUGGAUAUCAUGUUAUGCCUUAUGGAAUGGUUCAGCUUAUUCUUCAGUGCUUCUACCAUUUCUUUUCUUACCAUUUUCUUAAAAUUUAUCCCACAAACUUUUGUUUAUAAUGUUUCUUUUUCUUUAUCAUAUGUUAUGUACUUUUGUUUAGGUUAUUGUUGUGAUGAGCAGUAUUCAUAAUUCCUAACAUGAAUUGCUGAUAAAAUUUUAUAAAAAAUACAUGAUCAAAAACUUAAGAAAAUCAUGACAUUGUCGCAACAAAAUUAAUUUCUUUAAAAAUUGACUGAAUAUAGAAGAAAAAUUAUACGUAUUUUACAGAUUAUAAGUAAAGCCGAUUUUCUUACAGCAAUAUUAUUAGAGUUGCGAAAUCUUGCACCCUUGUAGUGUAUUCAAAUUGUUUGUAAAAUAUAUAAAUUAAUUGGAAACAAGCAAAUUCGGACUUUCUAAAGAGGAAUACAUUUUGGUUGACUGCAUGAUAGAGAGGAUUUGCCUUGAAAGUCCUGGAUCAUACCUAUGAUAGAGGAGAGGCUAACUAGAAGUAAGACUUGGAAACGUGUGAGUGAUGGGGAAUUUUAUGUAUAGUAUGUAAUGGGAAUGGUAAGAUUUGGAAAUGGAUGAAUGUAUACUGUAAUUACUAUCAUGCAGUAAUUCUAGGCCACUUGAAUUUCAUCAUGUUUUUCAUAUUUAUAAAAUUUAAAGAAGACAAAAAAGAGAACAAAUGGCAAAUGGUUAACUAAGAAUUUCAAAGUCAAAGAAAUACAAAUUCCCUAAUCUCAUUUCCUUUUAUUAGUCGAUGUUUUGCACACGUAAGUUUAGUACAUCCCGGUUUUAGCUUGACGUAAACGUUCCGGUUCUGUUCAUGGAUCAACUUUUGAUCCUUUUGGCCUAAAUGGAUUGAUUGAUCUAAUGGGACUUUGAGGUCUUGGAGCGAGAAUGCAAAUCUGAAGCAUCCAUUGGAACAAAGCGGUCAAUUAUUGGGGGCAAAUGUUGCCGCCCUCCCAAGGGCUUGUAGAGGUAACCAUAGAGAUGUUAAUGGGUACCGUACUAUAAGGUAUCUUAAGAGUACUCGAUCCGAUUACACGAAAUUAGAGUGCUCAAUAAAUGGAUUUGGAUAGUGAUUUCACUAUUCGAAUCGAGUUUAGAUAAGGUUUGGGAAUUACUUUUUGGGUAUCCGUUACCCCGAAUUCGAUUAUGUAAUAUUCGGGUUCCGUGAGUACCUGACCCGAAUCUAACUAUAAUACUCGUAUAUAUUUUUUUUAGUAUUUAAAUAAUUAAAUAAAAAUGACCCAAGUAGUGAUUCAUUACCCGAAUCGGGUUUGGGUAAGGUUUGGGAAUCACUUUUUGGGUAUUCGUUACCCGAACCUGAUUAUGCAAUAUUCAGGUUUUGCGAGUACUCGACUCGAAUCCAACUAUAAUACAAAAUCUUUACCAUCUUGACAAACAAUUUUUUUAGUAAGUAUUGACAAAUAUAUUAAAAAUAUGAUUAGUCAAAUUAUUAAUGUGAUGAUAUUAAUAUAUAUAAAUUAAAAAAUUAUUAUAUUAUUAAUUAUGUUUAAAUAAUAUGAAUAUCAUAUCAUAUUACAAAGGAAUAUAACUACUAUUAUAUAUAUACAUUUUUAAUAUAAAUGUAUUUACUUUUUAUUUUGUGUUAACAUUACAAAAAAUUAUAACUUAUAAUAUAUAUACUUAAAGAGACUCUUUGAGUUUAGAAUAGUUUUGGGAUCUAACUAUUUUUUUAUAUUUUCAUGUAUUAAAUAAUGUAAAAAAAUUGAUUUCCUUUUUUCAAAAAAUUAUAAGAAAAUGUUUCGUAACUUGAUUUUAAAAAUAUUCAUCAAAAUAAAAUCAAUUAUUUUUAGUCAUAUUUAAUUAUAAUUUGAUAAAAAUAUUUUUAAAAUCAUUUUAAAUAAAUUAAAUCAUAAAUCACAACUUUUAUUUAUUUUUAUCUUUGAUUUUAGAUUUUUUUCUUAUUAUCCAACUCUUUUUAAUUUUAUCGAUUUUUUUUCAAUAUUUGUCUAUUGUGCUUUAUAUUUCUCUCUCUCAUGCUUUUUAAGACAUUGAGUGAUGAUUUUNNNNNNNNNNNNNNNNNNNNNNNNNNNNNNNNNNNNNNNNNNNNNNNNNNNNNNNNNNNNNNNNNNNNNNNNNNNNNNNNNNNNNNNNNNNNNNNNNNNNNNNNNNNNNNNNNNNNNNNNNNNNNNNNNNNNNNNNNNNNNNNNNNNNNNNNNNNNNNNNNNNNNNNNNNNNNNNNNNNNNNNNNNNNNNNNNNNNNNNNNNNNNNNNNNNNNNNNNNNNNNNNNNNNNNNNNNNNNNNNNNNNNNNNNNNNNNNNNNNNNNNNNNNNNNNNNNNNNNNNNNNNNNNNNNNNNNNNNNNNNNNNNNNNNNNNNNNNNNNNNNNNNNNNNNNNNNNNNNNNNNNNNNNNNNNNNNNNNNNNNNNNNNNNNNNNNNNNNNNNNNNNNNNNNNNNNNNNNNNNNNNNNNNNNNNNNNNNNNNNNNNNNNNNNNNNNNNNNNNNNNNNNNNNNNNNNNNNNNNNNNNNNNNNNNNNNNNNNNNNNNNNNNNNNNNNNNNNNNNNNNNNNNNNNNNNNNNNNNNNNNNNNNNNNNNNNNNNNNNNNNNNNNNNNNNNNNNNNNNNNNNNNNNNNNNNNNNNNNNNNNNNNNNNNNNNNNNNNNNNNNNNNNNNNNNNNNNNNNNNNNNNNNNNNNNNNNNNNNNNNNNNNNNNNNNNNNNNNNNNNNNNNNNNNNNNNNNNNNNNNNNNNNNNNNNNNNNNNNNNNNNNNNNNNNNNNNNNNNNNNNNNNNNNNNNNNNNNNNNNNNNNNNNNNNNNNNNNNNNNNNNNNNNNNNNNNNNNNNNNNNNNNNNNNNNNNNNNNNNNNNNNNNNNNNNNNNNNNNNNNNNNNNNNNNNNNNNNNNNNNNNNNNNNNNNNNNNNNNNNNNNNNNNNNNNNNNNNNNNNNNNNNNNNNNNNNNNNNNNNNNNNNNNNNNNNNNNNNNNNNNNNNNNNNNNNNNNNNNNNNNNNNNNNNNNNNNNNNNNNNNNNNNNNNNNNNNNNNNNNNNNNNNNNNNNNNNNNNNNNNNNNNNNNNNNNNNNNNNNNNNNNNNNNNNNNNNNNNNNNNNNNNNNNNNNNNNNNNNNNNNNNNNNNNNNNNNNNNNNNNNNNNNNNNNNNNNNNNNNNNNNNNNNNNNNNNNNNNNNNNNNNNNNNNNNNNNNNNNNNNNNNNNNNNNNNNNNNNNNNNNNNNNNNNNNNNNNNNNNNNNNNNNNNNNNNNNNNNNNNNNNNNNNNNNNNNNNNNNNNNNNNNNNNNNNNNNNNNNNNNNNNNNNNNNNNNNNNNNNNNNNNNNNNNNNNNNNNNNNNNNNNNNNNNNNNNNNNNNNNNNNNNNNNNNNNNNNNNNNNNNNNNNNNNNNNNNNNNNNNNNNNNNNNNNNNNNNNNNNNNNNNNNNNNNNNNNNNNNNNNNNNNNNNNNNNNNNNNNNNNNNNNNNNNNNNNNNNNNNNNNNNNNNNNNNNNNNNNNNNNNNNNNNNNNNNNNNNNNNNNNNNNNNNNNNNNNNNNNNNNNNNNNNNNNNNNNAAAAAAUGGAAAUGAAUGGAAUGGAUGAUAGGCUAAAAAAUAUUUAGAUUAAAUUAAGAAAAAAUUGGAAAUUAUUGAAAUAUUGGUGGGGUAUUCUUAGGUAAAAAUAUAUGAAAGUGCAUGUAAAAUAUGUUUAUACAUUAGAUUGUAAGAAUAUGUUUAGUGAAUGAGAAUAAACAAGGAAGAAACAUUUUAUGUUAAAUAAAAGAUAAUAAUAAGUUGAGUUAGUCAAAUAAUCAUAAUAGGAUAAGUAUUAGAAUCGACCUUAGAAAAUCGAAUUUUAAGAUGCCACGAUAUUAAUUAUAGGAGUAAUAUAUAAAUACCGAUAAUAGGAUGAUUGGUCGGAACACGAGGAAUCGCAAUCUCAGGCUAAUUUUCUCUAGGUUCGGAAUCCGAAUCAAGGCCCCACCAGUAUGAUGGGAGGGCCUCGAUUUUGAGAUUUUGAGAUUUUUAUUUUAAAUAAAUAAAAAUUUUACUACAUAAAAAUUAGUUAAAAAUAAUAAAUUAAAAAAUUAAAAAAUUAAAAUAUAUAAAAAUAAAUGCUAUAUUUUAUUUGUUCAAAAAAAUAUAAUAAUAAUAAAUAAUAAUAAAAUAAGAAUAAAUUUAAAAAAAGCAUAUCAUAUGUUUCCAUCGCAUCAUCCACAUCAUGGUAUUAUGAUAUUUUUGUUCACGAGUAUAAGUCCCGAUGAUGGGAUCUUCCGACGAUCUUGCGAAGGCGGGUAUAUCUCGAAAAGUUUCCUAGGUGAAAAGAUGUCCUCGGGUCCCACCAGUAUGAUGGGAGGGCUCGAGAAACAUCUUUAAUAAAAAGCUUUAGCUUGUGUUAGGUUCAUUAUUCACGAAAAUAUUAUUUUUUAAAGAAAAACGUACGAUAACCCUGAUGAUGGGAAUUAUUCGUUGAAUUUGCGAAGACGAGUUUCUCGAGUAAUUUUCUAGGUGAGAGAACACCUCGAACCCCACCAAUAUGAUGGGCGGGUUCGGGAGAACGUCCUCAAUAAAAGGUUAUUCGUCCGACAUUUUUAUCUCACACCAUGCAUCUCAUCUUUCCUCAUAUUUGCAUUUCAUUUUAGGUUAAAUAUGAGAUAAAAUAAGAGAACAAUAACUAAGAAAAUAUAGUGAACUUAAAAAUUAAAGCCUAAUAGGAUAAUCUAAAAAAUGGUACCGUUCAUGGAACGGGUGUCCCGGGGGUACUAAUCCUUCUCCGGGCAUAACCGUACUCCCGAACUUAGAUCUAGGAAAAUGCAGACCAGUUUAAGGUUCUUUUCGGUGGGCUUAAAAUUAAUUUAAAGCUUCAUUGAUUAGAAUCGAGUCGAGUGAAUAGGUGGCCAAUCGCACCUAGAAAAAAAAAUUGGUGACGACUCCUAGUUUUAGAGUUUUCACUGGCGUCUGGCGGUCGGGGUCCCGGACCCGCACGUUACGACACCUUACCCAUUGACAACCUUAGUAACCAAGGGAUUUGGAAACCGGAGAGGCCAAUGAAUAUUCUAUGUUUAGACAUUUGUUAGUGUACAAUAUCGAUAGUCAAUAAUAUGCUAAAUCAGCCGAAAUGAAAUUUUUUAACACGCUGCGUUCAUGAAGUUUUCUCUUUUCUUGCAAGACUUGGAUCUUUUUAGAAUUUCAUUUCAUUCUGCAGGUAUUUUUUAAUGCCCAUACUCAACCUCACCACAUCACUUUUAGCUGGUUUUGCUAAGGCUGUUUUCUAUGCGUUCUUACGAGGAGUUAAACCCACAAACUACCCAACGAGCAAGGCCAAAACCAAAUAUAUUUUUAUAUGUUUUGUGCGCUCAUAAAAAAAUAGGACUUUUACCAGUAUGAAUAACAGAUUGAUUAUCACAAUAAAGCAUUACUACGCUGGUAUAAUGAAUCCCAAAAUCUAUUAACAAAGACUUUAACCAUAUAAUUUCACAACAGGAAAAAGCCAUAAAUGAUAUUCUGCCUUAGUUUAACUUUUCUCCACUAUCGGUUUUUUCUUGGACUUCCAACUAACGAAUGAAUUGCCAAUAAACAUGCUGAAACUAGUCACUAAUUUGUGUGAUCUGGGCAUCCUGCCCAGUCACUAUCAGAGUGGCAUAAAUAUGAUCUUGUCUCCUUUUAAAUUCCCUAUGUUGAUCCCAAUAGAGUGUUAGAAGGGAAGUGAAUAACACUUAAAAAUUUUCUUAAAGGAAAUUCUUAAGUUUGAAAACCUUUUGAAUAAAUUUGAAGAGGAAAAUUUAAAACUCGUUAAGGUUAAAAGGUACAGAGUAAAGAAAACACAAAUAUUUAUAAUGGUUUGGCCUCCUUAACUUAUAUCUACUACCAUGAUCUCUUAAUCAAGAAUUUUUAACUCAACUUUAGCAAACUAGUAAAAUUAACAACUUCCAUCAAACUUUUAGAAGUGAGCUCCUAACCAAACUCUAAACCCUUAUAAGAAUCCCUAAGCCUUCCAAACUUAGUCUACCCCUUACUACAUGUUUGGUAUGGAGAAUUACUAAGCUAUUUCCCCUUUAAUCCCAUCUAUUACUUUCUCCCUUAUUUGGUUGCCAAUAAUGUCAAGGAAUAGCUAAUUUUAAAUUUUAGCUAUUUUUCAAAUUCAGUAAUAACUCAUGUUUACCACAAUAUAAAAUCAUUUUUUCUCUCUCUUCCUCCUCUACCUCCUUCUCUUCCAACGGCAUUGUUCUCUUCCACCAUUUCCAGCUCCGCUAAUUGCCACUGCCUUUCUCUCCUCCACCUUUCCAACUAUGCAGCUCUCUUCUCUUCAACGUUUACAGCUCCACCUAUCACAGCCUAUUUUGGAUCAAAUACUUGUUUGAUGUAAAGCAGAAUGGGUUGAACUCCUUGUUUUUCUGUUCAUUUUUUGAUGUUCUGGGUUUACUUUGCUGUUGUCCUAUUUUUUGUUCUUUGUUUUUGUUGUUUUGGGCUUGCAACUCUGCACAUAGUCUUUGAGACUAGUGCUUUAUUGUUUUGUUGAAAUGCUUUUUGUCUUAACUGUAUAUUCCUACUUUAAUUAUCUUUUUGACUGGUGCGCAAAUAUGCUUCACUUAUCAAAUCAAGCAUUCACGUUUUCCCUUUUUCCACCUUCAUUUUUGGUCAACAGUUCUCUUCCAUGGAACAUUUAAUACAGAAUAAUAGUAAAGAAUAACAGUAAAUUAACCUUAGAUGGAAGACCAUCUUUCUAAUUUGAAUAAAAGAAUUGUAAUUGAUUUAGCAAUUUGGACAAACAUCAACGUAUGAAUUAGGGGCUAUAUAACCUGUACGUGUCUAACUUUUCAAAAAUUCAAACAAUUAAUGAUGAGAUGUUGAUAUAAAUAAUUCUAUUCUCAGUUUUUAUUUCUACUAGUUUUUUUAUUUUUUUCCAUAAUAUUUUUUCUCCAGUAUUUCUUCUAAAAAAAGAUUUUGAUAAUGAUCCACAAUAGGUAAAGAAUGGACCAAAAAUAAACAUCUAUAAAUAAAAUUCAAUUGACAUUUAGGAUAAUAAUGUGAUUAAAUUAUAGUCUAGAAUAAUUUUGUCCAUUUUUAAAAAUAUGUGAGUAAAUUAUAAUUAAGUAUAUUUUUAGCAUUUGGGAUAAAUAUGUGAUAAAAUUAUAAUUAUGGAUAAUUUUGUUUUUUGAGAUAAAUAUGUUUUUAAAUUAUAAUAAGGAUAAUUUUGUUUUUUAUAAAAAUAAAUGCUAUUAUAGUAAAAGAGUAUUUUUUUAUCACCUAUUCCUUUGUUAUUCCAAGAUUUUCUUUUUACCCACCAAACACUGCAAUAAGUCAUAAUAACAAUUUCUAUCCUAUUUCAUUUACUGUAUCAAAUUACAUAAUAAUUAUUCUAUUUUAUUCUUACCUUACUCUCUCACAAAAUAACUAUUUUAUUCCAUUUUUGUCUAUUUUGCAAACCAAAUGUGCUGUUAGAGUGUCCCGCACUCUCUAAGUAAACAAGAAAUGUAGAAAAGAUGCAGCACAAAUGAUCGCCUAGUUGAUCUAAGAUGUACAAAAUUAAGCUUAAACAUUUUUACAAAGAAUAGGAGUAAAAUACAUUUGAAAAGAGAAGUUUCUAACACUUUUAGGCUCAAUCUUGCUCUUGGAUGAUUCUCUCAUGUAUUUAUCACCGUUUGAACCCUAUUUAUACUUAGAGAGUGAAAUCUGACCGUUGGAUACUGUUUGGGAAGAAUCUAGUUGUUAUUUUGUCUUUUACCGGUUUUGAAUUCAAAUCUGUCUAGCCAUUUAAUCCAUUAAAAUAGAUUUUAACCAAGUAAAAUCUUUCUAUCUAUCUUCCUAUACUUCAAGUUAAUCGAUUAAAGUUGGUUUUAAUCAAUUAAAAACUUUCUGUCUGUCCCCCUUGAUUCAGGUUCAUCAGUUAAAAUUGUCUUUAAUUGAUUAAAAGCUCUGUGUUUCCCCUUUAACCAAUUAAUUUGAUUUUCGAUCGAUUAAAAUCAACUUGGGUUCAAAUUUCUUCACUUGGCAUUCUUCAAUUUGAAUCUUCACUUUUUAGUGCUAAAGUACUUUUUUGUUGAAUAUUGAUCAAUUAAACCCUAUGGUUAAUCAAUCAACAUUGUGUGCAGUAUCUUCAAGUAUCAUUUUGAUCGAUAAAACCUUGUGUUAAUCAAUAAAAUCUAUCUGCUUGUCUUAGUGUGCAUUAAUCCAUUAAAAUCAUGUGUUAAUCAAUUAAAACCAUUCUGUCUUUCUGAAAGUCCAUUCUAGUGUUAUUUUAAUCGAUUAAAACGUGGGUUAAUCAAUUAAAAUAUUUUUAUGAAGCUUUAAAUCUUUCAUUUUUGACUUGUUUGAUUGAUUAAUCUUCAUGGAACAUCUUCUAUCUUGUUUAAAUCACUUUCUUUGGACUUGAGACUUGUCAUGGGAAAUUUGGGGUGUAAGAUAAACAAUUAUAUAACAAAUUUACCCUUGCACACUCAAGUAACAUAGUUAGACUCAAAGAAUGAGAAAUGUUUAAUUAUCAUCAAAAACAUAUGAAGUCAACAAUCCCUUCUUCUUUUUUUUAUAAUGACAAAACACCAUUAUAUUUAAAAGUGUAAUGCAUUCACUAUGUUAGGUAUGAACAAUUUAAGUUAUCUUUAUGCAAAUUAGAAACUGUUCCCCCUUAAUUAGUGAAUCUAAAUUUAAAAAGAAAUUGCAAGAGUUUGUCCUUAUCUUUUGGGCUAUCCCCUAUAUUUUAAAAAUAAAAUUUACAAGUAUAGCCAAGCACAAAUACAACAACAACAAACAUUCAAUUCAAGAAAGUCAUAAGCUGCAUUAAACACUCAAGUUAAGUACACACAAUAGAAUAUAUGACCUUAACAUCUAAACAUUCAAUUUCAAUUUCAAUACACAUAACCACAAUCAUAAUCUUAGUUUCUUUUCCCACUUUUGUCAUUAUCAAAAAAGGGGUUAAGAGUAAAACAAGGUUAAUUCAAAUGCUUGCCCUUAAACAAAUCAUGAAACCAAGAAGUUUCCAAUUGUUAAAGAACAAAUGUUAAGAGAGAAAUCAUGAGCCUAGAAUAAAUGAGUAUUUAAGUAGAUAUUCAACAUGUUUAUCUAAUACUCAAGUAUUUAUGGAACUAGAUGAGUAUGAGUAUUUAAAUAGAUGUUAAACAUAUGCAUCAAAUACUCAUAUUUUUAAGAAAUAUUUGCAAAGUAGUUCCUAGGCAUGUCUAAGGUAUCAUUAGUCAUCAAACAUCAUUCUCAAUUGUCAUCAAUCAUUAUCAAUAAUUAAUCAUCAUCAAGCCUUCUUAAUUACCAUUAAAAUAUUUCUUGAGCAAGUAUUCCAAGAAAUAUUAUCCAAAAUCAUGUAUGAAACUAUCAAUUGAAGGAGAAUAUUCACAUCAAGAAAAUAUUUUUAUCCAUAAAGCAUUACCAAAGCGUUUUGCACUUGUUGUAAUCACAUGAUUACAAGAAAUAAUAUGAUUAUCUUCAUUAAUCAUGAUUCCUUGCACCCGAGCAUUUGGCUCAUUGGUUGUUCCUUACACCUGAGCAUUUAGCUCAUUAGUUGGUCUAUGAUCCCCUGCCUAGAGAGCAAGGUUCAAAUCUCCCCUCCCGUAAUUAGAAAAAAAUCAUGAUUCCAAUUUGCUUCACAAAAAGCAACCAUGAUAAUUUUAUUAAAUUAUAUAACCAUACACCAAUAAAAAAUAUGCAAGCAUUGAAAUUCAAUGUGGUACAAACUAUUUCUCAUAAUUCAUGAGUGACACCAAUUGUUAUGGAAUAUUGAAAAGUAAAGUACUCAACUCAUGAAUAUAUUCAAAGUGAACACCCAAGCAUCAAUAAAUGCCAAUUUUCAAGAUUCAAGAAAUGAGUAUUCAAUGAAAGCAUAUUAGGCAUUCACUACUCACUUAAGUUAUAGGUCAUAUUUCAUUUGACAUUCUAAGUUACUUAUAGUAACCUAUAAGUUAGAGUGGAUGCACACCAAUUUUUUAGAUCAUGUGAACAUUUAAGGCUCAAUGAAGACAUAGUCAACACUCAAAUGCAUAUUCAAAGGAUAUUUCAACUAUGUCAACACAAACUAUAUAUCAUGGUCAAACUUGACUUAGGUUAUAUAUGAAAUUAAGCACUAUAAGCAAUUCUAUCACUUAAGUUAAGUUAUAGACUUCAAUCAUUUAGGUCAAGCGAGAUUAAAAGUCAUGUAAGUAUUUGACUUGACCAAAACAAUAGAUGAACCAAAAAAAAUAUUUUUCAUUAAGUUCAAUGAUUUCAUCCUAAUCAAUUUUAUGUUCCUAAGCAAUGAUUCAAUCUUGAAACAAUCAUUUAAGUAUAAACAUGAAACAUAUUUCAAGAAUUAUUCCUAGACUAAGCUUUGAACAUUUCAAUUCUCAAUACAUGAUUUUUCAAUGUAAGCACAAGAGAAAUAAUAAAAUCAAGCACUUAUGAACACUUUUUCAUUUUUCAAAUUUUCUUAAUUAAGCACAAAAGAAUUAAUAAUAUCAAUAUGAGUGCCAUGUUUUUGGAAUAAACAAAUUCAAGCAUUUAUGAGAGUUUUCCCAUUUUUCAACAAGUUUGAAGGGGAACCAUUUUUUAAAAGAAAAACCGUGAAAGUGAAGAGAGAAUAUUGUGACAGAUUUUUAAAGCCCAAUGCUUUAAUCCAUUAAAGAAAGUACAUUUUAAAAGCAAGUUUAAAAACACAGAACCAUUUUAAUCAAUUAAACUCUUUUGACUUUAAAUAGAAUUGUUUUAAUCGAUUAAAUUAAGCUUUAAUCAAUUAAAACUCUUCUAACUUCAAAAUCCACAUUUUCAUGGAAAUGAAUUAAUCAAUUAAAAGACUUUUUAAUCAAUUAAAAUGAACAUACUCUAUUCCAGAACUAGUUUAAUUGAUUAAAACAUGAUUUCAAUCGCUUAAAAAUCUCAUUUUAAGUACUUAAAACCACUUUUAAUUGAUCAAAAUAAGAAAUUAACACACAAUAGACAUCAAAAUUCAUCAAAACAUAUUCAAAUCAUCUCAAUCCAAGUUCACGUACAUCAAGCAUUCCUAAUUUUCUUCUAAUUUUAUAAAAUUGGUCUUCACUUAAGGGUUUUGUGAAAAUAUUAGCUAAUUGAUGCAAGGUAUCAACAAAUUCAAAUUUAACAUCUCCUUUAAGUACAUAAUCUUUAAUAAAAUGAUGCCUAAUCUCAGUAUGCUUAGUUUUAGAGUGCUGAACAGGAUUCUUGAAAUGUUAAUGGCACUAGUAUUGUCACAAAAGAUAGGAAUAUUAUGCAUUGACAUGCCAAAGUCAUUUAAUUGUUGCCUAAUCCAUUACAUUUGUGCACAACAAUUACUUAAUGAAAUAUACUCAACUUCAGCAGUUGAAAGAGCAACUGAAAUUUGUUUCUUACGAGAGCAAAAUACAAGCAUGAUUUCAAGGAAUUGACAAGUACCACUAAUAUUCUUCCAAUCUACUUUGCUAUUGGCAAAAUUAACAUCAAAAUAGUCAAGAAGAUCAAAAGAUGGAGUUAGAAGAGAUCAUAGAAUGACUUCACCUCAAGGUCAACGGGGUGCUAGGUAGAGGCAUCCUCCUCUCUCUCCAUGCACCACUUAUGGUAAAAAGCAUAGAAGAUAGUGCAUGCAAGGUUCCACCUUACGUCACACUUGUGGAUAGUUAGGACAUUUUGCCAAAGAGUGCCUUACUAGUCAUUCCUCUUAAAGAGAUACAUAAGGGCAUACAUAAGCAGCUUUACCACUUCCGCUUGUUGCUGCACAACCUAUUAGAGGCACUAAAAGAAGUAGAGACGAAGGCACUAAUGCAACUAGUCAAGGUAGAGCUUAAGGAUUUGGAUCAAGAACACAGGGUAUCGCUAGUUGUGGAUAGGCUAGAGUUUAUACUUUGACUCAACAACAUGUGUAGGCAUCCAAUGUAGUGGUUACAGGUAUAUUACUCAUUUGCUCUAUUGAUGCACAUGUAUUGUAUGACACUAGUACUACACAUUCUUUUGUAUCUCUAUACUUUGCAUCUAGAUUAGGUAUUAAGUGCUCCAAGAGGAAGCACAACUUGGUAGUUUCCACCCCUUUGAGAGGUGUGUUUGUGGCAAAACAUGAGUAUAAAGAUUGCAUGGUCCAAGUUAAGGAAAAGGACACUCGAGCAAAUCUAGUGCUGAUGGACAUGAGUAUAAAGGUGUUUGAUGUGAUUCUUAAGAUGGAUUGGUUAUCACUUAAUUAUGCUAGUGUGGAUUGUCACCACAAGAAGGUUAGGUUCGAUUAUCCUAGAGAAACAUUCUUUUAUAUAUAGGGAGAUUGCAACAUGGCGUCAAGUAGCAUGAUAUUGGGUAUGAUUGCUAGUCACUUAAUGAGACAUGGAUGUUAAGGAUUCUUUGCCGUGGUGAUAAAUACCUAAGUAGAGGUAGUUAAUAUGGCAAAUGUGUUUAUUGUGAGGGAGUUCAUAGAUGUAUUUUCGAAGGAAUUGCUCGAAUUAGCAUCAGAGUGAGAGACAAAAUUUUGCAUAGACUUGGCGCAAGACUUGGGUCUGAUUUCUAUACCAUCAUACUGGAUGGCAUCGAUCGAGCUUAAGGAGCUCAAAGAUCAGUUGAAGGACUUGUUGGACAAGGGCUUCAUUCGCCCUAGUGUCUCGCCUUUGGAUGCACUAGUAUUGUUUGUAAAGAAGAAAGAUGGUUCAAUGAGGCUUUGUAUUGAUUACAAAUAGUUGAAUAAAGUGAUCAUCAAGAACAAGUAUCCCCUCCCACAUAUUGAUGAUUUGUUUAGUUAGUUGCAAGGGGCCAAGCAUUUUUCUAAGAUUGAUCUGCUAUCGAGGUACCAUCAGUUGAGGAUUAGAAGUGGUGACGUACCUAAGACUACUUUUCGCCCAUGGUAUGGUCAUUAUGAGUUUUUGGUUAUGCCAUUUGGAUUGACUAAUGCCCUUAUAGCUUUAAUAGAUAUGAUGAAUAAGGUAUUUAGAUCAUAUUUGGAUAAGUUUAUGGUCGUGUUUGUUGAUGACAUUUUAGUGUAUUUGAGGGUUAGGGAGGAACAUAAGCAAUAUUUGAGGAUUGUACUGCAGACUUUAAGGGAACACUAGCUAUAUGCCAAGUUCUCCAAAUGUGAGUUUUGGCUUGACAGUGUUAGCUUUUUAGGCCACAUAAUGUCUAAAAAUGGAGUGAUGGUGGACCUAAAGAAGAUUGAAGUAGUAUAGAAAUGGCCAAGGCCUACUUAGUAAUUGAGAUACGAAGUUUUCUAGGGCUAACUUGAUAUUAUAGGAGAUUCAUUAAGGAUUCCUCAAAAAUUGCUGCUCUUAUGACUAAGUUGACACAAAAGGGUAUCAAGUUUACAUGGACAGAUACAUGUAAGGAGAGUUUUGGGAAGCUCAAGACUUUACUUACCAUAACUCCAAUGUUGAGUUUGCCAUGUGGUUCAGGCGGUUAUACAGUUUAUUGCAAUGCAUCACAAGCAGGACUAGGAUGUGUGCUGAUGCAACAUGGAAAAGUGAUAACGUACGCAUCGAGACAACUCAAGAAACAUGAGCAAGUUACACCACACAUGAUUUGGAGAUGGCUACCAUAGUAUUGGCCUUGAAGAUAUUGAGGCAUUACUUGUAUGGUGAGACUUGUGAGAUUUACACAGAUUGUUGUCGAUUUUGCACACACAAGUAUACGUAUUGAAUAGGUAAUAUAGACAACAAGUCUAGAUUAUUAUUCCCACUAGGAUUUGUUUCUAAAGUUUCACUAAGUACUAAAAUUAUAUCACAAAUUAAUCUUAUUUAAACUAACCAACAAUUGAAAAGCUAAUCAAAGGGUAAAAUUAAAACAAAUAAACAGUAAAUUAACCAAUAAAAACUAAAUAUGUUGAGAAAAAUAGUAGAUUAAAGACCUAGGAUCAUGGGUUCAUUUAACAUUCCAUCUGAUACCAACUUUCUUAUUAUUUAUCUAUCCUAGGUGAUUUUACUGACAUAGAAUCCAAAGCUAUGGACAAGUCUCCAUCAAGAUGCUUGUACAAAUAACUAACUUAAUCAGUUCACUAUAUGUCUGUAGGAAUCAAUUAAAUUAAGUUCAUUAAGUAAGUUUCCUAAUUUGGCUAUGUAUGGUAAUUUGUGUAUGUCCACCCGAAUCGCAAAUCAGAUUACAUAAGUGACGUGAACAUACCUUAAUCCAAUCCCUUUUGUCGAGUUUCAAUUAGAUGCACAAAUUAAUUAAUUAUUGAUCAGGCAAUCAAAGGCAUUAAGAACAGAUUUGAAUAAGUAAAACGAUAUCCAUUCAAGAUAACUAACAGAAAAACCAGUAUCAGAUUGCAUGUCAAAAUCCACCAUAAUCCUAGAUAAGCAAAUUAGUUCAUAAGAUCCAAAUAAAACACUAUCCAAAUAAAUUUAGCCAUAAAUUCAAAACAAGAAAAUAAGAAAAACAUAAAAAGAGAGAAAUAAACUAAUGUUGAAGCCUAGUUGAUUGCGAAUCUUUCUCAAUUGCUUUUGAAUUCUUGAUUGAUUUGAAGCUCUAUUUCUCUAGAAAACCUUAUUGUCUCCCCUUUUAAAUGCUUUUAAAAAGGCUCUUAAAUAUGUGUAAGGUGCCCUACUUUCCAAUUUUCAAUCAAAGUUUUAAUUUUGGAAACCGAGGUGGCACCACAGCACCGUGACAAGCUACGAUAGCACCGCUGCAUUCCUUUUCUGGUGCCGCGACGUAAUGCUCUUGACCUUUAGUAUGAUGCAUCCAUCCAGCCCAACGCUGUGGCCACAAGCUUCCAUCACUGCGACGGUGGUCCCUUCAGCAACACAACCUUGAGUGACUCCGCGUCGCGGCCUCAAUCACCUUGCUGCCUUGUGUUCAGUCUGCAUCUAUCUAGCAUCUUCAGACGUGAUUUUUACCUUGAUUUGAUCUGAAUUGGGUGAAGUGGUAAUCAUGAAAAGUUGUAGCCUAUUCUCUUAUCUUUCCAAUGGAUCAAAAAUCACAUCAAUUGGACUUCUAUAGCUCAAGUUAUCUUUAAAUUCCCACAACAUGUACUAGUGACACAUUCACCAUAUUUGUGCUAUCAUAACUCAAUUUCACCUUACUCAUCACAUAUCUUGCGCAUCACCAUGAGAGAAAUCUAUGUUAACUCUUCUUAAAGUAAUUUAAAAAUAAAAUAAAGUAAACUUAAACUGAAACAACUUAAUUUAACUAUUCAACAUGUAAUAUAACUUACAUUAGAAAAACAUCUAAAUGCUAAAAUCUGUACCUAAAACUCAAAGAUCUAGAAACUAAAGCCCUUCAAAUGUGUUAAAAAUAACUCUAUAUAAUAGAGUUAUCACACCCCUGAACUUAAGAUUUUGCUAGACCUUAAGCAAAAAAAAAAAGAAAAAACAAAUGCAAUAACUUAAACAUGAAAACAUUCAACUAGAGUUCUAUUGCACCAUUUCAUUAAUUAUCUUUAAUAUCAUCAAAAGUCCCUCCAAAUUUAUAACUUUAAUCCACAUACAAAUAUUAUUCAAGUUCAUGUCUCAAUUCAAAUGAAAGCUUAUCAUUAAGUGAAUUUUCAUAUGUGUGUGCAAUCUUCUUACCUAGACAUUGUACGAUCCAGAUAAGUCUAUAUUCAUGCAAAAUUCAAAUUAGUAAUUAAAUUCCAUAAGUUUGCUUUUCAUUUCUCUCUCCACUAAUGUAGACUAAUACUAAAUCAAGGAUAAAUAGGACUUUAAUUAGCUUGUAAUGUAUGGCUAAGGUCAAGGUGGGAUACAGAAUAAUGUACAGCUCAAAUCACCCUAAGCACAUAGUCAAUCUAGGACUUAUUAAGAGCUUUAUUUUCCUUCACCUAGUAUACCCAUUUUUCAUCAAAAAAUUUCUUUUGUUCAACACUUAAUUCUCUUUCUUUUUCUUUCUUUCCCUUUUUCUUUUUCUCACUUUCACACCCCCAAACUUAUUUCUUUUUUUGAGUAGUGAGAUGAAUACAGUUAUAUUUUUGAACUUUUCAUCAUUUUUCAUCUUUAUUACCUUUUUCACUAUCUACCUCAUAACACUUCCUAAAUUAACUUGUGCACUUAGCAAUAAGGGAUGCAAGAAUUGUUGAAAAUAUUAAUAUAAGGGUUUAGGCUAAAAAUUGAGUGUUCAAAAAAAUAAAAGGUGUCAUUAGGCUCAAAGGGGGAAAUUAAGGAUAAUUUAUGUAAAAAAAGAAUAUAAAAGGCUCAAUUAGCCCAAAUAUGACCUAAAUCAUCUCUUUAACUAAGUAUAGCCUAGAAUUUCACCUCGAGAAAGAAUCAAACAAAUUUUAGAACUUAAUACAUAAUUGAAAAUUUUCACAUUUACAUAAAUCUUCUAUAAAUCCGUACAAUGAAUCUAAGCAAAAGACAUAGUGCUCAAAAUGUAGAAAUUUCAUCUUAACAAUAAAACUUAUCAUAAGAAUUUACAUAACACUCAAACAACAUUCAAAUGUUGCAAAGAAUCAAAGCAGGAAUGAAACUAAGUUCUUAUCAUUGGAUAGGUAAAUUAAACGAAACUGACACAAUUAAAUCUAGUUCAAAUGCAAAAGAAAAUGCAUAAAAAAUUUAACGAAAAUAAACUAAACUAAAAUAUCACAAAAACUACUAACAACAAAACCUUCCCCUAAACUAAAUUGCACAUUGUCUUUAAUGUGAAAAGCUAAAAAGAAUAAGAAAAAGAAACUCCUCUAUCAAUGGUGACAAUGCAUUGAAAGCUCUAAUUUCUUCCUCCUUAUCCUCAUGCUUUCCAAACCCGUAAACUCAACAAACAAGCUAGGGAGAGGUUAUAAGUACUUAUUUAAAUAGAAAAAUAAAACUAACUAAAAUAACGACUAACCUGAAAAAGAUAUAGCUUAGGUUGCCUCCCAUGAAACGCUUCUUUAUAGUCAUUAGCUUGACUAUGAUACCUUUUUUUUAACUUCUUCAUCCUUGCAGAAAUGCUUGAGGCUUUGUUUCAUUACCUUGACUGCUCCUGUAAAUGUACUAAAAAUUUCAAGGUAUCCAUAAGACAAAAAUUUUACCACUUUAAAGGUUGGUACCAAUAUGGUUGAAGUUGCCAUGGUAAAAGAUGGAAGCAUGAAUUAGAAAGUGUUACAUGCUAUCCAACCUCAAAAUCACUGUCACUAGAAGAUGGUAGAUUAUGCUCACCAUAACACUGCUUCAUUUUGAGAUGUAGUGGCGAUGAUUUUAACUCAAGAGUUGGUACUUGCUUGCUUGUAAAUGGUAGAGUAAGAUUCCCUUUACCUCUAUUAGCUAAGUCCACUUUAUAGCAAUGAGCCACACAGGAACGGUAUUUAUUUGCAUUGAAAAUAGUAAAUUCAACUAUCGCCUCACCAACUCUACAAGUUAUUCUACCUUCUUUUACAUUGAUGAGUGCACUUGUACUGGCUAAGAAUAAACGUCCCAAUAUGAUCGAAAUCUUUUGAUCCUCCUCCAUUUCAAGUACUAUGAAGUCUAUUAGAAUGUAUAAUUUCCCCACUUUCAGUAAGACAUCCUCUAUAAUCCCACAAGAGUGCCUCAUUGUUCUGUCUAUUAACUGCAAGGUGACUGUAGCAGGUUGAAUCUCCGUCAACCUAAGUCUCCUAGCAACAAGGCAUUAUUGAGACAUUAGCACUUACAUCACAUAAAGCUUUCAAAAAAUUAAAAUUACCAAUUGAGUAAGGGAUAGAAAAACUCCUUGGGUCCAUAAGCUUUGGUGGAAGCUUGUUCUAGAUUAUCGCGUUACACUCCUCAAUGGGUGUAAUUGUCUCAAAAUCCUCAAAUUUCCCCUUCUUCGUCAAUAUGUCCUUUAGAAACUUCACAUAUGACGGCAUUUUCUCUAGAGCUUCUGUGAAAGGAAUGUUGAUGUGAAGCUUUUUAAAUACCUCUAUAAAUUUUUGGAAUUGCCUAUCAAGCUUUUGUUUAUAAAGGUGCUGAGGAAAGGGUGGUGGUGGUAAAAUUACUUUUGCUGCCUUUUCUUAAACUUGCUUGUCAGUUGUCUCAAUCAAUGUUUCAUUCUCAACAGGCUUAUCUUGAAGAUUAGCCGACCUAACACUAUUUUCAACCUCUUUUUUGCUCCUUAUGGUGAUUGCCAUAGCUUAUUCCUUACCUUCUCUCUUUUCGAUUUACCUUUAUAUCGCUAAGUAAUGUUCCUUGAGGUCGAUUGUUUAAUAAAUUGACAAGUUGACCAACUUGAGUCUCAAGGUUUCGAAUUGAUGCUGCUUGACUCUAAAUGAGAGCUGUUUGACUUUGUAUGAUGUUAUCAUUCUAUGUCAUGUAUUGCCAUAGCAAAUCUUCACCAACUAGCUUCUUUUUUUAGAGAGGUGUUUUGGCUUGCUGUUGGAAUUUCGAACGUGCAUUUGGCCUUAAAGUUGAUGACGCCCCUUGAUUGUUAGCCCAAGAGAAAUUUGCAUGAUUCCUCCACCCUAGGUUGUAAGUGUUAUAAUAGGGGUUAUUUUGCUAUCUAUUCCCCACAAAUUGCAUUAUUUCUGUUGAGCUUGGACAAUGAUUACUUGCAUAAUUAUCUCCACAAUACUCAUAAGCUACAAAAGGACUUUCCACAGAGUUAGUACCAAAAGAGUCAAGAGUUUUUGUUAGAGCUGCUACCAAUGCAGAUAAGGCUGAAAAAGCAUCCAUAUUAUGAAUUCUAACUACUCUCUUAUGCAUUGCUCACUUUGUUGGCCACUAGUAAUUGUUUGCAACUAUCUCUUCUAACAAAUCUUAAGCCUUAUCGAUUGAUUUGGCCAUUAAAGGUGCUUCCACAACAGCAUCAAUGGUGCUUUGAACAUGCCACUCAAACCAUUGUAGAAAGUUUGUACCUAAAGCCACUUUGGAAUACCAUAAUCAGGACAAUGUCCCAAGCCUCGUACAACGAUUCAGACUCUUGCUACAUGAAUGAUGUAAUAUCAUUCCUCAUUUUCGCUAUCUUAGCUGAAAGAAAGAAUUUGGCAAGGAACUUUUGAGUAAGAUCAUUGUUUUUGAGCUAGUAGAGAGUGCAUUCAACCGUGCUUUAGCUUUAUCCCUCAAUAAGAGAGGAAAAAGCCUCAAGCGAAUUGCAUCAUCUGUGACACCAUUAUGUUUGAAAGUGUCACAAAUCUCCAAAAAGUUUGACAUAUGGCCAUUAGGAUCAUCAUUUGGAAGGCCUUCUAAUUGAACUAAGGUUUGAAUCAUGGUGAUCAUAGCCAGCUUGAUCUCAAAAUUGUUUGCUUGAAUAGCUUGCUUUUGAAUGCUCGAUGGAAUUCUUUGUACUAAAGGAACAGCAUAAUCCCUUAAGUAAUGAUUUUCAACUACUACGUGCUCUUGGAUUUGCUAUUCACCCUAUUUAUUAGCCAUUGUAUUUAUUAGAGCAACACAUUGUUGAUUCUCUUGUCAAAGUUUACGAAAUGUUCUUUCAUUUUAUAGAUCACUCAGGAUAAUCUCCAAAUUAUUUGCUCUUCUCAUACAAUGACUGAGCACACUUGCAAAACAAAGAAAUAAAACUUAAAUUAUGACUAAUCUGUAAAAUUUUAAUAUUAGUAAAGAUCAAAGAAAACAAAAUCCCCAACAACAACGCCAAAAACUUCUUGUUGAUUUUGCACACGUAAAUAUACGUAUCGAACAAGUAAUAUAGACAAUAAGUCUAGAUUAUUGUUCCCACAAGGAUUUGUUUCUAAAGUUUCACUAAGUACUAAAAUUAUAUAACAAAUUAAUUCUAUUUAAGCUAAUCGACAAUUAAAAAGCUAAUCAAAGGUAAAAUUAAAACAUGUAAACAAUAAAUUAACCAACAAAAACUAAAUAUGUUGAGAAAAUUAGUUGAUUAAAGACCUCGGAUCAUGGGUUCAUUAAACAUUUCAUUUGAUACUAGCUUUUCUUGUUAUUUAUCUUUCCUAGGUGAUUUUACUAACCUAGAAUACAAAGCUAUAGACAAGUCUCCAUCGGGAUGCUUGUACAAAUGUCUAACUUAAUCAGUUCACUAUAUGUCUAUAGAAAUAAAUUAAAUUAAGUUCAUUAAGUAAGUGUCCUAAUUGGCUAUGUAUGGUAAUUGGUAUAUGUCUACCUGAAUUGUGAAUUAGAUUACCUAAGUGAUAUGAACAUACACUAUUCAAAUCUUAAUCCAACAUAAAAUCUCUUUAUCGAGCUUCAAUUAGAUUCAUAAAUCAAUUAAUUAUUGAUUAGGCAAUGAAAGACAUUAAUAACAUAUAUGAAUAAGUAAAACAAUACCCAUUCAUGAUAAAUAACAAAAAAACCAGUAUUCAGAUUACCUGUUGAAAUCCACCAUAAUCCUAGAUACGUAAAUUAGUUCAUAACAUCUAAAUAAAACACCAUCCAAAGAAAUUUAGCCAUGAAUUUAAAAUAAGAAAAUAAGAAAAACACAAAAAGAAAAAAAUGAACUAAUGUUGAAGCCUAGUUGAUUGCGAAUCUCUCUUAAUUGCUCUUGAAUUCUUGAUUGAUUCGUAGCUCCAAUUCUCUAGAAAAGUUGUUAUAAUUUCACCUAUGAAUGCUCUCACAAAGGCUCCAUGACUUAUUGGCGUUGUAACUCCAUGACAAGCUAUGGUAGCAUCACGACGUUCUUUUUCUAGAGCCACGAUGCCAUGCUCUUGGCCUUUAGUAUGAUGCACCAAUCUAGCCCAGCACCACAGCCACAAGCUUCUAGCAUUGCAACAAUGGUCCCUUCAGCGUCGUGGCCUUGAGUGACUUAGUGUUGUUGCCUCAAUCACCAUGCUGCCUUAUGUGUAGUCUACAUCUAUCUAUCAUCUUCAAAUGUGAUUUUCACCUUGAUCUAGUCCAAACUGGACAAAGUGGUAAACAUGAAAGUUGUAGCCCAUUCUCUUCACUUUUUAAUGAAUCAAAAAACCACAUUAUUUAGACUCUGUAGCUUAAGUUAUCUUUAAAUUCUCGCAACAUGUACUAGUGACAGCUUCACCAUACUUGUGUAUCAUAACUCAAUUUCAGUUUGCUCAUCACAUAUCCUACACUAAAAUGCUAAAAUCAACACCUAAAACUCAAAGUUCUAGCUACUAAAGCCCCCAAAUUGUGUUAAAAAUUACUCUAUAUAACAGAGUUAUCACGGAUCACAAGAGUCUCAAAUGCAUUUUUAAGUAGAGAGAUUUCAAUCUUAGGCAAUGUAGAUGGUUGGAGUUGCUUAAGGAUUAUGACUGUACCUUAUUGUAAUAUCUCAGCAAAGCUAAUGUGGUGGCAAAUGCCUUGAGCCAAAAAUCUAUGAGGAGUCUAGCACAUAUUUCAAUCGAGAAAAGAUCAUUGGUGUGGUGCAGUGCAUGCAUGAGCUGAGGAAUAUGGGCUUUCGAUUUGAGGUUAAUGAUAUUGAGGUGAUAUUAGCUCAUUUUAAGAUUAGGUAGAUGUUGAUGGUUCGGAUCAAGAAAGGUCAAGAUAAGGAUGAUUUUGUAGCUAGAGUUUUAGAGGAUCCUCAAGGAAGGAAAUGGUAGAUGUUUACCAGAGGCACCGAUGGAUUACUCAGGUAUGGAUCUAGAUUGUAUGUGACAGAUAUUAAUGAUUUGAGGUGAGAAAUCCUAGAGAAGGCACAUGUGGCUGCAUAUGUUGUUCAUCCAAAGACCACCAAGAUGUACCAUGACUUGAGGAAUAUGUACUAGUGGGAAGACCUUUAGAAGGAUUUGGUUGAGUUUGUAGCUAAGUGUCUAGUGUGCCAACAAGUUAAGGCAAAGCAUUAGAGACCUGCCGAAUUGUUACAACCUUUGCCUGUUCCUAAGUGAGAGCAUAUUUCUAUGGACUUUAUGACUAGACUACCCCACAUGAGUAAGGGGUAUGAUUCUAUUUGGGUGAUGGUGGAGAGAUUGACUAAGACUGCUCAUUUUCUACUAAUGAGGACCACCUAUGAAGCAUCACAAUAUGCUAGGCUAUAUAUUGAUAAGGUAGUGCGAUUGAAUGAAGUUCCAAUCACUAUAGUAUUGGAUAAAGGCACAUAGUUCACUAGUCAAUUUUAGGGAAAAGUGCAAAAAACUUUAAGGAGAAUUAAAUUUUAGCACUGCUUUUCACCCAUGGACAAAUGGACAAUCUAAGAGGAACAUUCAAACACUAGAGGACAUGUUAAGGGCAUGUGUCAUAGAUUUUGGAGUCCCUUGGGAUUGACACUUUCCAUUAAUUGAAUUCACUUAUAAUAAUAGUUUUCAAGCUAGCAUUAAGAUGGCGCCUUAUGAGUCUUUAUACGAGUGAAAAUGUAGGUCGCCCAUAUGUUGGUUUGAGGUCAAUGAGAGAAGUUACUUGGACUGAAAUUAGCUCAAGAAACUACAGACAAGAUCUAGUUGAUUAGGGAGAGGAUGUUCUCAGUACAAAGUCACCAAAAAUCAUAUGCCCACCAUAAAUGUCGAGAGUUAGAGUUUGAGGUUGGGGACCCAUGUGUUUUUGCAAGUCUCUCUAACCAACGACAUUAUGAGGUUUAGUAAGAAAGGCAAAUUAAGCCCAAGGUUUAUUAGACCAUUUGAGAUAUUGGAAAGUGUUGGUGAAGUAGUAUAUCAGUUAGCACUUCCGUCUAAUCUUGCUAAUGUUCAUCUAGUGUUUUACGUUUUGGUACUAUGAAAGUACCAACCAAAUCCUUCUCACAUGAUUCAGCAUGAGUCUUUGUAAUUAGAGAAUGAUUUAAACUAUGAAGGGGUGUCAAUAGCCAUUUUCGAUAGGCAAGUGAAGAAGUUACGCUACAAGGAGGUACCUUUAGUGAAGGUGUAAAAAGGAAAAAUAUUUUAUUAAUAUGAAAUUAAUUACAGAGGGACCAAGACACGCCAUCAUCGGGCCAUAGAGGCAGCCGUAGAUGAUUCGCUACAAACAUACCUUUACUAAUGAGGCAGCCUAACAAUCCGUCGAUUGCUCACCCCUUAUAAAGAGUUUACGAGAUUUUACAAGUAUUCUACAAAUAGCCAUUACAAUACUUGAAAUGAAGGCAUUCUUGUCCUAAAGGGUCUUUCCCCCUAAAGACUUAACAAAUAUUUUUAGAUGUGUAACCAUGAGCCAUUACAUUGUUUGAAAAAAGAACAUUUCCCUUACAGGUAUAAAAAACUCAAUCUCAUAAACAACUCUACCCUAUCAUGGUUUAAUACAAGGUUGGCUCAUGACAUUCUCCCCCACUCAAUAUGUCGACCUAGUCGUUGACUGGUUAGCUUGAAACUCUUUAAUCUUCUGCUAGAAGGUGCAGAGAUUGGCUUUUUUCUCGCAAGUGAUCUCAUUUGGCCCCAAACUUUCCCAAUUCACCAAGUACUCUUAUGUCGGUCGUCUAUUGAUUGUCGUCAUUCUCCCUGCAAAAAUCUCUUCCAUUCGAUACUGUGAUGGUGGCUUGGUGCCAAUGGCAGCUCUUAUGGCUCGACUCCUAUUUGCAUUUACAUGGAACAGCUUCAGAUUGCUUACGUGAAACACAGGGUGUACCUUCAUCCACUUGGGUGGAUCAUCCUAUAGGAAGUCCUUCCCACCUUGGCGACCACUGGUGCAAAACUUUCAUACUUCUAUACUAGUUUUUGAUCUCUUAGAAAUCAAAGCUGUUCGAGCAAAAACUUCACCACUACUAGGUCUCCCACCUAAAAGUGUUGCUCCCUUCGACCUCUAUUUGCCCACUCAUUAAUCCGAUUGGAGGCUUUCUCUAGAUAAGCUUUAGUGAUUUUAGUGUUUGGCCUCCACUCCUUAGUAAAGUUAAAUGCCCGUGGACUCUUUCUGGUAUACGAUUUUACUGAGGUAUGAAGGAGUCUAGGUUGUUGUUCGGUGAUGACCUCGAAAGGGGUUUUACUAGUGGUUAAGCUUUUCUGUGAAUUGAAACAUAGUUGAGCCACAUCGAGUAGAUUGGGCCAAUUCUUUUGGUUUGCCUAUACAAAGUGUCAUAGGUAUUUUUCCCAUAACCCAUUGAAGCGUUCUGUCUAACUAUCUUUUUAUGGGUGAUAACUGAAAAAUAUGUUGAGUUCUAACCCCAAUAGUUUAAACAGCACCUUUCAAAAAAAGUCAGUAAACCUUGGAUCUCUAUCGCUGAUUAUGCUCUUCGAAACACCUCAAUAUUUUACCACAUGUUUAAAAAUCGUGCGAGCCAUUUCUUCUGCAGAGCUAAACUUUUGUACUAGAAUGAAUAUCGCAUGCUUGGAAAACCAGUCCACCACUACCAAGAUUGCUAUCAUAUCCCCCACUUUAGGAAGUUCUACAAUGAAGUCUAAAGAAAUACUUUUCUAGGGUUUUGGUCGACAUGGGUAAAGGUUCGAGCAUUCCCAUCGGUCUUUGUCUGUUUACUUUGUCCUGUUGGUAAAUAAGGAAUGUUUUCGUAAAAUCCAUCACAUCCUGUCACAUAUGAGGCCAACAGUAACCUUGUUUCAGUAGUACAAUAGUCUGCUGCCAACCUGGAUUUUCUACCUAAAGAGUGUCGUGACAUUCUCACAUUAAUUUCUACCUAUGCUCUCAUUUUCUUUGAACAAAUAUACGAGGUCCCUUCGUUAGUAGAAGUCUAUUUUUCACCCAAAAGUAUUUCGACUUUUUGCUCUCCAUCAACUUCUUAAUUGCCAUUGCUUAAGGGUUUCAAUGCAAAUUUUCCUCAAUCAAAUUACGGAUAUUUAUGGUCACUCUACUGGCUGUCAUUAGCAUAAUCACCCUUAGAGCUAUAAAUUCGACUUUUCUAUCGAGGGCGCUUGUUACACGGUUCGCUUUUCCCGCUUUAUGCUUGAAGGAGAAAUCAAACUCAGCUUAGAACUCUUGCCAUCUUGCUUGUUUAGCUGUAAGUUUUGGCUAUGUGAAAAAGUGGCUUACGGUAGUAUUAUCAAUCUUAACUACGAAUUGUGAUCCUAGCAAGUAGUGUCGUCAGGCCCGUAAACAAUGAAUCAUUGCAAGUAGUUCUUUCUCCUGUGCCGUGUAUCUCCUUUCAACUUCAUUCAACUUUUGACUUUCGAAUACAACUAGGUGUUCUUCUUGUAACAACACUCUUUUAAAGGUAAAGUCUGAUGCAUUCGUUUAUACCUUGAAAGGUUUUCCAAUAUCAGGGAACGAUAUCACAAGAUAAGUCAUCAUCGUGUCCUUUAAACCUUCGAAGGCUUCUUGGCACUACGGCUUCUAGUUCCACUUCUAUCCCUUUUUCAGUAAUUCUGUAAGUGUUAUUAUUCUUUUUGAAUAUUCUUCCAUGAAUCUCUAAUAAUAAUUGGCUAGCCCUAAGAAAGAACGAAGCUCAGUUGUAUUCUUAGGGGUAGCCCAUUCUUUGAUAGCCUUUACCUUCUGCAUGUCCAUUCAGAUGUACCUUUGUUUAAUUAUGUAGCCAAGAAACUGUAUUUGGGUUUGUGUGAAUGCACAUUUCUCUCUUUUUACAUAUAACUGGAGGCCACGUAGCCUUUAGAAGACCUGUAGUAAGUGUCGUUGAUGCUCCUCUAAGGUCGAGCUAUACACCAUAAUAUCAUUUAAGUAGAUCACCAUGAACUUGUCCAGAUAAUCAUGAAACACCUAGUUCAUCAGUGUGCAAAAGGUAGCAAGAGCAUUGGUUAGUCCGAAAGGCAUAACGAGAAAUUUAAAUGUGCCAUAUCGCGUUACUCAAGUGGUUUUAGGCUUAUCUCCCUUUACCACUCUUACUUGAUGGUAACCUGAUCUCAUAUCUAGUUUGGAAAAGUAUUUUGCACCAGUUAGCUGAUAAAAGAGAUCUGCUAUAAGAGGGAUAGGAUGUUUAUUCUUAACUAUGACUUUAUUCAAAGCCCGAUAAUCCACGUACAAUCGUAAACUCCCAUCGUGCUUUUUUUGAAAAACUACUAAGGCUCCAAAAGGUGCUUUCGAUGGUCGGAUGAAUCUGGCUUGAAUCAGCUCAUCUAAUUGUUUCCUUAACUCUGCUAACUCUGAGGGAUCCAUCUUGUAUGGUAUUUUUGCAGGCGACUUAACUCUUGAUAAAUAAUUUUAUCUCGUGAUCAACAACUCGUCGAAACGGUGGGACCCUUGGUAGUUGUUUUGGUAUCAUAUCUUGAAAUUCUUCCAAAAUCAGUUUCUCUUCUUCGGGUAUUGCGUUUUUGUUAUCUUCACCUUUGUAGAUGGGCAUGGUUAUGUUGGAGGGCUUACCUUUCUUAAUCCCCUUCUUAAACUGUAUAGUUGAUAUCAUCUUCUUCUUGCUCUUAGGUAUGAUUAUAACUGGUACCACACAUGGUCAUUCUCCAAAAAACAUUAAACAACUUGCAACAGGGAAAGGGAUGGCUUGAGCUUUCAUCAUAAAAUCCAAGCCUAAAACGGAAUCAAAAUCAUCAAUAGUGGCUACUGUCAAGUUUACCUUCCCUCAAUCUUAAUCUUUACGUUUUUAGCAUUUCCCAUUAUAGCUGAAGCUGGCAAGUUAAUAGCUUUCAUCUAUCCAAAAUCCUUUUCAACUUUAAGACCAUACUUCAUUGCCUAUCCCGAGGUGAUGAAAGUGCCUAAGGCCUCCAUGUCAAGCAUAGCUUUAGUACUUUUCUCAUUCAACAACACCUCUACAUACAUUAAACUUUGUUGGGGCUCCUUCUCCAUCUUUUAUAGUUGUGCUUGCAAAGCGUUGAGGAAACGAAUAGAACCCAUUCGUGCUGGCUCUUCCUCGGCUUCUUCGAUUGUGGUGUGGGGUGAAGGUGUCUCAACAUUGGCAAUACAUAUCUCAUUGAGAGCUGCUCGAUGAGGAUAGUCAGUUACUCGAUGAAGUUCCUUGCAUAGAAAACAAGAUAUCGGUGGCCGUGGCUUAAAGUUUCAUGGCUUGUUUAUUCUCGGUUGGGGUGAAUCUCUAGCAGGUGGUCUUCUAUCACCUCCCCCACUUGAGGUCUGGUUAAUCUCAAAAAUUUUACCCCAUUGUUUGUGGUAUAGCUAUUGGUCUUGGAUGGAGGGUCUUUUCUUUUAUUGGAGUUUUCACUAUAAUCAAUAAGGCGCUCAGCAGCCAUCAUUGCUAAAGUCACAUCCUGUACCUUCUAUCACUGUAACUCUAUCAUCGUCUGUGGUUUUUGACCCUUAAGGAAAUAAAACAAUCUAUCUUUUUUAGUCAUAUCCCUUAUAUCUAGCAUUAAAGUAGAGAAGUUUCUCACGAACUCUCGCACUGAUUCUGUUUGUGACAACUCCUGCAACUUCCGUCUCGCCAUAUACUCAACAUUCUCAAGGAAAAAUUGGUUCUUCAAUUCCUACUUUAGAUCUGCCCAAGUGUUGAUAUGGCACCCACCAUCGAUAAUUUGAAAUGCCACCACAGCUUUGUGUGCCCAACAAGAUACAUUGAAGUGAUCGCCACUUUGUCCUCCUUGGACUCCAUGCAUACAGCUUAAAAAUAUUGUUUCAUAUGAAAAAAGAAGUUCUUUAACUCCUUAGCAUCUUAGACUCUUUCGUAUCGAUUGGGUUUCAACACUUUGACCUUUUUUCCUCGAUCUAUUGAACUCCCACUAGCAUUACCUACAGCAAUAACCAAAAGAUUUACUUGAGCUUUCAGUUCUUCAAUCUCGCCUUGGAGAGUGCUCAAUGCAUCCAUGGUCUCAUCACUCAGGGUACUAAUCAUUUCGGAUAGUUCCCGCUAGACUAUCUCAAUUUCAUUUAUUCGUUCUCGCGGAACCAUUUAAGCUUUUACUGCAACCACCGCAACCUCUAGCUCACUAAUCAUUUGAUGGUCCUCUGGUGCACUUCGCGUGGUCACCAUUUUUACACUUUAGAUCAACACGUCUUGCCUAUGCUCUGAUACCAACUGUCACGAACUACACUCAUUCACCUAAGUAUGCAAUAGUCCGUGCGGUACUUGAGUGGAAGCUUCCACGCAAGUCAGUCAACACUCGGUUAUAUUUGAUCCAAUAUUAAUAAUAACAAAAAAUCAGACUAAGAGAACUUGCAUCAAAAUCAAAAGGCAUACUAAAUGCCAUAUAUGUAACCACUAAGCCAUAAAAGGGAAAAAUAUUUUAUUAAUAUGAAAUUAAUUACAAAGAAACUAAGACACCCCAUUGUUGGGCCAUAGAGGCAACCCUAAAUGAUUCGCUAUAAACAUACCUUUACUAGUGAGGUAGUCCGACAAUCCACCAACUACUAACCUUUAUAAAGAGUUUACGAGAUUUUACAAGUAUUUUACUAGUAGCCAUUACAAUGCUUGAAAUGAGGAUAUUCCUUUCCUAAAGGGUCUUUCCCCCUUAAGACUUAAUAAGUAUUUUUAAAGGUGUCACCACGAGCCAUUACAUUGUUUGAAAGAGGGACAUUUCCCUUACAGGUACAAAAGACUUAAUCUCAUAGACAAUUCUACCCUAUCAUGGUUUGAUGCAAGGUUGGUUCAUGAUAUCGAGCAUGAUAGGCGAGCAUGACACCCACAUUUAUUCAAUGAAGGUUAGUGCCUUAGUUAAAUUCAAGGACGAAUUUUCCUUAAGGGGAAAUGUGAAACACCACCCUAAUGUGGGAUUUGCUAAGUUAGAAAUCCUUAUAUUUGCAAGUUAAAUUGUGUUUCAAAAUCUUGAAAUUUAGCUUUGUGAAUGGAAAGUUUUAUGGUGUAAUGUUUUGAGAUGAUUCUUGUGUUUAGAAUGUUUAAAAGUAAGUUUUGAUCUUAGAAAAAUUCAUGUUUUGAUGCAUUAAGAUGAUUUACAAAGUUUGGUGUUACAAGGAGUUUAAUUGGAUAUGUUUCUAAGGUUUAUUUUGUUUUUUAGACCCAAUCUAUCGAUAAAUGUUCUUCAUCUAUCGAUAAAUACAAUCUAGAAAAGGUUUAUCAAAGCUGCCUUAAAGAACAUCUAUGGAUAGAUUGAUAGAUGAGCAGAUCUAUCCAUAGAUGGCCAAAUUUAUCGAUAAAUGGCAAUUAAAAAGCUUCAAGAAAAGGUUCUAAAGCUCAUCUAUCAAUAGAUAGCCUUGAUCUAUCGAUAGAUGAUAUAGCUUUCACAAAAAUAAAACGGAUAAAAGUGUAUUUUCACUUCCCAAAUUAUAAAUAUGAUACAAUACCUGAGAGUUUCUCAAUCCUAACCGUUUUUGCCUAGGUAAACCCUUUCCUAAACCCCUUUCAACUUGUUUUUAGUCAAAAAUCUUCAAUGAUUUUGAACUUAAUUUUGAUAUUUAAUCAUAAAAAUGUCAUUUUUAUGCUGUAAAACCUUUAAAGCUCACAUUUUAAUGUUGGAAAUUUAUGAUUUUUGCCUAAAAAUUUCUAUUGAGGAUUACAGCUAAGGUUUUUGUGAUUUCCUUCAACAUUUAAGCUUAUCUAAAGUAAGUUUAGAGGAUUUAUGUAUUUAUAGCUUAGUCUAGAGAGAGAAAGUGAUUAUAGUCAAAAGCAAAUAAAUUUCGAAAGUUGCUAGGUAAACUAUUUUGAGUUUAUUAGUUUAUAAAUUGAUUGCUAUGAACAUCGAGUGAUAGGAUCACAUGAAAACACAUUGGAUUACACAGUAUCAUAGUUGUAAUCGAGCUUCCUAUAAUGUAAGUGGAUAUACCACUUUCAAAACUAUUUUGAUAUGUAAAGUUGAAACAUGAUUUAAGGAUUAUUGGUGAAUAAGAUUUUCUUCAAAUAUUUAUGAAUUAAAAAUUUAUUUGUGGAUAAGAAAAUAUUUUAAAAUCUGUUUUCAACCUACUAUGUAUUUAAUAUGAUAUUAUGUACUAGUUUCCAACAAGAGGGGACAAGUACCUUAAGUUUUAGUCCACUCAAUUACUCCAGUCUUUGGACUAGUGUGGGCACAAUUUAUGAUUUAUGAUUAAUGCAUGAAUGUAUGAGGUGUAUGCUAGAUAUGUUGAGGCAUGAAAUGUGUGAUGGCUUGUAUAAUGAAUUUCAUCAAAGAUAUUAUGUUUAUGUAUAUGAUGUGUUUUCCAUAUACUACAUGAGAUAUUUGAGGAAGCAUGAUGAAUGUUAUGAGAUUAUCCAAAUAAUGCAUGUUUUACAUAUGAUAUGAUGAAACAGUGGGCAUGAGGAAAAGCCAUGAAAUGUGUAUAUGAUGUAAAAUUCCAUAUACCUUAUGAAAUGAGUAAGCAUGUAUGUGAUGGACAUUCCACAUACUAAAUGCUACAAGUAUAACAGUUUAACAAGUGCGAUUGAUUUCACUCACACAAGGUGUAGUGACGACUUCACUCCUAUGAUGCAUCAUAAACACCCAAGGUGCAAUGGGGUUAUACAUUGUCAGCCCAAGGUUAAUGGGGAGUGUACCAUCACUGUGUGAGUUUAAUAUUAAUGGAAUAAUUAUGAUUGCUAUCUGUAUGAUACGUUGCAUGUUAAGUCCAUCUUGGAUAAUGUUAUUGAGUUAUACUUUCUGUUGGUAUGAGAAUGUGUUUAGAGAAAUGAAAUGAGCUAUAGAGAUAGUCCCAAAAGGUAAAGGGACCUAAGGACGGAAAGGAUACACAAAUUUGCCUAGAAAACAAAGUUUCAAAGGCUAUCUAUUGAUACAUGUAGAGCAUCUAUCGAUAGAUAGAAGACAAUAUGCAACAAGAAGCAUUCUGUUUCAAUCUAUCAAUAGAUGAGUCCCAGAAUUGAAUGUAUUGACUUGUUUGAAAGUUUUCAAAGGUAAAAAGGUGUUCCAGUGGUUUUUGACUCUUGUUUAUAUCAUAUAUGAUAUUUCAAACAUGUUUAAACACCAUGUUUCAUGGGAUUGAAGUUUAAAUUGAUUAUAAUUGGCAUGAGGUUAUAAGUGCAUGUUUACGAAACACUUUUAUCCCUUAGCUUGUCCCUUUCCCAUAUCCAUUCAUAGAGCCUUUGUGACUCAUGUUAUUUUCCUCAUUUAUUUUGUUACAGAUCAGUGAUAGCAUUUUGAUAAUAGCUAGUGUCGCGGAUACCAGUGUCCAGUCUUUAUUCUUUGGUAGGUGUCUAGUAGCCAUUUAAUGCCUAAAGGGCUAGUCACGUUCCGCUGACGAAUCAAUCAUAUGUUUAUAUUUAUGGAUUUGAUUAUGUUUAUGGAUUACAAACAUGUUAUGUUAAUGUAGCCUAUGAUUGGCAUUUUACAAGGAUAACGUAUGUAUGAUAUUAUGAUGAUGGCUCUAGAGCCUAUACGAACACUCAAGGGUGUUGUUAAUGAUAAUGAUAUUGUGCAUUGUAAUAGUUGUACUUGUAAAUAUAUAUAUAUAUAUAUCAAAUGCUUGAGCUUAUACAAUUAAGUUGGGAACUUUCUUAAUUGCAUAAUGAGUAUUAUGAAUGCAUGCAUGAUGAUUUUGUGUGUAAAUGGAUGUUAUAAGACACUUCCGCAUAUAAUGAUGAAUGUUUAAUGAUGUUAUGGUAAGAGGCUUGCUUGAACCUAGUGGGCUAUGCUCGUCUAGGUCCAUUCACCGAUCAUGAUCUGUCCAAGAAAUGGGAUGUGAUAGCAAAGGAUGAUAAUUCCUUAGCUUUUCUCAAAGGCUAAUAUUGGAUUAGAACCUCUUCAACUUUUCUUGUCGAUCUUGGAUUAGAAGAAUUAACCAUUGAUGUUACAAGAACAAAGAAAGACUAAUCAAGAAUUAAAAUCAAAUUUGUGAGAUUAAUUUUGCAACAAAGAAAACUAUAUUUAAAGUUCAAUUUGAGAAAAACUUCAUAAGGAAAUCUGGAAAAUAUCACGCCAGAAACCCUAGAUGCUUUGUUGCCAUGUAAGAAUUGAAGGAGAAUAAUGUCUAGAAAGAGAAAACCAUUGUGGAAUUAUGUUGAGUUCAUUCGUUGAUCAAUCAAUUACAAAGGUGUUUAUAUACAAUCUGUUACAAUCUUGAAAAGGGUAAAAUAACCAACUUCUAGUUAGUUACACAAUUAGCACUUCUUACUAGAAAAAUUACUAUUAGUUCAAGAUAAAUUUGUACAGUAAAAAUUUGUAUUAUUAAUAGAAAAACUACUAUAGGUUCAAGAUAAAUUUGUACAAUAAAAAUUUGUUUAACUUAAAACUAAACUGAGCUUCACAUGUGCUGAUCACGUGUUAUCAUUUUAAAUGGACAUGUGCAAGCCAUGUGAUUUUAAUCUUCUUAAAAUCAAUUCAAUCUUUAAAUUCUUCAAUUCCUUUUGCAAACAAGCUUCAAUCCUUCGCUGAUCAGCUGUUGAUUCUUCAACAUUCUCCACUAUCAAGUCUAGGCUUUAGUUUGCUACCAUGUUAGCCAUUGUUCUACUUUUAUUUAAGAUAUGACUGACAUGGCUUGACAAACUAAACCUUAACCCUUUACAAAAUAAAGAUUUGGGGUCUGUGGAUCUUGGGUCUAUAUAUCAAUUGGUCAGCCAUUGCUUUACUUUUAUUUAUGACACGAAAAUCUUAAUUUACUGCCAUGGUUAAGUUUGUUAAAGCAAGAGCUUCUUUUGUUACGGUUUUAUCUAUAUUGUGUAUAUCUCAGGAAGGGCCUCUUUUGUUAUGGUUUUAUCUAUAUUGUGUAUAUCUGGAUGACUUUCUUUUAUAAAGGGUGAAUAUUUUACAAAGGCUUGAUUUUUGUUAGAGCCAAGCUUACAAGCCUCUUAAAAGGAUUGGGUGAUGCACAUUUUGUUUUUUGGGUAUCCUAAUGGUUAUUAUCGAACCACAAAGGUUUUUUUGUUAACUUAGAGGUUUUUUUAUUGGAUGUAUUUAAAUUACUCUAAUGAAACAAGAAUAUUUUCUAGUGAAAUUAGAAUAUUUAUUAACCUUUCAAAAAAGUAAUAUAACUAGGUUGUACAUAUUUUGUAAGCCAUGAUUCCAGCUAAACCUUGACAACUUCCUUUUUCUCCUUCAUGGUCUCCAUUCCCGUCUUUAAACCUCCUCUACCAACAAAUCCCCAUCUUCCUUUUUCAUCGCUAACGAUAGCCUUCUAUUUGCAACAGUUUCAAUAAUAGGGUUAGCUAGGUUGUUCCAGCAAGGUAUUUCUUGUUGGUCGAAAGCAAAGUUUCAGCUGCUUUAAAUGGAAGGUUAUCGUUGGCGAUGAAAAAGUGAAUGAGGGGAUUUGCUGGCAGAGGAGGUUUAAAGAUGGGAAUGGAGACUAUGAAAGAGAGAAAAGAGGUUGUAAAGGUUUGACUGGAAUCAUGGCUUGUGGGGAUUGUCAACGGAAGAGGUUUAGUUGGUUCGGCACAUGAAGGGGGGGAGCAAGGGACAGUCAGGACAAGGGAGGGGAAGGGAAGGUCAAGACGGGGAGGGAGAAAAGGAAUAUUUUUUGCAACUAAAAAAAUUGUCUUAUGCCCAAUUAACAAGCUCAACAACCCGUAAAACUUUUUCCAUUUCGAUUUAAUUUUCAAUCUUCCAAACAAUUUUAAGUUCUGAAAAUAUUUCACGACAAAAAUUUUACAUCAAAACAAACAAACCUUUUAUUAUUAAAAAAUAACCUCUUAAAUGUAAAAGUACAUUUUUUGGUAUAAACGUAAUUUAAACAAAAACUAAUAAAAAUACCUAAUUUAAUCCUUAUAUAAUAAAUUUUUAUUCAAUUUAAUCUCUAAAUUUUAUAAAUUUAUUUAAUUUAAUUUCGAUACUUUAUAUUUUUAUUCAAUUUAAUCCUUAUAACAUGACAUUAAAAAAUUGACGUAAAAAAAAAUUUCUAAAAAUAAUUUCCAAAAAUUUUUUCAAACAUGACACCUCUUUAUUGCCACAUUAGCAUAUCAACACCUCAGCAUCACCUUGUGAACAGUCACACAUCUUCAUUGCCACAUUAGCAUAUCAACGCCUCAACAUCACCUUGUGAACAAUCACAUUAAUGUCACGUCAACAUUAUUAAUGAUCAAUUUGGACGACAUUUAGGGAAAAGAUUUAAUUACAUGAAAUCUUAAAAUACAAAGACUAAAUUGAUUAAUUUUAAGAUAAGACUAAAUUAACAAAAACCCCAUAAUAGAAAGACCUAUAGAGUAUUUUGACCAAUAAAAAUUAUAAUCCAUUCACAAAGUAAUACCAUCAAAUUUCAAAUAUGACCGAAUCAUAGUAAAUAUCCAAAUUGCACAGCUAUUCAAUAUAUCUAUCUCUUCCCAAAAUUAUUAUUAUCUUAUGACAUGCAACUAAUAUUAGGCUAAAACCCUUUUAGAGAACAAGGUGGCAAGAGAUGACAUUUGACUAGUCCUUUUCAAAGCCAAAUAUUAUGUUCAAUCUCAAUCCGAAACAUGUCGAGAAAGCAAAAUCUCCCGCAGAUGAAGGUCCGAGCAGCAUCAAAAACAGAAGCCCAUUGGCAAUGCUAUAGAGGUGUUGCAAAUCCUGCCAACACAAACGUAUCAAUAACUUAAAACAUGAAGACCCACCGCAGUAAUGCCUAGGAGGCCCGCUGCAGUCAUGCACUCAUGCUAAGGCAUGCAUAAGCUACAGUGUGAUCGCUAAUCAGAUAUUGAAAAAUGUUUACUCAAGAGUUUUAACUUAAUAACAUUAUAUUCCACUUUAAAUGCUCAAAACUAAAAUUGAUAAAGUUGUAGCUUGCAUAUAAAAGCAUGUAAAAUCACAAUAAAAAUGGAACACAUGGUUUGUCUAAGUUGAAUAAGAGCUGUAAAGUGUAACAUGUAUGCAAAAAGCUACUCCUGCAAAAUUGUUUUACGUGGUGCUGAAAAUUUCAAAUAAAAUUUGAAAAUUAAAGAGCUAAUGGAAUCUUUAGGCAGCAAAAAUUGAUAUUAGUUCAAAAACAACCUUUAUUUGCAACUUGCAACAAGGGGUGUUAAGCCCUUCAAUUGGAUUUUGGAGGUGAGAAACGGCAAGUUGUUUUUUAAAUCUUUACAAAUCCAAACUUUUUCCUAAAACAUUUUUAAUCAUCAAAAUCAACUUUGUGUGAAAACGAGCAUUAUUUAAGUUUGCUGAGAAAAAAAUUUGCAGCGAAUUUAUCUUCUCUUAGCUCUAGUUUCCCACUGCCCAAUUUUGAGUCUUGUAUCAUUUUUUCAAAGAACCAACUUUCUCUAGGAAUUACAAGGUGUGUUGUGAAACCUCAUCCUAAAACUGGAAUGCAAGGUAAGAAACCACAGAAAUUAUCCAAUAAAAGAUGCUCAAAUAUGGAUCUGGAAGAGCUAUAAUGAUGUAACACAACACACUUGGAAAAAAAUUAUGUAACACCAUGAUUUCAAUAAACUCCCAAUAUCAGAUGCUCCCUAAGGAGAAGCAAGAAAUCUAACAGAAAAUAAAAAAUAACAUCAAAACAUAUCAGGGCAGUUUCAUAACUACUAUGAUGGUACCCAUUUAUUAGAAGGAUAGUGAUCACCAAUACUUGGAUAUAGCAAAGGAGGCUUGCUAACUCCUAGCACAAAAUAGUUGCAGAUCAAUUUUACUCAUCAUAACAAUAACAAUCAAAGGUAGGGCUUAAUUGCUUAAAUGUGAACCAUAAAUUGGUUUUGAGGUAGCGGUUUCAGCCUCAACAGUAUUAAAACUAUCUGAAGAUCAUGGAUCCCAAGUCAAAUAGAUUCUGAAAUACACAGAAUCACAAAGAAAAACUGAUAAGAAGCAUAGUAGUUAGCAGUCAAUCUAACUCGGUAAAUUCAGCACAGCCGAUGUACAUUUAAAGGAUAUAUUACAAAAUAAGGCCAUAAGGUUCAUGGAUAUUUCUUCUAUCUUAUCAACCAUGCUCUUUUACCUUCCUAACUUUCCAGCUCAAAUAAUUUACAAGUCAAAAAGAAAUAUAUUGAGCUUUAUAGAAAGCAACCAUAACUCAAUCAUAAACAAUUUCAAUUAGAGAACAGGAUUGCUUUAAGCACAGAGCCCUCAGGCCACAAUUAACCGUUCCCCAAAUCAGCCACAGUUUCACAAAUAAAAUAUAUGUAGCAUACAUUGGCCUAUAAUCCAAGUCUUCUCCCCAAAGAAUGGAUAACAAGAAGGGGGUACAUACAAUAAUACUUUUAAUAAUGAUCAACCCAAAUGGCUUCUCCCGGCAAUGUACCACAACUAUGCAGCAGCUUCAAAAGCCAAAAUAUACCUACGCAAAGAAAUUAUUCUACCAUUCUAUAGUUACCCAUCAAAGGAUGAAUUACAGUCUCAAAACAGAAGAAGAGAACAUACAUUCGUUAUUUUUUCCCUCAAUCAAAAUGCAAAAGCACAAAUAUUAAGCUGCAGCAAUAAAAUAGACAGUUUCAAGAAUAAUACGCUGCUAUAAAGCAACUCACAAGCCACAAGCCAGUAUAAUAUAAAAGGGAGAGAUAUAAGAACAGGACAGUCAUUAUAAUUACCUUCUGAAAGACACCCCCAGCUUUGAUUAUGCAAAGACAGCAAUGAAGUAAACAAGGCAGAGGCAGUAGCACUAUGCAAUGGCAUCAAAGUUACUGCACCACCCAAUUCCACUGGGAGCCUGAAAUAAGCCGCAUCAAACAAUUCUUACUCAGACUUAGAACAAAUCGGCAAUAAUUUCCAUACAGAAUUUCUCGAAUAAUUAGUAGAACCAAUACAAAAAGUAUAAGUAAACUGCUAAAAUAUUCUAUAACAAAGAAAUGAAGCUGUAACUUUUCGGAUGGAAGCAAACCUGGAAGAAAUGAGAUUGCGGAGAGAGAAUCGCGAUGCAGAGGUUGGCUUAGGAGAGAAAAGGCCGGCCAGCUUAUUAUUAGCAGAUCUUGAAGAUGUUGAAUGGGUCAAAAUGGUCUUGGCUGAAGCACAAGAGAACUGUAGGGUUCUUCUUCCACAACUAGCCGCCAUGAUUCCUUUUGUCUUUCCCAAGAACCCAGAAGCCUAAAACCUCAGGGUCAGGGUUUUUUCUUUAUUAGUUUUAAUUUUCUUUAAAUGAAGAAAGAGGUGUUGGUUAUGGGCUGGAUCUUGGCCCAGAGUAUGCAAAAGAUAUUAGCUUUCAUCUUUCAUUUUUACCUUAUAAGUCUAACAAUUAAUCAGACUUUACUAAUUUAUUAGGUGAUAUGUUUAUGAGGAAUUUAACCUUUUUGAGAAACGAGAAUAUGUGUUCAGGGAUGGAUAAGAAUAUAGAGUUACACAUAAGAUCAAUUCUAGUAGUUUAUCACCCAAGUAGCACCAUAAAUGAAAGUAUUCCAAAUUCAAUUAUGGAUUAAGAGUAUACUUUCAAGUUCCUAAACUAUUCAAAAAAAUUCAAUCAUAUCUUUAUUUAUUUAUUGCAUUCAAUUACGCCUCAUAUACUUUCUUUUAGAUCAAAUGAGUCCUUAUAACUAAUAGUUGAAUAAUUACUAUUAGUCAAAAUGUCAAUUGUCAUUUUAUAUUCACGUGCUGUUAAUGUGGCACUGAUGUAGAUGAUAAAAAAUAUCACAUGAUCAUAUUAUUAUGUCAUCAUCAACAUAUCAUGUUAUUAUCCAUUAUAUCAUGUCAGUAUACUAUAUUAGCGUCGAGUGACACAGAAUAACAAGUGACAUUUUGAUUAAGUUAAACAUUAGUUAUGAGGGUUUAUUUGGCUCAAAUUAAAGUAUAAAGAUUUAUUUGACUCAAAAUAAAAGAACAAAUGUUUGAUUGAAGGUAAUAAAAGAAUAAGCGCUUAUUUGAAUUUUUCUAAAUAGUUUAAGGGUAUUUUUAGAUAUUAUGCCUUUUUUAUUUAUAAAGAAAAUUGCCAACCAUUUCUUUGUUCUUCUAUAAACUAUAUAUAUUUUUAGAGUUAUUGAUUAUUUUCAAUUUAUUUAGUGUUUUUUUUAGUCCUUGUUAGCAUUUAUGUCUAUGAACACCCAUUAACCAUCAAGUUAUACAAUAAAAAAAAAACUCCUUUAUUUUAAAGAUGUAACUUUAUCUUUCACAUGACAUCUUCUAGUUUCUUUUUCUCAAUUAACAUUUUCUAGAGAAUAUUUAUUUUUAUAAGAGGUUAUAUUGUUAAUUUUGCCUGAUAAAAUUACCAAAACACUCUUAAUUCAAAGUUAGUCUAAAGGUUCAUAGUUAAAAGUAUUUUAUAAUCUUAUUAGGUAAAAUUAACAACAUAACCCUUUGUUGGAAUACCUAAUCCCUUAUUGAAAUAAAAGUUAUGUGCUAAUUGAGAAAAAAAUAUUCAUAAGAUCUUAGUUGAAAAAAAGGGUAAAUUACCCCCAAGCCCUUAAGAUUUCAUCCUAAUUCAUCUUUAGCCCAUUAAUAUUCAAAAUGGACACUUCCCCAAAAAUCCCAAACGUCAUUAACAGAUAUUAAAAAAUUACUAAAUUACUAAUGACCCUAAAACACCAAAACAUGUCUUUUAAUUCAACUUACUCGAUUUAGUUGACUGUUAAAGAUUUUCUUCGUCAUUUUCAGGCCAUAAAAAAUCUAAUAUGAUAACAAUAUUUGUGAGGUAAGAGCAUGGCAAUUUCUUAAUUUUAGUUUAUUAUAUAUUAAUCCUUACCCUAUCUCCUCUAAUUUUAGGACAUUCAGUUGUAUAAAGUAAAGUGGAGUGUUUUAUUUUAGCAUUACUUGUUCUUCGAAAGCUAAAGAAAAUAUGUACUGGUUGACACUAUUUCAGUGAUACAAAGCUAUAUGUAAGUAUUUGUGAUGGUGGAAGAUGAAAAAAGGAAAGAAAGAAUAAGCUUUAAUUUGCUUAAGAAAAUUGCAAACCUUCCAAAAGUGUGGUAGAUCUCUUAGUUUUGCUUGGAAUCCAAAUUUUGAUGGACAAAGUACUUUGUUAGUGCAAUAAGCUCAAGGUGUAGAAGUUCAAGAAAGGGAUGAAUUGACUUCUUUUAAAAUUUUUUUCUAAAUUUAAUAAAAAUAGAGUUUCUUUUUAAAUUAAGAUUAAAACACUAAAAACUUGAAGAGAAUGUUAAGAACAAAAACAUAAGAAUUUUAUAAAAGUUCGACCUCUUUGCCUACAUUCUCUCUCUUAGCUCACUCAAGCAUUUUGAAUCCACUAUGAAAAUUAUCACAGCCCAAAUUUCAGGCUAUGACCGACGCAUGGGCCCAAUGGGCAUAGCCCACUAAGCCCAAGCAAGCCUAUUUAUGCAAUCCCGAUCAUUAAUCCCAACCAUCAUUUCUAAAACCAUAUAUUUUAGUUCUCAAUGAUGAAUGUUUCAGUAAUAAUUUAUAGCGAUCGAAUAUUUAUAUUUGUAUUAUCUCAAAGUAUUGUCAUUCAUUGUCGUCUCAUAAGGCAUCAUCAUCAAUCCAACAUAUACAUACUUCAUUUAUAACAUGACUCAUAAUAGUUUACAUUCCAUAUACAUGUACACAGAUAAAAGACUUUCAACCGUCAGCGGAGUGACUUUAAGUGAAGGUACCGCUAUUGGGAUGCCAUAUUACCUAUCAAGAAGGCGAGCAUAUGUGUGUGACUCAAUUUAGGUCCCAACUGCCUCUGAAUUUGAAAACAUGAAGUUUAAAAACGUGAGUAUAAACUCAAUGAGUGAACAUAAGAAGGGAACAAGCAAUCGAUAGGAAGAAUUUAGAAAUCAUGAUGCACUUGUUUCAAAAACAAUGCACUUGAUUUAAUUUCUUGCUAAAAACCCCUCAUUUCAAACCUUGAUUGAUACCCUCAUAGUGUUUCACAAACCCAUGAUCAAUCCAUGAAGUUAAAUGGGUGAAAAGUAUAUCAAAAUCAAGCAAGGUAGAAAGCAUGGCAGCAAGUUUCUCGCUGCAGCAAAAUUCAUUCUCGCUGUAGCGAAAUUCGGGCGGCCAAAAUAAAAAGUUUCUCGCUGUAGAGAAAAUAUUGUUAGUUUGCAUAUGUUUCAGUUUUUCUAGUAGAUCUCUCGCUACAGAAGUACAAUUGACCUGAUUUUUAGACCAUUAGAAAGAUAAGAGACAAGGCUACAACUUUGAUGUUUACCACUUUUCCCAUUUCGGACGGGAAAGUGGUCAAAAUCUUUAUUAAGUGAAGAUACUGCAUUAGAACCUAAGAGUUUCUCGCUGCAGUGAGUUGUUGGCUACCAAAACAGAAUGUUUCUCGCUCAGCGAGAAACACUGUUAGUUUGUAUGUGUUUUAGUUUUUCUAGCAUUUCGCUCACUAUAUAAGUUCAAUUGACCUGAUUUUUAGAUCAUUAGAAAGCUAAGAGACAGGGCUACAACUUUGAUGUUUACCAUUUUUCUUAAUUCGGACGAGAAGGUAAUCAAAAUCUUCAUCAAAGUGAAGGCACUGCAUUAGAAUCCGAGAGUUUCUCACUGCAACAAGAUUUAUUCUCACUGCAGCAAGUUGUUGGCUGCCAAAACAGAAUGUUUCUCGCUGCAGCUAGAAUGCUUUCUCACUAUAGCCAGAAGUAGGGCACCUAAAUGUAAAAAGGACCUCCUUUGCACAAAAAAUCCAUUUGGUGCUGCAAUAAACUCAAUUUGCAAGAAAAUGGGACAUUCUCAAGAUUCAUCAUGCCAAUUUCAACAUGAAAUACUCAAAAAUUUCCAAAGUUCAACAUGCCAAAAUUUCACAUGCAUUACAACCAUAUACUAUAUUCAUGAACUUUUAUUUCACAAACAUAUAUAUACAUAUAUACAUACAUAAACACCAAUGCCACCAUCAUCUCACCCAGCUCAUGUGCAUCCCCCCACAUCGUGCACAUAGCCGGAGUCAUCGUGUGCAUCCCCCCACAUCGUGCACAAUUAGUGCCAUCAUGUGCAUCCCCCCACAUCGUGCACAUGGGCACUUUCAUCAUCCAACUCCCUCACCACCGUCAUUAUCGGCAUGUGCAUCCCCCCACAUCGUGCACACGAAUGGUUAUCAUUAUCACACAAUGUCAACCAUCCAUGCACAACAUAUAUAUAUAUAUACCAACACAAUGUACUAGUGCAUGAAUCCAUAACAUCCAUAAGUCACAACAUAAAGACAAUUUAUCAAGGGCUUGUUCCCAAGGCACCCGUUUUAGUAAGAAAACUUGGAUAAAAUCAUUCAAAGGUUUUGUCCAGAUACAUUCACAUUCCCAAAAUAAUUUUUGAAAUGCAAGUUCACUCAUCGGGAUUGUUGAACCUCUAAUCGACUCUAACUUUGAUUAUCACUUCAAACGGACAUGUGAGGCCUUGUUGGAACCUAUCACCCACAAUAUAACUAUAAAAAAUAUAACAGCCCAUAAAUCAAAUUUCUAGUCAUCUCUAACACCUUAAAAUCAAAUUCUAACUCAUUUCUCACCUUGGUGGUUUUUUUUUUUGUAGUUUAAUUCCUUUUCAAAAGCUUCCAAGCUACUAUGGCAAGUCUCUCUUUCUCUCUCUAAAACUUUCAACUAAUGAGAGAAAGUGCUGAAUAAAGACUUUUUGAGGGUUUUAAGGUGUAAAAGUUGAAGGGCAUGAAAAACCCUAUGAAGGAGUGGGCAAAAGCAUGAAAUUUGGACUUUCCAUGAGGGAUUUAUGGAGGGUUCAAGGUUUUCCUCCCGUAGAGAAUGAAGAAAAUGUGAAAUGAAGAAAAGGACUGGGAUGAAGAAGGAGAAGCUGUUGGAGCAUAGAUAUUUAUGCUUCAAGUAAAUCCAAAUUUCCACUAAAAUUACCAAAAUGCCCUUAACAUGGUGGCUUUGUCUUCCUCCCAUCCUUUGUGAAACCUUUUUGCUCUUUUGACACCGAAACAAAGUCCAUAAUAGUCUAAAGGUACUCGAGUUCACGAAACAAAAAAACUUAGACUCGAGAUGCAAAAUGACCAUUUUGCCCCUAUCGUGGAACUUAUCAUUAUUUCUAUUUUCCUCAUUUAUUUACCAUCAUAAACAUCAUUUAUUCAUUCCUUAGGCCUAUUUAGACCUUAAUAGCAUAAAAAAAACCCACUCGUAGGGGCCUACCAAGAGAAAUUACGAAAUUACCCAUAGUCUGCAUUAUCGCGUCUACUUCUAGUUAUGUGCCUAUGGAGACUGAGAUUUCACAGGUUCACUUUUGAAUUACCAUUUUAACUCAGUAAUUAACCUCAAUUGGCAUCCGUAAAUUCUAUUAGCCACCGUAUUAAAAUACAGGGUACUACAGUUUCCCCCACUUAAAAUGAAUUCGUCCUCGAAUUCAAAUCGGCGUAGAGUGAAUAAUCAAAGUUCUAAAGUUCUACCACAUCACUUUCAUUAGGCAUUCUUAACAUAGAACCUUGGUUUAUGCAUCAUAUCGAUUUCCAAUCUUAUAGAAAACUCGACAAUGUCAUAGUAUAUAGUUAUGUGUACUGUUCUUGUUGAAUCAAAAUAAUAUCAUUUUUUAUCUUAUGAAGAGAAUUCAAAUAUGCUAUUAAUUUUGGUCACACCUCAAUCAAGUCAUACUUAAAUCAUCAAUCAUGCAUGUUUACCUAACCACCCACAAUUCCUCUACCUUGAACUUUUAUCAAACCUUCCAACAUUCUAGCAUUUAUUCCACCAUUAACUAUGGGUCUAAAUGGUUAACCAACCUCUAUUCCAUUUUACAUACCUCCAUACAAAUUUCAUUCAAGCAUUUCAUAAUACAUAAGGUUCAAACACUCUUUAUUUAUUCAUAUAUAUUUAACAUCAUGGAUGAUUCAAAUCCGGUAACUUUUAGUAACCAUAUUCCUAAAAACAAACUCCAAUACUUUCAUGAUCGAGUGCUCACUAGAUAAAUCUCAACUUAUGCCACAAGGCAUUUCAAUAAAUUAUGACAUUCCACAUACCCCUUUAUAAUCUUAACCAAUCUCUUUAAUCAAUAACUCAACCUCUCAAGAUUAAAGUUGCUCAAAAUUUUCCCUUUAAAGUUCCUUUCCAAGUCUCAUUUUGAUUACUAAUCAUUUCUAUAUUUCCAAUGUCAUAGCUAAUUUGCUCGUCAUCAAUCACCCACAACAUAUCUAACUUGAUAUUUCUCAAAUUUAUUCCAAACAUCAAAUCUCAUGGCCUCAUUAGUUCAUCAAUCUGAAGAUCAAAUUAAACAUUUAUCUCUCCUUAAGUGCACUUUAAAAUUUAAGAAUUAUCUAUUAAGACCUUUCGGAUAUUAACUUCUUUUGUCCUUUUUACCUUAGAAAAUUAAAUCCAUAAUCAUUCAUUUUGAAUCAUGAGCUUUUUACCAAUCAAGGCAGAUUUUCAACUUUUCUUACAUAAACUCAAAUGCACUACCUUCAUGCAUAAGCUAAAUUUUUUUACCCAAAUCUCCAUAAGUCAAAACCUUAUAUUGAAACUAUACCAAUACUCAUAUGUUCUAUCCCAUUAGCCUUUAGAGAAUUAAAUCUAUGGCAUACUUCUCUAUUUGGGUACUUCAUAACAGCUUAACAAAUUCUAGCUUACAAUUAAGCUAGUUCAUAUGCCAAGACUCUCAGGCUAUAUCAAAACACCAAAUUUGAUCACGAUAUAAUAGAAUUUAAUGAACUCAUACCAAAAGUAUAAACACUUACUUUUAAGCUAACAGCAUUAUAAUCCACUUGUUCAAUGCCAAAAUCAGCAAUAAAUUAUCUUAAUCAUUGUCUAGCACUAUAACCAUUGAUAGAAUAUCAUCAUCGAAUCAAAUUAUAACUAACUCCACAUGAGUUUUUAUACCAAUAUGCAACAUAUAUAGCCAUACAUAUAUAUUUUCAAAAAUUUUAACUUAGAAUAUCCUUAGGCAUGUCAAGCUUAAUAAGCCAUAUGUAAAACCAAAAUAACCAACAAUCAAGUUUAGAGUCAUUUCUUAUCUUGGUUGGUUAGAUCAUGCUCAUCAUAUAUGGUGAAUACACAAAGCUGAUUUCAAUAUUCCAUUCUCAUACAAGAGUCAACCACUAAUUGGCACCAUCUCUAAACACCACGUGUUUUAUAAGUCAAUUUUCUUAGUCAAAAUUCAUAUUGUAAUAUCAUGCUUCUAGGUCGUAGCUCAUUACCAAAGUCUUUACUCAUAUACGAGUACUUGAAUUCUUAAAUCAUCAUCUCUUUUCUAAGUAGAUCUCUGCCAUUCCCGUAUUGUAUUUCUAUUCCCUUACCAAGGGUAGUAUCAUUUAAUCAGACCAUGUCACCCUCAUUCUCAAAACAUUUGAAGCAUAGUUCAACCUUCCACUAUCCCUAUCAGGCACUUUACCUUGAUAAUUACUCAAAAUAAAUUGGAACUUGUGGGGAAAGCACAUUUCACAAUUUAUGCCUUGCAUCUAUAAUUAUGUCGAGACCAGAACCUCAUCGGGUCCACAAAACGGUAGGAUAAUCAUUGCCUCAAACUAGUAUUUCCAAGUAUACUUAUGCUUGUAUCAUAUCUUCAUACUUAUGUGACAUGUCAGUCACGAGCCCAACUUGACUGUAUAGCCAUUUGCUCUUUGAGUUUUAAUGUUUGCUCAUUGUGAAAAGUCUUUUGAAUUUAUCUCAUCAAGGUAUUCACAAGGUGGAUACAUGUCCAUAACUUAUAGUUCAAUGCCUAAAGCAGUGAACACAAUCUCAUCGUUAGAGUUAUACUCUUAUCUACCAAUCAUAGCUCCUUUUAUGAGCACAUACUUUACACUGCUUGAUUGUUCACAAGCCACUCAUGGCCAUCCAAAUUCAACCUCUUAUAGCAAGUCAAACUAGUAUAUUAUUCUUAUGUUUUCCAGUAUACUUGCAAAAUGCUUAAACACAUCCUUUAAUAGGGUUCCAUUGAGAACUUAAUCAAUCAAAGGCCUAUCUUCAAAGUCACUCAUAACUUUAAUCGUUCAUUGUAUGCCCGAUAACACUUUAGCUCAUUGACCCCACUGGACAUUAUUUUAAAAUCUCCCAAGGUGUCCAUGCUUUUAGUUUUGAUCAUACCAUCUAACUUAGUAUAAUUGCAUUAAUUAUCCUUAAGCUAUUUAUGCUCAGCAUAUCAACAUCCAUAUUUCCCUCUCAUUCAUGUUAUUGACCUUGUUAAGGUAUAUAUGGCUUUUCAACCUUUCACAAUACAUUCCACAUUUAUGUCAGGGCAUUCUCAAUCUCAUGCCAAAUCCUUCUAUGGAAUAUCUCCUUCCAUAUGAUGAAUGCGAAUCACAAGAUACACAACUCCAAGUGUAUGCUUACAUAUUGGUAACCUCCAUAUAUUUCAUGGUCAUGGAAACCACAAUUUGCAAAACUAGCUUCCUAUCACAAGUUUGUGAUCGGAACAUUAGUCUCCACAUAUCUCACUUUGGACAUACUUCACUACUAACAUUCAUAUACCUUUACCACAACAUUCAGUGCAAAUUAAUUAAGCAAUGAUCUCCAAAUUUACUCUUAGGUACACAUAUAUCAAAUUGUACACCAUUUAGUGUUAAGAUCUUAACUUUACUCAGCAAUUCUUAACCAAUUACAUCUAUAAGAUAGACAAUUCACUAAAUUUUUGUAUAUUACUUUUGCAGUUAUAAGAUCAAAAUUUCUUAAACUUAAGAUGCAGAAGCUUCCUCUUAGAGCAUAUCCGAAAGUCCAUAUGUUUUAAGUCCCUUACCUUUAGAGAAGUUACAUUCAAGAAUAAUCAUUUACAUCAUAGGUUGCAUAUUGAACCAAACAUAUUUUUGAAUUGACCCUUAAAGCAAUUCGUAUAUCGAUCUUCAUAUAGAACUCCAUAUGGCAUUUCAACUAAAUUUGUCAUUUCCAUGCCAUUUAAUUUCAAACUGCUAAAUCCACAUCUAGUCCUUUAAUCCUUUGGCUCUACACUAAGCAUAGCAAAAUUCAAGCUCAUCCUUAGAGGAGAUCAUUUACUAGCCUUUUACUUCAUGACCAUACAUCAAUUAUAAUUAUCAGUGAUUUUCGCCCUUGAGCUAAUUCAUGCAAUUAUAACCAUAAACCACAAUAAUUCAAUUCAAGCCUUGGAAUCUUACAAUUACUUAAUUAGAAUCAAAACCAACCCCAUUGAAGCUAUUAUACACAUAUUCAACACUUAUACGAUUAUAAAAUAUUUCAAAAGCCCACACCAUUUCUAUAGGGGCAUGUCAAGCUUAAUUAACAUAGUGCACUUGCCUCCGUACACCUAAACGUUGGUUUACACUUUCCUUGAUAUUUAAAUUUAUAAACCUCAAGCGAGUCAUAACAUUCACUAUUCAUUCCAGUCAAAUACUGCUCUUAUUAUCAUUAUCGUACGUCCUCCUUAUAUUCACCUCAAAUACAAUUCAUAGUCUCCAAAAUUUUAAUUAAUUUUUUUUAUAACCAUGGGUUCGAAUCAUAAUUCCACCAAAUGAAUAAAUUAUUACAAACCUAACAGUCUAGCUUCACCUUCCUCCAUCCUUAGUCAGAGGAAUAUAUCAUUAUGUUGACCUUUCAUUAGGAGCAUUUGCUUAAAAAUUUUUCCAAUAAUGGUUUGUGUCUCGGGUGGCAAAUCAAACCUGAGCAGCGAUACCAUUUAUGCCAUUUACAUGACGAUAGCAAAAUGGUAGGUUACUAGGAAUAGGAGUUCAUAUAACUUCCUGUCUAUGACUUGUGCUAUAGUCACAAACCAUAGAUAAGACUCUACAUUAGCUUCGACAACUCCGCUGACUGACACAAGAAUCCCUAGGACUCGGCUAAACUUAGAGCUCUAAUACCAACUUUGUCACAACCCAAAUUCCAAGCUAUGACUUGCGCAUGGGCCCAAUGGGCAUAGCCCACUAAGCCCAAGCAAGCCUAUUUAUGCAAUCCCGAUCAUUAAUCCCAACCAUCAUUUCUAAAACCACAUAUUUUAGUUCUCAGUGAUGAAUGUUUCAGUAAUAAUUUAUAGCGAUUGAAUAUUCAUAUUUGUAUUAUCUUAAAGUAUUGUCAUUCAUUGCCGUCUCAUAAGGCAUCAUCAUCAAUCCAACAUAUACAUACUUCAUUUAUAACAUGACUCAUAAUAGUUUACAUUCCAUAUACAUGUACACAGAUAAAAGACUCUCAACCGUCAGCGGAGUGACUUUAAGUGAAUGUACCUCUACUGAGAUGCCAUAUUACCUGCCAAGAAGGCGAGCAUAUGUGUGCGACUCAAUAUAGGUCUCAAUUGCCUCUGAAUCUGAAAACAUGAAGUUUAAAAACGUGAGUAUAAACUCAGUGAGUGAACAUAGGAAGGGAACAAACAAUCGAUAUGAAGAAUUUGGAAAUCAUGAUGCACUUGAUUUAAUUUCUUACUAAAAACCCCUCAUUUCAAACCUUGAUUAAUACCCUUAUAGUGUUUCACAAACCCAUGAUCAAUCCAUGAAGUUAAAUGGGUGAAAAGUAGGUCAAAAUUAAGCAAGGUAGCAAGCAUGGCAGCAAGUUUCUCGCUGCAGUGAAAUUCAUUCUCGAUGUAGUGAGAUUUGGGCGGCCAAAAGAGAAAGUUUCUUACUUCAGCGAGAAAUAGUGUUAGUUUGCAUGUGUUUCAGUUUUUCUAGUAUAUCUCUCGUUAAAGAAGUCUAAUUGACCUGAUUUUUAGACCAUUAGAAAGCUAAGAGAUAGGGAUACAACUUUGAUGUUUACCACUUUUACCAAUUCAUAUGGAAAAAUGGUCAAAAUCUUCAUCAAAGUGAAGGCACUGCAUCAGAACCUGAGAGAUCUCGCUGCAGCGAGUUGUUGGCUGCCAAAAUAGAAUGUUUCUCGCUGUAACGAGAAGCAGGGCACCUAAGUGUAAAAAGGACCUCCUUUGCACUAAAAAUCCAUUUGGUGCUACAAUAAACUCAAUUUGCAAGAAAAUGGGACAUUCUCAAGAUUCAUCAUGCCAAUUUCAACAUGAAAUACUCAAAAAUUUCCAAAGUUCAACAUGCCAAAAUUUCACAUGCAUUACAACCAUAUACUAUAUUCAUGAACUUUUAUUUCACAAACAUAUAUAUACAUAUAUACAUACAUAAACACCAAUGCCACCAUCAUCUCACCUAACUCAUGUGCUUCUCCCCACAUCGUGCACAUAGCUGGAGUCAUCGUGUGCAUCCUCUCACAUCAUGCACAAUUAGUGCCAUCAUGUGCAUCCCCCCACAUCGUGCACAUGGGCACUUUCAUCAUCCAACUCCCUCACCACUGUCAUCAUCGGCAUGUGCAUCCGUCCACAUCGUGCGCACGGACGGUUAUCAUUAUCACACAAUGUCAACCAUUCAUGCACAACAUAUAUAUAUAUAUAUAUAUAUAUAUACCAACACAAUGUAAUAGUGCAUGAAUCCAUAACAUCCACAAGUCACAACAUAGAGACAAUUUAUCAAGAGCUUGUUCCAAAGGCACUAGUUUUUUUAAGAAAAGUUGGAUAAAAUCAUUCAAAGGUUUUGUGCAGAUACAUUCACAUUCCCAAAACAAUUUUUAAAAUGCAAGUUCACUCACUGGGAUUGUUGAACCUCUAAUCGACUCUAACUUCGAUUAUCACUUCAAACAGACAUGUGAGGCCUUGUUGGAACCUAUCACCCACAAUAUAACUAUAAAAAAUAUAACGGCCCAUAAAUCAAAUUUCUAGCCAUCUCUAACACCUUAAAAUCAAAUUCUAACUCAUUUCUCACCUUGGUGGGUUUUUUUUUUUUGUUGAAUUCCUUUUCAAAAGCUUCCAAGCUACUAUGGCAAGUCUCUCUUUCUCUCUCUAAAACUUUCAACUAGUGAGACAAAGUGCUGAACAAAGACUUUUUGAGGGUUUGAGGGUGUAAAAGUGGAAGGGCAUGAAAAACCCUAUGAAGAAGUGGGCAAAAGCAUGAAAUUUGGACUUUCUAUGAGGGAUUUAUGGAGGAUUCAAGGUUUUUCUCCCAUGGAGAAUGAAGAAAAUGUGAAAUGAAGAUAAGGGCUAGGAUGAAGAAGGAGAAGUUGUUAGAGCAUAGAUAUUUAUGCUUCAAGUAAAUCCAAAUUUCUACUAAAAUUACGAAAAUGCCCUUAACAUGGUGGCUUUGUCUUCCUCCCAUCCUUUGUGAAACCUUUUUGCUCUUUUGACACCGAAACAAAGUCCAUAAUAGUCUAAAGGUACUCGAGUUCACGAAACAAAAAAAUUUAUACUCGAGAUGAAAAAUGACCAUUUUACCCCUACCGUGGAAAUUAUCAUUAUUUUUAUUUUACUCAUUUAUUUACCAUCAUAAACAUCAUUUAUUCAUUCCUUAGGCCUAUUUAGACCUUAAUAGCAUAAAAACAACUCACUCGUAGGAGCCUACCAAGAGAAAUUACGAAAUUACCCUUAGUUCGCAUAAUCGCGUCUACUUUUAGUUAUGUGCCUAUAGAGAUCGAGAUUUCAUAGGUUCACUUCUAAAUUACCCUUUUAACUCAGUAAUCAACCUCAAUUGGCAUCCGUAAACUUUAUUAGCCAGCAGAUUAAAAUACGGGGUACUACAAAAAUACCUUUUAAAAGUUCAAACACAACCUUCACACUAAUCUUUUCAAGGAUAAGAUUGAACGUUUCUACCUUUUCACUUGGUUAAGGUAUAACCACUGAACAAUAAAUGAAGCUAGAAUGCCUCUUAAAGGUUGAUGAGUUAUGGAGGUUUAAGCUUAAACAAGAUGGGCACAAGAUGUAGUAGAAAAAUCAACUUAAUAAAUGAUAGGAGGAAAACUUAAAUGCUCAAAGAGAGGUAAGUGAGUGUGUUUAAAGAUUUUGAGGGUGUUCUUUUGCUUGGAGAGAGGUAAGUGAGUGUGCUUAACGAAAUGCUUAAGUCUUGUCAAAUGAGUUGAAUAUUUGAUAUAAUUGUUUUAUGUGUCAAGGAUGUAAUGCAUCAUAGUUUUGGUUUUUCAAAAUAAGAAAUGUGCAUGGUUUCAAAGGAAGUAGCAUAGCUAUGUAACAUACUCCUUUUGGUAUAAGCUUGUUCCCUUACUAAGUUUUAUGCUCACCGUUCAAAAUUCAUGUUCUUAAGUUUUCGAAACAAAAGUUAGUUGGAUCAUAGUAGGGUAGUUCUAACUUUAUCCAUUUUCCUGGUAGGUGUUACCAUGGCAUUCACUAGGCUCCACCAAUUCAAAUCACUUCGCUAUCUUGUCAUGUUUUAUUUUGUACUCGAUAGAAGUCUAGUAGUGUUGAUAUAACCAUUAAAUGGGAACAUGUCAAAUACUUUUGAUGAAGAAUAUAUAAAGAUAAUGUCAACACUUAAUAUUUUAAUAUUAAGGCAUACUUAAGAUAUAUUACGUGUUUGGAUAAGAAUGAUAAAUGAAUAUGAUAGGAUAUUACUAUAUGAGAUAUGUGUAAACCUAUAUGAUAUAAGUAUGACUAUGAAGCUUGUUUGGGCAUAAUGGGCUUUACCUAUUGGGUCCUUGCACCGGUUAUGGCCAAUGAUUGGGUCAUUUGAUCUCCAUUAUUUCCUCAAAGGUAUAUAUAUAAAUCUCCAACUCAAGACAAAAUAGAGGCAUCAUUCAAGUUCAUAUUUCAAUUCAAAUGCAAGCUCAUUCUCGAAUAAAUUUCUGUGUGUGUGUGUGAAAUCUUUUACAAAGAACAUUAUAUUUAUCCGAAUGAGUUUAUGCCAAUACAAAAUUUCAAAUUAGUACUAGAAGUCCAUAGGUUUACUUUAAAUCUUUCUCUCCACUAAUGUAGACAAAUACUAAGUCAAAGAUUAAUAAGUAUUUAUUAAGCUUAUAAUGUAUGUCUAGGGUCAAGGUAUGAUAAAAGACAAUAAUUUGGCUUAAUUCAAAUCCCUUACUCUAUUCAUCUUUUUCUUUUUUUGAAAAUUUUCAAAGUUCUUAUUUUUUUUGUAAAAUUUUCUUGAAAAAUCAACAAUUAGUUUACAUUCACAAAACCUAAAAGUUGAUGGGUUGAAGUUACAAGUGAAAUGAAAUCUGUUAAUUAGAGCACUACCUAGAGUUGUUACAUGCCAUGUUUGCAUGUAACAACUCUAAUGCAGUUAGCGUAUAACAAAUCUAUUGAAUAUGUUUUUGUACAUGUCUGCAUUUAAGAACAUUUUUUUCAAAAUAACGUGUAAUAAAAUGUUUUUGAACAUAGUGUGUAACAACAACUUUUUUUAAAAUGGUGUGUAACUUGCUCCUUUGUAUUUCACUAGAACAUAAACUUUUGGAAUUAAACAGCGUAUAAUAAUUUUUUUUCAACAUGGCUUGUAACAACAUUUUUUUUAACUUGGCGUAUAAUAAUAACAUUUUUCAAACAUGAUAUGUAACUUGGUCUCUAUCUUUGUAUAUUACUAAAACAUAAACUCUUAGAGUUAAAUAUCUUCACAAUAAAGAUAAAGUUUAAAAUCAAAAAGGAAUUUGACAUGGAAAGGAAGAUGUAAUGAAAAGUUAUUCAUCGUCAACGUUAUUGUUGGGAUGAAAUGGAUUUAGGCAAAAAGAUAUUAUCCAAAAUCCUCAAAUUUGGAUAAUUAGCUUUUGGGGUUAUUUUAUUUGUUACAUUUUUUAUAAUAAUAUAAAAAAUGAUGUGUAACAACUUUUCUUUUUCAACAUAUAAUAUAACAAUAUUGUUUUCAACACGUGCACUUGAAUAUAAGGAGGUUUCAUUAAGGGUAAUUUUAUCCAAAAAUCUUUUCUCUUGGUUAAAAAUAGUUGAAAUUAAAAAAGGGUUAUUUUUGAAAACACCUUACCUUUGAAUGUUAAAAAAAAUCGUCCCUAACAAGAAUGGUAAUUUAAACUAUAAAAAUCAACCAAACAAAGUCUAGAACCACAAUAUCUACUCAACACUUCACUUGAAUCUCUUUUACUUUCUCUUUACUUACUAAACAACUAAGCUGUUGACUUAAAGCUCUAGUCUAUUUAUAAGUCUCUUCUAAUGUUCUCAUAAAAAUAUCUCUCUUAACCAAUCUACUAUAUUCCUAUAUAAAUUGUAAUUAAAGACUCAUUAAGCUUAGACUUUAAAUUCACUAUAUAUGACAUGUAAGUGUAUUCCUACCAUACAAACGAAUCAAAUCAAUCAUCUCAUGCAAUUGACAUUAAACAUAUGUUAUUUCAUCCAAGGCUUACACUAAAUUUCCUCUUCUAGUUCUGUUUAGGUUACCUGAUCUAUAUAAUUGGUGAUCAGGCAAUUAGAUCCAUUAAUUAUAGGAUUAAAAUAGACAACUCAAACACUAUCAUAAGCAAAAAAAGAGUAUUAAAAAUUUAAACAGCAUUGUGGGUUCAAUUACAAUUCUAAAUAAAAAAUUUAAUUCCUUAUAACUACUAAAAACGUAAUCCAAAAAAUUUUAACCAUCAACACAAAACAAAGAAAGUAUAAGAAGAACUAAAGAAGAAAGAAAACCCAGAUUUGUCAGGUUUUCGAUCUUGAAUUUUCAAAAGUUUUUCUUUGCUUUCUGGUUUGCUUAACAACUCUUUUUCUUCAGAGAAAAUCUAUCUUAAUUGUUGCCUUCAAGUGAUUUGAAAGGGUCUUUAAAUAAGCCUCAGAAUCCUACUCAAAAUAGAAGUCCCAAAUUGUUGCUUGGAGAAGCUAUCGUGUCGACGCCGCAGUGCCAUUCCUUCGGCACUGCAAUGUCAAGCUUUUUGCUUAGUUUUUUCUACUCUCUACCUUCAGCAUUGUGGCCUCCAUCCUUGGGCUUCGUGGUUUGAUUGCCAAAGUUUUUCUUUUCACGGUGCUACAUUCCCUAUUCAGCCAUGGCUGGGAUGCCUAAUGUUCUAUUUUUGAGUUUAAAUUUUGCUUUUCUUCUUUGAUCCGAACUCAUUCAAAUGAGCACUUACAAAGCUCAAAACCAUAUAACUAUUCUCAUUUAAAGAGACCUAAAUCAACCUAAAAUCAACUAAAACAAAACUACUAAGUAACUUAAAGCGAAACUUAAAAUAAACUCCUAAAACGAGACUAAUUCAUAUCAAAACUCAAAGACUUAAUUGAUUUUAAAGUUCAAAAGUGACAAGAUAACUCUAUAUUAUAGAGUUAUCACAUCCUUAAACUUAAGAUUUUACUAGUCUUUGAGCAAAAACAUAAAAGAAAACUUAAACAAAAAUGAAAGCAAUCGUAAAUGAUGAAAGCACUUAAAUUAUGAAAACAAAUAACUAGAGAUGACAACUUGCUAAAGAUAACUCACACCAAACCAAUGAUCUCUCAUAAUUUCCUCAAAAGUUAUCUCAAAAUCUCAACUCAAGGUUCACAGAAAUAUCAUUCAAGUCCAUGCUUCAAUUCAAGUGCAAACUCAUUCUUGAAUGAAUUUUUGUGUGUGUGCAACUUUUUACAAAGAAUAUCAUGUAAUCUAGAUAAGUUUAUACUUAUGCGAAAUUCGAAUUAGUAUUAGAAUCCUAUAAGUUUGUUUUUCAUCUCCCUAUCCACUAAUGUAGACUGAUGCUAAUUCAAGGAUCUUUAGGACUUUAAAUGGCUUAUAAUGAAUGGAAAGGGUCAAGGUAGGAUGAAGGAUAUUAUAAGGCUCAAAUCACCCUAAGCACAUCAAUCAUUCUAAGACCUUCUUAGAGCUCAAAUUAUACUCUACGUAAUUCCCUCUACUUGAUUUCAACUUUUACUUUUGUCCAACACUUUAUUCUUUUUUUUCCUUAAUUUUUUUUCAUCAUAAUUUUACACCCCAAACUUAUUUUUUUUUAAUCUAGAUAGUGGGGUGAAUACUAAUCAUAUUUGAACUUUUCAACAACUCCACCUUAUACUUUAUUCAACAUCCAACUCAAUACACUUCCUAAAAUGAUUAACAUACUUAGGUGUGAAGGAUGCAAAAUUGAAAAUUUAUUAUAUGCUAGACUAUAUAAAAUAGGUGUUUGACAAAGAAAAGGUAAUAUUUGGCUCAAUGAAGUAUACUAGGGAUAAAAAUAUAUAAAGAUAGGCUCGAAAGGCUCAAAUGGUCCAAAGAUGGCCUAAUUCAUUUUCUUAACUAAGUAUUGCAUAGGAUUUCACCUCAAGAAAGAAUCAAACACAUUCUAAAAUUCCUGACAUAACUAAAAUUCACAUCAAUGUAAACCGUCUCUAAAUAUACACAACAAUUCUAAGCAAAAGAAAAUGUGCUCAAUAUAUGGAAAUCUCAUCCUGACAAUGAUGCUUAACAUAAAAAUUUAACCUAAACUCAAACCACUACUAAAAAUUUUGUUAAUUUCGACAAAAAAUUCUAUAGGAAAAAGUUUAAUUUCCAUCGAAAUUGACUGCUUCCAAUUGAUUUUCAACAAAAAAAAUCCAUUUAAAAUUCUGUUGCUAAAGGGGUCGUUGGAAAAGCUUGUUGUAAAAAAUCCAUCAAAAAAUUUUAACAAAAAAUUCUGUUCAAAAAAGCAAUAAUAUUUUUUAUUAUUUUAAUAUCAAUCUAUCCAAAAAGACAAAAAUUACCGAUUGAAAUUUUUGUUCGAAAUAUGAUUCCAAUGAAAAUCCAUUGGAAAUUACCAACAAAAUUUUCUGUUAGUAAUAUGUUACCAACGAAAUUUCUUUCGAAAUUACCAAUGGAGUUUUUGUUGAUAAUUUAGUCAUUUCCAAUGAAAUUCUAUUGAAAAUUACCAGCGAAAUUUUUGUUGAUAAUUUAGUCAUUUUAGAUGAAAUUUCAUUGGAAAUUACCAAUGGAAUUUUUGUUGGUAAUUUAAUCAUUGCCUAUGAAUUUGAGUUUGAAAUCAUCAACGGAAUUCUAUUAGUCAUCAUAAUUAAUCUGCGCAAAUCAUAAUUAAUAUUCAAUAUUCAUAACAAAAGUACACAUUAAAAUAUGAAAAUCAAAAUCAAAUUGAUGCUAUUAUAAAUCAUCAUAACCAUGAAAUAUCUAAACAUAAAGUUAAAUAUGGAUGAAAUAUCUAAACAUUAAAAGUUCUCAUGUUUGUUCCUAUGUUUCCAUUUCUUUCACUAUACUGUUAGUCACUACCAGAAAAGUAUCUCUGAGUGUCAAACGGCUGGUUUUUGGAGUUUGUAUCAUAGCUGUUCAAGGCUGUUCCUCCAUUCAUUGGUGCAAAUGCUGCAAAAUAUAUGUACAUUAGGAUUAUAAAAAUAUCAUGAUGGUUUCACAUAGUUUAUACUAUUAAAAAAAGAAAAAAGUAGGUAGAAAACAAUCCAUCUCAGAUAAUAUUUGCAUGUCAUGCAUAAAUAAAAUUCUCAAGAGUUUUACAUGAAAUGCUAUUAAAAUUUAUUAUACUCUUGAACCAUUAUUGAAUGUUAAGCUUUUACGUGAGUCAAUUUAUUGAUGAGUUCAGUGCAUAUGUGAAUUUCAUGGAUAUUUUAGGCUCUAGUUUAUGCAGUAAUGACAUCAAUUUUCUAUGACAACCUUGUAACACAUGGUUAAACAUUCUAACAUUGUAGAAAAUACAAUGAAAGGAUUCUAACAUUCUUAAGCAUUUGGCUCAUUGGUUGGUGCAUAAUCUCUCUGCUAAAUAACAGGGUUCGAAUCCCUACUCCUUUAAUUAUAUAAAAAAAAUUACAGCAUAUUAAAGAUAUAAUUUCACACAGUAAGUCGAAGUAUUUAUAAAUCACAUUGUGCAAUUUAUCACUUAGAAAAAAGUGCUUAUUGAUGAAAGGCCUCCCUAUCAACAUGAUCAGUAAUGUGCAAUCAUAGGAAAAAAUUAGCUUAAGCAUAACACUCUAUAUCAAACAAUUGGCAAAUAGUUUAAUGCAGUUUCUUCAUGUAAGAGUCAUAAUAUUCCAAACCUUGACCUUGACAGGCCCAAAAACUUCUGCAAAAGAGCUUACUCCAAAAGCUCAGAAAGUAGGAGAGGGGUAAAAAUUUGCAAAGUGUGGCAAUUUAAUGAAAGUAAUGAUUUCAAAUAUCAAGUUGACAUUUAAAAUUGAAUUAAGAAAACCACAAAACCAUAUACUGCAAAAACCUAUAACUAUAUCAGUUUAAAACAAAUUGACCAUUUGACCAUUUAAUGUUGGCAUCAUUAUAGGAAGAGUUCACACUCAGCUCAGUUGAGUACAAUGCUUCAACCAGUCUCUUUCAAACACUUGCCAAAGAGACUUAGAACUAACAAGUAGUUUUAGGGAAAAAAAGAAAUUUAUUUUUGAUCAAUUAAAAUUUCAAAAUCUAAAAACCUAAAGCUUAUCAGCUGUAUAUCAACAUAUUGGGAACACAAAUUCACAUUUAACACAUGAAAGAUUCCAAAACACCUCUUUAGUAUGAUAAUAUCUUUAACAUUCCAAGGAAGUCAAGGACCUAAAUUAAACUUGUUUUCAAGUGGCAUAAAAACACUCAUAUUUACAAGCCUACCAGAGAUAAGUUAUGAGAAACCUCAAGCUUAAUUCAUUUAGCGAGUUAAGAACUUAGGCUAAGCUUUAGUCACCUCAUUAACAAGCAAAGAUACAAAAUAGCUCAAACAACUAUUGAAUAUAUUUUUAGAUGCUUUUUUCAACCGACAUGGACACCUUUUAAACAAAUUGAGAACUAGGGAUCUAUUUAGAGGUGGCAAUUGGGCAAGUUGUUUCUGGUCAGGGUCAGGUUUUGAUCGCUAGCUUUUAAAGUCAAUUCAAGUUAGCUUGUAGAUGGUAAGAUAUGUCUUUUGAGUUACGACCAAUUUUCACUGCAUUUUACUCUAUAAGCAUACAGUCAUCCUAUUUGGGUCCAAACCUAUCACAGCCCAAAUCUUGAGCCAUGACCGGCGCAUGGGCCCAAUGGGCAUAACCCACCAAGCCCAAGCAAGCUUUUUUAUGUGAUCCUGUUCAUCGAUCUAUCAAUCAUACAUCAUCAUUUCUAAAAUCACAAUUCGUAAUUCUCAACUAUAAGCACUUCAAUAAUAUACCACGGCAACCAAAUACGCAUUUGUAUCAUCUCAAAAUAGUGUCAUCAAUUGCCAGCUCAUAAUGGCAUCUUCAAUCAAAAUAGACAUAUAAUGUUUACAAAAUAAAUCUUAGUAAUUCACAUCAAGUAUACAUGCACAAAUGCAAUAGACCCUUGACUACUAGCGGAAUGACUCUAGGUAAGGGUACUGCUACUAAAUGCCAUGGUAAACCUACCAAAAGGUGAAUAUAAGUGGACACUUCAAUCUGGGUCCCAACCACCUCCGAAUCUAAAAAUGAAAACAUGAAGUUGAAAAGAAUGAGUAUAAACCCAGUGAGUGAACAUAGGAAGGGAACAAGCAAUGAUACAGAAGGUUUUAGGAAACACGAUGCACUUAUGUUAAAAACAAUGCAAUUUAUUCUUCAAACACCAAAUUCAAUGCUAUGAUGUCUUUUAACUCAUUUGGAAACAUUUAUGGAUAUCAACUUUCAACAUUCAAUUCAAUCACAUUACAUUUUCCAAACAUCUCUACUCUACAAAAUAAGUACACAUGCGUGUAAGAAUUCAUGUAUUCAUUAUGUGUAUAUAAAUAUAUAGAAUAUUCAAACAUACACCAAGGUCAUCCCCACACUAGUCAACAAGUCUCCGCGUAUACAACCGCCAACCUCAACUUAGCUCAUGUGCACUGCCACACCGCACAUAGCUAAUAUCCUCAUGUGCACUUCCACAUCGCACAUGGCAAGUAUCAUGUGCACUCCCACACUGCACAUGGCAUAUAUCAUCAUGUGCACUCCCACACUGCUCACCACCAUCACCGUCAUGUGCACUACCACACCGCACACGCACGAUUAUAAUUAUCAUUCAAUAUUACCUUUCAAAGCAUAACACACAUAACAACAUACAAUAAUUUUUUUUUGCAUAAUAAUGCAUUCCACAAAGUUCAUUGUUUUAUUGGUCAUACACAUGGUUGCACAGUCCAACAGUCAAAGAAAAUAAUAUUAACUACUAUGCCACUAGUUUAGGACAUCACAAAAUUUCUAAUGCAUCACGCGCCAUAAUUCAAUUGACAAUUCAACAUAAUAUUUCAAACAUGUGAUUCGUCACAUUUCACGUUUAACAACAUAGAAAUAUCACUCGAAAAGGCUUGUUCCCGUGCAAGAUUUUCUUUAAAAGAGUUAACCAAGAAUAUUUAAAUACUUUACUCAAACACAUGCUCAUUUGUUUCAAACGUUUUAAAUGCAAGUUCACUCACUUGUCUUUAUUGAUUCUUUUGAUCGACUCCAACUUCAACUAAUGCUCCAAGUGGAGAUGUGGGGUCUCAUUGGAACCUAUCUCACACAAUAGCAUCACAACCAACCCAAUUUGCAUGAAUAUAAAUCCAAAGGUUGUUUCCUAAAUCAAACUUUCCUAGUUUUCCCUAACUAGUUUUUAAAUUACCAUUUGACUAGUCAACCUAAUACUAACACCAACGAAUUUCAUAACACUUCUUUUAUUACUUCCAUUUUCCAGCACCUAUAUCAUCCUUAAAAUUCACAAUUCCAAACUUAGGUAAUUCCCUUAGUGACAUCUCACAUGAACACAAUGCCUUUUAUUAAAUUAGUCAUCCAUACCACUAGUUAAACCAUGAAUUACCAUAAUUAUUAAUCAUUUCUCCCUCCAACAAUCUCCACCCAUCAAAAUAGCCCCUAAUUCCCAUUUCAAGUAUUAAUUUACUUGUAAAUUUACAAGGCUAACAUUCAAGUCAUUAGCUAGUCAUUUAUUUGUACUAUUAUAAUCACACUAGUAAUAAAUAAUCUCAUUUUCACCACAAUAUAACUAUCAACAAUUAAACAGCCCACAAAUCUAAUUAUUAGCCAUCAUUAACAACUUAAAAAUCAACCCUAACUCAUUACUCACCUUGGUAGACUUGUAGUUGAAUUUCCUUAGUGAGCAUUAAAAAGGGAAAAAAUUCCUUUAAGAGUUUCCAAGCUAUUUUGAAGAGUUCAGCCACAGCCUAAAUCUUGGGCCAUGACCGAUGCAUGGGCCUAAUAGGCAUAACCCACUAGACCCAAACAAGCCUUAUUAGAGAUUCCUGAUAAUGCACUAUACUCGUUCACCAAUCCAUAUUAGUGCUUAAACCAUAUUUUUUUGUAUCAUAACUUGAACCCUAAUUAUAAUAAUCAAUUCAAUCUUAAAACAUAUAAUCAUAAGUAUAUACAAUGAGGUCUAAAGUCUCCAGUUUAAUACUUAUAUCAAGGCCACUAUCCAUUUACAAUUAAAUAAACAAAGUGCUACGACUCGACCUCUAACAGCAGAGUGACUUGGAAUGAAAUGCUAUGAGAUGCCUUGACCUAUCUGCAAUGGACCAUAAGUGCUGAUGAUUACACACUAGGCCGAUCACUAUCUGCAAAAGGGAAAUAAGGGGGUGAGUCUCAUAGACUCAGUGAUAAUCAGCUUUGUGAGCAGGAAGUAGAUGGGAAACAAGCAAUAAGCAGAUCAUUUGAAUGAUAAAACCAGAAUAUAAAAUGCAAAUCUUAUAAACCAAACCACAAUGAGGAUAUAUGUGCCUUGUAAAAAUGAUAUUGUAGAAUCAUAAUAUAGUGCUUUCUUUGCCAAAACAGUGUCGAAAAUAAGUGUAAUAGAAAGAGUUUCAAUCACCAGAAACAUCAUUGCCAUCAAAUUAUGAAACACAGUAAAAAGGUAAUCACACGCCCAAAAUGUGUGGCAUGUAGAGAAAUCAAAGUGUACAGCCACCUAAAUCAACUCAUGUUUGUCAAGUAAGCAUUGAAAGCUUUUAUUUAAACAAUGGGAGCUACAGAGAAAAUCUUAACUCUCCACCUAUAAGAGAGUACACGUUGAAAACUCACAAGGCUCUCGAGUAAGAAAGUAUAAUAUCAACACGUGGAGCCACUUCCACGUAAAAAUAAUCCGAGAGUCAUACUCCACCGAAUUCCCAUAGCCAUGGUAGUCUCCACGAUGUUGGUCGACAUCGGAGAAUCAAGCGGUAGCAACUGUGCACAUUCGGGAGUCUCACUACACCAGACCACUUGUGGCCUAGCCACGUAUACAUAUCACAAGUCGUGGCCCCUGCCAUGCCUAAUCGUCUGUCGAUGACCCAAAGGUUCUCUAGUUAGAGCUCACUUAUGCAUGAGGGUUACAAUUAACCGAAGUGACAGCCAACCUACCCUCGACGCACUUCGUUUGUCAAAACCAUUUUCAAAAAUCACAUUGAGGUUUCCAAGUCUUUUGCUUAAAACAUUUGAAAACAAGGUUCAAUAACCUUUCAAAUUACUUUUCACGUAAAAAGGCAUGGUGUAUUCUCUUAUACAAAGAUCGAACUAAAAUCGGUGCUCAAAACAUCCAUUUUAAAUCAUUUAACAACUGCAUUUAACUAUGCAUAUCACACAAAAGAUACAAGGCACAGAUUUUGAAUGCAAAACAAUAUAAAAGGCUUGUUCUCUAUUCUUAAAACACUUUACGUAUAUAGCUCAUUUAUAGAUAUAUCCAAACAAUUUUCAAAACAACUUGCAUCCACAAUUUCCUACGAGUUCUACCAGCUCUUGCUUUCCACAAUAACAGUGUAUAAAUCAUUGUAAAUCUGUUUAGAAAUAUCCUAACGAGGCUAACAACUCAUGCUUUCCACAAUUGCAUUUAAUGAAAUCCGGCAACGUUUAUAAUACGUAUAACAUUAUAUAGCUAUGGAAAUUUUGAAAUAGGCACCCCCCACUCACCUUAGAAUAGCGAGACGCUUGGUCAUUAUUGAUUCGGGUGCGUAUCUUGUAAUUUAUACUUGCUGGUCACUCGUUACUUCACCCAACACGCUACCACUGAAAACUUUUCUACUUAUAUACUUCCUAGCAACAAUCCAAAUUCAAUAAUCUUAGUGUUUAUCAUUCCCAUUUUCCUUCUUAUUCAAACAUUCCCAUCAUGUUAAUAACUCAUACUAUGCUAGAAUCACCACUUUUCCUCACUUAACCUUGCAUAUUCAUAUACAUCUUAACACAUUUUUACUAAAGUUGCCUUUAUCCUUUACUUGCAUAAUUCUUUAAAUUAUAAUUACAGGCAACUUAUUUAUGACUCUAAUACAUAUAUUAAUCCUUUCUAAGGAUAUUUAUCAAGUUCAACCAUCAUUUCCACAACAAUAACCUAGCAUAUGGCAGCAACUAUAAAUUCACUUCCAUCAAGCAUUUUCUAAGUGUACAUGUACUACCAUUCUCAUUUACAUGUUACCACCAAGCAUAACAUCAAUAUUCAUUCAUACGCACCAACAUCCAUAACCUUUUGAGCCUUUUCUAACAACACAUAUCCACACAAUCCAUUUUUUUCCAAGCUUCCAAUUAAUAUAAUUGCUUUCCAACCAUACCCGUGACAACACCAUAACACUACAUAUUGUACACAAUCAUUCUCACAAUAUUAAACUAAUCAUAGACUUUAAAUUGUAGCAUUAAGUUUACCACUUGGUUUUAGCUUAGAUUUCACCCAACAAAAUUCACAAUUUCCUCACACCCAUGGCCACCAUAGCUACCACAAAAAUACUUACACAAUUACCAACUCAUUUCCAAAAAUUACUCAAGCUAAAAUCAAAAUCCUUACCUUAUGACUCUUGAAUCUUGAGACCCACUUGAUUUUUCUUCAAUUAAUCUUGAAUCACUCACUACCCAAGCCCUCCACUUUUCUCUCUUUUCUUUCCUUGGCCGAUUCUCUCUAUUUUUCUUUUCAAUUGCAUGGUGGCAAGGUAAAAAUGGCAUGGGAGCAUGAAAAUGGCGUGAAAGCAUGGAGGUGAAGAAGAAAUUAUCUUGUGGGUUGAGAUAAGAACCGACCAUGGGAUAAGAAUGAAGAGUCAAAGCUUCCUUGUGAGACCUUGUCAAGCUCGAUUAAAAGACGGUAUUGUACCGAGUGGUACAACUAAGUUAAAUCGAGCCUUGAACUAGUUCAAAUAGAAAUUCUAAGAGGAAUUUGAAAAUUCUAAAACCCACAGAAUGACUUAGAAUAGUGAUUCGGAGUUCAAGGUCCAGUUUAGAGUUCAUCAGGAAAAUUGAUAGAUUAGGGACAAAACGGUCACCUUACCAUUUGAUGAUAAAAUGGAGAUUUUUAGCCAAGAUUUGAUCACAUUUGACCAAGAAUAAUUAUAUGAAAUAUAAUUAUGAUUAUUGGAGUAUAAAAUGAUGUUUAGCAGUGAAAAAUUAUGAUUCUCGAUAUUUUUAGAGCACAAGGGUAAAAUGGUAAUUUUGCCACUAGAGGACUAAACGGGAAUUUUUAUAAAAUGAUUUUUGCCCCAUUUGGUUAAUAUUGAUCAAUAUUAGUGUUAUUUGAGGUUGAAAAGUAGAAAUAAUGUGAUUCUUGUACAUUUCGGAGUAUAGGGGCAAAAUCAUAAUUUUUUCACUCCGAGGGCAAAUCGGUAAAUUUUUUGCCCUAGUACUUGUCAAGACCAUGGGAUUUUAAUUGUGGUAGGAUUUGAUAAAUACCAGAAUAUUUGUGGUGGAAAAUUAAGAAGAAAAAGUCAAAAAGUUAAAAAAAUUGGGCCAAUAAGCAUGUGACAUGUGGCAUGCUUGAUUAUUUUAUUAUUUUCUAUAGAAAUCAGCCCAUUAAAUCCCCAAUUCUCUCACCAUAUUUGGCCUAGGCAACUAGCAACAAGAACAAAGGAAGAACAAAGGGAAAANNNNNNNNNNNNNNNNNNNNNNNNNNNNNNNNNNNNNNNNNNNNNNNNNNNNNNNNNNNNNNNNNNNNNNNNNNNNNNNNNNNNNNNNNNNNNNNNNNNNNNNNNNNNNNNNNNNNNNNNNNNNNNNNNNNNNNNNNNNNNNNNNNNNNNNNNNNNNNNNNNNNNNNNNNNNNNNNNNNNNNNNNNNNNNNNNNNNNNNNNNNNNNNNNNNNNNNNNNNNNNNNNNNNNNNNNNNNNNNNNNNNNNNNNNNNNNNNNNNNNNNNNNNNNNNNNNNNNNNNNNNNNNNNNNNNNNNNNNNNNNNNNNNNNNNNNNNNNNNNNNNNNNNNNNNNNNNNUUUUUAUUUCAAGGAAAAUGGCUUGGAAAAAGAUGAAUUAAGGUGAAACGGUUAUGUAGAAAAAAUUUCGGUGUUAGUGCACCAAAUGACCAAAUUUUUCUAUAAGGAACUGUGAGGGUUCUAAUGCUGAAUUUGGCUUUAUUUAAAUGGUAUGUGGUAAAUUAAGGUAUUAGAGGAGAAAUGGAUUAAUUUGGAGGUGAUUUGGACACAAUCGCCAAUUAAUCCGGUGAUCGGUUGAAUUUAAUCGAUACCGCGAUUAAGCGAUAAUCGGACGUAUUUUUGCAUUUACAUAUCAAGCAUUAGUAAUUUAAAUUAGUUUAUAUCAAUUUAAGGACAAUAUAGUAAAUUUCUCGACUUUGUUAUUUGUCAAGGUAGUGAGACGUCCGGAAAAGGUAAAGGAAUUGCGCCUGAGGACUAUUAGUCCAAGUGCACCCGAAAUUCAAAUUUUCGAUACUGGUGAGUGGACUUGCAUUUCAAACUUGUUUUGGGUAAUAUGAAAGAUUCUAUUCAACUUGUCUUAGAACAUGUACCUUGGGAACAAGCUUUUGUUAAAUGGUUUGAUGUUGUGAUAUGUGAUUGCUAUGGAUUCAUGCAUUAUUGCAAUAUGAUGAUAUAUGUAUAUGUGUGCUGUGCAUGAUGAAUGAUAUUGUGUAUAAUGACUGUAAUCGUGUGUGUGCACGAUGUGGGAAGAAUUAAGUUGGUAUAAGAGCAAAGGGUUUUACCCGAUCCCUGGGAACUCUAACGCAUGAACAGGGACGAAGCGUGGCUCUCCGCCCAAGGGCUUAUAGAGGAAAGGGCUACCCAAAGAGGUGGAGCCGCCCUAUGAGUGCUCUGAUAGGUACCGUAUGUCACCUCCGUAGUGAAGGGGUUGAGUGGUAUGUCCCUCCUUAGUGACAAACUUGGUAUCAGAGCCCCAUUUUAUGGUGGCUUGAGAGGUGGAUGAUGAUAGUGCCCGUGUGCACGAUGUGGGGGGAUGUACAUGAUGGCACUGAUUGUGCACGAUGUAGGGGGAUGCACACUAUAGUGCCGGCUAUGUGCACGAUGUGGGGGGAUGUACAUGAGCCGGGUGUGAUUAUGAUGAUAUUGAUGUUUGUCUAUCUAAUUAUGCAUAUCUAGACUUAUGAAAUGAAAGCUCAUGAAUGUGAUAUAUGGUUGACAUAUAUGUGAAAUUUGAUACAUUUCACUUUGAAAAUUUUCAUGAGUUUUAUGUUGAUUUUGUUGGUUUAGUAGGAUGGCCUUUUUGUUGAGUGAAGGGAAACUUUUCUCUUGUUGCUCUGUUUCGCUGAAGCAAAAUUCAUUCUCGCUGUAGCGAGAAACUCUCGGGUUUGAGGGCCUUUACCAAAACUAGUUCUCGCUACAGCGAGAAACUUUCUGUCCAUUUUGCAAACUUGUGGGUUUUUGCCAUAUUUCCCAUUUCUUUGGUACCAUAGUUGAGCAUGGAUUUUUGUAAAGUGAUUUACUCAUGUGGGGUUUACAUGAGGGGUUUAAAGGAGUUAAAACAAUUGCAUGGUUUUGAGAAAAUGAAUGCAUCAUGAUUUCGAUAAACAUUUCUUAUGGUAUGCUUGUUCCCUUCUUGUUCACUCACUGAGUAUUGUACUCACGUUUUAUAAAAAUUCAUGUUUUCAGAUCAGGUGACUGUUGGACCCUAGAUCAAGGAGUCCUCGUAGUGCAUCUCCUGGGUAUGUGUCUGGCAUUCGAUAGUAAUCCCUCUUAUUGUAAAUGUCUCCGCUGGAAGUCAUGGGUUAUUUUGUAUUGUGAAUACAAUCUAACAAUGUGAAUAUGUGUAUGCAAUGUAAAUUGCUAAAUACAUGACUGGUAUAGUGCAUGUAUAUUAUUAUCAAUAAUGCCAUUGUGUUUUGGCUAUGUUCACACCCGGGAAAAGGUGUGUGUGUGUAUGCAUGAUAUGAUAAAUUUGUUAAGCAAAGGUAAACGGAUAGGCUUGCUUGGGCUUAGUGAGCAAUGCUCAUUGAGCUCAUGCGUCAGUCAUGGCUCGGGAAAUUGGGUCGUGACAUUCCUUUGGAAGCUUUGACCAACUAAUGGCAAAAUUAUCAUUUUACCCUUCAAGCUUUUCACCAUUUUUAAUUGUAUCCUCCCACAAUCUUUUAAUUCCAAUUUCUUUCCAUUUUUCCUCCUUAACACUUGUAUCAAUAAAAUAUCAAGUUUAUGCUUUAACGCGGUAUCACCAUAAUAUUUAAAUAUUUACUUACCCGUGCUAGCUUUAUUUAAUAAAGACACGUGGCCCCAUUAAUGUCAUUUUUCUCUGAAAUUUCCUUGUUCUUCUUUUCCCCCACUUAGAUUGACCAUAUACUCUUCCUUCACGAAAAAUUUCGACACUAAAUAAAAUAUUAUUUUAUUCUAAAAUUUUCUACGUGUCUCUUUGACACCCAAAAUGUCUUAUUAUGCCCCGAUUCACUUCUGAAUCACUUUUUAUAUUGCUAAUUCAUCCUCAAUAAAAAUAUUAUUAUUUAAUUUCUAUUGCUUCACUUGCGAAAUAUUUUACUCUAGAAUAUUCCCUCCACCCUUCAUCACUCUUAAACACUCUAAUUAACCUCAAUUGGUAUUCGAUAAGUUCUAUUAGUCAACAUAGCAAACUACCAGGUGUUACAGUCUCCCCCACUUAAAAUGAAUUUGUCCUCGAAUUCAAAUUAACAUAAGGUGAAUAGUCAAAGUUCUAAAAUUCUACCACUUCACUUCCGUCGGGCAUUCUUAACAUAGCAUCUUAAUUUACACAUUAUAUCGUCUUCCAAUCUUUAUAGAAAACUCGACAAUGCCAUUGUAUAUACAAUUAUGUGUUCUACACUUCUUGAACCACAUCAAUAUUAUUCUUUAUCUUAUAAAGAGGAUUCAAACAUGUCACUAUCUUAUGCUAUAACCACUUAUAAAAUAUCAUCUUUAAACAAAUUAUAACCAACUCCGUAUGAGUUUUGUACCAAUAUGCAACAUAUAUGUCCAUAUAUAUUUCCAAAAAUUUCAACUUCAAGUAGUCUUAGGCAUAUCAAGCUCAAUAAGCCACUUGUAAUACUAAAAUAGCCAAUAAAUCAAGUUUAGGAUCAUCUCCUUUUUGCGUUUAAUCAGAUUAUGCUCACCAUCAUGUGGAGAAUACUCAAAACUGGUUUAUGUGUUCUAUUCUCAUACAAGUGUCACUCACUAAUUGGCAUCAUCCCCAAGCACCACGUGUCUUAAAAGCCAAUUUUUCUUAGCCAAAAUUCAUAUUGAAGUAUUCCAUCUCUAAGUCAUGUCUCAUUACCAAAUCUUUACUUGUAUAUGAGUACUUGAAUUCUCAAAUCAUCAUCUCUUUUCUUAGUAGAUCUAUGUAAUUUUUGUAGUUUAUUUUUAUUCCCUCACCAUGGGUAGUAUCAUUUAAUCAAACCAUAUCACCCUCGUUCUCUAAAUAUUUGAAGAGUCAUUCAACCUUUGCCUACCCUUAUCAGGCAAUUUACCUUGAUAAUUACUCAAAAUAAUUUUGAAACUCGUGGGGGAAGCACGUUUCACAAUUUAUGCCUUACGUCUACAAGUAUAUCGAGACCGUAACCUCAUCAGGUCUACUUAAUGGCAAGAUAAUCAUUGCCUUAAACUAAUAAUUCCAGCCAUCCUUAUGUUUGCAACUUAUCUUUAUACUUAUGUGACAUAUCAGUCACGAGCCCCAAUGUGACUAUAUAGCUAUUUGCUCCUUGGGCUUUAAUGUUUUCACAUUGUGAGAAAUCUCUCAAAUUUAUCUCAUCAGGGUGUUCACAAGGUGGAUACAAGUCCAUACCUUACAGUCCAAUGCCUAACGUAGUGAACACGAUUUCAUUGCUAAAGUUCUACCCUUAUCUACCAAUCAUAGUGUGAGACCCUGUCAAGCUCUAUUAAAAGACGGUAUUGUAUCGAGUGGUACAACUAAGUUAAAUCGAGCCUUGAACUAGUUCAAAUAGAAAUUCUAAGAGGAAUUUAAAAAUUUUAAAACCAACAGAAUGGCUUAGAAUAGUGAUUUGGAGUUCAAGGUCCAGUUUGGAGUCCAUCAGAAAAUUGACCAAUUAGGGACAAAACGAUCAUUUUACCAUUUGAUGAUAAAAUGGAGAUUUUUAGCCAAGAUUUGAUCACAUUUGACCAAGAAUAAUUAUAUGAAAUAUAAUUAUGAUUAUUGGAGUAUAAAAUGAUGUUUAGCAGUGAAAAAUUGUGAUUCUCGGUAUUUAUGGAGCACAAGGGCAAAAUGGUAAUUUUGCCACUAGAGGACUAAACGAAAAUUUUUUUAAAACAAUUUUUGCCCCAUUUGGUUAAUAUUGAUCAAUAUUAGUGUUAUUUUAGGUUGAAAAGUAGAAAUAAUGAGAUUCCGGUACAUUUCGGAGUAUAAGGGCAAAAUCGUAAUUUUUUUGUCUCGGGGGCAAAUCAGUAAAAUUUUCGGCCCAGCACUUGUCAAGACCAAGGGAUUUUAAUUGUGGUAGGAUUGGAUAAAUACCAGAAUAUUUGUGGUGGAAAAUUAAGAAGAAAAAGUCAAAAAGUUAAAAAUUGGGCCAAUAAGCAUGUGACACAUGGCAUGCUUGAUUAUUUUAUUAUUUUCUAUAGAAAUCAGCCCAUUAAAUCCCCAAUUCCCUCACCAUAUUCGGCCUAGACAUCCAGCAACAAGAAAAAAGGAAGAACAAAAGGAAAAACAAGAAAACCUAGGUGGAAAUUCAAAGAAAAAGUGAAGAAAUCAAGGAAACAAGCUAGGUAAGUUAAAAUUUCUUUAAUUCUCCUUGAUACCUAGCUUACCCAUGCUUUUGUUCUUGAUUUCCAUGGUUGAAUAUUGAGUUAUCAUGAUGAAUUCAAUUCUGAAAAAUGGGUAUGGAAGAGGAAUUGUUGUUGGAAUAAUUUGAUUUUAGACUAUGUUAGUGUUUAGGGAUAGUUAAGCAUGGUUAUGAACAAAAACACAAAAGAAAUAUUCAAUUUCUCUAGGGUUCCUUGUUGGUCGAACCAUGAGGGCUGAAUAUCAAUGGGGGAUUGUUUUUAUUUCAAGGAAAAUGGCUUGGAAAAUGAUGAAUUAAGGUGAAACGGUUAUGUAGAAAAAAAUUUGAUGCUAGUGCACCAAAUGACCAAAUUUUUCUAUAAGGAACUGUGAGGGUUCUAAUGCUGAAUUUGGCUUUAUUUAAAUGUAUGUGGUAAAUUAAGGUAUUAGAGGAGAAAUGAAUUAAUUUGGAGGUGAUUUGGACACAAUCGCCGAUUAAUCGGGUGAUCGGUCGAAUUUAAUCGAUACCGUGAUUAAGCGGUAAUCGGACAUAUUUUUGCAUUUACAUAUCAAGCAUUAGUAGUUUAAAUUAAUUUAUAUCAAUUUAGGGACAAUAUAGUAAAUUCCUCGACUUUGUUAUUUGUCAAGGUGGUGAGACGUCCGGAAAAGGCAAAGGAAUUACGCCUGAGGACUAUUAGUCAGAGUUCACCCGGAAUCCGAAUUUUCGACACCUGUGAGUGGACUGCCUAUCAAAAUUGUUUUGGGAAUAUGACUGUUUUGAACAAAGUGUUUGAAUGAUUUUAUGCAAUUUUUCAUGAAAAUGAAUGCCUUGGGAACAAGCUUUUGAGAAAAGGUUUAUGUUAUGAAAUGUGGUUAUUAUGGAUUUCUAUGUGGCUGCAUUAUGUUGAUAUACAUAUAUGCUUGAAUAUAAUGUUGUGUAAUUAUGUUGACUCGGCUAUGUGCGAGUAGGGAGUGCGCAUAAGCCGAGGAUGACCCGGUUAUGUGCGAGUAGGGAGUGCGCAUAACCCGGUGAUGACCCAGCCAUGUGCGAGUAGGGAGUGCGCAUGAGCUGGUGAUGAUGAUGAUGAGCUGGUGAUGAUGAUGAUGGGUUGGUGAGAUGAUGAUGAUGGGUAUAUACGUAUAUAUAUAUAUAUACAUAUGUAAAUAUGUGUGAUAUAGCAAAUUGAUGGACAAUGAUUUAUGGUUGUAAUGUACGUGAAAUUUGACACAUUAUACUUUGAGAAUUUUCAUGAAUUUUAUGUUGAUUUUAUUAGUUUAGCAGGAUGGCUUUUUGUUGAGUGAGGAAAAAUGUUUCUCUUGUUGCUCUGUUUUCACUGCAGCGAAAUUCAUGCUCGCUGUAGCGAAAAACUCUCGGGUUUGGAGGGGUUUUAAAUAGGAAUGAACUAAAUUGCAUUGUUUUGAAACAAGUGCAUCAUGAUUUUAAAUUCUCCCUAAUUGUUGCUUGUUCCCUUCCUUGUUCACUCACUGGGUUUAUACUCACCAUUUUCAAAUUCAUGUUUUCAGAUCACGAGGUAGCCGAUAAUUAGGACGAGGUGUCCUUGUAGAUCUGUGUACAUCUUUUGGUAGGUGUCUCGGCAUUCGGUAGCUGUAUAUCCAUCCGAGUCACUCCGCUGGAGGUCGAGUAUUAUUUUGUUAUGUAUAGAUGAACUUAAUGUAAAUUUUAAAAGAGUAAUGCCAGUACGAGUUGGCAAUGUAUAUCACUAUUUUGACUCAAAGUCAUGAAAUAGGACUUAGUGAUAAUAAAUAGAAUCAUAAGUAAAAUAAAUAAUAGGCUUGCUGGGUUUAGUGGAUUACGUCCAUUGGAUCCGUGCGCCGGUCAUGACCCGGAAUUUGGGUCGUGACACAUAGCUCCCUUGCACAUUUACCUGUGCAUUGCUUGGUUGCUCACGAGCCAUUCAUGGCCAUCCAAAUAUAACCUCUUAUAAUAAGUCAAACUAGUACAUUCUCACACUUUUCCACACAUUUCCAAAACACUUAAACACUUCCCUUAAUAAGAUUCUAUUGAGAACUUAAACAAUCAAAGGCUUAUCUUCAAAGCCACUUAUAACCUUAACAAUUUAAUGUAUGCUUAAUAGCAUUUUAGCUCAUUGGUCUCAAUGGACAUCAUUUUCAAAUCUCUCAAAGUGUCCUUGUUCUUAAUUGAGACCGUACCAACUAACUUAGCAUAUUUGCAUAGAUUAUCCUUAAGCUUCUUAUGCUUGUUGUAACAACAUCAACACUUCUCCCAUCAUUUAUCUUACCUUUCAUUCACUCUUUCCUUAGCCUUUAUCAAAGCUUAAUCUCUUCUCCCCCUUAUUUUUUAGGAUUUGACUUUAGUUUGCGUAAUGUUUAUCCUAACACUUCACAUGGUAAUCUAUCUCAAGAACUUUCUAACUCCCCUUUUUGUUUCAUACCCUUAUAUAAGGUAAUAAAGAAACUUUUCAAUUCAUUUAUAUAAAUAGUUUCCAAAACCCUACAACUCCAUUCAACAAAGCUGAACAUCAAGUCUACUGACCAUAACUUCGCUUGCAAAUCCGUCUCCAUGCCACUCACAUCUUGUUCUUGCUUCCUAACAUAAGAUGUUCCUAAGGCUACGGUGCUGCAGCCGUUGGAAAUUUACUUUAUCAAAACAAUUCUCCGAACUCAUAAAUUACAACUCCAAAUGUAUGCCAACAUAUUGAUAACCUUUACAUAUUUCAUGACCACGAAAACUACAAUUUGCAAAACUAACUUUCCAUCAUACAUACGCUAUCAAAACAUUAAUUUCAACAUAUCUAUUUCACCUCUUUUUUUUUUGUGGUAUGCCAAAAUCAUUGUUUAGGCAUAUUUCACUACUAACAAUCACAUUCCUUUACCAUAGCAUUUAGUGCAAAUUUGCUUAAGCAAUUGUCUCCAAAUAACUCUUAAUACAUAAAUAUCAAAUUAUACACCGCUUAAUGUUAAAAUCUUGACUUUACUCAUCAAUUUUUAACCAAUUACAUUUAUAAAGUGAAUAAUUUACUUAGUUAUUGCAUCUCGCCUUUACGGUCACAAGAUCAAAGUUUCUUAAACUUAAGAUACAGAAGCUCCCUCUUAGAGCAUAUCCAAAAAUCAACAUCUUCUAAAUCCCUUACCUUUGGAGAAAUUAACUUCAAGUCUAAUCAUUUUCAUCAUAGUUUGCAUACAAAUCCAAAUAGACUCCUAAAUUGAUCUUUAAAACAAUUUGUAUAUCAAUCUCAAAUAUAGAACUCCAUAUGACAUUUAAACUAGAAUCAACAUUUCUAAGUCAUUUAACUUCAAGCUACCAAAUCCACAACUAGUCCUUUAAUCCUUUGGCUUCAUGCUAAGCAUAGUAAAAUUCAAGCUCAUCCUUAGAGCAGAUUCGUUUACUAGCCUUUUACUUGAUGACUACACAUUUAUUAUAACAAUCACUGAUUUUCAGCCUUGCUUUAAUUCAUGCAGUUAUAACUAUAACCAUAAUAAUCCAAAUCAAACCUUGGGAUCUCAUAAUCACUUAAUUGAAAUCAAAACCAACUCCAUCUAAGUUGCUAUACACAUAUUCAACACAUAUACGCAUAUAAAAUACUUCAGAAGCCCAACACCAUUUAUAUAUGGGCAUGACAAGCUCCUUUAACAUACUGCACUUACAUCCAUGCACAUGAGUAUGGGUUUACAUCUCCCUUAAUACUCAAAGUUAUAAACUUUAAGUGAAUCACAACAAUCACUAUUCAUUCCAAUGAAGGCGUCCUUUAUUACCAUUAUCUUACGUGCUCCUUAUAUUGACCUCAAUAAUGAUCCAAUGUCAUCCAAUUUUCUUCUCAUUGACAAUCAUGGACUCAAAUUAUAACUCCAUCAAAUAAAUAAGUUACAAAGGACUUAUUAGUCUAGCUCCACUUUCUUCGAUGUUUAAUCGGAGGGAUAUAUCAUUACAUUAACCUUUCAUUAGGAGCAUUUGCUUAAAUUUUUCCAACAAUAGUUGGUGUCUAGGGUGGCGUCUCAAACUCGGACAACGGCACCACUUGUUACCUUUAUAUGACGUUAGCAAAAGGGUAGGUUAAUAGGAAUAUGAGUUUAUAUAGCCUCUUAUCUAUGACUUGUGCUGUAGUCAGAAACCAUAAACAAGACUCUACAUUAACUCCGACAACUCCACUAACUGACAUGAGAAUUCCUAGAACUCGACUAAACUUAGGCUCUGAUACCAACUUUGCCACAGCCUAAAUCUUAGGCCAUGACCAGCGCAUGGGCCUAAUAGGCAUAGCCCACCAGACCCGAGCAAGCCUUAUUAAAGAUUCUCGAUAAUGCACUAUACUCGUUCACCAAUCCAUAUUAGUGCUUAAACCAUAUUCUUUCGUAUCAUAACUUGAACCAUAAUUAUAAUAAUCAAUUCAAUCUUUAAAACAUAUAAUCAUAAGUAUAUAGAAUGAGGUCUAAAGUCUCCAGUUUAAUACUUAUAUCAAGGCCAUUAUCCAUUUACAAUUAAAUAAACAAAGUGCUACGACUUGACCUCUAGUAGCAGAGUGACUUGCAAUGAAAUGCUAUGAGAUGCCUUGACCUAUCUGCAAUGGACCAUAAGUGCCGAUAAUUGCAUGCUAGGCCGAUCACUAUCUGCAAAAGGGAAAUAAGGGGGUGAGUCUUACAGACUCAAUGAUCAUCGGCUCCGUGAGUAGGGAGUAGAUGGAAAACAAGCACUAAACAGAUCAUUUGAAUGAUAAAACUAUAAUAUAAAAUGCAAAUCCUAUAAACCAAACCAUAAGAAGGAUAUUUGUGCCUUGUAAAAAUAAUAUCGUAGAAUCAUAAUACAAUGCUUUCUUUGGCAAAAACAGUGUCGAAAAUAAGUGUAACAGAAAAAGUUUCAAUCAUCGAAAAUAUCAUUGCCAUCAAAUUAUGAAAUACAGUAAAAAGGUAACCACGCUCCCAAAAUGUGUGGCAUGUAAAGAAAUCAAAGUGUACAACCACCUAAAUCAACUUAUGUUUGUUAAGUAAGCACUGAAAGCUUUUAUUUAAACAAUGGGAGCUGUAGAGAAAAUCUUAACUCUCCACCAUGCAAGAGAGUACACAUUGAAAACUCACAAGGCUCUCGAGUAGGAAAGUAUAAUAUCAACACGUGGAGCCACUUCCACGUAAAAACAAUUUGGAAGUCUUACUCCAUCGGAUUCCCAUAGCCAUAGUAAUCUCCACAUUGUUGGCCGACAUCUGAGAAUCAAGCAGUCGACAAACACGCACAUUCGAGAAUCUCAUUCCACCGGACCACUUGUGGCCUAGCCACGCAAACAUAUCACAAGUCAUGGCCCCUACCACGCCUAACCACCCGUCGGUGACCCAAAGGUUCUAUAGCUAGAGCUCACUUGUGCACGAGGGUCACAAUUAAUCGAAGUGACAGCCAGCCUACUCUCGACGCACUUGGUUUGUCAAAACCAUUUUCAAAAAUCACAUUAAGAUUUCCAAGUCUUUUGCUUAAAACCAUUUGAAAACAAGGUUCAAUAACCUUUCAAAUUACUUUUCAUGUAAAAAGGCAUGGUGUAUUCUCUUAUACAAAGAUUGGACUAAAACCAGUGCUCAAAACUUGCAUUUUAAAUCAUUUAAUAACUACAUUUAACUAUGCAUAUCACACAAAAGAUACAAGGCACAGAUUUUGAAUGCAAAACAGUAUAAAGGGCUUGUUUCCUGAUUUUUAAAACACUUUACGUAUAUAGCUCAUCUAUAGAUAUAUCUAAAACAAUUUUCAAAAUAGCUUGCAUCCACAAUUUCCUACGAGUUCUACCAGCUCAUGCUUUCCACAAUAACAGUGUAUAAAUCAUUGUAAAUCUAUUUAGAAAUCUCCUAUCGAGGCUAACAGCUCAUACUUUCUACAAUUGCAUUUAAUGAAAUCUGGCAACGUUUAUAAUAUGUAUAACAUUAUAUAGUUAUGGAAAUUUUGAAAUAGGCACCCCCCAUUCACCUUACAAUAGCGGGAUGCUUCGUCGCUUUUGAUUCAGGUGUGUAUCUCGCUAUUUCUACUUACCGGUCACUCAUUACUUCACUCGACACACCACCACGGUAAACUUUUCUAAUUAUAUACUUCCUAGCAACAAUCCAAAUUCAAUAAUCUUAAUGUUUAUCAUUCUCAUUUUCCUCCUUAUUCAAACAUUACCAUCAUGUUAAUAACUCACACUAUGCUAGAAUCACCACUUUUCCUCACUUAACCUUGCAUAUUCAUAUACAUCUUAACACAUUUUUACUACAGUUGCCUUUAUCCUUGCUAAUUCUUUAAAUUAUAAUUAUCGGUAACUUAUUUAUGACUCUAAUACAUAUAUUAAUCAUUUCUAAGGAUAUUUAUCAAGUUCAACCAUCAUUUCCAUAACAAUAACCUAGCAUAUGGCAGCAAUUAUAAAUUCACUUCCAUCAAGCAUUUUUUAAGUCUACAUGUACUACCAUUCUCAUUUACAUGUUGCCACCAAGCAUAACAUCAAUAUUCAUUCAUACGCACCAACAUCCAUAACCUUUUAAGCCUUUCCUAACAACACAUAUCCACAUAAUCCAUUUUUUCCCAAGCUUCAAUUAAUAUAAUUGCUUUCCAACCAUACCCAUGACAUCACCAUAACACUACAUAUUACACACAAUCAUUCUCACAAUAUUAAACUAAUCAUAGACUUCAAAUUGUAGUAUUAAGCUUACCACUUGGUUUUAGCUUGGAUUUCACCCAACAAAAUUCACAAUUACCUCACACCCAUGGCCACCAUAGCUACCACAAAAAUACUUACACAAUUACCAACUCAUUUCCAAAAAUUACUCAAGUUAAAAUCAAAAUCCUUACCCUAAGUCUCUUGAAUCUUGAGACCUACUUGAUUUUUCUUCAAUUACUCUUGAAUCACUUACUACCCAAGCCUUCCACUUUUCUCUUUUUUCUUUCCUUGGCCAAUUCUCUCUAUUUUUCUUUUCAAUUGCAUGGUGGCAAGGUGAAAAUGGCAUAGGAGCAUGAAAAUGGUGUGGAAGCAUGGAGAUCAAGAAGAAAGUAUCUUGUGGGAGGAGAUAAGAAUCGACCAUGGGAUAAGAAUGAAUUGUUAAAGCUUCCUUUGGAAGCUUUGACCAACUAAUGACAAAAUUAAUAUUUUUACCUCCCAAGGUUUUCAUCCUUUUUAAUUGUAUCCUCCCACAAUCUUUUAAUUUCAAUUUCUUUUCAUUUUUCCUCCUUAACACUUGUAUCAAUAAAAUAUCAAGUUUAUGCUUCAACAUGGUAUCACCACAAUAUUUAAGUAUUUACUUACCUGCGCUAACUUUAUUUAAUAAAGACACGAGGCCCUAUUAACGUCAUUUCUCUUCGAAAUUUCCUUGUUUUUGUUCUCCCCCACUUAGAUUGACCAUAUACUCCUUCUUCAUGAAAAAUGUUGAUAUUGAAUAAAAUAUUAAUAUUUUAAUAUUAUUUUUUAAUUAAAAUAUUAUUUUAUUUUAAAAUUUUUCACUUGUCUUCUCGACACCUAAAAUGUCUUAUUAUGCCCCGAUUCACUUUCAAAUUACUUUUUAUAUUGUUAAUUCAUCCUCAAUAAAAAUAUUAUUAUUUAAUUACUAUUGCUUUGCGUGUGAAAUAUUUUACUUUAGAAUAUUCCCUCCACCCUUCAUCACUCUUAAACACUAAAAUUAACCUCAAUUGGUAUCCGAUAAGUUCUAUUAGUCAACAGAGCAAAGUAUGGGGUGUUAUAGUUUCUCUUUCUAAAAACGUUCAGCUAGUGAGAGAAAGUGCAAAGGAAAAACUUUUUGAGGGUUUUUGAGGUGAAAAAGUAAAAGAGGACGAAAAAUCCUAUGAAAAAGUGUAUAAAAACAUGAAAUUUGGAGUUAAUAUGAGAAGGUUAUGGAGGUUUCAAGGACGACCUCCAUGGAAGAUGAAAAAUCUGCAAUGGAGAGAAUAAAUGAGAGGAAGAAUGGAGAAGGUGCAGAAAAGUAAGGAUAUUUAUACCUAAGGUUGACAAAAGUUUCACAUAUUUACGAAAAUGCCAUUAACAAGUUGACUUUAUCUUCCUCCUUUUUUUUGGCGAAAUUUUUUACUCUUUGGAUAUUGAGACAAGGUUCACAAUAGAAUAGAGGUACUCGAGUUCACGAAAACUUAGAAAUUUAGACUCGAGAUCUAAAAUUACCAUUUUACCCCUAAUGUGAAAAUUAUUUUUACUUUAUUUAUUUUCUUGUUAUAUAUUUUUUAUUUACUUAUUCUACGAACUUAGACCUUAAUAAUAUUAGAAAACCUCUUCUAGGAGCUCACCAAGAAAAAUGACAAGACUACCCCUAAUCCAUGCCUUCGUAUCUACCUCAAGUUACGUGUCUAUGGAGGUUGAGGUUUUACAAAACCAUUUUAAGUUUCAAGUCAAGGUCAGAUUUUUAGGUAAUUGCUUUCUCUAUUAAAUUCAAGUUCAUUCAUAUAGAUUGAGCAUGUUCAUUGGAUUAAUUCUCUUGCCACCUCUAGAUCUAAUCCAAUAGAAGCAAGAGCAGAAAAUAGAAUUUUUUGUAUAAAAAAGAAAUUAGCUAGAAAUAAUCGAACGUACCUUUUUCUCUAAUUCUUUUGUCUCUGUCACAUUCAAACUUAACCAGAAUUUGAUUAACCUUCUCCAAGGUAUCACUUUGCCUAUUCCUCCUAAAGCUUUGGUCCUGCAGUCAGAUUAUAUAAUGCAUUAUAUUUUCAAGAAGGAAGAUAUUACAAAACUAAAGAAAUAAAAAACGAAAGUUCUAAUACGCAACAUGGGAUGGCCAAAAUUCUUGAGAUUGAGUUUUAUUUCCUAAGUUAGGCCGCCAGCAAGUCAUUUGAUCAAGAUAUGAAAAAAGUUAUACCUUUAUUAGAUCAGCACGGGGUUGCCUACUCCUAUAACACAAAGCAAAAGGGUGAACGAUUAAGCAUUUCUAAUUGGCAUCUUUAGUUAGACAAAUCAAUGCUAGAUAGCAAUGCAAAAAAAUAAGAAUGACCAAACAUACAACCUUCAAGAUUUGGUAACAGAAUAGAUCUAAACUAAAACAAAGAAAAGAAGCAGAAGAUCAAGUAAGAAUAACUAAAAAUGUGUUGUGUUCAUUCACUGACCUUUGCCUAGCUUUUUCUAAAAGAAGCAGAGGAUUAACGGGGUUUACCGACUGUUAACAAGGCACACCAAGGGUCACCAAGGGGUGGCAAGGGGCGGCAAGAGGCAAAGGGCAAGGGGCAGGGGCACUACUGCUCACAUUGUUUCCUAAACGUUUUUGUCACAUUGCUUGCAAGAGUCUAUUCAUGUUUGGAAGGGAAUAGCAUUGGUUUUUCUUACUCAUGGGCAGUAAGUUUUGCACACUCAAGGUACUUUCCCCAAGCAUAAAAAGACCUAGUGAAAGCCCUAUGAAAAAUUAGAUGCAAUUACACAAACAACAAACAACAAGGCAAAACGGCAAUUCAUUAUCCAUUGACAAACAACAAGGUAGCAAUGAAACAAGAAACAAGGUAAACAUUCCGAUAGAAAUAAGAGGCAGCUUGGGUCAGUGAGGCACUUACACUUCAGAUAAAAUUGGAAGGCAACAAGAGGAAGCAGGGGUUAGCGAACCGCAUCAAAGUUCAGUAAGGUCCACAAGAGGUUAGCAAGGCUUGGCUCAACAAGGGGUGGCAAGGGCCAGCAAAGGUUUUGUGGGCAGAGGGAUUCUAAAAGAUUGAAAAUUUGGGGAAAAAAUCAAGCGGCAAGGCUGCCAGGUUAAUUAGGUGUUAUUACUGCUUUAAAAUUAAAAAGGUAAAAGUAUUAAUUUUUAACAAAGAAAAUCAUAAUAUAUCAUAUAUUAAUGUAUAAUGUAUAAUUUUAUAUUAACUAUAUAUGAACCAUUAGCAAUAAACUAUACUAUAUAAAUUAUAAACAUAAUUAUACAUAAUAUUUUAUAUAUGUAUUAAAUUAAUAUUUAUAAAUAAUCAUAAUAUAUUAUAUAUUAAUGUUUUAUAUAUAUUAAUAUAUAUUAUAUAUAUUAUUUUGUUGAUUAUAUAAUAUAUUGUUUAUGAAUUAUUAUUAAUUAAAUAUAUUAUUUUGUAAAAUAUAACUUGGUUAAUUAUAUAACAAUAUCUAAAUUAAGUUACUAUAAGUAAGUUAUAUGUAUGUAUCUAUAUAUAUAUAUAUAUAUAUAUAUAUUUCAUAACCACAUAUAUAGUUUUCUUUUAUGCAAUAUAUAUAAAUAAUGAUAAUAUUAAUAAAUUAUUCUUAUAUAUAUAGUCUAUAACUUAUUUAUAUAAUUAAUAUAAUUCAACGAUUUAAUGAUAUAUAUAUAUAUAUAUAUAUAUAUGUAUGUAGGUAUGUAUACAUACAUACAUGCAUUUGUUACAUAUGUAUGUAUGUAUGUAUAUAUAUAUUUCAUAAAAACACACAUAUAUAGUCUUCUUUUAUGAAAUAUAUAUAAAUAAUAAUAAUAUUAAUAUAUUGUUCUUAUAUAUAUAGUUUAUUCUUUUAGGAAAGUUUAUAAUUACUCUAUAUAUAUAGUUUAUUACUUAUUACUAACUAAGUAUAAUUUUUUGUAAAAUAUAACUUACUUAUAGUUAAUAUAAUUAAUCGAUCUAAUGAUAUAUAUGUAUGUAUAUAUAUAUAUAUAUUUCAUAAACACACAUAUAUAGUCUUCUUUUAUGAAAUAUAUAUCAAUAAUAAUAGUAUUCAUAUGAAUCUUCUAUAGAUAAUCUAUUAUUUUAUGAAAGUUUAUAAUUACUAUAUAUAUAUAUAUCUUAAUUAUGUACAAUAAUUUAGUCCCUUCUUAUUUAUUUAUGAUAUAUAGUAUAUAUGUAUGUGAUAUAUAUAUAAUUUAAUAAAUUAUUAUUCUUUUAUGAAAAUAUAUAANGUUUAUAUAUAUAAAUAUAUAUAGAUAUAUAUAUUACUUAUUAAUUUAUAAUAUAUCAUAAUGAUAAUUUUGAAGUUAUAAGUAACAAAGAAUCUAUUUAUGUAGAUGGAAAGUUUAACCAAAUGUCAAUAAUUAAAUAAAAUUAUUUAAUAUUUAUAAUUUAUUAACAAUUAAUUUAUUUCUAAAUGAAAUUUACUAUGGAUGAAUCAUUGUCAAUAAAUAUGUAAAAAAUUUAUAUAUGUAUGCAUACAUAUAUAAAUGUAGUCAAAGAUUAAUAUUUAUAUACAAUCAUAAUUAAUGGAGACAAACAAUAAAUACAAAUAAAUAAAUAAGAAUUUAUUGAAUGAUAUUUUUAAUAAAAAUAAAACAUAUAAAAAAAGUCAAUUCCGACAGAAUAUUCCUCCAAAAAAUUCUGUUGGAAAAUUUGGUGGGAUUAAAUGUUUUGGCACCUAAAAUAUUUCCAACCGAUUUCCAACGAGAUAAGUUCCGUCAGAAAUUUUUGUCGAAAAUCUGUAGGAAAUUCAAUUGGAAAUUUUGGAAGUAGAUUUUUUUUGGCGCAAAAUAUUUUUCUAAUGGAUUUCUAAAAUCUAUCUAAAAUUCAUUAGAAAUCCGUUGGAAAAUAUCAAAAUUUAUUCCGUUGGUAAUUCGUUGGAAUUGCUAAUAAAAUUUUUCUAAUGGAAUUUUUUUCAUUGGAAUAAGCAAAAGUUUUUGUAGAAAACAAUAUUCAUAUUUAACAAAAGUUAAAGGCAACAAGAUAACUAAGUUCUCAUCAUUGGAUAUGGAAAAUCAUCAAAAACUUGGCAUUACAAAACUCUAGCUAUAACUCCAAAAACCAAAACACUACAUAAGCUUAAAAACAUAAAUGAACAAAAACAUAAAUCAAAAGAUAAAACCAUAACUAAAAAAUCAAACCUCCCCUCGAAAACUUAAAUCAAGCAUUGUCCUUAAUGUUUAAAAUAGAAAAAGAAAAAGAUAAGUAAAACUCCACUAACAAUGGUAGUAAUGCAGAAAGAGCUCUAUUCUCCUUUUUUUGUCCUCACCAUUGUCACUUAUGCUUGUGGGAGGAUCUAAUAAGGUAACAAAAUCUAAAUGAGAAAAAAAUAAAAAAAUCAAUGUGAAAAAUCUAAAAAAAUAAAAAAGUAACUUCAAAGAAAAAAAAGUAAGAGUUUCAAAAGCUUAGGUUGCCAACAAAGAAGCAUUUCUUUAUAGUUAAUAGCUUGACUAUGGCACCCCUUUUCUCACAACUUCAUCCAUGAAAUAAUUUUUGAGGCAUAGUCCAUUAACCAUAAAUGCAUCAGUAACCUUACUAUCAAUCUCUAUUAUACCACAAUGAUAGACCUUAACCACUUUGAAGUGACCCAACCAUCUUAAUUUGCAUUUCCAUGGAAAAAGCUUGAAGCAAGAAUUAGAAAAUAACACUUGUUGUCCAAUUUCAAAACUUAUUAUUGCAAGAUAUUCCUUGUCAAAAUGCUCUUUAGCCAACUCAUUAACUGAAUCUAAUGUAUAGCAACUAUCUGCAUAGGGAUACUUAAUUGCAUUGAAUAAAUUAAACACUAAUUCCUUGUUUCCAACUUUUAAAGUCAUCUUGCCAUUCUUCACAUCUAUGAUUGCUCCUGUUGUAGCUAAGAAUGGUCAUCCUAAAAUAAGAGGAAUUUCAACAUCAUUUUCAUCUCGAGCACAAUAAAGUUUACCAGAACGUAGAGUUUCCCAAUUUUCACCAAAACAUCCUCUAUAAUCCCUAUGGAAGCGAUUGAUCUAUCUGCUAACUACAAAGAAAUUGUAGUAUGUUGUAUCUCCUUAAGUCUAAGUUUCUUGGCCACAGACAAAGGCAUAAGUGAAACACUAGCACCCAAAUCACACAAAGCUUUAGAAAAUUCAACUUUACCAAUAAUACAAGAAAUAGAAAAACUCCUCAGAUCCUUAAGCUUGGGUGGGAGCUUGUUUUGGAUUAUAGUACUACACUUUUUAGGAAGUGCAACUAUUUCAAAAUCUUUUAAUUUCCUUUUCUCAGAUAUGAUCUCUUUAAGGAACUUCACAUAAGAAAGUAUUUGUGCCAAAGCAUUUCUUUUGCUUGAAGACAUUUAAGAACUUCUUAAAUUGCUUGUCCAAUUUCUUUUGCUUCAAUGCUAGAGGAAAAGGAAUGAAAAGCACAUAUGUCUUGACUUGUGGUGAUGUGGAUACUUUCUCCCCUUGCUAACUUUAUCAACUUAAACUUGCUUGCUAGAAGUAUCCUCUAGAUAAACUUUAUCUCCACCAUCUAUAACUUCCUUACCUUUUACCUAAUCAAGCUGUUUACUACUCCUUAAAGUAAUCGCAUUGCAUUUUUGUUUUCCUUCUCUUCUAGGAUUUGGUUCGAUGUCACUUGGUAAAGGUCCCUGAAGUUUAUUAUUGAAGGCAUUGGCAAGUUGACCCAUUUCUUUCUCAAAAGUUUUGAGUGAUGCUGCUUGACUUUGAAUGUAAAAAUCAAUCUUAUCCAUGUAUUGCAUGAAUAACUCUUUCACAGAUGGCUUUUUCUCAAGCAGAAGAGCUUUAGCUUGUGGUGGAAAGCCAAGAGGAAAGUUUAGCUUAAGUGCUAAUAAAGAUUUUUUGUUGUUGCUUCAAGAGAAAUUAAGAUAAUUUCUCCAACCAAGAUUAUAGUUGUUGGAAUAAGGAUUAUUUUGUUGUCUAUUAAUCUUCCCAACAAACUGUACAAAUUCAGCAUUGACUGGACAAUGAUCACUGGAAUGCCUAUCUCUAGAUAACUCACAUGUCACGAAAGGACUCUAAAUAGCAUGGACACCUAAUGUAUCAAUUUUCUUGGUAAGAGUAAGCAUUUGUGUAGUCAAGGCAUUAAUUGCAUCAAGCUCAUGAAUACCAACAACUUUUCUUAGACCCAAUCUCUCAAAUGACCAUUGGUAAUUGUUAAAAGCUAUCUCUUCUUACAAGUCAUAAGCCUCAUCAAUAAAUUUACCUAUUAGUGCCCCUCUUGUUGUAGCAUCAAUGGUGGUUUUAGUUGGUCCCAACAAACCAUUGUAGAAAGUUUUUACUUAUAGUCAUUUAGCUAACCAUGGUGAAGACAUCUUCUACGUAAAUCCUUAUGCCUCUCCCAAGCCUCAUAUAGUGAUUCCAAAUCACAUUUCAUAAAGCAGGUGAUAUCAUUCUGCAUCUUUGUUGUCUUAGUUGAUGGAAAGAACUUAGUUAAGAAUUUUUUAGCCAAAUUAUCCCAAGUACUAAUCGAACUAGUUGGAAGUGAUUCAACCAACUCUUUGCCUUAUCUCUCAUUAAAAAUGGGAAGAGCCUCAAUCGAAUGGCAUCAUCAUAAAUGCCAUUGGCCAUGAAUGCAUCACAAAUCUCUAGAAAAUUAACAAUAUGUGCAUUAAGAUCAUCAUUUGGUAAUCCCCCAAACUAAAUUGAAGUCUAAAUCAUUUGAAUGAUUGUUGGCUUAAUCUCAAAGUUUUUAGGUUGGAUAGUAGGUCUAUGGAUGUUAGAAUGAAGGCCUUGUAUGAGAGGUACAGCAUAUUCUCGAAAGGACUUGUUUUGUUCUUGAUCAACCAUUACUUCGCGUUGAGUCAAAACUUGUUGAUUCUCCCUCUGAAGUCUUCGAAAAGUAAUUUCAAUUUUCAGAUCAAAAGGAACAAAUUCCAAAUCUCUGACUCUUCGCAUAUAAUGACCAGAAGUACUUGAAAACAAAAAAAAAAGAAAGUUUGAAUUAAGACUAAGAUUACUUGGUGUUAAAAUUAACAAAAAUUAUGAAAAUAAUUCCUCGACAAUAGUGCCAAAAACAUGUGUCAUUAACAAGUAAUAUAAUAAAGAGUAGAGUAUCGCUCCCAUGAGGAAUUGCACCAAAAUUUUGCUAAGUGCUAAAAUUACCACAGCUUAAUCUUAUUCAAACAAUCAAAUUUAAACUUACUUAAAACUAAAACUAAUAACAAGAAUAGUAAUUUAAAGUAUAAAAACCAAUCAAACAAAGUAUAAAACCACAAUAUCCACUUUACAUUUCCCUUGAAUCUUUUUUACUCUCUUUACUUAUAAACAACUGAGUUGUUAACCUAGAGCUCUAAUGUAUUUAUAAGUCUCUUUCAAUGUUCUUAUAAAAAUAUCUUUCUCAACCAAUCUACUAUAUACCUAUGCAAAUUGCAAUUAAGAAAAACUCAUUAAGCUUAGACUCUAAAUUGGCUACAUAUGACUUGUAAGUGUAUUCCUAUUCUACAUUUGAAUCAAAUCAAUCAUCUCAUGCAAUUAAAAUUGAACAUAUGCUAUUUCAUCCGGGGCUUACACUAAACUCCAUUUUCCAAUUUUAUUUAGGUUACCCUACCAAUCUAAUUGGUGAUCAGACAAUCAGACGCAUUAAUCACAAGAUUGAAAAUAAACAACUCAAACACUAUUAAUCAUAAGCAAGAAAGAGUAUUAAAAAUUUAAACUACAUGUUAGGUUUAAUUGCAAUUCUAGAUAAGAAAUUUAGUUCCUCAUAACUACUAAAAACAUCAUUCAAAAAAGUUUAACCAUCAACACAAAACAAGGGAAGUAUAAGAAGAACUAAAGAAGAAAAAAGAACUAAGAUUUUUCAGGUCUUCGGUCUUCAAUCUUCAAGAGUUUUUCCUCGCUUUCUUGCUUGCUUGAUAGCUCUUUUUCUUCAAAGAAAAUCUAUCUUAAUUGUUUUCUUCAAGUGCUCUCAACGAUUCUUUAAAUAAGCCUCGAAAUCCUACUUGAAAUAGAAGUUCAAAAUUGUUGCAUGGAGAAGUUAUUGUGUUAAUGCUGCAAUGCCAUUCCCUUGGUGUCGUGGCAACGAGUUCUUUUUUUAUUUUUUCUCCUCUUUGCCUUCGACACCACAGCCUCCAUCCUUGGGCAUUGUGGCACCUAACAUUCUAUUUAGUUGUUAGUGUUCCUCUCUUCACAAUGCCACGAUGCCCAUUCAGCCAUGGCCGUAGCACCCGAUGUUCUAUUUUUUAGUCUAAAUUUUGCUUUCUUUCUCCGAUUUGAACUCCUUCAAACAAGCACCUACAAAAAGCACAAAACCACAUCAUUAUUCUCAUUAAAAGAGACCUAAAUCAACCUAAAUUCAACAAAAAUAAAACUAAUUAACCAACUUAAAAAAACUCCUAAAACGAGACUAAUUCAUAUCAAAACUCAAAGACUUAACUGAUUUUAAUGCUUAAAAAGUGACAAGAUAACUCUAUAUCAUAGAGUUAUCAACUCCUAGCAAAAAUAUUUCUUUUUUGUUGAAGAAAAGAAAGAAAAGAGAACUUGGCUCAAGCCCGCGGGAAGGAAAAUGAAGGCAAAGCUCAAUGAGAUCUAGUUACGCUAGACCCACUCUAUUGCCAUUGGAUCCAAUGUUAGGCUUGGGUUUGCUUGGUGUGAAUUUCACUUGGGUUAUUCUUGCUUGUUAUGUCCAUUUGGGCUUGAAUUUACUGUUUGCACAUUUUCAUGUUAGUUAUUUAGUUUUGUUAGUUGUGUUGAUUAGCAUAAAAUGUAGGAAUGAAAAUAAAAUAUAUACUUGAAAAAAUAUGCAUAAUGUUAUUAGAUUAAUGUAUUAGAAAAAGACAAAUUUUACAAAAGAUAUAAAUAUAAAAGAAAUAUGACAAAAUAAAAAAUUUUAAAAAUUGUGUUAUUUGAGAUAAUUUGAUGAUGGAACUUUGCCCGGGAAUGUGAAGAGUCGCAUUUCUAGGUUAACUUCCCUAGGUGAGGAAUUUAAUUAGGAUUUCCCCAAAGUGUUGGGAUCAUCCUAAUUUUAUAUUCCAAAACUUCAUUAAUUCAAAUAAUCAUUUUAAAAUCUAGUAAACAUAAAAGGUAUACAAUUAAAGCAAAAUAUCAAUUUUACAAUCACAAGGUUAUAAAUCAAACAUUCGAUUUAUUGAUGUAUCCAUUUUGCAUCAUCCAUGAUUUUGCGUCGCAUACGAGUCAAUUACUUUGAAAUUGGGUAUAAAACUCUCGAUGAUGGGACUUUCUCAAGAAACUUGUGGAGACGAGUUUUUUCAAGAAUUUCCCUAGGUGAAGAAAAACUUCUAGACUUUACCAAAGCAUUGGGCAGGGCUUUGAAUAAUUCUUUCGAGACAAGGUUUUUUCCCAUUAUUUAAAAUUGAAAAAUCAUGUUAUCAGUUCAUGGUUGCAUCAUGUACAUUAAUAAUGUAUAUUCGAUUCGUGAACGACAACAUUUAACGAUGGGAUCCUUUUUGGGAGGCUUGUAGAGAUGAGCUUUUUGAAGAAAUUCCCUAAGUGAUGACAAAUUCUUGAACUCCACUAAAGAGUUGGGAUGGUCUUGGAAAACUUAUCCGAGAUGAAGAUUUCAUUCACGUAUCGAUAAAAAUAUCAUAAAAAUAAUUUAAUAAAAAAAGAAAAAAAUAAAAUAUAUAAAAUCCAAAUUGAAAAUCAACAUAGUCAAGAGUUACUAAAACUUGAUGACGGAGCCUCCUUGAGGGGAUAAAUGAGUCUUCUCAAACGUUCUUGAGGUGAGGAGGAUUUCGAAAACCCCUCCUAGAGCAUUGGAAGGGUCCAAGAAAGGUCUCCAACAUCUAAUAAUAAAUAAGAAAAUAAAAUAAAUGGUAACUAAGGAAUUAAGAAUUUAAUUAAGUUUAAAAUCGAUAAUUAAGGCUAAAAUAGGAUAACAAGUGAUAAAUUGGUACCGUUCUUUGAACAAGUGUCAUAAGUGUUAAUCCUUCCUCAUGCAUAACCGUAUUCUCGAACCCAAUCCCAAAUCACGUAGACCAAACUUCAUUCUUUUUAACGAGCCUAAUACAAAAAGGAAUAGACUUUAUUAUAUGGCCAACUACACCUAAAUAAAAAAGAUUGGUGGUGGCCCCAUUUUACGUUGAGCAAUCAAAUUCUCAAACCCACACAUUAUAACAAUAGUUUGGCAUUGUAAUGUAUUACUAAUGUAAAAUUUUGUGUUAAUAAAGAUGCCAACCUGAUAAGGUUCUUUUUAAUUAUUUAUCAUAUCUAGAAUCAGGGUCAAGUUCUGAUUUAAUUAAAGACAAGGAUUUAUGAGAAUGGAGAGUAGUAGUCCUUUUGUUCAGCUCAUUCAUGCCAAACACACGUACAAAAAAGGAGAAUUUCUCUUGUAAUUUUUUUACUAAAAUUUUACGAUUAUUCUAUCAUAAAAAAGAAUUAUUUAAGGAUUUACCACUUAUAAUAUAUGGACUUCCAUAUAAUAUUUUGGUGAGCUUUACACAAUUCAUGACUGUAAUUGAGUAAUAAAAAUGUAAUAAUUGAAGAAAACAUACGUACCUUAUAAAAAAUAAAAAUGAAAAAAAGAAAUUCAUUUGUUUGUUGGUUCAAUGGUAAGUGCAUUUUAUCCUAAUUGAAAAGUUGGGUUCAAAUCCAAUGAACGUAUAUAAAGAAGAAGAAAAUUUAAGAGUUUUCCAUAUAUAUAAAAAGAAGAAGAAGAAGAAGAUAUAUAUAUAUAUAUAUAUAUAAUAAAUAAAAAGUAAANUUAAAAGAAGAAGAAGAAGAAGAUAUAUAUAUAUAUAUAUAUAUAUAAAUUAAAAAGGUAAAAUAUCACCACCAUCUUAAGUUUUAGUCGAACUUUCAAGUAAGUCUUUUAGUUUUUGAAAUAUACUGUCUACCUCAAAAAUGUAAAUAUCAUUAACAGAGUUUAAAAAAAGAAUAAAAUGUCCUCUUUUUAUUAAUUUUAAAAACUAUUAUUAUAUUUUUUAAAAAAUUAAAAAAAAGGAGCAUCGAUUGGUGCUUCCCAACUCCCCAAUCGAGGAGCACCAAAUCGGUGCUCCCUUUGGGAGCCCGAUGGAGGCUUCCAAGGAAGCUCCGGUGCUUUUCAGAUAGGGAGUUUUUUGUUUAAUUAAUAAAAAAUAAUAAAAUUAUGUAAUAGUACUUAUAAAAAUUAAUUAAGUGUAAAACUGUCUUUUUACUCUUACCAUGUCAGCAAGUUGACGGAAAUAGUAAUGGUUGACUAAUGGCUGAAUCUACGUGUCUAGCAAAAAAUAUUUUUUUGAGACGUAGUGUCUAUUUAAAAAACGAAUAGACUUCCGUAUAAUUUUGAUCAAAUUUAAAAAGAUAAGGAUAUCUUACCUAAAUUAAAAAUUUAUUAUGCACCAAAUCAAAUUGCAGACAGCUUGGCUAAAACGGACAUGAGAAAAGCAAAAGAAUACAAUCAAAAUUUACAGCACAUCAACAUCUUUCAUCAAAAUUUACCCCCUUAUGUGCAUUCUUUUGCUCUUCUUAUCAUUAAUACAAAGUCAUUGCCUUUAAAAAAACAAAUUUGUCAUGCACAAGCCCAGUGCAUUGAAGGAUAUGAUUGCAAGGAUUAAAAGUUGGAUUGGAUUAAAACUAACUUGUAAACAUAUUAGAUUGAGAAAAAGGCUGAACUUCAAUCAGGGCCAACUGUUUUGAGUUACAAGUUGCAAGUCAGCUCUUUUUACCAAUUUAUUGCUUUAGAUGGACAUAGUCGGUCCAAAGCCCAACGAGACUUUGGUAAUGGCGUCAAUCAAGCAGAAAGCCAGUCUGCCUAGGGCCAAGAGUCGAACUUAAAAUAUCUAUCUAAACACAACUUUUAUCUUCAUCAUUUACUCAAAGAUCAUAUAACUAAGCCUUGCAGUGCAAAGAUGACCUUAAGCGAUGUGACGUAGCAAGCUGAGGGGACCAAGUUAUUCAAAUGGAAUCAAACUUCGUCGAUGUUCUAGUAUGACCCACCGAUGUCAACACCCGAGUAAGACGUUGAGACUAAAGACAUGUUGGCAUAGCGAAGCCUUAUUAAGGAAAUUGAGAAGGCGUCUGACAUCAGAUGGCUCUUCAUUGACAGUUUGAGCAACCUUCUCCACACGCAAGUACAGGCCGACUACAAAAAUCAUAUAUUUGACGAAAUGUUACCAACUUCCACGGCUGAUGAUGAAUUAGGUUUUUCUUCAUAUCUGGUGGGAUCCCAAAAUAAAUGUAUUGAUAUAGACCUUGAUAAGUUUGGCACCACAAUAUUUUGAUUUAAACGACUUAAAGAAAUGGAAUCACAAUCAUGAACACUUAUUGACCUCUGUUUUGUUUUAGCCCAGGUUUUUUUUUUUUUAUCUUGUUUUUCUAUGAAAGUUACAUUCAUAAAUUAAAACUACAACGAAAUUAAAUAAUCUCAAUAAAUAUGAUAUAAUUAUUAAUAUAUUCAAGACUUCCUCUUUGCCAUUGAGAGUUGAGACGAGACCUCACUGAUAACAUUUUCUGUGCUCUUGAAUAAAUAGCAAAUUCGUUUUUCAAAACAAUUGUUAUCCUUUUAAUGAAUCAUUUGCGAGCAGAGGCCGAAGGGAGAGGGGGCUAAGGGCCCCGCCCCCUUUAAAAAUUUUUAAAAUUUUAGAACAUAUUUUUAUUUUUUUAAUUUUAUAACUUUACCUCUACAAAAAUUUUAAGAUUUUUUUAACAUACUCUUUUUUUAAAAAAAAAUUUAUAAUUUUGUCUCUAUAAAAAUUUUAUAAUUUUAUCUCUACAAAUUUUAAAAUUUUUCUAACAUAUUUUUUUAAAAAUUUUUUAUAAUUUUAUCCCUACAAUAAUUUUAUAACAUAUCAUAAUUGAGCACCAUUAUUGAAUUGACUUGUUUUUGGCUGUUAUUGACUCACUUUUGUAAAAAUUGAAUUUCAGAUUUAAUGAGAAUGUGGUGGAAUUAUUCACUUUUGACAUAUCUUUAUACCCUUAGAAUGAUUUUGAAUCAGUUAAUGUUGAAAGUAUUUGCAACCUUGCAAAUAAAUAUUACCUUGAUAACUUUACCGAGUAUGAUAAAAUGCAUAUAAGCUAUAAAUUGAAUUCAUUCAAGCUUGACAUUCUUCAUAAUUUUUUGAAAAAUGUAUUUACACUUUCUAAGUUAUGUCAAGUAUUGAAGAAGAUGAAAAUAUCAAAAGUUUUCUUCAUUGUUGACAAAUUAAUUUGACUUGUCUUAACUCUUCAAAAUUCCAUUGCAACAUCAGAUCGUGCAUUUUUUGUUAUGAAACUCGUUAAGAACGAGACUUGGAAUAGAACACCAAAUGAUUUUUUAAGAAAUUUAUUGAUUAUUUUCAUUAAAAAGGAAAUCAUUUGAGACGUUAACAUCUAUUCAAUAAUAGAUUCCUUCAACUCUAUGAAAGACCGUCGAGCUCAAUUAAAGAUACUCAAUCUUAGCAUGCAAUAGUUGUUAAUGUCUAUUUUAUACUUAGCACGUAAUUGGAGUUAUUUGUGUAAUUUCAUAUGAAUUUUUUUCAAGUUACUUUAUGUUUUUGUCAAACAUUAAACUUCUAGUAUCGCUCCCCAAAUGCGAAAUCCUAAUUCCUCCAUUGGAUGAAAGAGAUUAUAAACCAAAUUUCAUAUAAUAAAUUGUAAACGAAACCUUAUUUCAAUGGUACAGAAGAGGUCUAAAAUCUUUGAAUUUUAAGUUCAAGUUCUAUUAUAUCUAAAUUUCUUGCAACUUUGUGUUGUUUUUCUAUUUCUUUUUGUUUAUUGAUAAUUUUUCCAUUGGAUAUUGUAGACACCCAUUCAAAAUCAACCAAAAUAAAAAAAAUAAUUAAAAAAAAGGAAAGAAAAGAAAACAGAGAGAAGACCGAGCGUGUACUCAGCCCCCCCCCCCUCUCCAAUCUAUCAUUACGGGGCACUUAAGUUCCCUGAAAAACAACAAAAUUUUAAGGAAUAGUUACCUCUGGCAAUUAGCCCCCAUUUAUGCCAGAACCUUGUGAAAUCAUGCUUAGAAGAGCAUGAUUUCAUCGCUGGAUUGUCGAAAUUUUUGGACAAUCCAGCUCUUAAAAAGGGGGCCUUAGACAAAUUUGAAGAGAGGAGAAAAAAAAUCACAACAAAAAAAAAGAAACCAAAACACUCAAAGAAAACCAAAAAUGAAAAAUGGGUUUUUUGGGUUUUGAAAGAGAGUAGGAGAAGGUGCAGUGGUCGGAGUAAAGGAGGAAGAGAGAGGAAGGAAAGAGAGAAGCGGCGCCGAUAGAGAGAGAAAGGAGGAGAUAGGCGUCGGUAAUGGGGAGUUCUGCGAUUGGGAGAAAGAGGAAGAAGGAGAAGGAGAAAGAAAGAAAGAGUGAAGAAGGAAGGGGAGCGGCUGGGAGAGAGAAAAAGAAUGAAAAAGAAAAAAUAAGAAGAAGAAAUAAAGAAAAGAAAAAAGGAAAAAAAAAGAAAAGGAAAAGGAUUUGGGUCAAGGAUUCGAUGGGCUUGCAAAACAGGCUUGAUGUGGCAAGCUUGGGUCUUCUGCGGGCUUGUGGAAACUGGGCCAACCUAGCCCAGUGAGGUAAAACUCUUUCCUUUUGUUUGUGGGCCUUUUAGGUUGGUUUUGAUUCUAGCUCAUUUUGUGUUGAUAAAAUGUAUUGUUGAUUUAAUGUUAAUUAUUUUAGGAAAAGUUAUAAAAAAAUUUUAAAAAUUUUAUUUAUGUUGAUUUUAGUGUUAGAAAAUAAAAAAAUGGAAAGUAAAAAUAAUAAUAAUAAUAAAUAAAUAAAUGAUAAAAAUCAUAAUACAAAUAUAAAAAUUAUAAAAAGUAAAAAUAAAUUAUGAAGAAGAAUAAAGAAAUAAAAAAUAAGAAAAAAAUAUAAUAAUAAAAAGAAGUAGAAAUAAUAAACAAAUAAUAAAUAUACAUUUUUUGAGUAAUUUCACUUAAAAGGGGCAAAGAGUUGCCACUUUUAGGUGGGUCACUUAAAUUUGGAGAUCGAAAUGGAUUUUCAUCGAAGCGUCGGGAUAAAUCAGAACUCUAUACUCUAACACCCAUUAAAUCAAAUAAUUAUUUAGAAAAAAUAUAAAAUGAAAUAAUAAAUAAAAAAAUAACAAAAGAACAAAAAAAUAAAAAAAGCAAAUACCAUGCAUUAAAGAAAAAAUAAUAAUAAACACGUAAACAAGGUAAUAAAUUACCUUAAACUAUUAAACACAUAAUUGGAUGUAUUACGAACCACCUAAAUCUACAAACGUGUGCAUGUAGAUAUCAUCAUUUUCUUCUGUCAUAGCAUGCCACAUUUAUCGUGUAAAUGGGGCAGGAAUUCCAAUGACGGGAUUCCCUUAAAGAGCUUGUAGAGAUGAGUUCUUCCGGGGAUAUAUCUAGGUGAGAAAAAUUUUGAGACUUCACCAAAGCGUUGGGAUGGUCUUCGAAUGAUUUUCCAAUAGAAGAUUGCCGACCCCAUUAUUUAAAAUAAACAAGUCAUGACAUCAUUUUACGCUUGCAUCAUGUGCAUACGUAAAACCGAAUAAAAGACUCAGUUAGCCAAUUUAAUAAAAAAUUAGUUAAUAAGCAUGGAUUAAAUCAAAAGUAGGCUAUAAUAGGAUACUUAAGAUUAAAUGGUACCGUUUGUGGAAAGGGCGCCACGAAGGUGCUAACCCUUCUAAAAAAAAACAUGGAUCAGUUCUUGUUCUCUCGAUGGACCUAAAAUUAAUUUAGGACUUCGUCGAUUAGAAUCGGGUUAAUAAGUGACCAAUCACACCUAAAUAAAAAAGAUUAGUGGCGACUCCCAAAUAUUUUAUUUUCACCUGCGUCUAGCAAUUGGGUUCCCGGACUCGGUACGUUAUGACAGAUAUAUGUUAAAAGUUAUCAAAUAAUUUAAAUUUAAAUUAGUACAGCUAACUUCAUAAAAAGAAAAGAAAAAUAAUGUAUCGAAUUUUAUAUGGUUACAAGAUGAUCAAUCAUCAAUUAACUACUCAUUUUGUACCAAAACAAAGUUAACCACUCAUUCGAGUUAACACCUGUGAAGCUAUAUGUGUGAUUACUUAAGGAAGAAUGGUAUUAGUUAUAGUUCUGAAUAGUUUAGAUUGUGUGAAAAGGAGAAAUUUUCAAUUUGGAAAUUCAAAUCAUCUGUUACUAAACAUAUUCUCUCUCAAUAGCUAAUCAAUACAAAUUACAGAAGCGACAUUGCAAAAGACACUGCUAUUCGCUUGACAAAGACACAACGUUGAACGUGAAGGGCUUUACUGGGGGCGCUGACAGACGAUGACUUGCAAUUCUUCAAGCAAACUGUCACGACCCAAAUUUCGGGCCAUGACUGGCACAUGGGCCCAAUGGACGUAAUCCACUAAGCCCAAGCAAGCCUAUUAAUCUGACAUGUUUAUUAUUCUAUCAUAAACUGCUAAGUCACAUUUCAUAACUUAGAAUAAAAAUAAUACUACACAUUGCCAUCUCAUACUGGCAUACCAAACAAGUGUAUAUACAUUAUCUACAACAUGUAUCUUAACAAUUUACAUUAGGUUCGUCUAUACACAACAAAAUAAUACUCGACUUUCAGCGGAGGGACUCGGACGAAUGUACAGCUACUGAAUGCUUAGACACCUACCAAAAGAUGGAUACAAGUCUACAAGGACACCUCGUCCUAGUUACCGACUGCCUCGUGAUCUGAAAAUAUGAAGUUGAAAACGGUGAGUAUAAACCCAGUGAGUGAACAAGGAAGGGAACAAGCAACAACAAGGGAAAAUUUAAAAUCAUGAUGCACUUGUUUCAAAACAAUGCAAUUUAGUUCCAUUAAUAUUAAAAACCCCUAAUUAAGCCCUUUUAUGAUUAAUCAUUUGAAAAUCAUGAACCCGUACAUAACGAACCAUUUGAAGAAUGAAAGCUUCAAUGAUACGCGAGGAAGUCAAAUACGUCAAUGAAUCUUCGCUGCAGCGACGUUGGGAUUAAGUUAUUAGUCGAACGAGGGUUUCUCAACUGACAGAGGGUUUCUCAGUAAACCUCUUCAUUUUAAAGUUAACUCAUUUAGUCUUUAAUGUUGGAAGUCCAUGCUCAGAUAUGGUAGCAAAGAAAUGAAAAAUAGGGCAACAAUUGGAUAAGAUAAGAGACAAAAAUAGAAAGUUUUUCGCUGCAGCGAAAUUGUAACCCAGAAACAGAAAGUUUCUAGUUGCAACGAGAUUCAAUCUCGCUACAGUGAAAUUGCAACCCAGAAACAGAAAGUUUCUCACUGCAGCAAGAAUGAAUUUCGCUGCAGCGAGAAGCUACAGUAUCAUUCUUGCUCCAGCGAAAAUGCAUUCUCACUGCAGCGAGUUUUUGGCCAGUCUACCCCUCAAAACUUGAGAGUUUCUUGCUGCAGCGAAAAUGAUUCUCGCUACAGCGAGAAACAGGGCACCAAUGAAAAAUUUACCCUUCUUCUCAAAGAAAAACCACCCUGCUGAAAUGUCCAAACCAACAUGAAACGCAUAACAAUUUUCCACAAUUUAACAUGUCAAGUUUCACAUGCAUUAUAACCAUAUACCAUUACUCAUUAAUUUCCUAUAUCAUACAUAUUUACAUAUGUAUAUAUGUAUACGUAUACCCAUCAUCAUCAUGCACACCAUCCCAUCAUCAUCAUCACCAGCUCAUGCACACUCCCUACUCGCACAUGGCUGGGUCAUCACCGGGUUAUGCGCACUCCUUACUCGCACAUAACCGGGUCAUUGUCGGCUUAUGCGCACUCCCUACUCGCACAUAGCCAAGUCAAUGUCAUUACACAACAAUAUAUUCAUAUAUAUAUAUAUCAACACAAUUUGGUAGUGCAUGAAUUAAUAAUAGUCACAUGUCACAACAUAAACCAUUUCUCAAGAGCUUGUUCCUAAAGCACUCAUUUUUAAGAAAAGUUGUAUAAAAUCAUUCAAACACUUUGUACAAAACAGUUACAUUCUUAAAAUAGUUUUGAUAGGCAGUCCACUCACCGAUUUAUUGUUGAGCCUUUAGCUUACUCUAAUUCCCUUAAUGAUCCAAUUGGAAGGAUAGGACUUCAUUAGAACCUAGGAUCACAUUAGCAUAAGUAAUAGGUUAAUUCACACACUAUGAACCUUAAAAGCUAUCUCUUAGCUAGCUUUCAAUUGCCACAUUAAAUGGCUAUCUAUGUUCACUAUCUUAAUCACUAAAAAGUAAUAAACAUACUCAACAAUAAAACAGCUCACACUCCCAAUUACUAGCCAUUAUUCAUAGCUAAAAACCAAACUUAAUUCAUCACUUACCCUAGGGUUCCUUUGUAGUUGAAUUCUUUUCCAAUAGCUUCCACACAAAUGGGGUAAUUCUCUCUUUCUCUCUCUAGAAUGCCCAACUAGUGAGAGAAAGUAUGGAAAUAAGAUUUAUCAAGGGUUUUGAAGUGAGAGAGUGAAAGAAUACAAGAGUUCUAGUUAAAAGGGCUCAAAAGUAUGAAAACUAGAGCUAGAGAGAGAAAAUCAUGCAAGCUCCAUAUCAAGCUUCCAUGGAGGUUGGAAGCAACGUGAAAGAGAAGAAGAAGAAGAAGACAAGCUGCUGGAAAAUGGGUGAAGAAGCUGCUGGAAGAAAGAUAUUUAUAGCCAAUCUUAUCCAUUCUUUUAAAAUUACCAAAUUGCCCCUCCACAAAUUAGCUUAUUCUCCUCCAAUCUUUUAUGCAAUCUUUUUGCUCUUUUGACACUAGGACAAGGUCCAUAAUGGUCUAGACAUACUCGGGUUCAUGAAAACUUAAAAUUUUAACCCGAGGUGAAAAAUGACCAUUUUGCCCUUAUCGUGAAAAUCAUCAAAAUUUUUGUUUUCUUUUCAUUUUACCCCUAAUUUCAUCAUCCAUUUAUGCUUUAGGUCUACUUAGGCCAUAAUAUUAUUUAAAAAUCUUACUUUUAUAGGCUUAUUAAGGAAAUGAUGAAAUUACCCCUAAUUAGGGAUAUCGCGUAUACUUCCCUUUACGAGUCUAUAAAGGUCAAGGUCUCACACAAACCUAUCCCUUUCCCAAAACAAUACAAAAUGUCAACUGUCAAACUCCAUAACAUAUCAUCAAGAAUUCAAUGUUACCUAUAUUAAAGAAUGCACAUUUGUCUAACUUAAUACAUAGUGUUGCCUUAAAUUUUAGGUGGAAUAAUCAUAAGAACCGGUGAAAACAAAGUCCUAAUCAUUUUGAUACUGUUUGAAUUGAUUGCAUAACGAAAUAUAGGUGCUUCACGACCGUGCUAUACAAUCAUAAGAACCGGUCAAAACAAGCUCCCAGUCCAACUUAACUUGAACAUGAUUUUUUAGAUUCAAGAUAUUACUACAUUAAUAAUAAUUAUUUUUUAUUUAAUUUAAUUGAAAUAGAUUUUAAAAUAUUAAUAUGAGGAUUUUUUAAAAUAUUCUUAUAAUAAAUAUAUUUUAAAAGGAAUUCAUUAAGUCGAGCUGAGCUCGAUUUUAAAUUUUAUAAAUGUUAACCAAACUUGAUUCAUAUAUAUAUAUAUAUAUAUAUAUAUAUAUAUAUAUAUAUAUAUAUAUAUAUAUAUAUAACGAAAGCUCGAUUGCAAUUUNUGAUUUAAGAUAUAUACUAUAUAUAUAUAUAUAUAUAUAUAUAUAUAUAUAUAAUAUAUAUAUAUAACGAAAGCUCGAUUGCAAUUUGAGGAAUUCUUUUUUUUCCUUUGAUUAUAUUUCAUUAAUGUUUAAGUAGGUGAAGCACCUUAAAUUAUUAUUAAAAGAUUAAAAUAUCUUAAAUAAUGCAUCAUUUAUGUAAGUUAUCAGGGAUUAAACUAGAAUAUAAAACAUAUAGACGUGUAGUAUUUAUAUUUUGGGUAUAAAAGUGAGAGCACUUUGACAAAAUGUGAUUUUUAUUUCAAUCUCACUCCAUCCUUUCAACAUAAACCAAAACAAGAGCUAAUUUAUUUAGCAUUUGCUUGAUUAUAAUCUUUCUUUGUUUAGUUACAUUAUUAAAAAGGACAAAUGUAUAGGAGUAAAAUCAAUAUAUAUAUGUUUAAAACAAACAAAUAAUAAAAAUACAACAUUAUUUUAAAGACAAUUAUGUCAUAUCAAAUUGAAAUCUCUCAUUUUGUUAUAAAAAGAAGUUAAGUGUAUAUUUUUUAAUAAUUCAAAAUAUUAUUUAUCUUAUAUUUGGAUGCACUAUUUAUAUUUGAUUUGUGAAAGUAAAUAAAUAAAUAGUUUAAAUAAGUCUUUAUUUAUGAUUUUUACCUACCUAAGCUCUCAUAUUGAUGGAAAAAUAUCAUUUGACAUGUGACAUUAAUGUUUGUUAGGCUCAAGGUCAACUAACAUCCUUUGUACUUAUUGCAAAUGACUUGAUUUUUUUAUGUGAAUAAAUUAACUAACUAGAAUGGUCAUGUCUUAGGUAAGAAAUGUUAGAUUUUCUUAAAUAAUUAAAGUAUGGAUUUACAUUAUUUAAUUUAUUUAUACUUUUUAUCAAAAUUAGGUUAAGUUAAUUUCAUCAUGGUAAAGAGAUAAUAUUAUAUCCUACAAUAUGAUAUAAUAAAGUUGACUAAGCUUCAAUAUUAUAUGUGGACAUAUUAGUGUAGGCUUGUGAAAGAUAUAUACCUUAAAUCCUGUGAUUAGUGAAACUAGAGAUUCAUUAUAUAUAGGUAAGAUUACAUUUCCUCUCGUGUCUAUGUAUGUAAACAUUAAGAAUCUCACCCAUUGGAGAGUUGUAUGUCAAGGAAGAGGAAGAUCCUAGUGCACUAAAUCUCAACAAUUAAUUUGUGGAGGAUACGAUCAUCUUUUGUGAUGACCACAAUUCAGGGAUGGUGAUAUUAAGAGAACUUUAGUGGUGUUUAAAAUGAUUUUUUGACCUAAAAAUUAAUGAAAACUUCAUUGAUUAUGAUAAAAUUGUCAAAAACGGAUGGGGCAAAUCUUGCUUGAGUAUUUAAAUACAACAUGGAAACUCUCUCUUUCAUUUAGAGAUAGGAUCACUCUCAUCAAAUUUUGCCCAUUCCUCUCCAUCACUGUAUUAUAUAUAUAAAUUUUUAAGGCUUUAAAGGGUGUGAAAAAGAAAAUGGACUCCUUAAGCAAAAAGUUUCUUUGGGGUGGAGAUGAGAAGCACAAAAAAUUAGCAAAAGUUCGAUGGGAAGUUAUUUGCUAACCAAAAAAGUUAAAAGGACUUGAUAUUGCAAGCCAUAGGAAUAAAAAUUUAGCAUGUAGAAGCAAAUGGUGAUGAUGCUUUAGGUGAGAACAUGACUCUUUAUGGAGAAAAUUGAUUGAAGCUAAUUAUGCUAUAAAAAGAAAAGGUGGAUACCAUAUUCAAUUAUUGUAAGAAGGAUGUCAAAAAUAUGGAGGGAUUUUAUUAGAUUGCAAAAUGAAUAGAAGAUGCUGAAUUUCAUUGGAAAUGAGGAAUGUUGUUGGGUGUUUGGAAAAGGAGAUUGUAUACUAUUUUGGCAUAAUGCGCUGGUUGAUGACAAGCCUCUAAAGAUACUAUUUUCAAGGCUAUUUCAAAUUGUGACUAAUAGAAAGGCUAAAGUUUCAAAAUACUGUAGAAAAUACCUAAAAUCUAAGUCAAGAACUAAAUUUUUUGAUGAAAAUAAAAAACUACCUAGGGGAUUAUUUAUAAUAGUCAACCAAACCUAAACCUACUUGAUGUGCAAGUAAAGUAAAUAGCAAAUAAGGAAGUAUUCUAACCUUAGACUUCCUUGGAGUACAAGUAAUGUAAAAAGAAAAUAGGAAUGGAUUACAUAAGGAAAUAUUCCCCCCACAAUAUUCUCUCUUUGAUUUGAAGAUACUCGUAUAUUUCAUAAUAGCCUCCCUCAAGCUACUAUGGCUGACAAGUUUGGACUCCAACAAGCUUGCCAUCAAUAUUGUUCGUAUCCACCUUGUGUGUCCCUUAAGUUGGUGGAGAGUGAACCCUUAUACCAUUUAGCAAUACGUUGAAUGUUUCAACAUAGAAUAUUUGGCAAUAUUCUCAUAAGUAUCUGGCUCAAGAUUUACUUCUUCCAAUCUUGCAUUGUUAGUAAAAGAUACUACGCGAUGUUUAAAGAAUGAAUUUUGAGAAUCCUUAGCAUACAAUUGGUUGAUAGGAGUGGUAGACUUGGUUGAGGAGUUUAUAGUCUUCUCGCAAGUCAUUACAUAAUCUUUAAAUCUUUGUGGCAUUCUUCUUUCCCUUUGUGGCCUUGAGUUCUUAACUAUAAUUUUUCUUUCAAUUACUUCAUUUUUUGUUUCAAGAUCAGAUUUUCUCAUGUUUUCUUCUACCAUCCCAAUUAAGUCUCCUACAUUUUCAUGUUGAUUUUAUGUAUGUAUUGGUUCUUCAAGUUCAAUCAUGGUAGUUGAUGAUUGCAUUUUGGUUAUUUCUGAAUGUUGUACAAUUUUAAAAGAAAAAAAACCUUAAAAAAUAUGAUAUCUCGAGAUUCGAAGAACUUUUUAGUAAUUAGCUCCAAUACCUUAUAACCCUUAUUUUCUGAAACAUAACCUAAGAACACACAUUUUCUAGAUCUUAUAGGAAACUUAUCAUUUGGCUUAGGUUUAACAUAGACAUAACACAAACAUCCAAACACUCUAAGAUGAUCAUAUGAGGAUUUUUCUUUAAAUAAAACCUUAUAUAGAGAUUUUCCAUCAAGUAUUGGUGUGGGUAAGAUAUUUAUCAAAUGUCCUAUUGUCAUUACACAUUCUCCCCAAUAUCUUAAAGGUAGAUUGGCUUGAAAACGAAGUGUUCUUGCAACUUUUAAUAUAUACUUGUGCUUUCUUUCCACCAUCCCAUUUUGUUAAGGUGUAUGUGUGCAACUGGUUUGAUGUAGAAGUCAUUUUUCUAGAAGAUGUCUCUUGAAAUUUCCAUAUUUGAUCUUUGGGGUAUUAUCUGAUUGAAUUGAUUUCACUUGCAUACCAAACUGAGUUUACACCAUUUACAAAAAUUGAUCAAACAAAAAUAGAGCUUAACUUUUAGUUUUCAUUUGGUAUACCCAAGUACUUCUUGAACAAUCAACAAUAGUAAGAAAAUAGUUAGCUCCAAUAUGUGUGCUAGUCUUAUAUGGUUCCCAAGUAUCAACAUGAACUAAUUCAAAUAAGUUUCUUGAUUUAUUUCUAUUAAUAGGAAAUGAUAAUUGAGUUUGUCUAGUCAUGUGACAUGCAUUACAUGAAAAAAGACUUUUAUUCUCAAAUGAAACAUCAAAUAAACCUUUCAAUAUAGCAAAUGGGUUAUGUCUCAAAUUUCUAUGUAGCAAUUCUGGUUGAUUCUUCAAUCUCACAACAUUUGCCCAAAUCUUUUUUUUCUUCAAAAUAGCAGAGCCCCUUUUCCAUUCUACUGGCUCUAAUUAGCCUCUUAGUGACAAGGUCUUGUAAAAUACGUCCAUUCGAAAAAAAAUGCUACUGAACAAUUUAAAUCUUGAACAAUUCUACUAAUUGAAGAUAAGUUGUGGGUGAAAUUUGGUAAGAAAAGAACAUUCUUUAAAACAAUAUUGGGAUUUAGUUGAAUAUUUCCAACACAAUGACCUUGUGACUUUCUUCCAUUUGGUAGUGUAACUUCCAUAGAAGAUUUUUUUAGAUUUUUGCAUUUGAAUAGCUUUGAAUCUGAUACAACAUGAUCAAAUGCCCCAUUGUCCAAAAUCCAAAUUUGAGAACAAGAAAUUUUACUAACAAAGUUGACAAUGUAAUUCCUUAUUUGUCUUUAUCAAGUAUUACCAUCAGUUGAUCAAAUUGAAUUUGAGAUAACCUUAUUGGCUUUAAAACAAUCUGCUGUUGAUUUGCUUAUUGUUGAGAAUGUACAUCUUUUCCUUUGGUUUCAGUGACUGUUGUAUUAAUGGCUAUCUUUACUUGAAAGCUUUUUUUUCCCCCUACCAAUUUAGUGGAUAUCCUACAAUCGCAGAACAAUGUUCUUUUAUGUGACUUGUUUUCUUACAAUGUUCACAUUUUGGCUUGUUGUUUGGAUCUCGAUUCCUUUUUCUAGCAUAUAAUUUGAAUGUUGUUGCCUCUAUAAUUGGUCUUGCCAUUAUCACCUCUUUUGAACUUAAUAGAGAAUAAACAUUUGUUAAAAAUGGUUAUGAAUCCUUAUAGAGAAUAUUCAAUCUUAAAAUAACAUAGGAAUCAUUCAUUCCAAAAUUAGAAACUAAUGCAAUUUUUCUUCUUCUUUUUCCUUAGUCAAGGCCCUACACAUACAACUCCAACAUCCUCAUCUAUGAUACUUGGAAAAACUUUCAAGUUGAUCCCAAAGUUCUUUCAUUUUUAUAUAGUAAGUUGAGAUUGUCAAUUCACCUCAUCUAGUGUUAACUAUUUAUCUUUUUAGUUAUUGAAUUUGAGAUCCAUUUUCUUGUGAAAGCAUAUCUUCUAAACUUUUUAGAUGUCAUAAGUAGUGUCAUGAUAUGCAACACAAAUAUGUAACUCCUCAUUGAGUUGAAUUUAACAACUAUGUUACUACCAUAACAUUACAAGUCAGCCAAUUAUACUAUUCUGAAUCUCAUUCUUCUAGUUUCAGUAAUUUUCCAUCUAUGAAUACCAACUUGUGUUUCGAUCACAAUGCAGUGACAAUAGCUCUCUUCCAUGUUGUAUAGUUAGGCCCCUUUCGUGUAUGGGAUACGAAUAAACUACCUGGUCUAUUAAGAUUACAUAGAUGAUAGUGGUGUGGUUUGUUAUUCAUGAUUUUGGUAGAAGAUUUUGCUUGGGUUUCCAUUGGUUUUCCUACCAUGGAAAAAAAAAAUUUCACAAGAAAGAACAACUAGGCUCUAAUACCAUGUAGAAAAUACCUAAGAUCUAAACAAAAAACCUAAAUUGCUUGAUGAAAAUAAAAAACUUCAUAAGGAGCUAUUUAUAAUAGCUAACUAGUCCUAAACCUACUUGGGAUGCAAGUAAAAUAAAUAACAAAUAAGGAAGUAUUUUGUAAACCCUGACCCUAUAAAUACAUGUCAUGACAUACAUGCACUGAGUAGCAUGUUAUUAUGUUAGGAAAGCACCUAAGAAUAGACGAAACUCGGUAUCGUACCUAAUGGUGCACUUGAGUUGAUUUAACCUCGAACUAGUUCAAAUAGGAAUUAUAGGAUGAAAUUUAAUAUUUUAUAGUCUAGGAAUGACUAAAAAUGAUUGUUCGCAGUUCGAGGGUUCAUUUGGGCUAAAAUUGGAAAUUUUGAUGUUCAGGGGUAAAAUCGUAAUUUUACCACCCGCAAACAAAAUUUGAGAUUUUGAGAGAAUUUAGAUCAAAUUUGACAAAUUGGGUAAUGGUAUGAGUAUAAGGGAUGAAAAAUAUGUCUAUAGGAAAUUUUUCAGUUUUUUGGGCAAAAAUGUAAUUUUUCACUUUUACGGGGGUAAAAGUGUAAAUUUCAAAAAUUACUCCACCAAGACUUUGGAUAAGUCUGAGAAUUUUAUCUAAGCUAUGGAUAUGUGGGACAAGUGUAUGGUGAAAAUUUGGAAACAAAUGGAUGAAAUUUUAAAAAUGGGCCAAUGGGAAAGUGACACAUGGCACUUUUUAAUGAUUUAAUAUUAUUUUAAUGAAAAGUNNNNNNNNNNNNNNNNNNNNNNNNNNNNNNNNNNNNNNNNNNNNNNNNNNNNNNNNNNNNNNNNNNNNNNNNNNNNNNNNNNNNNNNNNNNNNNNNNNNNNNNNNNNNNNNNNNNNNNNNNNNNNNNNNNNNNNNNNNNNNNNNNNNNNNNNNNNNNNNNNNNNNNNNNNNNNNNNNNNNNNNNNNNNNNNNNNNNNNNNNNNNNNNNNNNNNNNNNNNNNNNNNNNNNNNNNNNNNNNNNNNNNNNNNNNNNNNNNNNNNNNNNNNNNNNNNNNNNNNNNNNNNNNNNNNNNNNNNNNNNNNNNNNNNNNNNNNNNNNNNNNNNNNNNNNNNNNNNNNNNNNNNNNNNNNNNNNNNNNNNNNNNNNNNNNNNNNNNNNNNNNNNNNNNNNNNNNNNNNNNNNNNNNNNNNNNNNNNNNNNNNNNNNNNNNNNNNNNNNNNNNNNNNNNNNNNNNNNNNNNNNNNNNNNNNNNNNNNNNNNNNNNNNNNNNNNNNNNNNNNNNNNNNNNNNNNNNNNNNNNNNNNNNNNNNNNNNNNNNNNNNNNNNNNNNNNNNNNNNNNNNNNNNNNNNNNNNNNNNNNNNNNNNNNNNNNNNNNNNNNNNNNNNNNNNNNNNNNNNNNNNNNNNNNNNNNNNNNNNNNNNNNNNNNNNNNNNNNNNNNNNNNNNNNNNNNNNNNNNNNNNNNNNNNNNNNNNNNNNNNNNNNNNNNNNNNNNNNNNNNNNNNNNNNNNNNNNNNNNNNNNNNNNNNNNNNNNNNNNNNNNNNNNNNNNNNNNNNNNNNNNNNNNNNNNNNNNNNNNNNNNNNNNNNNNNNNNNNNNNNNNNNNNNNNNNNNNNNNNNNNNNNNNNNNNNNNNNNNNNNNNNNNNNNNNNNNNNNNNNNNNNNNNNNNNNNNNNNNNNNNNNNNNNNNNNNNNNNNNNNNNNNNNNNNNNNNNNNNNNNNNNNNNNNNNNNNNNNNNNNNNNNNNNNNNNNNNNNNNNNNNNNNNNNNNNNNNNNNNNNNNNNNNNNNNNNNNNNNNNNNNNNNNNNNNNNNNNNNNNNNNNNNNNNNNNNNNNNNNNNNNNNNNNNNNNNNNNNNNNNNNNNNNNNNNNNNNNNNNNNNNNNNNNNNNNNNNNNNNNNNNNNNNNNNNNNNNNNNNNNNNNNNNNNNNNNNNNNNNNNNNNNNNNNNNNNNNNNNNNNNNNNNNNNNNNNNNNNNNNNNNNNNNNNNNNNNNNNNNNNNNNNNNNNNNNNNNNNNNNNNNNNNNNNNNNNNNNNNNNNNNNNNNNNNNNNNNNNNNNNNNNNNNNNNNNNNNNNNNNNNNNNNNNNNNNNNNNNNNNNNNNNNNNNNNNNNNNNNNNNNNNNNNNNNNNNNNNNNNNNNNNNNNNNNNNNNNNNNNNNNNNNNNNNNNNNNNNNNNNNNNNNNNNNNNNNNNNNNNNNNNNNNNNGUUAUAAGCCUUGACAACUGUUUUGGUAAAUUACAAAUGUUUUAUGGUUUAAGAAAGAAAUUGAAAACCUUAUGAAAUGGUUUGUGAUUUGUUGUUUAAACUUGCCUCCAUUUUACUCGCCUUUAGAUAUUUAUGAUAAUGUCUGUUUACUCAUUGGGAUUGCAAAAUCUCACCCACCUCAUUUCCAAACAUUUCAGGCCUGUGGUAGCUUGUAGAUAUCCGAUUUUGUCGAGGAUUCCAGUUGACCCCUCUAUCCCACAGACAAUAAGUUACUAUCACCAAUACUGGGUGUAUUUAUGGGCCACUUGUCAUUGUAAUUAUUAUUGUACAGUUUAACUUUGUAAAUUAUUCUAUGUAUGAAUUUAUUUUAUUCUCACGCUACAAAAUUUAUUUGUGUAUAGUUCUAUAAAAAUUGUUUUAUAAGAAAAUGAAAUAUAUUAUCAAAUAUUUUUAUAUAGUUUAAUUAGCCAACUUUUCACUCUAAAUGAAUGAUUUAUAUUACAAAAAUUUAUUUUUAAUCGACAGUGGAUAUUUUUCUACCAUAUGUUGUAUCUUUAUCAGGUUUCGAAAUUUUUUGAUAAAAAUGACCAGAAUACCCCUAUGUGGCGAAAAUUUUAUUUUUAUUGUUUUCGAUCUAAAAUAGUUUAUAUUUUCUUAAAACUCGAUAUUUAACAACGAUUGCUCACAAGAAAGGCAAGAAAUUGAUUCGUUAGCCUUGCGGGGUUCCGAUUGGUAUUCUGGAUAAUGAGUGUCAAUCGGGACAUCGCGGCAGUUGUCAUGGGCCCGAGGGAGGUUCCGGGUCGUGACAUAUUUUAAGCUUAGACUUUUUUGGAAUACAAGUAAAGUAAAAAGAAAAUAAGAAAAGAUUACAAAAGAAAAUAUUCUCCCCAAGAUAUUCACUUUUGGUUUUAGGAUACCUAUAUAUUUUGUAAUGAAUACUUUGUUUAAAAUUUGUACGAAACACCAAAAUGGCAUAUAAGAUUUCGAUGAGAGUUGUUCAAUAAGGAAAAAGAAGCAUUUCACUCUAAUUAAUAUUAAUGUGGUGUAAAUAAUUAGAAGUACGUAGGAUAAAUUGGUAUAGAUAUUUAUGCUAAAAGAGAGUUCUUGAUUUAAAAAACCAUUGUAGCCUUUAUGUUUGAAAGGUGUAUGUCCAAUGUUUCAUUUGGAUGGCUUUCUUUUGUUUUGUGUUUUUUUUUUUAAAGUAUAGAGCUUUUAUUAAUGAAUAAAAGCUCAAAGAAAGCUAAGAAGAUCUUUAGCUUAGGCUUAUUAUGUACAAGUACGGAAAAAAAAACUCAUUAUUUCUUAAAAGUACUAGAAUUUGGGAUGUUUAGCCCCACUGAUGAUUGAAUUGUACUAAAAGAAUUACGACUCUAUCUUGUUUGAAUCUUUUACCUAAAUUUAAGUCAUGCAUUCCUCUUUUACUACAUCCAAAUCCAUGUUGAUACAUUAUAUGGUAGUCUGUGGUUUAUGGAUAAGAACGAUAAUUUAAAACUCUAUGUUCCAUGUUGCAUUAGGUUGCAUGAUUCAAUCUAGCACCAAGCCUAUUAUCUGUUGCUGCACCAUUUGGAAGUGCCUAUCUUUGCACGUUGUAUAUGGGUAAUCCUCAUUCCAUGUGGCAAAUAAUUUAAAGACUGGAAAUUCUGUGCUACAUUAUUUCCACCUAAUCUUCAUAAUUGCACCAAAUUACCACAUUUAAUCUAGCACCAAUCUUAUUAAUGAUUGCUGCCCUGUUUGAAAGUUCCUGUAUUUUCAUAUUGCAUUUAACUAAUCCUUAUUUCACCUUCCAAAUUAUUUUAAAGUCUCCAAAAUUCAUGCUACAACUUUUCAUCCAAUUUAAAACUCACCCAAUAUCUAGCCUUUACCACUUACAUCCUUUACAUAUGAGCCUCUUCAAUUUAUUUGGUAAUUUUUAGCACUUCAAGAAUUACCUACACCCUUCAUUAUUGCACACCAAUUAAGGCCUUACUGUUCACUAGAAUUCUUCACUCUUGUCACCAUUUUUGAAAUUAUUCACUAGUCGUCUGAGUAAUGUAGAGGUAUAUUACUCUAGCUCUGAAAUUGUCACUUGUGGGUUAAAGGUUUGUAAUAAGUCCAUUUCUUUAUAAAACUAGCCUCUCCAAGUUAGUCCUGUGAAAUUCUACCUUAAGUAAGAGGAUAAAUUGAGAAAUCCUUAGGUGAGCAUGUAGGUUUAUUGUUUUGGAACAUUUAAAAUUUUAGUUUUUAACUUUAGAAAAGUUCAUUUUUGAUAUAUAAAGAUGAUUUACAAAGUGAAUUGGAGUCCAAAUGAACUAGUUUUCAAACUUGUUUUUGGCUACAAAAGCAAAACUAUCGAUACAUGGCCUAAACGUAUUGAUAGAUUUGUCCAAAAAGCUUUUUAAAAGGAUUUCAAUGAACAUUUAUCGAUACAUGUCCAAUUGUAUCAAUAGAAAUUUUUAAGGAUCAAAUGUAUUGAUACAUGACCCAAAUGUAUUGAUACAUCUAGUCGUUUUUCAAAAUAAUAAGAGGUAAGAUCAUAUUUUCACGCCCUCAACUAUAAAUAGGUAAUUUUUUAGGUUUUUUCAUUCUCAACUGUUUGCAUUAGCUUUUCUUUCAACUCUAAGCUCCCUUAACCCUUUUUCAUCUCAAAUCAUCAAUUUGCAAAUAUUGAAGCUUGGUUUGAAGGUUUAUAAACGAAGGUGAUAUUUUCUAACCUUAAACUUUUAGAUUAUAAUUUUUCCAGAACUGAAAAAAAUAUUGUUUAGGUGCCUAGAUUUAUUGUUGAAUAUUAAAGCGCAACAGUUUUUAUUUUCCUUAGCAUCUAAGCUCACCUAAGAUAAGGAUGGAGGAUUUAUAGGUUUCUAAGCAUUUAUUAUGUUGAGUAGCACUGGGUUUAAGCGAGAAAAUUAGAUUUAGAUGAAUCCAAUUAGUUUCGAAAAUGCUUAAAAUGACUAUUAGAAUACUAUUAGUCUAAAAAUUUGAUUGUGAUAAUUAUUGAAUGUUAAGAACGGUUGAAAACUCCAAGAAAUUCACCAGAGAGGAGUCUUUGUCACGACCCUAAUUCUGGGCGAUGACCGAGACAUGGGCCCAAUGGACAUAGUCCACUAAGCCUCAGCAAGCCUAUUAAUCUAACAUGUUCAUCAUUCCAUCAUAAACUGCUAAGUCAUAUUUCAUAACUUAGAAUCAAAAUAAUACUACACAUUGCCAUCUCAUACUAGCAUACCAAACAAGUGUAUAUACAUUGUCUACAACAUGUGUCUUAACAAUUUACAUUAGAUUCGUCUAUACACAACAAAAUAAUACUCGACUUCCAAAGGAGGGACUCGGACAAAUGUACAGCUACUAAAUGUCGAGACACCUACCAAAAGAUGGAUACAAGUCUAUAAGGACACCUCGUCCUAGUUACCGGCUGCCUUGUGAUAUGAAAACAUGAAAUUGAAAACGGUGAGUAUAAACCCAGUGAGUGAACAAGGAAGGGAACAAGCAACAACAAGGGAGAAUUUAAAAUCUUGAUGCACUUGUUUCAAAAUAAUGCAAUUUAUUUCCAUUCAUAUUAAAAACCCCUCAUCAAGCCCUUAAAUGAUUAAUCAUUUGAGAAUCAUGAACCCAUACAUAACGAACCAUUUGAAGCGUGAAAGCUUCAAUGAUAUGCAAGCAAGUCAAAUACGACAACGAAUCUUCGCUGUAGUGGAAAGGCAUUUUUGCUGCAGCUACAUGAAUUUUCACUGCAGCGACGUUGGGAUUUAGUUAUUAACCGAACGAGGGUUUCUCAACCAGUCGAGGGUUUCUCACUAAACAUCCUCAUUUUAAACUUAACUCAUUUAGUCCUUAAUGUUGGAAGUCCAUGCUCAUAUAUGAUAGCAAAGAAAUGAAAAAUAGGGCAGCAAUUGGACAAGAUAGGAGACAAAACAGAAAGUUUUUCGCUGUAGCGAGAACCAGUUCUGGUGAAGGCUUUUAAACUCGAGAGUUUCUCACUGUAGCGAGAAUCAUUCUCCCUACAGCGAGAUACAGGGCACCAAUGUAAAAUUUCCCUUUCUCCCAAAGAAAACCACCCUGCUGAAAUAUUCAAAACCAAUAAGAAAUACAUAACAACUUCCCAAAGUUUAACAUACCGAAUUUCACAUACAUUACAUCCAUAUACAUAAUUCAUAAAUUUCUUAUAACACACAUGUUUACAUAUGUAUACAUAAAUACGUGUACCCAUCAUCAUCAUGCACACCAUCCCAUCAUCAUCAUCAUCAGCUCAUACGCACUCCCUACUUGCACAUGGCUGGGUCAUCACCGGGUUAUGCGCACUCCCUACUCACACAUAGCUGGGUCAUCCUUGACUUAUGCACACUCCCUACUCGCACAUAGCCGAGUCAAUGUCAUUACACAGCAAUAUAUUCAUAUAUAUAUAUAUAUAUAUAUAUAUAUAUAUAUAUAUAUAUAUAUANNNNNNNNNNNNNNNNNNNNNNNNNNNNNNNNNNNNNNNNNNNNNNNNNNNNNNNNNNNNNNNNNNNNNNNNNNNNNNNNNNNNNNNNNNNNNNNNNNNNNNNNNNNNNNNNNNNNNNNNNNNNNNNNNNNNNNNNNNNNNNNNNNNNNNNNNNNNNNNNNNNNNNNNNNNNNNNNNNNNNNNNNNNNNNNNNNNNNNNNNNNNNNNNNNNNNNNNNNNNNNNNNGAUUUAUUGUUGAACCUUUAGUUGACUCUAAUUCCCCUAAUGAUCCAAUUGGAAGGAUGGGACUUCAUUAGAACCUAGGAUCAUAUUAGCAUAAGCAAUAGGUCAAUUCACACACUAUGAACCCUAAAAGCUAUCUCUUAGCUAGCUUUCAAUUGCCACAUUAAAUGACUAUCUAUGUUCACUAUCUUAAUCACUAAAAAGUAAUGAACAUACUCAAUAAUAAAACAACUCAUAAUCUAAAUUACUAUCCAUUAUUCACAGCUAAAAAUCAAGCUUAGUUCAUCACUCACCCUAGGGCUCUUUUGUAGUUGAAUUCUCUUCCAAUAGCUUCCAAAUCAAUAGGGUAAUUCUCUCUUUCUCUCUCUAAAAUGCCCAACUAGUGAGAGAAAGUAUGAAAAUAAGAUUUAUCAAGGGUUUUGAAGUGAGAGAGUGAAAGAAUACAAGAGUUCUAAUCAAAAGGGCUCAAAAGUAUGAAAACUAGAGCUAGAGAGAGAAAAUCAUGCAAGCUCCAUAUCAAGCUUCCAUGGAGGUUGGAAGCAACGUGAAAGAGAAGAAGAAGAAGAAGAAGAAGAUAAGCUGCUGGAAAAUGGGAGAAGAAGCUGUUGGAAGAAAGUAUUUAUAGGCCAAACUUAUCCAUUCCCUUAAAAUUACGAAAAUGCCCUUCCACCAAUUAACUUACUCUCCUCCAACCCUUUAUGAAAUCUUUUUGCUCUUUUGACACCGGGACAAGGUUCAUAAUGGUCUAGACAUACUCAGGUUCAUGAAAACUUAAAAUUUUAACCCAAGGUGAAAAAUGACCAUUUUGCCCCUACCGUGAAAAUCAUCAAAAUUUUGGUUUCCUUUUCAUUUUACCCCUAAUUUCACCAUUCAUUUAUGCCUUAGGCCUACUUAGGCCAUAAUAUUGUUUAAAAUCUUACUUUUAUGGGCUUACUAAAGAAAUGACGAAAUUACCCUUGAUUAAGGAUAUCACGUAUACUUUCCUUUACGAGUCUAUAAAGGUCAAGGUCUCAUAGUCUUGAUCACUGUUAAGGAUCGAGUCUUCAAUUAGGUGAGUGGAUACACCUUUUCAAGUAUUUUGAUAUGUAAAGUGAGCAUGAAUUUGAUUGACAUGAUUUAUUAUGCAUAAGAAAUUAUUGUUUCAAGAAUGGCAUUUUUCAAAGAUUUGAUUAUCAAUGUUUUCAACUAGAUUUCAAAAAGUAUGAUUGAAGGACUUUAUUUGAUAACAAUUUAUUAUGUGAGAUGACUUAAAUGAUUUUCAACUAGUUUGCAAAUCUGCUAUGUAUGUAAAUAUUGUAUUAUGUAUUAGUUUUUAAUAAGGGGAGACAAGCCCUUUUACAUGUUUUCUAUCAAAAUGAGAUGAAUGGAAUGAUGUAUAUGCUUGACAUGAUGUUGCAAGAAAUGUUUGGUGGAUGUAUGAGUUCCCACCUAUGAGUUAAUGAAUGAUUUGGACAUGUAUGUAUAUGAUGUUAAAAUGAUUUAAAGUGUAGCUGCAACGAGAAUGCCUUUCCGCUGCAGCUAGGACCCGUCGUUUACUUGAGUUGAUUCGCAUGAAUGCUAUUAAAGUUUUCACUUUCCAAAUCCUUUGUUGAGCAUGGACUCUUUUCAAUAAGUGAUUUUUCUCAUAUGGGAUUUACAUGAGGGGUUUAAUAAGAACUGAAAUAAAUCGCAUUGUUUUGAAAAAUGAAUGCAUCAUGAUUUCGUUAAACAUUCCUUAUGGUAUGCUUGUUCCCUUCUUGUUCACUCACUAGGUUUAUACUCACCGUUUUCAACUUCAUGUUUUCAGAUCAAGAGGCAGCCUGUAACUAGGAUGAGGUGUCCUCGUAAACUUGUAUCCAUCUUUUGGUAGGCGUCUCGGCAUUCAGUAGCUGUACAUUCGUUGAGUUUCUCCGCUGGACAUUGAGUCUUAUUUUGAUAUGUAUAGACAAACUUAAUGUUUUUUUUUAGAAUACAUGUUGUAGACACUAUAUGUAUAUUUUAAAUGAGUAAUGCCAGUACGAGUUGGCAAUGUUUAAUAUUAUUUUGAUUCUAAGUUAUGAAAUGUGACUUAGUAGUUUAUGAUGGAAUGAUGAACAUGUCAGAUUAAUAAGCUUGCUUGGGCUUCGUGGACUACGUCCAUUGGGCCCAUGCACUGGUCAUGGCCCGAAAUUUGGGUCGUGACAAUACUAGAUUAUGAUGGUUAUAGGCUUAGUUAGACUGAACUUUAGUUUAAGGAAUAGUCCCAUGGAAUAGAAGGACUUAGAGAAUGGUAAUAUGUAGGAAAUUACUCAAAAAAGAAGAUUUUAUGUUUGAUAUAUCAAUACAUUUUGGACAAAAUGUGAGAGGAAGCAUUCUUUGUAAAAUGUAUCGAUAGGUUCCUUACAAAAUUGGGUUUCCAAGCAUUUUCUAAAGGUUUUUCAAAAACAAUGGUUUCAAAUGGUUUGAUUUAAACUCGUGUUCAAGUAAAUGCUAUUGAAAAUGUAUUUAAAUGCCAUGUUUAAUGAGUGUUAUAAAAAUAAAGGAAAUUCUAUGAAUGACUUAAGGCUAUAAAUGCAUGUUUACAAAAAACUCUCCUUUUUGGCUUGUCCCUUUCCCUAUAUCCAUUGACGGACUCCUUUUAACUCACACGUUAUUUUCCCUAGUUUUGUUUAAUAGAUUAUUGAUUAGUUUACACCUUUGUUGCGAAGAUGAGUUCUUGGUCUUUUUUCUUCGGUAGGUGUCUAGUAGCCACUUGGCGCUGAAAUGAGCCUUACAGUCAAUUGAGAUUGGUCAAGGCUUAGUUCCAAUCAUGCAACAAUAUCAUUUAAAUUGAAUGAUUAAAGGUUAUUCUUUAUUAAUAAGACAUUACUUAUAAUGAGUUAUAAGUCUAAUUAGAUGAAGUCCAUGAGAUUAAUAUGCCUUGCAAGGGAACUGUAAUGGGUUGCAAUUAUGAUAUUCCUAUGCAUCAAGGCAUAAUCUCAAAAUGUUCUUGGUCAAUGUUUCAUUGAGACUAGACAUCAAUGAUACUUGGAGACUGGUGCAUUAUAUGUUCCUUAUUUUGGAAGUAAGCAAUCGAUCUUAUAAAUUGAAGUAUAGAGAUACUUGGAACAAGAAUGUAGGUGCGUGCCUAGGAGAGUAAGUUCAUUAAACAUGACUCAUCAUAAGAAGUGCACUUUUUAAUACAAUCCAGAGUCUAUGCAACACUUCUCAUGUGUCAGUCGUGUAAAUACUCACUAGUUUUGAGAUAUUAGGUUAUCUUAUAUGUGGAAUGCUAUACUUGAAUUUCAUCCCUACGGAUGCCUAACCAAGGAUGCCUAAACAAGAUGCUUUUAGGUAUAGUAUGAAGCAUGUGAAGGCAAAUGAGUGGUAAAGAUAGGAAUUAUCACCUCAAGUGUUUUUAGAAGACAUAUCCUAUCAGUUCUUGGUUAACAUUAGCUUAUUGAAGUUCUUGGCCAAGACGACUUUGAGAUUAUGAAAAACGUUUCCUAAGUCUUUAUAAAGCUAAUGUUAUAACUGCAAGAAUGAAUAUGGAGGUCAAUAAGAGUAGACACUGUACCAAGCUCUUAUCAUCUCUGAGAUAUAUAAUGAGGGAAUGAAUUACACUGAUAGACUAUACAUUAAAACAUUGUUAAAGAACCCUUUAACUUUCCUAACAAUUAGGUGGCCAUGAUGUAUUAUAAGAUGCCAAUCUUGGUUUACAAAAUUGAUUAUAAAUUAAUUGUUUAAAUUUUAUAUUAAUUAAUUAAGUCAUUAAUCAAUUCCAUUGCCAACAUGUUAGGAACCUAAUGGGUCAUACACAAUAAUUGCAUUUGAAUUAAAUUGGGAGAGUGAUGAUUUAACUUAGACUUAAAUCACAAGCUAGGUAAUUAACUUUUAUAAACUUAAUUAAAAAGAGUUUAAUUAAGUUUUAGGCAUAAUAUAUAAAUAGUUAUAAUUAUAAUACCGAAAUUACAAUAAUAUAAAGGAAAUUAUUUCAAUUUAAUUUCCAUUGGGCUUAAUUAAAAUAGUUUAAUUAAGUCAUGGACCUAUAUUGUAAUGUGUUAUAAUUUAGAGGGCCUUAUUGAAAAAUUAAAGUUAAUUUUAACCUAGCUAUAUAACUCACAUUUAACUAUUUUUCCAGACAUAUGAAGAAAAAGAGUUGUUAGAAAAUAAAAAAAAGGGUUUUCUUCUUGUGUGCCAUCAUGUUAUGAAGAAGAAAAAUUAUUUUUGAAGCAAUUUUUCAAGUGUGUGAUUCGGCCAUCCUUGUGUGAAAUGGAAAGGGACAUACAUUGUCCCCUUUUGCUAGCACAAAAAUAUAGUUAAAAUCUCCUUCCUUUACUGAAAAGUUCAAGUGAAAUAGUGUGUAUUACCAGUGCAAGCCAAGAACUUGAUUGGCUAGGGUUUCUUACUUUUUAUGGUGUUCGUGGGUUGCAUUGAGGGGAUUGCUAUUCUGAUAAGAAGAAUGUUGGUAGGGUUAUCUUCUGAUUUUAUGAUUCUAUAUGCCAUUCUAUGUUUUAAAAUAUCACCAUGGUGAUCCGUGGGUGGAGGUAUGUUUUGUUUUUAAACAUUUUAAUGUUCUUUCCAAUGCGUUAUUUCGAGCAUGCCGUCCAUAGCCAAACCCAACAAUGGUAUCAAAGCCAUCAAUGGCUUGAUUUUAACACAUUAAGAUGUCUAACAAUUGUUGAUGCCUUGUGUGAAAGGGUUAUGAGGUGUAUGGGUUUUGUUGGAAAACAAGAAGUAAGUUUUAAACAAGAAGUAAGUUUUAAAACGGUUGGGAGACCACUGAUGGUUGAUGAAGCCACAGCUAAAGGUUCUCGUCCAAGUGUGGCAAGAGUAUGUGUCGAGUUUGACUGUCGUAAGCAACCAGUUGAUCAGGUAUGGAUUGUGGUGCAGAAUCGGGAUACUGGUGAGGUUAGUAGUGGGUUUUCACAGAGGGUAGAAUUUUCAUCACUGCCGGACUAUUGUCAUCACUGCUGUCACGUAGGACACCGUGAAGUUAACUGUAUAGUAUUGGGAAAUAGACCCAAACCACUUGGGACUGGUAAGGUACAAGUAAGGAAAAAUGCUGGAACUGUCAUUCCGUUGACUACGGAGAAGGAUACGAACAUUGUGGCAGGAGCUGGGCAUGAAUCGGGGAAACAACAACAGAAGUGGAAAGCUGUGAACAGAGCAGGUCCCAGUGGGGUGAAGGACGCGCAGGGCAAGGAAAAGGAUACACAACAUACUUUAAAGGAUAUCAGGGUUCCAGUAAUGAAUCGAUUUCAGGUAAUAACAUAAGAGGAAGAAGGCGAACAGCAACCGAAAGCAGAAGUAGGGAUAACGGACGCGCAUCGGGAGGUGAUAGAGGACCAACAAAUGAACGACGCUCCGGCAACAGACGGAGAGAAGACGGUGAUAGCAGUGCAGCCUCAGUCAUCAAAAACUGACACACGUGAUAGUCAUGUGCAUGGUAUACGGAAACAUGCAAACAUAAGGGAUACCAAGGUCUCAAAGCCUAUCGAGGGAAAGAAAACGUUAGCACCAGAUGGGCUUUCUACACGUCUUUCCUUUUACGUGCAUGGUGAUCAAGCUUGCAUGGAAAAAAGCACGAUUGAAAAAGAAAAAAUAUCAUCAAUAGCAGCAAAGGGUCAAGGAACGUCAAUGCAAGGUUUGGUUGAUGUGGCAGCAAGACAAAAUGCUAGGAAUUUUUUUACUGCCCCAAUAGGGCAAAUAACAGCUUUUCAGCAAGAGAUGGGACAACUGUUAGAAGGGAUAGUGGGGCCACUCGAGGAGCCUUCAGCCAACCAACAACAAUGUGAUAGGAAUGAAAAGGAAGAGGACGGGGGUACAGCACAGCAAAAACCCAACAAUUCAGGCAAUAAGGCUCCAAGCGGGAAUUCAAAAUUUUGCCUCUUGAGAAACCCAAUGCGAGAAGCAGAUGCAAUGCACGACAACGGCCAAAAAAUGGCAGAAAACGAAGCAGGAGGUUAAUGUGGGGCAGCUGCUAUUUUGCACCAAGAAGCAGCUACAACACAGCAGACAAACAAUCGAGGGAAGAGUGAAGUGGAGAACCUGCAGCAGCAGUCGGUAGCUGAGAAAGAUACUGACAAGCAAACAGGGAAGAAAGUAGCUGUUGCAACGAGCGGACAAAAACCAACCUUGACACAGGAGGACCGACUGACGGAUGGAACGGAGAAAACUAUAAGGAAAGAAGGAAACAAUGAGCAGAACCCGGUUAAAAAAAUUUUUAACACGCAAGGAAAAAAUAGGGGAUUUAACCCCGUUCGUGAUGAACAAAUUUCGGGCGUGUUGACCGACUCGGCGGAGCGGGGCGCGAAUGCCCAGGAAGCAGACUGCAGUCCACAGGGGGAGCAUGGGAUGGUGUCAGCAGGGCCCCCACACAGUGAGCCUAUGGACGUGACAACUUGUGGAGGUUCUGAAGGUUUUUUGGUGUCUCCAGUUGAAAGCUCUGCGGCAUAUGUUGACCGGCGGGCCCCAAAACGUGCAGACAUUGGAGAAAAAGAAGAGAUUUCAAUGCAUGCUGCAAGUGAUGGGAAGUUGACGUACAAUCUGAGGCAACCAGGUACAAGUGGGAAAAUAACAAAGGAUUUCUUUAAGAAACAAGCAACAAGUACAACAUCCUUUGACCAAGCGGAAGUCCAACAAAACGGGAACACAAUGCUACAACUUAAAAAAUCAACAGUUUCAAAGGAGGCAGUUGAGGCAGUCAACAAAGCACGUGACAUGUAUGAUAGACCAGCAGUAGACCCCACGGUAGGAGACGAUGCACCACAUCCAUUCCUUCCUAUGCAGGGAGAUCAAACGGGAGAGAGGGAUCAAGGAGUAGGGAACACAGUGCCUUUAUGGUAGAAGGAUGGACACCAGCUUCCAGAAAGUGGACCAGAGAAUCCAAAUACGGUAGUUGACACAAUAGAAUGAAGUGGCGAGCACAAUCCAACAGAAGGUAAAGGUGCAAGUUAGACGUGGAGCCAAGAUGGCCACAAUCAGACCGCUUCUAAGUUAACCAGAUCAAGUGCAAGGAAGGGAGAGACUGAGUUUAACCCCUCUACUUCAGAAUCAGUUUCAGGUAAGUGUUUAUACAACAAAGAAAUAAGUGCCAUUCCUUCACUUUCAGGAAAUCAUUCUGUUGAGAUGGAAGUCCACCCAUUAAUGCGACGUAGAAGGAAUUCAGACACUGCAAUUUCAAUUGGAAAAAUAACCAAUUUGGCAUCGAAGGAAGCCAUGGAAAUGGGAGAAAAUGAUGGAAUCUCUGAUGAUGAUUCCAUCUCGGUAAGUUAUGCAGCUAGAACCCGAUCAUGAUUAGUGCACUGGUGUGGAAUGUAAGGGGUAUUUCUAGUGCGGUAAUCCACAGAAGGAUCAAGAAAUUUCAGUUAUUGCACAAAAUUAAAAUUUUAGUAAUACUGGAGCCAAUGGUGGACGCUUCAAAAGCAGAAUUUAUUCGCAGAAAAUUGGGUUUUGAAAAAGUCUUCAAGAACUGCUCCCAGAAAAUAUGGUUGUUUCACUCUUUCGAUAUGAAUUGUGAAGUGCUGUUGGACCACGUUCAAUGUCUGCAUGUUAAGAUCAGCAUGCCAUGGCUUGAAGUCCCUCUGUUGGCAUCCUUCAUCUAUGCAAAAUGUACCAGGUCAGAGAUAUUAGUUCUUUGGGAUUGCCUGAGGAGCUUGGCAAUUAAUAUUCAUUCACCGUGGAUCGUUGGGGGUGAUUUCAAUGCCAUUUUACAUAGUGGAGAACGGUUGAACGGAGCUGUGCCACAUAUAGGUUCUAUGGAAGAUUUUGCUACCGCUCUGCUUGAUUGUGGAUUAAUGGAUGGUGGAUAUGAAGGAAACUUAUUCACUUGGACUAAUAACCGCAUGUUUCAACAACUGGACAGAAUGACCUAUAAUCAUCAUUGGGCAGAAUUUUUUUCUUCUACACGUAUACAGCACCUGAAUAGGGAUGGGUCAGAUCAUUGUCCAUUGCUGAUUUCCUGCUCUAAGAACCAAGAGAGAAUGCCUUCAUCUUUUAGAUUCCUGCAUGCUUGGGUCCUCCACCAUGAUUUUAAAAAGUUCGUGGAACAAAUUUGGACUUCCCCCAUUGUUGGCUCUGGACUACAAGCUUUCUGGGCGAAGCAACGACGUCUAAAACAAGCUCUGAAACGGUGGAAUAAGGAGGUUUUCGGAGACAUAUUCCAUAAUUUGAAAGUGGCAGAACAAAGAGCUGCAGAUUGCGAAAUAAUUUUUCAACAAGAGCAAUCACUGGAGAACCGAGCCACCAUGAAUAAAGCCUAUGCCCAGCUUAAUCGUCAGCUCAGUGUUGAAGAAUUAUUUUGGCAGCAAAAAUCCGAAAUUAAAUGGUUAGUGGAAGGUGAGCGCAACACAAAAUUUUUUCACAUGCGGGUUAAGAAGAAGAGAAUCAAAAGCCAUAUCUUCAAAAUACAAAACCCGGAUGGGAGUUGGAUAGAAGAAUCGGAAGCUGUUAAAUCUUCUGCAGUGGAAUUUUUUUCCUCCCUCAUGAAAAAGGAAACAUGUGAUAUGUCCAGGUUCGAUACUUCGUUGAUUCCUGCUAUUAUUUCUGAGAAUGACAAUCUUAGUUUAUGUGCAGUGCCUUCGAUGGAGGAGCUAAAAAAGGCAGUUUUCAAUAUUGAUAAGGACAGUGUUGCUGGCCCUGAUGGGUUCACCUCUUUUUUCUAUCAACAAUGUUGGGAUAUCAUUGCCAAUGACCUCUUGGAUGCAGUAGUUGAUUUCUUUCAUGGAGCUGACCUCCCAAGGGGAGUAACGUCUACAUCUCUUGUGUUACUGCCUAAAAAUAACAAUGCCUCGAAAUGGAGUGACUUCAGACCGAUAAGUCUUUGUAAUGUUUUAAAUAAAAUCAUUACUAAGAUUCUUGCUAACCGUCUUGCAAAGGUGCUCCCUUCCAUGAUUACAGAUAAUCAGAGUGGCUUCGUAGAGGGGAGACUGAUCAACGACAAUAUCCUCCUUGCCCAAGAACUAAUUGGGAAGAUUGACAGAAAGUCAAGGGGUGGCAAUGUAGCUCUCAAGUUGGAUAUGAUGAAGGCGUAUGACCGGCUAGAAUGGGAUUUCCUUUAUAGAAUGCUUCAACAAUUUGGAUUUAAUUCUCAGUGGAUUGACAUGAUUCGCCGGUGCAUAGCUAAUUGUUGGUUUUCUUUAUUGAUAAAUGGAGGCACCGUGGGUUUUUUCAAGUCUGAAAGAGGGCUACGACAAGGCGAUUCCAUCUCUCCGUUAUUAUUUGUACUAGCUGCGGAAUAUUUGUCUCGGGGGUUGAAUGCUUUGUUUGCCAUGUAUCCUUCUCUGCAUUAUCUUUCUGACUGCUCUAUGCCAGUCAGCCACUUGGCUUUCGCAGAUGAUAUCAUUAUUUUCACUAAUGGUGCGAAAUCCUCUUUGCAGAAAAUUCUAUUAUUUUUGCAGGAGUAUGAGGUGAUUUCAGGACAGCGAAUUAACCAAGCAAAGAGUUGCUUCAUCACUCACCAAAAUAUGGCAAACAGUCGCACUCAGAUCAUUUCUCAAGUCACUAACUUCACUCAUAAAUGCCUGCCUAUCACUUAUUUGGGAGUGCCUCUUUUUAAAGGGCCAAAAAAGGUAAUGCUUUUUGAUGACUUGGUUGCAAAGAUCCAGGACCGUAUAGCAGGAUGGGACAACAAAGUAUUAUCUCCAAAAGGGCGAAUAACACUAUUAAGAAGUGUAUUAUCUUCUCUGCCUAUUUAUUUGCUCCAGGUCCUCAAACCUCCUCUAAGUGUGAUUGAAAGAAUUGACAGAUUGUUCAACAACUUUUUGUGGGGAAGUUCGGCAGGUUCUAGAAAAAUUCAUUGGGCUUCGUGGCAUUAGAUCACUUUUCCAUCUAAUGAGGGUGGACUCGGCAUCAGAGGCCUAGGUGAUGUGUUGCAAGCCUUUAGCAUGAAACUUUGGUUGAGGCUUCUAACUUGUAAUAGCAUUUGGACGCAAUUCAUGCGGAGCAAAUAUUGUGUUGGUCAAAUUCCAAGAAAUGUACAACCGAAGCUUCAUGACUCACAGACAUGGAAACGGAUGUUAGCAAGCUGCCAGGUUACAAAACAAUACACUAGAUGGCGGAUUGGUAAGGGUGAGCUAUUUUUCUGGCAUGACUGUUGGAUGGGUGACGCACCACUGGUUAGUCAAUUUACAUCCUUUGCAUCAUCUACGACAAGAGUACACUAUUUCUACGUUGAUGACAAAUGGGAUGUGGGCAAAUUGAACGAGGUGUUGCCGGUGGAUGUUGUGGCAGAGAUCUUAAAAAUUCCGAUCGAUCUUCCCAGUGAAGAUAAAGCAUAUUGGGUUCCUACCUCGGAUGGUCAAUUCACUACCAAGUCUGGUUAGGAGAUAGUUCGACAGCGACAGUCGGUAAAUCCCGUUUUCAAUUUAAUUUGGCAUAAAUGCAUUCCUCUUUCAACUUCUUUCUUUCUUUGGAGGUUAUUACAGGAUUGGAUCCCAGUUGAUUUACGGUUGAAAAACAAGGGUUUCCAGUUAGCUUCUAAAUGCCAACACUGUAACUCCGAGGAGUCUCUCUUGCAUGUCAUGUGGGAAUGCCCUAUAGCUACACAGGUUUGGAAUUAUUUUGCAAAAUUUUUCCAAAUCAACAUCGUUCGUCCUCAGACUGUUUUUCAGAUCAUAAGGGCAUGGUGGUACUCUGGUGAUUAUACCAAAAGAGGACACAUACGCACGUUAAUGCCUCUAUUCAUUCUUUGGUUCCUAUGGGUUGAAAGAAAUGAUGCGAAGCAUAGAAACCUUGGUAUGUAUCCUAAUAGAGUGGUAUGGAAAGUACUCAAACUCAUCCACCUACUAUUUCAUGGGAGGCAAUUCCACCGAGGGCAAUGGAGGGGAGAUGUACAAAUUGCUCAGGCAUGGGGUAUAAUAUUUCAGCAGACCGUUUCACAUCCUCCAAAAAUAUUCUCUUGGCAUAAACCAUCAGUAGGUGAGUUUAAGUUGAAUGUUGAUGGUAGUUCCAAGCAUAAUCAUUAGAAUGCCGCGGGAGGAGGACUUCUUCGAGACCAUACAGGCACCAUGAUUUUUGGAUUUUCUGAAAAUUUUGGACCUUAUGAUUCAUUACAGGCAGAGUUAAUGGCACUUCAGAGGGGUUUACUUUUGUGCAUUGAGCAUAAUGUUUCCAGUCUUUGGAUAGAAAUGGAUGCAAAAGUAGUGGUACACAUGAUAAAUGAGAGCUGUCAGGGAUCCUCUAGAACUCGAUAUUUACUUGCUUCAAUCCGCAAAGCUCUUCGAGGUAUUUCGUUUCGGAUUUCACACAUUCUUAGAGAGGGGAACCAGGCAGCAGAUCAUCUGGCAAAUCAAGGGCACAAACACCAGCUCCUACAGGUAUUUUCACAAGCAGAAGGUCAGCUUAAAGGUAUCCUUAGGUUAGAUAAGGUUAGUUUACCAUAUGUUCGAUUCAAAAGAUUGUAAAGGAGUAGUACUCCUAAUUUAUUUUCCUUACUUGAUCAUUAACAUAGACUUUUGUAAUAUGGAUGUGUUUCAAUUUUAUGACGAUAGUAAAAAAUAUAGUCAUAAAAUGAAACACUCCAUCCUAGGUGCUUAUCUCAUUUACAUUAUCUGCUUUGAAUUUUCUCUUCGUCUGUAGUCUCAUUGUAAUAGUAGGGAUAUCUAUUUUAUUGUAGCAUCAAAAGUUAUGCACAUAAAAUGGAUUUCCUUAUUAUAAGAGUUCUUCAAAUACUUUCUUAUGAUCUUGUAACUUGGAGGUACGGUUUAUGUCCCCCUCCUCUGUAGUUCUUAUUUAGUAUUUAAUAAAAUUUAACAGGGUAGCUGGGCCCUGCGUGAAUUUCCAGCUUUAAAAAAAAAAAAGUUUUAAACUUUACAAUGUGUUCUAGUUAUUUUGAUUUCUGGGCAUAUUUUAUUCUAAAAUUUUAAAUCUUACUUCUCGCCGUACUUAUCUCAUUUUAAUGUCAAAUUUUUAAAGAUUAGUUAGUGCAUAAGAUGCACAAAUUAAUUUUGCAAUUAAAUUUUAAAUUCGAUGACAUUGUGGUAUGUUAUUUAUGGGAGAAUUUGAUUUUACCCAGCUUUUGUAAAGGUCUGGUUUUCAGCUUUUAAAUAAGGUUUAAGUGCCUUAUAAAAUGUUGAAAAAUUAAAGGAUCAAUACACAUUGGAAAGUUUCCAAAAUGGGUGAUUAUGUGUGGCUGACGGUGGAGGUAAAACUACCAAAAUGUGGCUAAAACAGCUGCUGUUUGCAGUAGUGAUAGUCACAAUUUUAUUCAGCUUGGCAACCAGGAAAAGCUUAAAUUUGUGCAAUUAGUGCACCAAUUGGCUGAGUAUUUUUUAAUCGAAAGGUUUCAUAAAUUAUCCAAAUUGUUGCCAAUAAUUUUAAGGAUUUAAAUCCCUAGAAUUAAGCUUUAAUAAAACCGAGUUGGUGGAGUCAAAACCGUUGCUUCCUCUACAGCAGCAAUCCAUGGUUUUUGAUUUUUUUUUAUGCUAAAAAAUGUUUUCUAAAAUUAUGGAAAAUUACUAUGUCAUUUUUCCAUAAGUUGUAUAUCAAGAAAAUUUUAAAUGGGAAUUAAAUUCUAGAUUUUAUGCCACCAAAUAACUUCAAAAGAAAGACAAAAUCAAAACUACCUCUACAGAUAAAGGUCAUGAUUUUGAAUUUUUUUGACAACCAAAAACGCCUUCUAAAAUUUUGAAAAUUUAUUCUAAAAUAGUUGCAUGAGUUAUCUAUCAGGAUAAAUUUUAUUAGGAAUUAAAUUCCUAAGUUUAAGUUACAAAGAAUUUCAAAAGUUCCCAAAACCGGAUUCUACCACUUGCAGAUAAUGGUCACAGCUUUUGAAUUUUUUGAAUAGCCAAAUCACCUCCUAAAAUCCUAAAAAAAAUAUUUUGGAAUAGUUCUAUGAGUUAUCUAUCAGGAAAACUUUUAUUGGAAUUAUAUUCUUAAAGGUAUACCACCAUAAUGCCACGUAAUUAGGACAUGUCUGCUGUUGUCUGUAGCAGGACACUGUCUUGGUUAAGCAUAGGAUUUGUCCAAUUUUUACACCAAUAAAUGAUUAAUUAAAUUAGUUAAUUGGCUGAGGAUAAGUUAUGGAAUUAGUUCAUAAUUAUGCUAAUUUUUGAAACAUUUAAUUUAAGGAAUAUUAUUUCUAAAAUUAAGGAUGUCAAAGAUGAUGCAUUAACAAUCAUAAAUAAAGAAAUGUGAUUUCUAAAAUAAUGAAAGUUAAAAUGUCUUCAUUAGCUAAUUAUAUAUUUAUGGAAUAUGUUUCACAAAGAUCAAUAAUUGAUUUAAUAGAUUAUGGAAUGUGAUUCCUUAAUUUAAGGGUGUCAAAAUUUAAAUAAUUAAAGAUAACAUUAAUCUGGGAAUUAGAAUCCAACUAAUAGUGGGAGUUUAAAUAUUUAUGGACAAAUUUGAUUUUGAAUUGAGUUUUUACAAGGAGAUAAUUCUAAUUUGACAUUGAAUUUAAUGCUUAAAUUGUCUAAGAUAUUUCCUAAUAAAAUUAGGCAAUAAUAGACAUUCAAUUUCUUACUUAAAUGAGAUUUAUAAUUGGUUGCCUAAAAUGUUUAGGAACACAAAUUAAAAUUGUUUUAAUUUGUAAUUUGUAAUAAAAUUUUAAUUCUAAUCCUAAUGAAAAUUGGAGUUAAAGAAUUACUCAAUUUGAUUAGUAAAAUUCUCUAAUGUUAGAAUUAAAAAAAAUUAAAUACCUCAUCUGGUUAAUAAUUUGAAUAAGACAUGUUUUAAAUUUUUGUAUAUUCAUGUUGAUGAAUGUAUGUAGAUAUUUAUUAACUUAGGCCCAAUAUGAUUCUGCUAUAGUUGAAGUCUAUAUUAAUCUCAAGUAGUUUUCAUGUGAUAGAUUUAUUUUAUGUGAUUUAAUAAAUGCUAUGGAUGCAAAAUGAAACCUUAAUAAAUUUGUAAAACAAAAUCCCUCAUGAAAUUAUUGAGUCACAUGCUAUGCAUGACUAAGUUGCCUUACACCAUAUAACAAGAUAACUUGGUUGCUCUUUUAAUCGGAGGUUUGUUGAUCGCACUCGAUGCCAUAUUUUUAUAUAAGUAUGUUUGAGCUAUUAAUGGGUCUUACUCAAGUAGUUUCAUAAAAUCUAAAUGCUUGGAAACUGUCACGACCCGAAAUUCUCAUUGAGCCCUUGAUAACUGUCGCGACGUCUCGAUCGACAUUCAUUACCCAGAAUGUUAACCGGAACCCCGAAAGGCUUUAAUAUCAGCUUNNNNNNNNNNNNNNNNNNNNNNNNNNNNNNNNNNNNNNNNNNNNNNNNNNNNNNNNNNNNNNNNNNNNNNNNNNNNNNNNNNNNNNNNNNNNNNNNNNNNNNNNNNNNNNNNNNNNNNNNNNNNNNNNNNNNNNNNNNNNNNNNNNNNNNNNNNNNNNNNNNNNNNNNNNNNNNNNNNNNNNNNNNNNNNNNNNNNNNNNNNNNNNNNNNNNNNNNNNNNNNNNNNNNNNNNNNNNNNNNNNNNNNNNNNNNNNNNNNNNNNNNNNNNNNNNNNNNNNNNNNNNNNNNNNNNNNNNNNNNNNNNNNNNNNNNNNNNNNNNNNNNNNNNNNNNNNNNNNNNNNNNNNNNNNNNNNNNNNNNNNNNNNNNNNNNNNNNNNNNNNNNNNNNNNNNNNNNNNNNNNNNNNNNNNNNNNNNNNNNNNNNNNNNNNNNNNNNNNNNNNNNNNNNNNNNNNNNNNNNNNNNNNNNNNNNNNNNNNNNNNNNNNNNNNNNNNNNNNNNNNNNNNNNNNNNNNNNNNNNNNNNNNNNNNNNNNNNNNNNNNNNNNNNNNNNNNNNNNNNNNNNNNNNNNNNNNNNNNNNNNNNNNNNNNNNNNNNNNNNNNNNNNNNNNNNNNNNNNNNNNNNNNNNNNNNNNNNNNNNNNNNNNNNNNNNNNNNNNNNNNNNNNNNNNNNNNNNNNNNNNNNNNNNNNNNNNNNNNNNNNNNNNNNNNNNNNNNNNNNNNNNNNNNNNNNNNNNNNNNNNNNNNNNNNNNNNNNNNNNNNNNNNNNNNNNNNNNNNNNNNNNNNNNNNNNNNNNNNNNNNNNNNNNNNNNNNNNNNNNNNNNNNNNNNNNNNNNNNNNNNNNNNNNNNNNNNNNNNNNNNNNNNNNNNNNNNNNNNNNNNNNNNNNNNNNNNNNNNNNNNNNNNNNNNNNNNNNNNNNNNNNNNNNNNNNNNNNNNNNNNNNNNNNNNNNNNNNNNNNNNNNNNNNNNNNNNNNNNNNNNNNNNNNNNNNNNNNNNNNNNNNNNNNNNNNNNNNNNNNNNAAUAACAUAAGCCAUUAAUUCAAUUUUAAAUUUACAACAUAUCAGUGGUCUCCAAUUACUCUAUUUUCAAAAUCGUUAUUUCGUUUCAAGACAAUUUAUAAAAUAUUUUCAUUUAAACUCAUUUUGUUUACAAAACAUAAAAAUUUACCAUUUGAACUCAUUUUCAUAAAAUUCACCAAAACCGAAUAAAAACAUACUUUAGAUAAUUAAAAUGAUGGUAGGGUUACUCAUUGUUUUCGAAAACUAAAUUUUGGUACUCCAACUAUUACUCCUUGGGUGCGAUUUCUUUGCCCUUGCCAGAGGAUUCGCCACCUUGAAAAAUUGCACAAUUAAGAGGUUUACUACUUUGGUACUAAAUCAAAAUAAACUAAUUUAUAUAACUAAUGCAUGAUAUGAAGUGCAAAAUGUCUAAAUUUUGCCUAAACGCUGUGUUAGCCUAUUUCGAUCUUUUACCCGAUAAAUCAAUACACGCGUCCGUUUAAACUUCAAAUUAAUUUUUUUCAGUUUCUAUACCCCAAUUGCACCCAAAUUGACUUAAUGUCCCUCAGUGUGGUGCAAAUUAUCAAUCUCGACAGCAAAUUACGAAAAUACCCCUAGGGGGUAAAAAUUCAUAUUUUUGCUCUGAAAAUUCCCAUUAUUUUUUUAGGCUCAUAAUUCAUCAUUAUUCAUCAUAAUUCCUCAAUUAAACAUCAAGAUCAGCAGCCAAGAUUCCCCUAGAAAAUUCGACAUAAUGGGUUUCAAUGGGAGAAAAUUAUAUCUCUAGCUUAUUUUGCUAUAUUUCAAUAUAACCUAACUAAAAUCACUUAAUUCAAUUAAAAUCAACCAAAACUCAAGCUCAAAACUCAUCCAUGGAGGUUUGGCCAGCAUGGGUGUCCAUACCCACUUUCUAAUUUUGCAUGAAAAUGAGAAAAAAUGCAUGGGUAGUGAAAAUCACAAGGAAAGUCAAUGAAAUUUACCUUUUUAAUGCUUGAUUUCUCUUGAUUUUCCCCAAAUUUUUCAGGUAGGUUUCUUAUUUCUUUUCCCUCUUUUCUCUACUGGUUUGGACGGCUGAAGAAGAUGAGAAUUCUGAAAUUUUGACCUUUUUAAAGGCUAAAAUAAUAUAAUAUUAUUUUAUUCAAUUUUUUUGUUUUAUUAAUUCCUUAAAUUCUAGCCAUCCGUUUGUUUCCAAAUUUUCACCAUACACUUGUCCCACAUAUCCAUAGCUUAGAUAAAAUUCUCAGACUUAUCCAAAGUCUUGGUGGAGUAAAUUUUUUUAAUUUAUACUUUUACUCUCGUAAAAGUCAAAAAUUACAUUUUUACCUCAAAAACUGAAAAAUUGCCCAUAGACAUAUUUUUCAUCCCUUAUACUCAUACCAUUCUCCAAUUUGUCAAAUUUGAUCUAAAUUCUCUCAAAAUCUCAAAUUUUGUCCGUGAGUGGUAAAAUUACGAUUUUACCCCUACACUCUAGAAAUCAUUAGAAUUAAACUUUUUCACUUCUAAACCUCAAAUCAUACUCCAAUACUCAAAUCAUACUCCAAUAAGUCAAAUGAGGCCAAAAAAAACUUUUCUAAAAAUUUCCAUUAUGUCCCUAGGUGGCAAAUGACCAUUUUACCCUUGGACAGUGAAAAUUUGGUUUGACUGCAAAUUGAUCCUCAAACUCUAAAUCACCAUAUUAAACCAUUUUGGGACUUUAAUAUUCUUAAUUUCAUUUUAAAUUCUCUAUUUGAUCUAGUUCGAGGCUUAAAUUAACUUAAUUGUACCAUUUGGUACAUUGUCGUCUUUUAACGAUUUUUCUUUCGGGGCUUUCCAAGUAUGCAAGCAUAUUGUCAAUCAUAUGAAUGACAUGGCAAGUAUAUUAUAAGGUCGGGCAUGACAAAAACUUGAUUAUUAUGAAAACUACAGGCAAUGGCUAGACGAAAUAUAUAUGAUAUGUUUGGGCAAAGUGUUGUCAUUUAGUUGAUCUAAGAGUCAAUUAAGAGAUGUGAUUGAUAAACUAAGUUGUCUACCCAAUUAGGCAUAUCAUGGCUUGUUGAACAUACUUAAGAUCAUGGUAAGUUAAAUAGGGUCCUAGCACACUAGAAAAUUCCUAGAAGAGACUUUUCGAAAUGACUUUUAGGGUUGUCAUUUUGCAUAUAAAAUAGUGGGAAACCUAUUUAAAAUUUUAAAGCCUUGUUUUAAAUAGUUUAUGCAUGUCACGACCCAAUUUUCAGGCCAUGACCGGUGCAAAGGACCAAUGGGCUCAGCUCACCAAGCCCAAGCAAGCCUACUUACAUGAUCUUAUACGUUAAUGCAUAUUCCUUUAGAAUCCGAAAUUCAUAAUGCUCAAGUACAAUUCCUUUGAAAACAACUCAUAAAGCCCAAUCAUAUAUUCAUAAUGGCAUCAUCAACCAUUAUAUACAUACAUAUAAUUUGACAAGUGAAUCUCAGCAUUUCACAACAAAUAGUCACAUACACGUAAUUAAGACUUGACCAUCAGCGGAGUGACUCUAGGCAUGGUUGCUAACAUUUAAUGUUAUGGUAAACCUACCAAGCAAUGGAUUGGGAUGAGCACCUCGUCCUAGGAUCCAAUCACCUUUGACUCUGAAAAACCUAAAACAUGAAGUUUAAAAACGUGAGUACAAACUCAGUGAGUGAGCAUAUGAAGGGAACAAGCAACGUUAAUGAAGGUUUAGAAAUCAUAAUGCACAUCUUUGAAAACAAUGCAACUUAGUUCAAGUUCUUAUUAAAAUCCCUCCAUUAAGCGCUUGGUUGUAAAAACAUUUAAUGAUGAAGGAACCAUAUUCAACAUGAAAUUUGAAAGAAAGAAAUUUUUAGCAGUUAACCAAGCAAGGCAGUAUAAACAGAAUGUUUCUCGUUAUUCAUUUCAAUCACAUAUUAUAAUCAUAAACUUUCUAUCACAUAUAUCUAUAUAACCAUAUAUAAACACGUCCACCAUCCCCACUUCAUUCAUCAUCAUAACCAGGUCAUCAUCAUCAUCGGCUUAUGCGCACUCCCUACUCGCACAUAGUCGGGUCAACAUCGGCUUCUGUGCACUUCCACUCACAUAUAUCCAGGUCAGCAUUAGCUUAUGCACACUCUUACUCACACAUAGCUGGGUCAGCAUCGACUUAUGCGCACUCCUACUCGCACAUAGUCGGGUUAGCAUUGGCUUAUGUGCAUUCCCUACUUGCACAUAGUCGAGUCAAUAUCAUCACACAACAUUAUUCAUCAAUGCACAACGUAUAUUCAUAUAUAUACAUACCAACAUGAUAUAGGAGCACAUGGAUUCAUCCUUUCGCACAUUUCACAUUUUCACAACAUCAAAACAUUUUAUCAAGGGCUUGUUCCCCGGCACACAUUUUUAAAGAAAAGUUAGAUAAAAUCAUUCAAAUGUUUCAUCCAAAUACAAUUAUACUUCCCAAAGAAUUUUGAAAUGCAAGUUCACUCACUUGGAAACAACGAGAUAUUAAGUUGCUAUUUGUUCGGAGGUGUCUCUAACUAUUUUCACUGGCCAGUCACUCGUUAUUUACUCCAUCACGCCACCACAGUACUCCAACCUUAUCUUUGCACUUCCUAGCAAUAAUACGAACUCAAUAUAUUUAAUUACAUAUGUAUACGGGCAGCACUUCAAUCAAUUAAUCCUUACUCAAAUUUAUAUUUUUCAUCCUACCAUGAAACCAUCUUCAAUUAACUCACAUCUUAAUAUAUUUUUACUAAAAUUACUUAUAUCAGUUGCUUACGUAAUUCCUUAUUUUAUAUCUCCGACAACUUAUUUAUGAUGUCACAUGCCUACUUCAACCUUUCUAAAUAAUUUCUGUCCAAAUUCAUCUUAUAUUUCCACAGUAUUAACUAUAUUUACGGCAACCACAGUCAUUUCAAAUCUAUCCAAUUAUUUUCCAAUUUCAAUCCGCAUUAUUUCUCCUUAUUUCUUCCAAAUAUUAUACCACUCAACUUAACACUUUCAACUAAAUUAUGCCAAUAAAUUCCUCCAAAAACAAUAAUUCUUCACAACGAAUCAUUUAAAAUUUCUUAACUUCACUUGAGCACUAUUCAUCAAUUUCAUAUUUUCUUCUUUACUUUAGUCCUAUGACACAUCUUAAUACAAUUUUUAAAUAUUGUAUUAAAGUAUUUUAAAUUUAAUUCGUACCACUAAUAACCAAAAUUUAACUAAACAAGUGGGCUAGCCCUAAUUAAUCUAACUUCAGAACAAGCCUAAUAAAAAGCAAGGAAAUUUUCUUUUUACCUAUUUGGGCUAGGUUAGCCUAAGCCCAAGUCUCCACCUUUCUUCUUUUUUAGGCCUACACUUCCUUGUUGCCUUUGGGCCUCCUCUCAUGGGCUCUUUCCAUUGUUUAUUAUUUAUUUAUUUAUUUUUAUUUAUUUAUUAUUAUUUUUUCACUCACAACCGCCCACCAUUUCCUCCUCCUUUCUCUCUCACUGCCGGCAGCAAAUUUUUGCCCCUUUCAACCUCAAAAAUCAGCAGCCUAAGCUGCUCAUUUCACCCUUAAAAUCGAUAGCCAAAACCUCAAAAAUCAGCAACUAAAGCUUCUCCUUUCAGCCUUCAAAAAUCAGCAGCUAAAGCUACUCAUCUGAUCCUCAAAAUCGAUAACCAAAACCUCAACAAUCAGUAGCAAAAGGUGCUUCUUUUAGCCUUCAAAAAUCAGUAGCUAAAGCUACUAAUCUCACCUUCAAAAUCAACGGCCAAAACCUCAAAAAUCAACAGCUAAAGCUACUUAUCUCACCCUCGAAAUCGGUAGCCAAAGCCUAAAAAAUUAGCAGCUAAAGCUGCUCCUUUCAGCUUUCAAAAAUCAACAGCUAAAGCUGCUCAUCUCACCCUCAAAAUUGACAGAAAAAUAGCUUCCUCAAACUUGGCUCCUUCUCCCUUCCUUUUCUUUCUUUUUUCUUCCUUAUCGUUUGACUUUUCUCUUCUUUUUCUUUCCUUUCUUCUUUCUCUUUCUCUUCCUAGGCUGUUUCUCUUCUUUUUCUUUCCUUUCUUCUUUUGCUUUCCUUUUGCUCUCUCUCACAACCGACUUCUUUCUUUCCUUUUUUUUUUCUUUCUUCACUUAACCAACUUUGACUUUUCCUUUUUUUUUUUUCUUUCUUAUCUUUUCUAUCUUUCAUCUUUAUCUCAUUCUUUCUUACCAACUUGGCCUACCAUGUGGUUAAAAUGCAAGUCAACAAUUGCUUGGAACCUUUACCACCACCUUACUUGACUUUUCGUCCCUAUUUCACUAUUUGCUCAUCUUUUCUCUUCAUUUUCUUUGUCAUGGACGGCUUGUCCAUGAAUUCACGACUUUUGACUUAUUUUCUCCACUUAUUUUAUGUACUAAAAUCACAUGACAAAGACUUUAUCACCUUCCACCCACCACUCACAUUUUCACUCUUUAUAUUAUUUUUACUUUAUGGUUUAUUUAUUCAUUUCUUGUCCCAUUCAACCUACAUGUACAUCUCAUAUUACUCAUAACCUAGCCUUCCUUAAUUAGAAAAUUCUCCUUUUUAACUUCAAAUAUCAAAAUUGCAAAUGAGUCCUUAAACUUUUCCUUAUUUACUAUGUGACUCCUCCAACUUCCAUCUUUUACAAUUGGUUCCUUCCAACAUUUCUUAAACUCCAAUUUCCUUUUAUUACCUUCUUCUACACAUGUACAAACAAAGUAUAAAGUUUGUACUCCAACGCGGUCUCCCGAUAAUUUUUAAAAUAUUUAUUUAUCCGUGCUAUCUUUACUUAAUAAAGACACGUGGCCCCAUUAACGUCAUUUUUUUCUCUAAAAUUUUCUCAUUCUUCUUCUCCCCCUUUAGAUUGACCAUAUACUCCUUCAUGGAAAAUUUCGACACUGAAUAAAAUAUUAAUAUUUUAAUAUUAUUUUAUUCUAAAAAUUUCCUCUUGUCUCUUUGGUACCCAAAAUACCUUAUUAUGCCUUAAUUGGCAUCCAAUAAGCUUUCUUAAUCACCAUAUCAAAGUAUGAAGUAUUAUAAUGCAUGAUUACACUUAUUGCUUUUAUCUAGUCUAUUCAUACAUAAUCUAUAUACAUGGUUAACAACUUGUCACUUAGGAGCAUCUUGGAUACAAACAAACUUACUGAUCCAAACUUCUUUGAUUGGUUUUUGAACCUCAAGAUCAUCUUGAAAUAGGAGAAGAAAUCAUAUGUCCUUGACACACUUAUUCCUUCAAUCCUUACCGAUGAUGCUAAUGUUGAGAAUAAUGAGGCAUAUCAAUAUCAUAGCAACAUGCGUGAUGCUAGCUAGUUUGACCCUUGAGCUCGAAAAGCAGCAUGAACACAUGGAUGUCCAAUUCAUGAUUCUUCACCUUAAAUAAUUGUUUGAUAAGGAGAGGCACACUAAGAGAUAUGAAAUCUUUGAGGAAUUAUUCCAAUGCAAGAUGGUAGAAGGGAGUUCUAUCAAACCUCAUGUACUGAAGAUUAUUGGACUCUUUAAGAGGCUUAGAAAAUUGGACUGGCAAUGGAUCAUGAGCUGAGUAUUGACUUAGUUCUACAGUCUCUUCCUGACAACUUCAGUUAGUUUAUGUUAACCUUCCAUAUGAACCAAUUGAAAGCUAUUCUUCCUAAACUUCUGAACAUGUUGGACAUGACAAAGAAGUCCAUCAAAAGGGAAAAGGGGGCUUUACUUCUUUUUUCUUCUUCAAAGGCUCAAACGAAGCAAACAAAAAAACAAACCCAAAAGGGGAAGAAGGUAACAUCCCAAAAUCAUAAGGCAUUGAAGUCUAAGGGAGGUGUCAAAAAGGACAGAGAAAAGGAUAUUUGCCAUCACUAUGGCAAACUUGGCAUUGGAGGAAGAAUUGCAAAGAGUACCUAGCUACUAUAAGCAAGAAGAAAAAGUGUAUAGACAUUUCUAAUUCAGGUACCAUUUGCUAAGAUAUACAACUUAACAUUAUAAAGGUGUAUGAUACCUUAUGUUGGUUCUAACAUGUUGACAUAUUGUAGAGACCAAGGACAAAGAUGAGUAGGAUCUUAGCUAAGGAGGUGACCAUGUUGGUGCACUACUUGAAGCAUUGGAUGUUACAUAUGGAUGGUUGCGCUUUUAUUUAAACUUAUGAUUUGAGUUGUUGGAUAAUUUGGUUCAAUGUUUUGACAUUUAUUGCCAUAAGGAUGACUUGUGAAACAUUUAUAUUUAGCAUUUAUGUCACGACCCAGAACUCCCAUCGAGCCCGUGACAACUGUCGCUACGUCCCGAUAGGCACUCAUUACCCUGAAUGCCAAUCGAAACCCCGCAAGGCUUAGCAUCAGCUUCUGCAUCUCCCCAGUGAGCGACAGUUAUUAAAUCUCACAUUUCAAAAAAAAAUCAUAAGUCAUUUCCAAAUCAAAAUAAUAAAAUAUUACUUUCUAGCUCAAAGGGGUAUUUUCAUCAUUUUUCUUCGAAAAUAUCGAAACUUGCCAAAAACAUGGUGUAAAAGUUAAAUAUAUUCAUACAUAUUUUAAAUUAAAUAACUGAAGAACAAAAUUACUUUUACAUUGAAAUACCCCAUACUUUGAUAUGGUGAUAAAUAAAGUUGAUCAAAUACAAAUUGAGGUCAAUUAAAAUGUUUAGAAGUGAUAAAAGACGAAAGNNNNNNNNNNNNNNNNNNNNNNNNNNNNNNNNNNNNNNNNNNNNNNNNNNNNNNNNNNNNNNNNNNNNNNNNNNNNNNNNNNNNNNNNNNNNNNNNNNNNNNNNNNNNNNNNNNNNNNNNNNNNNNNNNNNNNNNNNNNNNNNNNNNNNNNNNNNNNNNNNNNNNNNNNNNNNNNNNNNNNNNNNNNNNNNNNNNNNNNNNNNNNNNNNNNNNNNNNNNNNNNNNNNNNNNNNNNNNNNNNNNNNNNNNNNNNNNNNNNNNNNNNNNNNNNNNNNNNNNNNNNNNNNNNNNNNNNNNNNNNNNNNNNNNNNNNNNNNNNNNNNNNNNNNNNNNNNNNNNNNNNNNNNNNNNNNNNNNNNNNNNNNNNNNNNNNNNNNNNNNNNNNNNNNNNNNNNNNNNNNNNNNNNNNNNNNNNNNNNNNNNNNNNNNNNNNNNNNNNNNNNNNNNNNNNNNNNNNNNNNNNNNNNNNNNNNNNNNNNNNNNNNNNNNNNNNNNNNNNNNNNNNNNNNNNNNNNNNNNNNNNNNNNNNNNNNNNNNNNNNNNNNNNNNNNNNNNNNNNNNNNNNNNNNNNNNNNNNNNNNNNNNNNNNNNNNNNNNNNNNNNNNNNNNNNNNNNNNNNNNNNNNNNNNNNNNNNNNNNNNNNNNNNNNNNNNNNNNNNNNNNNNNNNNNNNNNNNNNNNNNNNNNNNNNNNNNNNNNNNNNNNNNNNNNNNNNNNNNNNNNNNNNNNNNNNNNNNNNNNNNNNNNNNNNNNNNNNNNNNNNNNNNNNNNNNNNNNNNNNNNNNNNNNNNNNNNNNNNNNNNNNNNNNNNNNNNNNNNNNNNNNNNNNNNNNNNNNNNNNNNNNNNNNNNNNNNNNNNNNNNNNNNNNNNNNNNNNNNNNNNNNNNNNNNNNNNNNNNNNNNNNNNNNNNNNNNNNNNNNNNNNNNNNNNNNNNNNNNNNNNNNNNNNNNNNNNNNNNNNNNNNNNNNNNNNNNNNNNNNNNNNNNNNNNNNNNNNNNNNNNNNNNNNNNNNNNNNNNNNNNNNNNNNNNNNNNNNNNNNNNNNNNNNNNNNNNNNNNNNNNNNNNNNNNNNNNNNNNNNNNNNNNNNNNNNNNNNNNNNNNNNNNNNNNNNNNNNNNNNNNNNNNNNNNNNNNNNNNNNNNNNNNNNNNNNNNNNNNNNNNNNNNNNNNNNNNNNNNNNNNNNNNNNNNNNNNNNNNNNNNNNNNNNNNNNNNNNNNNNNNNNNNNNNNNNNNNNNNNNNNNNNNNNNNNNNNNNNNNNNNNNNNNNNNNNNNNNNNNNNNNNNNNNNNNNNNNNNNNNNNNNNNNNNNNNNNNNNNNNNNNNNNNNNNNNNNNNNNNNNNNNNNNNNNNNNNNNNNNNNNNNNNNNNNNNNNNNNNNNNNNNNNNNNNNNNNNNNNNNNNNNNNNNNNNNNNNNNNNNNNNNNNNNNNNNNNNNNNNNNNNNNNNNNNNNNNNNNNNNNNNNNNNNNNNNNNNNNNNNNNNNNNNNNNNNNNNNNNNNNUCAAAUUUUAAAUAUUUGACUUUUAAUUCUUUAAUUCUCCACCACACAUUUCUCAUGUUUAUCCAUUUCCAUGAUGAAUAAAAUCCCUUGGUCUUGACAAGUAUCGGAGGUGAAAAUUUACCGAUUUGCUCUCGGGGUGGCAAAAUUACCACUUCACCCUUAUACUCCAAAUUAUACCGGAAUUAAAAUUUUUCACUUCUAAACUUCAAAUCAUACUCCAAUACUUAAAUCAUACUCCAAUAAGUCAAAUGGACCAAAAAAAAUCUUUUCUAAAAAUUUUCAUUUUGUCCCCAAGUGGCCAAUGACCAUUGUACCUCUAGAUAGUGAAAAUUUUGGUUUGACUCCAAAUUGAUCCUCGAACUCCGAAUUACCAUUUUGAGUCAUCCAUGAACUGUGAAACUCUUAAUUUCACCUUAAAAUUCCUAUUUGAACUAGUUCGAGACUUAAUCGACUCAAUGGUACCAUUAGGGGCAAUAUCGUCUUUUAACGAUUCCUCGAACUUUUUAAAUCUGUAAACAUUCUAUUGAGCAUGUAAAUGACGACGUAAUUAUUUUAUGGAACAGGGUUUGACAACAUUACCCCCCUUAAAAUAAAAUUUUGUCCUCAAAAUUUCACUUAUCGAACUCCAAGAAAAGAUAGGGGUAUUAGCUUUUAUCCAAUGUUCAACAUCUCAUGUCAUCUCCUUCGUUUGAGCAGUCUUCCACAAUCCUUUAACUAUUGAGAUGUUCUUUUCGUUGCUCUACCUACAUCACUCAUCAUACAUGAAAUUUAAAUCUUGAACCACUCAGGAUCAUUCUUCACUUUAGUUACCCAUAAUACUAAUCCCUACACAUGUGGGGUUGCACUUUCAUUCUCAUCAAUGCCUCAAAGAUUCAUCUUGCAUGUCUUAUGCAUUUUUGAACUCCAAUUUCCACAAUACAUUAAGAAAAUUCCAUAGCGAUAUUCUACAUAAACUCAUUUAUUAUAUUAUUCUUAAAAGCUUUAUUUACACUCUCAGCACUUAGUAUUUACAUCUCUUAUCAUUAUCUUACAUUCCCACCUAACUUUUCAUUCACUUUCUCUAGGUUAGACUCAUGCUUUAUCUUCCAUUACCGUAAAAAUUUUUGUUGACGCACGAGUCUGUGGUCUGAAAUGUGGGUAUACUGGGGUGCUACUCUCCACAUCAGGCCGGAUAGCUACUCCCUGCCUCGGUUGUGGUCCAAAAGAAUCUCUCAUCUGUAAGUCUGUACGAGCUGAUGAAGAUAGAGCAGCUCCAGUGGCCUGUCCUAACUGUGGACAAUUAGUUUUAAAGUGACCCAUCUGGCCACAAUGAAAACAUCGCAAAGGCUCCCAACACACCUCACCAUGAAAUCUUCCACAUUCUCUGCAUCUGUCAGAACCUCCGAAACUCUUUUCAAAAGUAGUCACUGCAGAUCCACUGAAUCUCGGAGGCCUUUGCUGCAUUUGUGAAAAUGAUAGUCAGGAGGAUGUUACCGAAAUAGAAGGAGCACUCCUUGAAACAAAUGAGCCUUUGCUCCUUUUUAGUGGCUGACUGGAGGACAUAUUCAGAUUUUUCCUCUUUGCCAACUCAGCUCGCAUUCUCCUAUUUUCAUUUGCGAGCUUCUCAACCCUUAAGGCCAUUUGUACUACCUCUUUAUAGGGCUCCCUACUUGUCAUAGUCAUUCGCUCUCUUAUCUCAUUGAGGAGCCCUUCCUCGAAAUAAUCGGCCUAAUCCUGUUCAGUCCUUACUAAAUCAGGCACAUAAGACAGCAGCUCGUUAAAUUGAGUCUCAUACUCCUCUACAGUUAAAUUCUCCUGCUUCAGACACAGAAAUUCUCUCUUCUUCUCUUUUUGAUGGAAAUGGGUAUAAUAUUGACUAUCAAAUUCCCUCAGAAAGUCUGAUCAAGUUAGGAGAAUAGUGGAACAAGACUUCACCGAAUUCCACCAUGUACGGGCUCUCUUCUCCAAUAACCUCGUAGCCACUAUCAGCUUCAUCUCAUCCUCCAAUCUCAUAUCGGAAAGUGUCUCCGAAACCUAAUUAAUCCAGUCCUUCGCUGCGGUGGCAUCCAACUCACCCACAAAGGACACACAACCCAAUUGUCUAGCCUCCUUCAGGGUUUUAGAAAUAGAGACAUCAUGUGCCAAUGGAACUGAAGGAGUAACUGGUGGCACUACAGGUGAGACCUAACUAGUCUGAGCUUGACCAGACAUUGUGGUAAAGAAGGCUGCCAUUGCUUGAAUUACCUCAAGAGACAUGGGAGGAAUGCUAGUAGGUGGCGGAGGAAUCUCGAUCGGUUCAGUAGCAAGUGCCGCUCGAAAAGGGGACGCAGUCGAUUCUUCUCCUCUAAGGUCUGGCUGACCUUGCCUAAGACGACCUCUGCCCCUCUUAGCUGAUCUAGUAGGGAGUGGGCGCUCACGUCGAGGAGGCAUGAUAAUCUAAAAAGGAAACGAGGCAAGUUUAGGUAAUCUCAGACUCUACAUACAUGCAACUUUACCUAACCCAACUUAACUUAACCUAGUUUAACUCAACCCGGGGCCACGCAGUGUUAGUGUGAAUUCUUAAAAUAACUAUAAAAAUCAAAAACUUUAAAAUCAUGCUUUGUUAACCAAAAGCUCUGAUACCAAUAAAAUUGUCUCGACUCGAAACUCUCAUCGAGCUCGUGACAACUGCCGUGACGUCCCGAUAAGCAUUCAUUACCCCGAAUGUCGAUUGAAACUCCGUAAGGCUUAGCAUAGCUUCUGCAUCUCCCCAGUGAGCGACAGUUAUUAUGUCAAACCCUGCUUUGUAAAAUAAUUAUAAUAUCAUUCACAUGCUCGAUAGAAUGUUUGUAUAUUUAGAAAGUUCGAGAAAUCGUUAAAAGACGAUAUUGCCUCUAAUGGUAUCAUUAAGUCGAUUAAGCCUCGAACUAGUUCAAAUAGAAAUUUUAAGGUGAAAUUAAGAGUUUCACAGUUCAGGGAUGACUCAAAAUGGUAAUUAGGAGUUCGAGGAUCAAUUUGGAGUCAAAUUGAAAUUUUCACGAUAUAGGGGUAAAAUUGUAAUUUUUCCAUCUACGGAUAAAAUUUGAGAUUUUGAGAGAAUUUAGAUCACAUUUGACAAAUUGGGGAAUGAUAUGAGUAUAAGGGAUNNNNNNNNNNNNNNNNNNNNNNNNNNNNNNNNNNNNNNNNNNNNNNNNNNNNNNNNNNNNNNNNNNNNNNNNNNNNNNNNNNNNNNNNNNNNNNNNNNNNNNNNNNNNNNNNNNNNNNNNNNNNNNNNNNNNNNNNNNNNNNNNNNNNNNNNNNNNNNNNNNNNNNNNNNNNNNNNNNNNNNNNNNNNNNNNNNNNNNNNNNNNNNNNNNNNNNNNNNNNNNNNNNNNNNNNNNNNNNNNNNNNNNNNNNNNNNNNNNNNNNNNNNNNNNNNNNNNNNNNNNNNNNNNNNNNNNNNNNNNNNNNNNNNNNNNNNNNNNNNNNNNNNNNNNNNNNNNNNNNNNNNNNNNNNNNNNNNNNNNNNNNNNNNNNNNNNNNNNNNNNNNNNNNNNNNNNNNNNNNNNNNNNNNNNNNNNNNNNNNNNNNNNNNNNNNNNNNNNNNNNNNNNNNNNNNNNNNNNNNNNNNNNNNNNNNNNNNNNNNNNNNNNNNNNNNNNNNNNNNNNNNNNNNNNNNNNNNNNNNNNNNNNNNNNNNNNNNNNNNNNNNNNNNNNNNNNNNNNNNNNNNNNNNNNNNNNNNNNNNNNNNNNNNNNNNNNNNNNNNNNNNNNNNNNNNNNNNNNNNNNNNNNNNNNNNNNNNNNNNNNNNNNNNNNNNNNNNNNNNNNNNNNNNNNNNNNNNNNNNNNNNNNNNNNNNNNNNNNNNNNNNNNNNNNNNNNNNNNNNNNNNNNNNNNNNNNNNNNNNNNNNNNNNNNNNNNNNNNNNNNNNNNNNNNNNNNNNNNNNNNNNNNNNNNNNNNNNNNNNNNNNNNNNNNNNNNNNNNNNNNNNNNNNNNNNNNNNNNNNNNNNNNNNNNNNNNNNNNNNNNNNNNNNNNNNNNNNNNNNNNNNNNNNNNNNNNNNNNNNNNNNNNNNNNNNNNNNNNNNNNNNNNNNNNNNNNNNNNNNNNNNNNNNNNNNNNNNNNNNNNNNNNNNNNNNNNNNNNNNNNNNNNNNNNNNNNNNNNNNNNNNNNNNNNNNNNNNNNNNNNNNNNNNNNNNNNNNNNNNNNNNNNNNNNNNNNNNNNNNNNNNNNNNNNNNNNNNNNNNNNNNNNNNNNNNNNNNNNNNNNNNNNNNNNNNNNNNNNNNNNNNNNNNNNNNNNNNNNNNNNNNNNNNNNNNNNNNNNNNNNNNNNNNNNNNNNNNNNNNNNNNNNNNNNNNNNNNNNNNNNNNNNNNNNNNNNNNNNNNNNNNNNNNNNNNNNNNNNNNNNNNNNNNNNNNNNNNNNNNNNNNNNNNNNNNNNNNNNNNNNNNNNNNNNNNNNNNNNNNNNNNNNNNNNNNNNNNNNNNNNNNNNNNNNNNNNNNNNNNNNNNNNNNNNNNNNNNNNNNNNNNNNNNNNNNNNNNNNNNNNNNNNNNNNNNNNNNNNNNNNNNNNNNNNNNNNNNNNNNNNNNNNNNNNNNNNNNNNNNNNNNNNNNNNNNNNNNNNNNNNNNNNNNNNNNNNNNNNNNNNNNNNNNNNNNNNNNNNNNNNNNNNNNNNNNNNNNNNNNNNNNNNNNNNNNNNNNNNNNNNNNNNNNNNNNNNNNNNNNNNNNNNNNNNNNNNNNNNNNNNNNNNNNNNNNNNNNNNNNNNNNNNNNNNNNNNNNNNNNNNNNNNNNNNNNNNNNNNNNNNNNNNNNNNNNNNNNNNNNNNNNNNNNNNNNNNNNNNNNNNNNNNNNNNNNNNNNNNNNNNNNNNNNNNNNNNNNNNNNNNNNNNNNNNNNNNNNNNNNNNNNNNNNNNNNNNNNNNNNNNNNNNNNNNNNNNNNNNNNNNNNNNNNNNNNNNNNNNNNNNNNNNNNNNNNNNNNNNNUAAUCUCACCCCUCUUCCUAUCCAUUUUUCAAACUCAGGACAGUUUGUUGAUAGUUGAUUAAGACGAGAAUUAAUCUCGGAGUUGCAUCAUAAGAAGUAAGGGUUCGUAGCUCUACAUCUUCUUGGUUACUUAGGGGCCCACGUGUCACUGUAAACGAAAUUUCAUACUUUAAUUAUCUUUAUUACUAUAUGAAUAAAUUUAUUUUACUCUUACGCUACAAAAGUUAUUUUAGGAAGACUUUGAAAAUAUUGUGUUUUAAGAAAAUAGAAUAUUUUAUUUAAUGUUUUUAUUAUAUUCAAAUAGUUAUAAUUUUACUUUAAACGAAUGUUUUAAACUUCAAAAUUUAAUUUAAAUCAUGAAAUAUGUGUUUCCACUUACAUAUUACAUUUUUUCGGAUUUCGAAAUUUCAAAAAAAAAAUGACGAAAAUGCCCCAGUGAGCUAGAAAAUAAUAUUUUUAUUGUUUUGUGUUGGAAACAACUUAUGAUUUCUUGAAAUGUGAGAUUUAAUAACUGUCGCUCACCGGGGAGAUGCGAAAGUUGAUGCUAAGCCUUGCGGGGUUUCGAUCGACAUUCGGGGUAAUGAGUGCUUAUCGGGACGUCGCGGCGGUUGUCACGGGCCCGAUGGGAGUUCCGGGUCGUGACAUAUUAAAUCUCACAUUUCAAAAAAAAAUCAUAAGUCAUUUCCAAAUCAAAACAAUAAAAUAUUACUUUUUGGCUCACAGGGGUAUUUUCAUCAUUUUUCUUUGAAAAUACCGAAACUCGCCAAAAACAUGGUGUAAAAGAUAAAUAUAUUCAUACAUAUUUUAAAUUAAAUUAUUGAAGAAUAAAAUUUCUUUUACAGUGAUACGUGGGCUCCCAACUGACUAAUAAAAUGUAAGGUUACAAACUCUUACUUUCUAAGAUGCAACUCCGAGAUUAAUUCUCGUCUUAAUCAACUAUCAACAAAUUAUCCUGGGCCUGAAAAAUAGAUAGGAAGAAGGGGUAAGAUCAUAAAAUCCCAGUGAGUAGAUAGACAUCAUCAAAAUAAUCUAAAGCCGAGUAAUAGGAGACAAUUAAAAUAAUUCAUCCCAACCCAUAUAAAUAAUUGGAUUUCAUCUAAUUACUCAACAUGGCUUAUGCACUUUUCAAAAACUUGGCCCUUGCCAAAAAUCCAUUCUCGGGGAGACCCGCGAAGGCAUUUUACCGAGACCGCCAAAGCUGUUUAUUGUCACACACACAAACACAUUUCACCUCUGACAACACAGUCAUUCCUCGACGUUGGCUGAGUCCCAGUUUCACGUGGUGGCCAGCAUGAAGUGUACUCAAAUCCUAUCUCGGGAGUUCUCCUAUGCGCCUCUCCAAUCAAGGUAAGCUCAAUAAUUGGGAACCGUGCCCCUCUAAUUAGGCUGGCCCACGAAACCCCCGUCACUGCAGUGCCGACUUUAUAAUCCACCCACCAAUAAAAUCACAAUAGUAUGACAUGGCUCACUUAACACAUUUAAGGCAAAUCAAAGCAGUUCACAUAUUCUUGAAAUCAUAAAAAUAACCAGUCAUACCCACAUUUAUCAUAAGCCAUUUAAUGUAAAAUCAUAGAUAAACAACACAAUCAUAGUAUAGGUCUCUAAUUACUCUAUUUUUGAAAUCAUUAUUAAAUUUGUAAAAAUUUUAUAAAAU